UUUGGUUCUACAGUUUAUUUUUCUCGAAUAGAUAACUUGAUCUCAAAUCUAUAAUUAUUCUAAAUUGUUUGUUGCGUGUUCUAAGGUUAAAUGGCGUCACAUGGAAAUGAUGAUGUGAACAAUGGAAGUAACACUGUUGGGACCGCUGUGAACCCUGUGGAGACCUCUACUGGCAUUCCUCCUGUUGAUGGGACAAUUGGUGGCGGGAUUCCUCUUAUUGGAAUGAACCCCACUUUGCCUACGGCUGCGGCCUCGACAAUCCAGUUUGGCACAAUACCUUUGCCAGUACCUAGGGUUGCGGCCUCGGUACCUUUGCCAUCGUUUCCGGCUCCAUUUCCGGUGAAUCAUGCAAUUCGACCGGAUAAGUUCGGUGGUACUGAUUUUAAGACAUGGCAGAAUAAGAUGAUUUUUUAUCUUACCACUUUGGGCCUUGCACGUUUCCUCACCGAGGAUGCCCUUGUUGUGGCUGAAAACGACACUGAUAUGCAUAGGCGUGCGGCUUGGGAUGCAUGGAAAAGUGCUAAUUUUUUGUGUCGCAACUAUGUCUUGGAUGGCCUACAGAAUUCUCUGUAUCACGUGUAUGUGGUAAAGAAAUCUGCUGAGGAGCUUUGGGAGUCCUUAGAAAAUAAGUACAAGACCGAGGAUGCUGGGUCUAAGAAGUUCUUAACCAGUCGGUGCAUGGACUUCGAAAUGGUUGAUUCACGUUCAGUGGUGAGCCAAGUGCAAGAGUUCCAAGUGCUCUUGCAAGAAAUGCAUGCUGAGGGUCUGAUCAUGUCAGAAUCUCUACAGGUGGCUACUGCUAUUCACAAGCUACCUCCUCAGUGGAAGGCUUUCAAAAGCUAUUUGCAGCAUAAGAGGAAAGAGAUGUCUUUCGAGGAUUUAAUUAUCAAGCUGCACAUUGAGGAGGAUAACAAACAGGCUGAACGUAAGUCAGGGAAUUCUUACUCUGAGAAGGCCAAUGUCCUAGAACACUGCCAGAGUUCUGGUACCAAGAAAGGUCAUUCUUUUAAAGCCAAACAGGGAAACGAAAAUUGGAAAGAUAAAAAGCAGACCAAGAAAGGGUCUCAGAUGAAGCCUACCAGUGGAGUAGGAAAGAAACCCAAGUUCCAGUUCAACGGGAAAUGCUUCAAUUGUGACAAAAUUGGGCAUCGAUCGACAGACUGUCGUCAGCCUCGGAGGGAUAACAAGCAGCGUCCUCAGGCUAAUAUGGUUGGAAAUGAGAGAGAUCAUCUCUCAGAUGACAUGUCUGACCUAAACCUCACGGCGGUGAUUAGUGAGGUUAAUCUGGUGGGGUCUAAUACUAAGGAGUGGUGGCUAGACACUGGGGCCACUUGCCAUGUCUGCUCCAACAGGAGCAUGUUCACUACUUUUGCACCAGUUACAAAUGGUGAAAAGUUGUUCAUGGGAAAUUCUGCAACUUCUGAAGUGCUUGGCAAAGGCAAGGUAAUCCUGAAGAUGACCUCUGGCAGAGAGCUUACUCUGACUAAUAUGUUGUACGUGCCAGAGAUUUGCAAGAAUCUGAUCUCUGGGUCUCUUCUGAGCAAGAAUGGUUUCCGCAUGGUCAUUGAAGCGGAUAAGCUGGUGAUUACCAAAAUAGGAGUUUAUGUUGGGAAAGGCUAUAUGACUGAUGGCCUGAAUGUAAUUGCUGUAACCCCAACUAUUAUGAAUAAUGAGAAAACUCCUUCUGUUUACUUGCUUGAGUCUCCUAAUCGUGGCAUGGUAGAUUAGGUCACGUAAAUUACAAUGCAUUACGUAGACUAAGCAAACUAAACUACUUGCCUAGGUUUCAAAUUGAUUCAAAUCAUAAAUGUGAAACCUGCGUUGAGGCUAAGCUUACUAGGUCUUCGUUUCAUAGUAUUGAAAGAAGUACCGAGCCAUUGGGACUAGUCCACAGUGAUGUGUGUGACUUGAAAUUUGUCCAAACAAGAGGCGGCAAUAAGUACUUUAUUACUUUUGUCGACGAUAGCACGAGAUAUUGUUAUGUGUACUUGCUUAAAAGCAAAAACGAAGCUAUCGAUAAAUUCAUUCUUUACAAGAAUGAAGUUGAAAAUCAACUUAGCAAGAAAAUAAAGGUGCUACGAAGUGAUCGUAGUGGUGAAUAUGAAUCACCAUUUGGUGAAUUUUGUGCUAAACAUGGAAUAAUUCACCAAACUACUGCACCUUAUUCACCUCAGCAGAACGGAAUUGCUGAGCGUAAGAAUCGAACGUUAAAAGAAAUGAUGAAUGAUAUGUUGAUUAGUUCUGGAUUACCACAGAACAUGUGGGGAGAAGCUAUUCUUUCUGUGAAUUACAUUUUGAAUAAAGUGUUAAGAAAGAAUAUGGAUAAGACUCCGUAUGAACUUUGGACAAGUCGGACACCUUCAUAUAAAUACUUACGAAUAUGGGGGUGUCUUGCUAAAAUUGUGGUGCCUCCUCCUAAGAAGGUCAAGAUUGGACCUAAGACAGUUGAUUGUGUGUUUAUUGGUUAUGCACAAAAUAGUAGUGCAUAUAGAUUUCUUGUACAUUAUUCAAAUGCACUUGAUAUUCAUCCGAACACGAUUAUGGAGUCUAGGAAUGCACAAUUCUUUGAGAAUAUAUUUCCUUGUAAAGAGUUAACUCCUAUUAAACGGACUAUGGAACCGUCUGCUUCUGGCAGCAGUAAAGAUCCAGUUGAAGAAGGUGAGGAUGAGCCUAGACGGAGCAAAAGGACCAAAACUUCUACGACAUUUGGCCCUGAUUUUCUCACAUAUUUGAUGGAGAAUGAUCCUCAAAGCUAUAAAGAAGCUAUAUCUUCUCCGGAUGGUCAUCUGUGGAAAGAAGCCAUCAAGAGUGAAAUCGAUUCUAUCCUACAGAAUCAUACCUGGGAAUUAGUAGAUCUUCCACCGGGCUGUAAGCCUUUGGGCUACAAGUGGAUCUUCAAGAAGAAGAUGAAAGCGGAUGGAGCCGUUGAUAAAUAUAAAGCUCGGCUAGUAAUCAAAGGUUAUAAGCAAAAGGAAGGCUUAGAUUACUUUGAUACUUAUUCUCCUGUGUCGAGAAUAACUUCUAUCCGGAUGAUAAUUGCUAUUGCGGCCUUGCGAAAUCUGGAAAUACAUCAGAUGGAUGUAAAAACAGCUUUCCUAAAUGGAGAUUUGAAUGAAGAAAUCUACAUGGAGCAACCAAAGGGGUUUUUAGCUCCAGGUCAAGAAAGGAAAGUUUGUAGACUGGUUAAAUCGCUGUAUGGUUUAAAGCAAGCACCGAAGUAUUGGCAUGAGAAGUUUGAUAAUGCUAUGCUUUCUAGUGGUUUUAGAAUCAAUGAGUGCGACAAGUGUGUAUAUGUCAAGGACACUAAUGAUGGAUAUGUCAUAUUAUGUCUAUACGUCGACGACAUGCUCAUUGUCGGUAGCUCUGACAAGAUUAUCAAAGCCACUAAGAAUAUGUUAAACUCAAAGUUUGACAUGAAAGAUAUGGGUCUCGCAGAUGUCAUUUUGGGAGUAAAAAUUACUCGAACACCAAAUGGACUUGUGUUAUCUCAAUCACAUUACAUUGAUAAGAUACUAGACAAGUUCAACAAGUCAGAUACUACUGUGGCCAGGACCCCAGUGGAUUUGAGUCUUCACUUAUCCAAGAACAUUGGUGAUGGUGUGUCAUAGUUAGAAUAUUCUCGGAUAAUUGGGAGUUUAAUGUAUUUAAUGACUUGUACGAGACCGGAUAUAGCAUACUCAGUUAGCAGAUUGAGUCGCUACACGAGUAACCCAGGUGCUAUCCACUGGAAAGCCAUUUUCAGGGUGUUACAUUAUUUAAGGUACAUUUGUGAUUUUGGACUGCACUAUUCUAGAUACCCUGCAGUAAUUGAAGGGUAUGCUGAUGCAAAUUGGAUAUAAGAUAUGUCAGAUUCCAAGUCUACUAGUGGAUAUGUCUUCACUCUUGGUAGUGCAGCUGUCUCUUGGAAAUCGUCCAAACAAACUUGCAUCGCAAGAUCUACAAUGGAAUCAGAGUUCAUCGCUUUGGACAAAGCAACUGAAGAAGCAGAGUGGCUUCGCCAGUUUGUUGAGAAUAUUCCAAGAUGGUCAAAGCCCGUGCCUACAAUUUGUGUCUAUUGCGAUAAUCAAUCAACAAUUGGCAUGGCACAGAGCAAUAUGUAUAAUGGUAAGUCUNNNNNNNNNNNNNNNNNNNNNNNNNNNNNNNNNNNNNNNNNNNNNNNNNNNNNNNNNNNNNNNNNNNNNNNNNNNNNNNNNNNNNNNNNNNNNNNNNNNNNNNNNNNNNNNNNNNNNNNNNNNNNNNNNNNNNNNNNNNNNNNNNNNNNNNNNUUUGUGAAAAACUGAGUUAAGAGAUCACCUAUGUGAGUGUGAAGUGCGGCCGCUUCUAUAAGGAUUGACAAGGCUACAUCCUUGAAAAAAUACUUGUAGAACUAGGCGACGUGUUCAUGGCCAAAACGAACACAACAUUGAGAACUAUGCUGUGUCUAGAAUGGUCCUGUGUGAGGUCUAUUGUCUUGAUUUACACAAAUGGCGAAACAGUUCAAGGUAUCAGAUCCACUGCUUUGCUGGUAAUACUCGAUAGAUUUUCACGAGGGAAGGUUCAAAGCUAAAUGCUACCUAUCCUAUGCAGGAUUGAUUCGUUUUACUCUCUCUUUCUCUCUUGAGUCUCUAUUUUCAAAAUUUUUCAUUCAUGUGGGGGACUGUUAGAAUAUUUUGAAUGAAAAGUUAGUUACGUUUUGAAUGUUCACUACAUCAGUUUCAUCAUUUUGAAUGCAUGUUGAAUGCGUAUGAAAACAUCAGUAACUUCCCAUUUGAAAUAUGUCGGUUUUACCCUAUUCAUUCAUCCAUGUUGUAACUUCCCAUUUGAAAUAUGUCGGUUUCACCCUAUUCAUUCAUCCAUGUUGUAACUUCCUAUUCAAUGUAUUUAUGAGCAAGCUCCUCCUAUAUUGGUAUAAAUAGAGGAUCACUCUCGGCUAGAAACAACAACAAAAAAAAAAAAACACAACAAAGAAAAAAAAAAGUUCAGUUUCCUCCUCCAUUUCCAGCAGCCCCGUUUUUUUUUCUUUUCUUUGCUAAAGUUCUUUGAGAGAUAGACAUAGCUAGUUCGUAGGUCGGUAACGUUGUGCAGCGUGAACCGUCAACCGAUUGUAUCCUGAGAAUCGAACACCGAUUAACACCUCUUGCACUCCGGUGAGGCGGCGAAUUCGAUUUAAGGAAACCGUGUAAACACGGGCCUUCGGUUUUGGUUGAUUUAUUCUGAUUCUCCAAUUUUUCCCUACAGUUUGUUGUGGAAUCAUCAGUGGGAGAUUGCAUAUUAGGAGUCAGAGUCCGAAGCAACAAGAAAUUAUUGUCAACAGGAUAAGCAUAUAGAUGUUUCCAAUGUCAAGUUCAAAACAUUUUGCUAGCUGUACCUGUAUACGUCACCGAAAGUAGCAUAAAGACAAUCUUAUCUGAAAGUCGAAGUGUGAUGCUCCGUUCUUGUACAUUACAAAUAGAUGUCUAGUAUAAGUUACUGCAUAUCCUUAUCAUGCAUCAAGUAUCUAUAUAAAAAUGAUCAUAUGUAUAAAUUACCUGCCACCAUAUCGACUCAACUAUCCUGGAGAAUAUCCAGGACUCAACUUUCUCCAUGGCAGUAAGUAAAAGUUCUUAUCUCUUGCCAAUCAUCAACAAUGUAUACGUGUGAAACCCUGUUUACUUGGUUGUCUUCUUCCAAAGUUAUUUUUCCAGAUAAACGAUGAAGACUUUGCAAUUGGAUUGAUUCUCUUUCCUCCUCCAUUUUACCCAACUAUCUUUGUAAGGGAACUGGUCGGACAUGAACUCCCAAAUGCUAGAGAGAGAAUUUCUCUUAAAGCAACAGUAUUCGACAGCCAAAAUUUUAACCAAGUACAAAAUUGUAGGAAAAUACUGUAGUCAGCCAGGGGUGGGCAUUUUUUUCCGAACCGGACCGGAACAGAUGAGAACCAGCGCAGAUCCUGUGAUUUUUGGGGCCUGAGGCGAACUCCAAAAAUUAGGCCCUCAAAAUUAACUUAAAUGCAAAAGGGAAAAAUUCAUAAACCAUGUAUUAACUAUGCACAAUUCAAAAACCAUGUUUAGAGUUUAACUAAUGCAAAAAUCGGAUUUUUAUCUAAUUAGUUAAAAAUAUUUAUUAAUCAAAUAUAAUAAAAUUACAAUUAUACAAUUAAUGAUCACGUGUACACAUUUAUAGGUCACAGAUUUAUUUCUUGGUCACAUAUCUUUAAAUUAAUUGGUCACAAAUUAUUUUGAGGUCACGAAUCAAAAGUUUGAUAGAUUACAGAUUAUUUCGUGGUCACAGAUCACAAUUUAUCCAUUAAUUUUAUAGGUCACAGUUUACGUCAUUGGCACAAAUCUAAAAAAUUAUAGGUCACAGAUGGUUAUAAAUCCAAAAUAUUAUAGGUCACGGUCACGUUUUUUUGAAUUUGAUGGUCGCAAAUUAUUUUUUAGUCAUAAAAUGAUCGAAUUUCAAAGUCACAAAUUAAUUGUCAGUCACAGACACCAAACACCGAUCUCGAUCCACCUCAGUACAUGGUCACAAAUACUCCACCACCAAACCCACCACUAUUGCCAUCUGAAUCACACCAUCGCCGCCUAAACCAAAUCACCAACAAAAACUGCCAUCGUGUCCUUUACCACACCACCACAACCUCCAACAAAACACCGACCAAGAAAGCCGACCACAAACGGCACCACCGAGCCCAUAUCCAUGCUGUAUAGAGUCCACCACCAUACAAGACACUGCCAUCGCACAACACACCAUCCAAAUCCAUCGCCAACCAAACACAUCACCACCGCAACCUCACGCCCACAGCCAGCACCAUUACCACCAGUAACACAAACCACAAAACUACUCCACACGUACUACAAAAAUCAAAUUCAUAGUUGAAGACUGUCGCUGCCACUACCAUUUUUGCAACACCACUGUCACCAAACUGCAAAUAGCAACACCACCGCACAGGCGCACACACCACCACCGGUCAAAUCCACUACUACCGCCUGUAAGUUGUAACCUACCUAGAUCGACUGUAUCCCUGUUCGUGGUCGCGAAGCAAAACCAAUAGAAUAGCCACCGAUGAGGAUGCUUUUGAGCGUCGCCUCCGUCGUGAUCGCCGUCGUCAUCGUGAAUCAUCGCCAACGGUGGCGAGGAUGGUGUUUCAUGAUUAAGAGAAGGCAGAUUAUGGAGAUCGUAGAGAGAGAAAACAAAACGUGAAAUUAGGGUUGGGGAAAUUGAAUUGGAAGAAAUUAAUAUUUAAAUUAUUAAAUCAAUACCUGAUUGUUGCAUAAUGAAACUCUAGCCCUGAUGUUUGAAUUGUGAUGUUUAAACCCCUAGAGUUAUGUAAUUUCCACAAUGCAAAAUCCAACAAAACCUAUUGUGUAUUAUACAACAUAUCGCUAACUUAAAACUUAAUAGUAAAACAACAAAUAAAUAUAUUAUACAAAAGAUUUAUAUUAUAAAAUAACAAAACUAACAACGUUUCAAAUAAUCAUUUAAAUACUAUCUGCCUUGUUGUUGUAGAGGCAAAAACAUUAAUCAAAUCUGAAUAAUUUAGUUAUUCAACCAUUUCUUUCUCUAUUGAUAACAUAGCUAAUCGGUUCAAUUUUUCUUGUGACAUAGUUGAUCGGAGGUAAGUCUUCGUCGACUUCAAUUGGAGAAACUUCUUUUCACAAAACAUUUCAAUCAUUUCACAAUUAAAGUUUUCAAUAUAAUUACUAUAUGCGCCUGUACAAUUAAUCCUACAAUAACCAAUCAUAUAAACUGAUCAAGCCACAAUUAUAUAAGCUGACAAGGCUUAAAACAUUUUCAAUAUAUUUAAUAACAAGUUAGGGCUUUAAUACUUGACAUCUUAGCACCUCACCAAGAACCAUUUAUUGAUAAUAUAUGAGAAAUCAAGAAGCAUACGGAUGAUUGCAUGAAUGAUUUUACCAGAACAAUCCUAUUAUUGGGAAUGUUAAUUCUUCAACGUGAUUUAGACAACGCUGGUCCUAUGAUUUUUGGGGCUUGAGGCGAACUCCAAAAAUUAGGCCCCCCAAAAUCAACUUAAAUGCAAAAUUCAACAAAAUCUAUUGUGUAUUAUACAACAUAUCGCUAACUUAAAACUUAAUAGUAAAACAACAAAUAAAUAUAUUAUACAAAAGAUUUAUAUUAUAAAAUAACAAAACUAACAACGUUUCAAAUAAUCAUUUAAAUACUAUCUGCCUUGUUGUUGUAGAGGCAAAAACAUUAAUCAAAUCUGAAUAAUUUAGUUAUUCAACCAUUUCUUUCUCUAUUGAUAACAUAGCUAAUCGGUUCAAUUUUUCUUGUGACAUAGUUGAUCGGAGGUAAGUCUUCGUCGACUUCAAUUGGAGAAACUUCUUUUCACAAAACAUUUCAAUCAUUUCACAAUUAAAGUUUUCAAUAUAAUUACUAUAUGCGCCUGUACAAUUAAUCCUACAAUAACCAAUCAUAUAAACUGAUCAAGCCACAAUUAUAUAAGCUGACAAGGCUUAAAACAUUUUCAAUAUAUUUAAUAACAAGUUAGGGCAAGCCAUUACUUACCUGAGAAAUAGAAUUUUGAUGAAAAUGAUGGAAUCACGCCGUUGAGAAUUCUGUAAUCACAAUUCACAAGCCUGAAAUAAAAAUUUAGCAUCAACCACCAAUACAAAACCAAAAGUGGAAACCAAAAUCAAAAAGUGGAAACCAAACCAAACCAUAGACAAAAUUCAUUCCAGUUGAUAUUGUUCACCUUACUACUGACAUAUCUCACAAAAACAACAAACCUAAAAGAUUUAUGGCGCCAACCAUGUGCAUAAGGUCUUUAAAUAACAUACGAUUGAAAAUGAGCACAAGUAAAGGAAAACAAAAAUUUGGUUACUGGACUGCUACGUAUGAUUUAUGUACUAAUUUGGGAUUUGGCAAUUCAUCAAAUAUAUCAUUAGCAACAGGACAACUGACAUAUAACAUUUUUGCUAAUCAAUAUAUGUUUUUAUUUUUUCAAUAGUAAUAAAAUAGAAGAAACACAAGAGUUGGGAAGCACAACCAAAGGAAAAAUUAGGCAAACCUUUAUCAACAAGACAAUAACACUCUAAUUGAGAUAAUUGUAGUCAAAGGCCCUUCUUAACAUCAAUCUACUUGAAAUAAAACCAUAUACACAGGCUAAGUAAGAGAAAUUGUAAUUUUUCAGGGAGUUUACUCUAUCAUGAAUCUUGACAAGAAAAAAUCAAUUACAUAAUAAACAUACCAUGAUCAAAUCGAAGAGGACAUACAAUAAAUUGACGAUUGGCACAAAAAAGAGAGGUAACAAAAACUUAAAAAGGGCAAUAAAUUAGGCCUUUAGGGUUGAAAAUGGGCAACUUCUUGUUCUUGUGAUUUGUGAAGGGUAAAGGGAAGGGAGUGGGAUUUGGGAACUGGCACGAAGUAGAUAAGUAGGGCCGGCCAAGGAAAUGAGGCCCUCGUCGAGUCACUGUCAUUAGUCCAAUGAUUCUUGGAAUUGGAUUGGAGGCAGAGGUCGAGUUGGACAUCGUAGUCAUCAAAGAGAAGAGGAGGAAUGAAAUAUAAAAUCCAAUUUUCCAAAAAAUAAUGAAUGGAAUGGAUCCUCUACAUUUACCAAAAAAAAUGAUCGGGCCAAAAAUAGGCCCCCUUAGAUUUUGGACCUGAAGCCCUAGCCUCAAUAGCCUCGUAGCAGGAUUGGCUAUGAUGAAAACCAGCCAGUUCCAAUCCAGUUCUCGGUGCCUUCGUAAGAAAUUCGGUUCUAACAAGUUUUAGGGUGGCGCUAUUUACAUCUAUGAUUUUUAUAUAUAUACAUCUACCUUUAAAAAGAUAAGUAUAAUAUAGUUUUAAUCUUAUGCAAAUUUACCUAAAUAGACAUAUAUAAAAUUAAAUAAAAAUAUAUCAUUCUAAAUUCACCCACUUAUAUUUGUUUUCACUAAAUUCUUUUCAACCUUUAUAUAUUCUUUCAAAAUAUGUGUUUAACUAAAAUAUUUGAUUGUGAGUCGAAAAACACCAGUCCCACCAACAAUGGGCAGUUCAUGAUACUCUUUAAAUAUUUGAUUGUGACAUCCCAAAACUUUAGUAAGUUUGUAAUGCAUAUCAUACCUUGUAUUGUGAUGUAUAUUUCAUGUAACAUAGUAAAAAAAAUUUUUUUUAAUAAUAUUAUAAAUUUAUGAAAAGAAUUGAAUUAAAAUUUUGGUUAGAAACCAUGUGGAAAAAUUAAGGAAAUUGAGGUAGCUACUCUCAAUAAAUGACCUUGCCACUCUAAAUAUGAAAAAUGACAAAUGGUAUAAGGUGGCUACCCUACACAUAUUACUUUGUCACUCUAAAUACUACAAUGACAAAUGGCAUAAUAGGGUAAAAUGUGGCAAAAUAAUGAUUAAGGAAAAAUAAAUUAAUUAUUAAUUUAAUUCUAAAUUAUUACUAUAAAUAGGGGAGAAGAGGAUAAAUGGAAAUGCAUACAACAAAAAUCAAAGUCAAGUAACUUUAUAAAGAUAGCACUUCAAUUGUUUUGCAAUUUGAAAGUGGGUAGUCUAUACCUACUUUUAUUUCAAACAUAUUUAUUGCAAUUAUGUUUAUUGGAUUACUACUUGCUCUUCAAAUCAAUUAUAGAUCCAAGAUUCUACCCAUUGAUAUUUACAUUGCAUUGGAUAAUGAUUGAUAUUAUUGAUUUUACACCAAAGUGGUGUAAUCAACUAAUGAGCUCAUAUAUUGUUAUUUUCAUAUUGCGCGCACGGGUAGGAUUGAACAUCUAUAAUUGGGGCCCAUUGUUUUCUUUUCUUAUUCAAAUUAAAGAAAGACUAUGGUAUAAAUUACUCACUGAAUAAAUCUAUUCGCAUUAUUUUAUUUUCUUGUAGAUGAUCACCAUCGAAUACAUUGACUUUACCUCGGGUGAAUGAAUGAGUUCAGAAGAUGGCUGAUAUUGAAACGGGUUUAUUCAAUUUGAUGUUAAUUAACUUGGUGUUGAUGGUAAAAAAAAAAAAAAAAGGAUGCUGGAGAAGGAGAUGAGAGUUAGAGAGGAUUGGAGAUGAUUUGGUGAGAAUAAUCUGGUGAUUUUUUAAUUUUUUGGAAAAAAAGCUAUAAUUGGUGAAUUUUAAAAGGUAAGUAGGGAAUAUUUGGAUAGGGAGAUAUAAUUUUUGAAGGAUUUCAAUGUAUGGAUGAAGACCGUUAGAUUUUCUAAGAUUGAAGAGUCCAAAUCAUUUGUCAUAAUUCUUUGUCAAAUGUAUUGGUUAGCGGAACGCUCCCCAUUAAAAAAAUUAACAAAUGUAGUAUAUCAGCAACAAUAAAAUGAAAAAGUAAAAUGAUAUCUUUUCAUUACUAAAUGAAAUUAUAAGAGAAAAAUUACAAAGACUACUUUGCUAAGUCAUUCAAAUGGUCUUGUUUGGACCUAAAAAAGAUGAACGUACUGAUGAAUUCCCCACUAAGAUGAUGUAGUAAAAAAAUCAAUCUUCUUAAUUUAAGGAAUGUCUGAAUGGCCUAUGCCUCACAAAAAGAGUUCUUCAGAUGUAAGUACUCCUUCAAAAUAUAAAGGCAUGAUAUCUCAUUUGCUUGAUGAUUUCUGAGUUUACAAAUACGGGGUUCACUCGAAGGUGAAGUUUUGUGGCAGUUAUCUCUCUAACACACCGAUCAAUUUUAGAACCAAAUGUUGCUUGUUCAAAUGGUCUUAGUUAGUAACAAUCAACUCAUAUCUUUGCAAUUUGUGAUCCUUGUAGCAACAGUUGUAAGGUGAUUAGACUCCUUUGUUUGCUUCUAGAUGUCGGCUCACUAUAAAACCAUUUACAACUAGCACGAAACAUUGCAAAAGAUCUUCUGCUACCUUCGAAAAUAUGCCUCGGGCUUUGAUGUUGCCAUAUAAUUGAAGAGGACGACAACAUUUAAUGAUCAUUGUGAAAGGCAUUCAGAGAAUUUUGUCUUUUUUUUUUUUUUUUUUUUUUUUUUUCAAUGUUCUGAAAAUCGACACGGUCAUCGACCCUAAAAAUGUGAAGAGUUAAAGAUCAAAAGAUUCAAAAGGGAUUGAAUUGGAUGCAAUAAACAAAUAAAUAAAUAAAUACAUAGAAAAAUAAUAAAAUACUAUGAAAGCAAUAAAUUUAUUUUAUUUUUAUAUUAAUAAUUCAAAGAAAUCUACCUAAAAGCCCAAGACUAGCUAAGCAAAAGGGGGGGGUUGAUUUGAUUAGAGCAACUUUUUCGAAAAAUAAUUUUAAGUAUACAAUUAAUGCUCACUUAAAUGUAGUAAUUAAUCAAAUAUUCAUAAAUAUGAAAAAAGAACAAAGACUAAGAUAAAAUCACAAGUAAUAAAUAAAAACAAAGAUAAGUAUAAGGAAAGAGAAGUCAAACGAUAUGAUAUGGAGGUUCGAUCCAAUGCAAUGAUUUACGUUCCCCGUUACCAAGCUCUUCAUCAUGAGCAAGUCCUUUUUCACUAUAUUGAUUGACUAUAGGGUUAUUAUAUUACCACUACACAUUUUAUUAAGUACACCACAUUUUUCUUAUUUAUUUAAACAACCUUAAGUAAAAUCACAUAAUUAUAGUUUUUGGAUUAAUGCGUAAAAGUGAAUACAUUUGUGGUGUACUUAUCAUCCAAAUAUUACACCUCAUAUUCUCAUCCAAAAAAUAAUAAUAAUAUUUGUGGACUUUUCAGAAAAUUUCAUCAACAAACAUAGAAAUUUGUUUUACAGAUUGAAGAGAAAUUCACUUUUCACCCACGAGGAUCGAGCGCAAUCCCUACAAGAAAAUCAUAUAGAAAAAUUGAAGUCAGCGUUACAAUAUUAAAAAAAAAAAAUUCAAAUGGAAGUUUUCGUAUAUACUGAAAUACUGGUUAUCACUUAUCAUUUACGUUUAUAGUCAUGAAACGAUUGUCCGAAAGCCCAAUUGACAAGCUUCAUGAAUUCUUAUUCCAGAAUUGAUUUCUAUUGUAGCCAUUAACGUUAGUUUGAAGUAUUCCAGGAUUGACAAAGACUGUUUUAUUUAUUGCAUUGCGUGGCUUAAGGUUUCUACAUGGGCACAUUUAUUAACGGAUUUUAUGGGAUGAGUGAUAGAGUCGACGAAGCAAAGUUCAGUGACUAAUGGAACAAUUGAUGAAGUUCGAUGCAUAAAUCGUGAUAUGAUGCUUAAUUCAAUGGCCAACGAAAUAUUUAGCUCCUGCUUAAUCAAUUUGGAAACAUAAAGUCAUAGAAAUUAUCGAACCGAAAAGCUCAAUGAAAUCAUGAAGGGCACAUCUUGGCUCUUAAAUGAAGCUAGUAACCUAUAAUCGAACUAAAUAAGCUCUAACUCGUGAACAUUACGCUAGUAAGCAAUUAAGUCUACAAAAAAUUUAAUUUUUUUGGUUACCUCUUAUUUGUUUAAAGAAUCCUAAAAGAGCCAUUUAACGAGUGAUGGGACAAUAGAGGCAUAGAGUCGACGAAGCCCCGAUGAUGAUCGCCCAUGCCUUUCUUAUACCUUUUUUCAAACAAAUAGCUUUUCUUGUGGCAUGCGGGCUUAUCAUUGGCAGCCUUUCUUUAAAAAAUCUAUUUCAUAUAGAUUAGCCUCUCUUUUCCUUUCCAUGGGUAGGGCCAGUGACUUCUGCUAGUGUUUUACUGUUGAAGAGACGGGGAGAGAGAGAGCGAGGGGGGGUCAUUUGGUUAUUUGGUUUAAGCUAGUAUUUAACUCCAAUCACGUAAUUCAAAUCAAUCUUUGUCUCGUGACCUUUGACACAGUGAAUUUGAACAGAGGAAAUAGUGGUGGAUUGUCGAUUGAUCCAUGCUAUUUUCCACAAUGGCCUUUGACCAAUUUUAAAUAAAAAAGGUAAAAACCCGUAAAAAAAAAAUGCCAAAAUAUCCCUUGAAGAGGAGAGAGAAAAUAGAGAGAAACUAAAAAAAAAAAAAAAAAGAAGGUGAAAUCACGUCAUUUCGGACUCAACCCGAGCAGAGAUUGUUCAUCUUCUUCAUCUUUUAGACUUGACAAUGUUAGUUUAUUUAUUUAUUUAUUUUAUUUUUUAAAUCUUAGUAUUUCAUUGUUUUGUACAAUGUUAAUUUAGAGAUUUGAUUUUUACAUGAAAUAUCAAUAAAUCUUGCCGUUUAUGAGUUUGUUACAAGUAUUGAGGUUAAUUUAUAGUUAAAAUGGAAUAAAAAUCGAAUUUUAUGAAUAAUUUAUGGUUGAAAUUCAUUUUUUGUGGAGGACCUUGCUGAAAAUGGCGAUUUCCAACUGCUCCGCCGAUUCGUUUCAAAAUAAAAGAUCUCGACGUCUAGGCUGAACUUGAGUGGACCCUCCAUAAUGGGCGCUGGGCCAUCUGUAACUGACGGAGUAGAGUUUUUUUAUUUAAAUUUUUUAAUUUUUAUUUUUUACUAUAAUUUCCUUUUUGUCUUUCUAUAAUUUCUUUUUUUUUUCAAUUUUAUAAAUUUUAUGUUUUUUUUUCAGUUUCUUUUUUAUUUGGACUUGAUUUUUCAUUUAUUUAUUUAUAAUUGAUUAAUUUUUCUUUCAUUUUAGAUUUUGUUCUUUUCUACAAUUCCCUUUUUUGUUUAAUUUUAUUUUUAUUCGUUAAUUCUUAAUUUUAAUUAUGUUAUUUCUUCAUAAUUUAUUUUUUUCACUUAAUUUUUUUAUAUUAAUUUUUACUUUUCUUUAAUUUCUUUUUUUUCAAUUUGGGUUUUUAAAUUAUUUUUGUUAUUUCACUUUACUAUAAGUUAAUUUUUCUAUUUCAAUUUAUUGUUUACUUUAAUUUCAUUUUCGUUUCUCUUCUUAAUGUGCGAUGAAAUGAAUUUAUUUCUUAUGUACAAUAGUAUGUAAUCUGAUUGGUUAAAUUCUAAAAUAUUAUGUUUUAUUCCAUAAUCUCUUGUAUAUAGAAUUGAGUAACAUCUUGAUAGAGGGAUAAGAGAUCAACUAGGAAAAGUUACUUCGUACUAUAACCUUUUUAUUUAUGCAACGGUUUUAAAGUGGCUCAAUGUCGCACAGUCAAAUUACAUCGAUCGUUUCUAUAUUCCUUCUAUUCAUUGAAGGAUGUGCAAUUCUGUGGCUACAUCAUCGACUCACUAUACUUUGACUAUUUAAGCCAUUUGAUGAGCUGCAUUUUUCCCAUGGGAAAUGGGAAGGUGUUAAGAUUCUCGGUCAUGAAGUUUGCUAUCAUGACGUGGUUGAAGUUUACUGGUGAAGAAGUAAAGUUAGCCCUAUUACGAUAAAUAAAAUGUUGCAUGAUUAAUAUUUUGAAGAUAAAGGGCCUGUUAAACCACAUAAUUAGAGAACGCAUUUAGGAAAUAUAACAUGUUGGACAAAUUAAAGUUGGGAUUGGUGUUUAUCCUGGAGAGUAUACUAGGCGUCAACACUGUAGGACGUCGAUCGGCCUUUUUUCAAUGGAUGUUGUUGAUGGCAUUGAUGCCUUUAACAGCUAUCCAGAGGGUUAAAGAUGUUAUAUAGAUACAUUACACAUCUUCAAGAAGGCGCAUGCAAGGACAGAGUUAGAGAAGGCCGAGCGCAAGUAUGUUGCAUAUGGCUUUCCAUUGGCUACACGGGUAAAUAAUUAAUCUAAUGAAUGUUAAAACAUUUUUUUUAAAUGCAUAUACAUAAUAAUUGUAAGUGCUAUAGAUAUAGACGUAUGAGACUAUCCCCAUCUUAGUUAGCAAGUAGGCGAUCAGAAAGAAGACAAACUGCCUUUGGAGCUUCACUACCUAGCACAUGAUAGGCCAUUGGUCAAAACUUAACAUCCAUCCUCGAGGAUCUUCGAGUGAGAACUAUACAUUGACGAUUUAUAUUUCACGUAUAUUUAUCGACUCAUCAUAUGACUAUUUCUUGAAUUGUCAAUAUGUCAACUCGAAGUCCAUACUAAGUUGCCAAUGUCGAUGGAAGAGAAGGACCAGUUAUACGUCUGUGGAUUAUCUAUUCCAACAAUUAACGAUGAUCCAUUGUCUGAGUCAUUGACUUUUUUGUGUUGCAAAAAAAUUAAUUUUUAAUCUUAUUUGUGUAGGAACACCGUCCAGUGGAUCGAUUAUCACCUCUACCAAGGAGAUCACCUUCACCGAGAAGAUCCCUAUAUCCCACAUGCAGACACUUUUCCCGUCAAUCUCUUGUAGCCAGUUAGAGAUAUUAUUACAAUUUAGGAGUGGAGUUAAGAGUACUGUAACAGGAGUUGAAAGUCAAAGUAGCAAAAUUAUGACAUCAUAUAAUAGACCUUAUAAUGAGGUUACAGCACUGCGAGACGAUUUAGCAAGCUAGUGAGGGUAUGAUGAUUGGUAUGACGGAGAGAGUAUCGGAAGGAUCGACUGUAUUGUUGAUAGAGAGAUUGGCGAUCCUCAGGACGAAAGAUAUGACAGUGCCCAUUACAGAGGAUAGUCAUGGCUAUUGGAUGGUGCAUUUGAUGCAUUUUUUGGAUCUGUAACAUUGGUGAUAGAAGAAGAUGAGGUUCGAUGAAGGAGGAGGAGGAGGUCCCAAUAACGGAAGUGGUAGUUGUCCUUGGGAUGGAGGGAGUACCCUUAAUGGUGAUAGAUCCAAUGAUCGCCUGGGUGACAAAGGAUGAAAUGGAAGGGGUGCUCGAAAAUUUGAAGGUGCCUUCGGAUGGUGGUGGCGAUAGAGGGGUGACAAGAGGACUCCCAACUUGAUGGAUAAUAUCACGAAUGAGGAUGACAUGACAAUUGUGUGGGAAUGGGCGAUAGAGCCAUAAGAGUGACGAAGGGAAAAAGCGUGUCUAUAAUGUGCCAGAGCAAGUUGUUUGCAAGAUGACAAUGUCAUAAUACAUUAUUUUUCCAUUCAUGAUCGAUGCAAAGAGGAGGACAUUCAUAAAUGGUAUGUUGUCCAACCUCUGCCGUGAUGUUAACCCGACAAAGAAAAAGGUUCAAUGGCUGGUCAGCAAGAUUGGACCCCGAUAAGUAUUUUAUAGUUUUGCUAAAGUAAACUAACUCAUCUAUGCAUUUUCUAAUUUUUAAUUUUUUUUAUUUUUUCAGAGUUACCUAAAAGAUAAGGGAUACUCUGAUAUCGAAUGCGAAAAAUGGUUCAACGAUGUAUAGAAGAGCAGAAGGUGCCUAGCCAACGACGUAAGUAACAUAUUCAUUGUUACUUAUAUUGUUCACAUAAUUGGUUAUUUUUUCAUUAAAUUUUUUUAUCUUUCUUAUUUCUUAGUUUUUUCUGUUAUAACAUAUCGACAUGGCUAUGGAACUACUAUGUGAUCGGCCUUGAAGACACCCGAAAUCAUUUGAUGUUCUUGGUCGAGUUAUCAUAAGCUGCAGGUAUUUUAUUGCCAUGCAGAUUGAGCAUUACAAGAUUUUUAGACUCGAACAGAUACAUGUUGUUUAGGUUACAUGAGGGAUUAUACGAGAGGGCUUGUGCUGAGAUGGGAAAAGUCAUGAACAAUUUGUACAUAUCUAUACAUUUAAGUGAUCACGAACUCACACUGCUUUGCAGUUGAGAUCGUUUUCACUGAGUUGAAGAUGUACGUAUACAAAUCUAAUCAUAACUGUACCACACAGGACUAGGUCGAGUAUAUACUCUAGUCUAUGGCUGCCAUCGUUCCCAUGAUGGCUAGAGUAGCGAACGUCAUGGUAUAAUAGAGUAGCCAUAGUGAGGAAGAUGAUGACUGCAAGACAAACAAAACCUUAAGUUUUUUUAUGCUAAAUUUGUUUUAGUUGUCAUUGGACUAACAUAUUAUUAUUUAUGUACAGGGGUUACUAUGAAAUUUUUGCAAUCAAGUAUCUUGGAUUUUGAGCAUCAGAAGUGGUGUAAAAUUGAUAAAACAAAUGCACAUUGACAAUAGGAGGAUGAAGCUAGCGUACAAUUUGUAUACAUAUAAUCGUAGUAAUAUAUAUAUAUAUGUAAAUACUGUUUAUUUAACUAUAAAUAUAUUUAAUUUUAACUUUCUAAUAGUUUAUGAAAAGGAAAAAAAAAAUGACGACUGAAGAUUAAAUAGAUUCAAUUGUAUGCAAUAGGAACACGAAGGAUCCACCAGGAAGAUAUUAUAUCAAAAAUGGUGAAAAUGAAAAUAUGGGGAUGUAAUUUCAACUUUAUAUAGUUGAUAUAAAAACAAACAAAAGGGUCUGGGUUAUCUCACACGCUAUCUCCACUGUAUUCCAAAAAUAAUUUACAUUAUGAUCCCCUCUAUCAAUAUCUUCGUGUUCAUUCUCGAAGACAUUCUCUUUCAUUAAAGUUACACAAAUAGGAAUCGGCUUGCAGCCUUGGUUUAGUUCAAUUAGCAAUUUCAUUUGCACUUUAGAAGGAACCUUUACUAGUGGAAUCAAAAUGGUUGAAUGCUUAUAAAAUAAAAAUCUCAAUUUUAAACCAUACUAAGAGGAAUCGACUUUGAGCACAUUUUGUAUAUCAUGGUACAUUUUUGCGUACGAUAUACUUUAUAUUAUCACAAUUCCAGUAACAUCAUCGUCUUCACUCAUUAUUUACAUUCCCAUCGACCAUUUGCAUUCCUUGAAAUUCACCGUAACAAUAACUCAAGAGACAUGUUAAUCCCAUAAGUGCGUUAUGAAUCAAAUUAUUAAAAAAAAAAAAAGAUUAACCAUAAAGAAUAAAUAAAUAGGGGUACUAAAAAUUUUUAAAAAAAUAAAAAGACCCAUUCUGGACAUUAUGGGACGACCUAGCCAUCUGGAUUCUUAAAAUACUAGAUUUGAUUAUGUAGAUGAAUUUUUUUUCUUUCAUUUUUCACUUAAAAAAUUAUAGAUCUGUUAAGUGAUAUGUAAAAAAAUUACCUACGAAUUAGCACAUAUUGAAAUAAAAUUUAACGAUUCAAAAAUAUACUAGUUUUUUUUUUCUUUUGAACAAAAUUAAAUAUACUUACCGAUUCGAAGUGUUGGAUAAGAAUGAAUUUUUUUUUGUUGAUCGUUUGAUAAAUUUAUGAGAUUUUAAGAUUGAAGUAGAAGAAAAAUGAAAGAAUCGUUAUUUGUAUUGGAAAAAAGGGAUAAAGAAAACGACUUGAUUUUUGAAAUUUUGAGGGGUAAGUGUUCGUAUUGUUUUGUAUUUAAAAGGUUCUUAUUAUCUUUUCAAUAUCACGAUAUUUUUGUAGUUUAUAACCUUAUUGAGGGAAUUUUAAUAUUUUUGCAUUUGAAAAGGCCGUUGUAGAGAAUAAAGAGUAAGUUUGGCUCCUGUGAUGAAUGGAUCAUUUGACGUGGCCAUUGUGAAAACUCUCCCAAUUUGAACAUUUCUCAAUUUCAAUUAUAAUUUUAAAUAAAUUCUGAAAUGCUUAAGAAUAUAUAAAUUUAUCUAAUUAAUGUAAAUGAAAGUUUGGACUUCCAAUUAAGUCCAUGAUUGAUGACCAUUACAAAGAAAAUUGCAAAAAAAAUGAUAUUUUUGGCGAAUGUGUGACUAAAAUGUAACGAAAAACUUUGAAUUAACGUAUACAAAAAUUUAUUGUAUGAAUAUAUGGUUAAAAAUGAGUAUGAUAAAUAAAGAGUUUUAAAAUAAAAGAAGAGUCAAAAAGUGACCAAGUCUUGUGUGUUACAUUUCUUAAAACUCAUUUUUUAAAAUUUAUUUUCAACACAUUUUAUGGGAUUCAUAAUUUUCAUUAACAUCAUAUUUCACCAUUUUAUAUUAAAAUCUACUACAAAUUUAAUUUAUAUCCAAACAAGACAGGGGCUAAAUGUUACUUCAUCAAGGGCCUUGUAUAAAUCUUCAAUAACGAUUAAGCAAGCUUGUUAAAAUAAGAUGCAUAUCGUAUAAGACACUCGAGUUGAAUAAGUAGGAAGUACUGAAUUACUUAUUCCGUGUUCAUGAUGUGUCAAAAUAUGAAAAUUCGAAGAAUCCAAUUAUAUGGUUCAAUACAUUAUUUGGGACAAGCACCCGAUGAAACUAAUUGAAUCUCGUAUCUCAACCAACCAUUUGGGACUGCUUUCCGAUUUUGCGUUAUGCCUCUACUAGUAUGGGGGCUUUAGCCUUACAACAAGCUCUACUUAAAUUGACUGAACUUACAAUUUCGAAGUGAGGUCGUAUCAUAUAAUUUUUUUAUUAUUAUUUUGGACUGUAUUAAAUUAUAUUUUCAUAUGUAUAUGAUUUUUGCGAUUUAGUGUAUUUAUAUAUUGAUCAAAAAUAUUAUAGUAUUAUGUAAUUAAACAUUAAUAAACGAUCUUGUUAUUGCGACCGUUCAUGAUCGACAGUCAACGUUCGAUAGUUGCCCUAGCUCAACAACAUUCUAAAAUUUUACAAGACAACAUCAAAAGGAUAUAUUGAAAUGGAUAUCUCAACGAACACGACAAUAUUGAACAAAUUUUAGAUUAAUCACUAUUCUUUCACUACACAACAAAAUGGGAACGAAAGAAGAACACAAACAAUAAACUGUCAUUGUUAUAUAUAAAUAUACCCUAACACAAAAUCGCAAUUUGAAUAUUCCAAGGAAACUUAGGAGACAAUACUUGCUAAACUGAAUCUAAACAUGUAGGGAUAAUUGUGAUGGAAAAGAGAGUUGAGGAAAGUGAAAUAUUUCCAAUUCCUUUCAAUCCAAUUGAUGAAGUCAAACCACCGUUUCAAAAUUUUAUAUCACAUCAUUAUUUUUUGAAAAGAAUCAAAUUAAGGAAGUAUUGAAAAGAAAAUAUGUUUUGAAGGAAACCCACAUCAAAAAUCACACACAAGGAGUUACUGCAAAGGUAAAGCAAAAACGACAUGAUAAAUCCACUUGAUCGGAAAACAAAAAAUAAAAAAUAAAAAUAAUACCAAUGCACUUAGAAAUUAAAUUUACACACAAAAAUAACAUAUUGAACCAUUAGAAAAAUCAUCUAAAUUGAAUAAUGAUAGUUUUUCAAAAAAAUUGGUUAAAAAAAAAAGAAAAAAAAAAAGAAAAACAUGGCUCUAACCUGAGUAAUUCUUUAUAGAACCUCCAAAAAAAAUAAAGGAGAAGAAGGAUCGGAUAAACAAAAUUUUCCCCCAGAAAAUCGAAAAUUCUAGCAAAAUUAAUACUAAUGGAUACAAAUAAGUAUAUUUACCUAAUUUGCAAUAAUUUGUUGAGGUUCUUCUAUCUUCAAGAAUUUGCAAUUGAAGUUUCCAUAUUUAUAAGGUUGGUGUUUCCUCGGAUAGAAAUUAAAUUCACACACAAAAAUAACAAAUCGAACCAUUAGAAAAAUCAUAUAAAUUGAAUAAUGAUAGUUUUAAAAAAAAUGGAUAAAAGCAAAAAAGCAUGGUUCUAACCCGUGAUAUAUAUAUAUAUAUAUAAUAAUAAUAAUAAUAAUAAUAAUAAGAAGAAGAAGAAGAAGAAGACUCUUUGCAUUAUGAGUAUCAGAUAAACAUAAUUUUCUCCUAGAAAAUCGAAAAUUUAGGCAAAAUUAAUAAUAAUGGAUACAGAUAAGUAUAUGUACCUAAUUUGCAAUAAUUCGUUGAGAUUCUUCUCCUAGGGUCCGUUUAAUUGUAAAGAUGAAAUUCGGAUGGAAAGAAAACGAAUUCCAGGGAAUUGAAUUGCCUAAAAGUUGUUUUACCGAAAAUCGUCAAUUAAUAAUAUUUGAUUGGUAUAAUUUUUAACUUGAAAAAUGUUGAAAUAAAAGUGUUUUUUUUUGUGUUCGUUUGGUUUCGUUUUUCAUGAAAAUUGUCAAUUUAAAGGAUAUCCACUUCUACAAUUGUUCCUAGAAUUUGUUUCCAUUGUUUAAAAUAAACAAACAAAUAAAUAAAUUCAAAAAUCAUCUAUAUUUUGAUCUUAAUUUGACUUUGUUUUACAUGAAAAUUAUUAAUUUAAGGGAUAUCUUCUUUUAUAAUUAUUCCUAGAAUUUGUUUCCAUUGCAAAAAUAAUAAUAAUAAUAAUAAUAAUAAUAAUAAAUAAUAAUAAUAAUAAUAAUAAUAAUAAUAAUAAUAAUAAUAAAAUUGAAAAAAAAAAAAAAAAAAAAAAAGAAGUUGAAUGGAAAAUCAAUCAAUUUCCACCGACCCAGGAGAAAGUGAAUUCCUCAAAACCAAGAAAAAGCUGGUCAUGUGAGGGCUAAACUAGAAAAUCAAUUACUUGAAAAUUUUGGCAAAUCAAACACUCAAAAACAUGGAACAAUAAAGCUACUUGUACAAAGUUGAAUUACAAAAGUUGAGUUUCAAAGUGUGUUGACAAAAUUCAAACUAUUGAUUUCAAAUAAUUUAAAAAUCUUUUUUUGAAAUGAUUGGUGUAAAUAUGAUUUUGUUAUUCAACUUUGUCAAUUCCCUUUGUAAGUGUAGCAUAACUCUGGAGACUAAGAUUUCUGCAGUCCUCGAGAAUUUGCAAUUGAUGUUUCCAUAUAAGGUACAAGUUUCACAAGAUAUUUAGGGAUUUGAAUUUUAGUUUGGUAUGUUUCUCUUGAAGAAGUUUAACCGUAUAAUGCAUAAAAAUAUAUAGACAGACGGAAAAUUGAAACUUAAGUUCCCAUAAAUUAAUAAAUAUUGUUGAGGAAUAACACUUCAGAGCAUUGGAAAAAACAAAUAACAAAGAUAAAAAUAACAGUUGAAAUCACGCAAGAUAAUAUUUCAUUCUAAAUUAUUACUUGCUCCUAUAAUUCCAAUCGUUAAUUUGCAUAAGCAAUUGUAAUGUUCAUAUAUAUAUAUAUGUGUGUGUGUGUAUGUGUGUGUGCGUGUAUCGAUUUGCUCCAACCAUGAUGUCUAUUCAACGUCUAAGAGCUGCUAUUUUCUUGAGUUCCUAUAAGGGCUCUAUCCUCUGGUAAAUUCAUAGGUCCCUAGCAAUUGCCUCUUCCAUGUGUUUCUGUAAUGACAAAAAAAUUGUAGUAUAAAAAUACGAAUGAAAACUAAAAGUUGAAACCUCAAUUCAUCCAUCCACUAUCAAAUACAUGGUCGAAAUGGUACCUGCAACAUAUCUUCAAAUGUUUUUUCUAAUUCUUUUAUUUCGCUUUCCGUGGUUUCCAGUUCGGCAAUUACCUCUUCCUCUUCAGCGUUCAACUCUUCUUGUUCGGCUUUUAUCUCUCGCAUCUCGGCAAGUAUCACAUCAGUCUUGUCAUUUAGCUCAUCCAGGUAGGCAUUUAGCUUUAGAAAUUUCUGCAUUAGAUAUAAUGAAUCCCAUAUGAGGUUCUCUUUAAUUUUCAGAAUACAAUCCAUUUCACCCCCACCAAAUUAUCACUCUUUCCCACAAUGCUCCCUCUGAUUUAUCAACUGUACAAAUAGUGCCCUUUCAGAUAUUAAAUUGACCAACGGAAGGACAUCAAAAACAGAGAAAAGAGAGUAAACUGAUUAAUUGUGUCAAAAUUAAACUUACAAGCAUAGUCUGCAAAUUUUGGAGAUAGGCGUGUGCGCGCUUCGUACAACCCUUGUGCCUUACAAGAAGCCCAAAUUUUCUUCUUAAAUGUCUGGCAUAGUAAACUUAUAUCAGAAUAAAAUAGGCUAAAAGGAAGCAUCGGUAAAAGGAAGAGAAAAAUAACUCACUUUGGUGUGCACUUCUUCUGAGUUCUUCUAAGGAUAGUUUUCCUUGUAAACGACAUCUUUAUAAUCUGUAGGAAGGUUUAACUUACAAAUCAAACAUUAAGAAAAGAUCUUUUGAAUAAAACCCACUUCAGAAAUCGUUUCAAGGAGUUAAUGCAAAAGGUCAAAGAAAAACGACUAGAGAAAUUUGAUUAUAUAGAAAAUUAAAGUUCACAUACACAAUAACAUGUAGAACAUAAGAAAAAUUAUAUCUUUCCUUUCCUUUUACUCUAAGCUACGAACCAUCUAAAUUACAUAAUGAUUGUUCCAAAAAAGCAACAAAAAAAAAAAAAAAAAAAAAAAAAAAAAAAAAAAGGUCAAAAGUGAAGAAGUUCGGUUCAAGCAUGAAAGGGUAAAUUCUUCAUAGAACCUCCAUUUAAUAAAAAAAAAAAAAAAUCGAGAAGGAGAAGAAAACUCUUUGCAUUAUAAAGUUCUGAUAAACAUAAUUUUCCCCCAAAAAAAAAAAAUAUUCGAGCAAAAAUAAUACUAAUGGACAAAAGUAAGUAUAUUUGCCCAAUUUACAAUAAUUCAUUGAGGUUCUUUUUUUAGUGUUCAAGAUUCCUAUUGUUGAGCUUUUUUCCUUAGAGAUUGAGAUUUUUGCCAUCUUUAUAGGCCAGUCAAAUUUAUUAUUAUUCGAGAAUUUGCAGUUGGAUCCAUAGAAGUUUUCCAAAAAGGAAGAAGUUUCCUCAGCAAUUUAGAGUUCUCAGUUUUAAUUGGCAAAUGAGCAGGAACAGGGCUACUUUGAGAUCAUUGGGCAUAUGACAAAGUAGCAACAGGAAGAGGAAGGAAGCUAACAGAACAAGGAUAUUCAGCUGAUGAAGAAAAGCCCGUAGAGACCACUGCUGCAUGCAAAAUUAUUGUUUAAUUUUUAUCUACAAGGAAGAACAUUCUUCUUGAAGAGGUUUAUAUCAUAAUUUUGUGUCACAUCAGAAUUUAUAACAUUGUUAAGAACAAUUAGACUGUGUGAGGUCUGACUGAUACCUGAGAAAGGGAAAAUUAAGUGACGACAAAGAGAGAAAAUUCAAUUUCCACAUAAUCUAUGGAGAGUACAGUGUUACAAUUAUAAUGGAAUAUAAACACAUUCUCUCAAAAACUCACCCGAUUUUCCCCUAUUAAUAUGGAACAUGAACAUGAUCAUUAUGAUCGACUGUACAAAAUUAAAGAAGAUAAGUUUGUUUCGUUGUACUAAUUUAGAAUAGAAAUUUCAGUCUUCGAAACUGAUUUAUAACCAAUUAGCAUCCACCAAUAUCAAACAGCUUUAGUACAAUUUAACAUGUCCAAAAUAUAUAUUUCUUCUUGAUUCCGGCAAGAGUAAUGUUAACUUCUGUUUCGUACUUCCAUUUUCUUCAAGGUUCACACAAACUAUCACAAUUAAAAAAGACGGAUACGAAGUCUAUUCAUGGAAGGGGUUAAAGAAUUGAAAGAAUGAGAGAUAGCAACAAGGAAAAGAGAGCAAAAAAAAUAACUACUACUUCAUUCACUCAAACCUUAUUCCAACACUCCAGUUGUUCCCUAUGGUUUAUCAGAUUCGGAGGCUUGGCAUUAUAUACUAUAACUGAUGGCAGCACAUAAUUACCAAAGGAAGUUCCCAAUCUGUCAUAGUUGUUUUUUUACUCAUUAAGCCUUAGUACAUCUUACAUCUGGAAUGCUGUGACUACCCGUAUUCGGUGAUCUCAAAAUCUCUUCAAGAACUUUUCAUAGCAAUUGAUACGUCUCCUGGAGGGGAACGCGAAAGCUUAAUUGUUACAAUAAAAUGGAACUAAAGUUAAAAAUCCUAAUCAGUUAGGUACACUUAAUUCACUGAUUUACUCUUAAGUGGGCUUCAGAUUUCUAAGUUCUCUCAGCUACAGCAAGCUUGUCCCGCAGUUGCUGAAUCUGAAAAAAUGAAAACCAGCCCUUAAAUAACCCCUUUCAAUUUCAGGAUUCUCUGUAUGUCAAACACACCUGCACCUCUCAAUUUCAGGAUUCUCUGCAUGUCAAACACACCCGCACCUCUCAAUUUUAGGAUUCUCGAAAGGGGACUCAAAUCAGUAAAUUCCCACCAACCACAACAGUAACUAUUAACCGAGAAAAAAAAUUAAGAAAAAAGAAAAAGAAAAAGAAACCAUAUCUAAUGUGUUGAAUCGCUCAAGUCUCAAAUCAGUGAAUUCCCACCUUCACAUGUCUCCGCUUCUCAAAAAAAUUGGAAUAUACUAAUUGAAAUAAUGAGGUACCAGUCAAAAGAACAACCAAUUAUUAAACAAUGAGGAACGUUAGCAUUGAUUGAAGAAGUAUAAUAUGUACUCAAUCUAACCAAGAAGUGUAAACAUGAACAAAUCAAACAAGUUGGUUUGAUUGUUAAACAAACCUUAAUCGAUACUAUCAAAAUCUCGUUGCCGACCUUUUGAAGUGAAUAAUCUGGAGGUGGAUAUGGAAGCAGUGAUUCGUUGGGUGUUUGGUUUCUUGUUCCUGGUUCCGUUGUGUGAGUUAACGAGAGAUGGUAAUGAUUUUAUAUAUGGGUAGAGAUGAGAGAGAGAACGUAGUGAGCAAAUAGAAGAGCUGAUAAAUUAGAAUUUUGGAAAGUUUGAAUUACCCAUCAAAUAAAAUUUAACUUCUCCUGAAAUAUUGUUACAUGAAAAAUAUUUUUUAUAAUAAAAAAGCAGUCUAAUAUCUCAAAACAGAAACUUGGAUAAAAAUAAAUUUUCUAUAAAAAAAUAUUGUCAAUGAAAAGCAUACUCAAAGAAAAUUCAAGUUUCAAAAACGUGAAAACGUAGACAAGCGGAUUUGCAACUAGAGUCCCUAUAAGAUAGCACUUGGGAUCCCAUAUAUUCACUAAAAUAUCAAUCAAGUCCCCAAUAAAUUUAUUUUCAUUUUAAAUUCUUCAAACCUUCAAUCUAGGUGCAUAUUGGUCCUUCUCAAAUCUCAAUAUAAAAAAAAAAUAAAAAAAAAUCCACAUUUCGUUCACUAAAUCAUGUAUUUAAAAUUUUGUUCAUGUAAGUGGCAGAAUUCUCAAUAAUCUUUAUAUUCUCUAAAUUUCCACAAAAACUAGAGAGAACCCAUUCCUUAAUCUCAUUUUAGCGAGAGCCAGUUCCUUGUUUCUCGUGAAACAAGGGGAAUAAAUGGGGUGGGGAGAAGGCGACAACAGUGGCUUAUGAAGUAGAAGAUUAUUCAUUUUUUUGACCUUUUUUUAUUUAUUAAUUUUAAUAUUUUUAUAGAAAUAUAAGGAUUGACUAGAAUUUUCCCAUUUAUGUAUAGUCGUUAAAUUAGUAUGAUUUGUAAGCAAUUAAUCAUAAUACCAAAAUUUUAAAAUUCUAUGAUUUUCACAUAUGAAUCAUUGAUCAAUAAACAUAUUGUUGACCUCCAAAAAUAGUUCCAAUAGGUUCCCUAAUCUCGUCCCCUCGAAACCUGAGUAAGUAACACCCUGUCAAGAGGCAAAAGCCCCCAAACGAGAAAAAGAUUCAACGAUCAUUUGCACUCCGAUGGUCAAGUUAAUGGCCGGACGGAAAUAGAUAUAUAGAGUGCAAUAGUAUGGAGAUGAGAAUUUGGCUAGAGAGUGUAGAACAUACCUUAGUUGUGUGAGUGAAUCCAUAUAUAUAGAGAAAUGGAAGUGAAAUUGGUCAAACGAGUUGGUGGGCCGAAGUCCAAGCCCAAUAAGGAGGUGAUCAUAUGAACUUAAUAAUAGGCACUUCGGCUAGCGCUUUGGCUGAACUCCUUAGGGCCUUGGUGGCGCCUCGACUGGCCUCGUCAGAGCCUCGGCUUUGGGGCCCAAUUUUGAUGGGCCUCAUCCGAGUCCAAUAAGAUGACCCAAUAUGAAGUGGUAAUUUAUAGGUGUAAUAGUAGUCCCCCAAGUUCGCGUCGUAUUAUUUAUAUGUGGGUCGGACUUGAAAUAUAAACUAUUAAGUAUGCGAAGUCUUACAAAUUGCCUCAGAAAGAUGGGUGGCUCCAAUAAGCGGGACUUACGAACUGCCUCGAAAAUAUGCAUCGAUCUUAAAUAGGCGUGGACUUACGAAUUGCCUUGAGAAAUAUGAGUCGCUCCAAUAAGUGAGGACUUACGAACUACCUCAGAAAAUGUGUGUGAGUCAGAAUAAGUGAGGACUCACGAAUUGCCUCGAAAGAUAUACUGCAUAUAUUUUUUUAAAAUUUCGAUAACAUCUCUUCUGUAAUAUGGACUAAACCAAUCCUGUAAUACAAUAAAAUAUAUCCAUGGCACAUAUACCAAAUAAAUUUGGGGUCCAUUUGCCCCUUCAAAUGCUCAUAACUAUAGGGUGUGACAUAUCAUAUUUCUCCAAGAUAUGUGCAGAGGGUCUGUCAUGCAUUAUAGUAAAUCAUGUGCUCGCACAGCUCAGUGUAUCAGUAAUGUUAUAGUGAAGCAAGUAACAUGAUGUUGACAAUAAAAUGAAAAUGAUGAUAACACGACAUAUGUACUGGCUAUGAUGAAAAUAAUAUAUGACAUGCUAGCAGUGAUAUGACAUUCAUGCUUGGAAGCAAUAAUGUGAUGCGUAUGUUAGUAGUGAUAUGGCAUUCAUGCUUGGAAGCAAUAAUGUGAUGCGUAUGCUAGCAGUAAUAUGUAGUCCCCCAAGUCUGAGUCAUAUUAUUUAUAUGCUGGUCGGACUUGAAAUGUAAGCUACUGUGAUAAAGUUGAUGUAUAGACGAUGCUCUGAAUGUAAGUAGCAUAGGUGACAGGGGCGAUGCGUUGGAUGCAGAGGCAAUGCUAUGAUUGUAGUAGCAGAGGCGAUGCUCUGGAUGGAGUAGCAGAGGCGAUGCUCUGAACUGAAUAUAAGUAGUUAUACUAAUACUGAAGCAUACUGAUAUAUAUCAGCCGUUGACUUUUUAAGAUUAGUUAAGUGUAUGGUUGUUGCUGCAGUUGUAGGUUCAACUGUCUCUACCGAAGUGCUGACUCAUAAGACGACGAGUGGGAGAUGCUGAAACUUGUGAAGCUGAAGAUCGGGACACAUCUUCGACUGAGGCACUGAAGCUUCGAUGCUAUUUGAGGAAAGAGCUCAUCUGCCACCGGUGCGCUAACCCACAGGGGACGACACGUUGGGAGAUGGCUAAAACUUUGUAAUGUUUAGGAGGGAACGCAGCCAUCGAGGCGAUGACCCACAGGGGACUCUGCGUCAGGUGCGUCUAAGUUUUCUAAAGCCGAGUGAGGAGCUCAUCUGUCAUCGGUACACUGACCCACAGGGGACGACGCGUUGGGAGAUUGCUAAAACUUUGUAAAGCUUAGAAGAGAACACAAUGACUGAGGCAAUGACAUACAGGGGACUCCGUGUCAGGUGCAUCUAAACUUUGUAAAGUUGAGUGAGGAGCUCAUCUGCUACCAUUGCGCUGACCCACAGGGGACGACGAGCUGGGAGAUGGUUAAAACAUUGUAAAGUUUAGGAGGGAGCACAGCGGUUGAGGUGAUGACCCACAAUACUCGGCAUAGGCUAAUAGAGAUGAUAGUCAAAAAAUGCCUUUGAAUGAGAGAGAUCAAGCUAACAAAUUUUUGCCAAAUACAUGGUGUGUGCAAAUGGCCAUUUCUAAGAUAUGUAGGGGUAAAGAUAACUCAUUUCCAGCCAUUAAAAUAAGCUCCAUCAUCAUCCCCUUGAAAUUAUUUGAAGAAGAAUUAUUUGACAACAUUGAGAAUUGCUUGAACAUCCAAAGAAACCAAUUGGCAAAGUUGCUAAUUGGACCCUUAGCUAGAUGCAUUGACAACUUGCAAAGGGAAUGAGAGUUGAUGCUCUAAUAAUUACAAUAGCGAGCCAACGGCUUUCAUCAAGAUCAAACAGAAAAGUGUAGAAAUUCCCUGAAAAGCAAGGUCUGUCCAUGGUGCUUUUCGAGUUGAUAAUAUGCCCCAAAGCAAGAAAUGAGGCUCUUCCAAUUCCAGCCCCAAAGCAAGAAAUGAGGCUCUUCCAAUUCCAGCCAUAUAUUGGCGAAAAUGGUUGAUGUUGUUGAUAAAAUAUUGUACUUAAAGUAAAUUUUGAAUUAGAAGAGCACAUGAACUGUAAAUAGGCCUAGUAGAAUCAUAGUACCAAAUGUUGGAGCAUUUUAGACAUGUCCAUUCAAUAUGAUAAACUGUUGGAGCAUUUUAGACCCAUUCAAUAUGAUAAACUGCAACCUCACAUGAACUAUAAAUAGGCCCAUUCAAUAUGAUAAACUGUUGGAGCAUUUUAGACCAAAGGAAUCAAAUUGGCCCAAUAUAAUAAACUCCCGGCCCAAGAGAAGUCCAAAUUAGUCAUCCAAAUUUUUUGUUGACAAGUAGCUUCUACUGGCACACAAAGCAGGCGAAAGUACACGCUUAUUUUUGAAUUAAUGUAUUUGUACCAAAUGUCUUACCUAAUUUUUUAUCGAAUUGACAAGUGGCGGGUCAUCCAUUUGGUAAAUAAUUUGGCACAUACAACAUUUCCUUUUGAUGUGUAUGAAAAUUAUAGCCCGACCCCGAACUUUCAAGCAUGGCCCGAGGUAAAUACCUCGACCACUCUCAUCUCCAAAUAUCGUUUAAAAUGUGGUCGGGUCUCUCAUAAGUCGGACCUAAUAAUCGGGUCCUACUAAGGUCGGGUCCACAUGCCAAAAUAUUGUCCUCUUCUCGAGUCUCUUGCGAGUUUUAGUGCUCCUAUGACUCAACUGUUUAUCAUUAUCUAAAUACUAAACGUGUUACAAUUCAUGCCAAACCUAAAGUGGUAAUUGUGAUAUAACUCAAUCACUGUACAAGAUAAAGAUUACAGGUGGUUGAAUCCUGAUACAACUCAACCACUGACAUCUAUAAAUACAGGACUCAGCUCCAUUAUUCGGGUAUGUCUUUACAAUACAAUUACAGCACAUACUUUUACACAAUUUCCCUCUCUGACUUAAGCAUCGGAAGGGCGACGAGCACACACCUCGUUGCCUUUGUUUCAGGUACUGGAAGGCUCCGUUUGUGCUCGAUCCCAGUCCUCAAUCUCGAGAAAUCAACAGGUACAAUUUUUGACAUCAUCAUUGGCGCCGUCUGUGGGAACCAGAUUACGGUUAACCAUGACGGAAACACAUGGAAAAAGUCUAUCUAAGAUUCUGAGAAAGUUGGAGACGGGCUUUGGAAAAUAUGGAUGGGGAUGGAUUACUUUUGACUCCACGAUGUAGAUCCACAUAAAGAACAGGGGGAAAAAGGUGGAUCUGGGAAAGAGAGUUGAUAAGGUCAAGAAGGUUCAUUAUUCAGCUUGGGUUUCAGAUCGGAGGUGAAAUAAGGAAAUAGCCCCAAAUCAAAUAGAGAAAUAUGACUUCCUAUCACUCGGAUUAACCUGGUAGCAGUUAAACUCUACCUCUAGCCACAAUAUUUUUUAAAAAACCCCGCCAUUCUUCUACCUCCAGUUACGAUCGGAAGCUCUAGGUCCACCGCAAAUCAUGUAUAUAAAAUAACCUCUGAGGCAGAAACAGGAGAAAAAAGGGAAAGCCGUGUUCGGUCACCGCCGCCAAAGCUACUAUCAAAGAGAAAAUUAAGGAUGUGAAGACACCACUGGAUCAGGCCACGCAGAAGCACCACUCGUUCAGGUUCGCCACUUUCCUAGAGAGAGAGAGGACGCGGCCGCCGCCAUGGACAAUAUGGAUGGGGAGGAGCUUUACGACCGUGUACUCACUGUUAACUAUGCUCUACCAGAGAAAAUCAAGGGUGGUGAACAAGGAUGGGCCGCCCAGCCUAUUUGGGCGGAUGAUGAUACAUAUAAACUUGACGCUAAACAUUAAUUUGAUGGAGAUAAAUUAAUUUGAUCACAAUCAAUCUACACAAUCACCGUUAACGAAGGUAACCAUCGGUCCGUGGUCCAGGUUCUGCCUUCUGCCCAUUGUAUCUACAUUAAUUUGAUGGAGACAAACAAGUAAUGUGAUUUCCAAGCCAGAAUAUUGGUAGCAUUUGUCGUGGUCUUUCUGCAAUCAAUUUAUCCUCUCUCUACAGCUGGAUUUUUUCUUCAAAUUGACUAGUUCACGUGCUCUUCCUUGGUGCCUUUGGGCUGAGACAGGUUAGUUCACUCCAUAAGCAACUUGGGCAUCUAAUGAGAUUUAAAAAGUUUGGCCUAUGAAUUUAUUUUCCUUGGAUCCUUUUUGUACUUGCAUUUGGGUCAUUACAAUUUAUUCCCACUUCUACAUCUAAAAUAUAAUUGGGCUGCUCCGAUUUGAAUCCAUUAUCCACUUGGGCCUCAAAUUGGAUUUAAAAGUUGAAAUUGUUCAAAUAGAAUUGGGCCUAUGAGUUUAUUUUCCUUGGACCUUCUUUGUACUUUGCAUAGAUAAUUAUUGGGCUGCCACAAUUACUCCCAUUUGGAGAUUUAUAAACUUUGAUUGGGCCUCUUGCUAUUUCACCCGAUAGGAAUUUAACUGGGCAAAUAUUAUUAUUUACCCUCUUUCUCAUUUUAAUCCCAAACUUAAAUAGUGGGCUGCUUAAUAAAUUGGUAGAAAUAAAUUCCUCAACUUUGAAAAUCAAUUGGAAUUCUCAUGUCCUCUUCAUAUGACAAUAUGAAGGCAAUAAAGAGCAUAGCAGAAUGGGUACUUGCAAAUAUAUUAGUUUGAAGACACCAAUCACACAACAUACAUUAUCUGUGUUUUAAUUCUUGAAAAGCAUAUAUUUUGGUGUUAUCAAUGCUCAUGCUUAUGGUAUGAUUAUUUGGUUAUGAAUUACAAUAACAAUUGGUUCACUCACACUAAGUGCUCAUCAAAGCCCUGCUCCGCGUAGGCACCUAAAGCCCUGCUUCGCGUAGGCACCUAAAGCCCUAUCACGAGUAGGCACAUCAAAGCCCUACCACAAGUAGGCACAUCAAAGCCUUGCCCCGUGCAGACACCAAAGCCCUGUCACGAGCAGGCACCUCAAAGCCAUGCCCCGCGCAGGCACAUCAAAGCCCUACCACGAGUAGGCAUAUCAAAGCCUUGCCCCGCGCAAGCACCAAAGCCCUAUCACGAGUAUGCACAUCAAAGCCCUACCACAAGUAGGCACAUCAAAGCCUUGCCCCGUGCAGGCACCAAAGCCCUGUCACGAGCAGGCACCUCAAAGCCAUGCCCCACGCAGGCACAUCAAAGCCCUACCACGAGUAGGCACAUCAAAGCCUUGCCCCGCGCAAGCACCAAAGCCCUAUCACGAGUAGGCACAUCAAAGCCCUACCACAAGUAGGCACAUCAAAGCCUUGCCCCGUGCAAGCACCAAAGCCCUGUCACGAGCAGGCACCUCAAAGCCAUGCCCCGCGCAGGCACAUCAAAGCCUUGCUCCGCGCAAGCACCAAAGCCCUGUGACAAGCAGGCACAUCAAAGUCCUACCACGAGUAGGCACAUCAAAGCCUUGCCCCGCGCAAGCACCAAAGCCCUAUCACGAGUAGGCACACCAAAGCCCUGUGACAAGCAGGCACAUCAAAGCCCUACCACGAGUAGGCACAUCAAAGCCUUGCCCCCGCGCAAGCACCAAAGCCCUAUCACGAGUAGGCACAUCAAAGCCCUGUCACGAGUAGGCACAUUAAAGCCUUGCCCCGCGCAAACACCAAGCCCUGUCACGAGCAGGCAUAUCAAAACCCUGUCCCGAGCAGGCACCAUCAAAGCCUUGCUCCGCGCAAGCACUAAAGCCCUGUCACAAGCAGGCACAUUAGAGUCUUGUCCUGCACAAGCACCUCUAAGCUUUGCCCCGUGUAAGCACCCCUAAGUCUCGUAAUGAAUCAAAGUAAUAAACCCGACCACGAGUCUGUCCCGAGCUUGUCAGGCUCAACCUAUUAUUAAAUUCAUUGGAGCACAGCUCGAGAUAUUAUUUCACAUUGGGCUCGGGGGCCUGUCCUCGAGCUCAACACAUUGUCUACUCCCAGUCAGAAGGGCUUGGGAUAAUUGCUUCACAUUGGGCUCAUGCCUAUCUUCGAGCUCAAUUCUUUUUUUCAAAUCCCAGCCACAAGAGCUCGGGAUGGUUGUAUCACGUUGAGCUCGGGGGCCUAUCCUCGAGUUCAAUCCAUUGUCAAAUCCUAAACACAAGAGCUCGGGAUAAGUCUCUCACAUUAGCUUGAGAUUAUCCUCGAGCUCAAUACAAUCUAAUCCUAGAUGCAAGGGCUCGAUAUAAUUAUUGCACAUUGAGUUCGGGCUAUAUCUCCUAAAUGAAUCUUUGUCCAUUCGUCAAACCCAUUACUUCCAAAACUUUUAACAAAGCUCGAGGUUGAGCUCGUUCUUUUCAACUUCUAAACAAGGUAGAGUCAAGCUCUUUCACAUCAAGUACUGAUAAAGCUUGAGCUCGGUCAUGCCAAAUUCUUUUACAAGGUCGAAGUCGAGCUCAGUUCUCUCAAAAAUUUCAACAAGAUCCGUGUGCUCGGGGGCCUAUCGACUUGACAUGAGCAUGCCUAUUCUUGAACUUAAUAUACUUAUGCAUCUCAUGCCAGAAACUCCCACAUUGCACACGAGCUCCUGACAUGGAUGCACGGGGGCCUAUGAUGUGUAUGAAAAUUAUAGCCCGACCCCGAACUUUCAAGCAUGGCCCGAGGUAAAUACCUCGACCACUCUCAUCUCCAAAUAUCCUUUAAAAUGUGGUCGGGCCUCUCAUAGGUCGGACCUAAUAAUCGGGUCCUACUAAGGUCGGGUCCACAUGCCAAAAUAUUGUCCUCUUCUCGAGUCUCUUGCGAGUUUUAGUGCUCCUAUGACUCAACUGUUUAUCAUUAUCUAAAUACUAAACGUGUUACAAUUCAUGCCAAACCUAAAGUGGUAAUUGUGAUAUAACUCAAUCACUGUACAAGAUAAAGAUUACAGGUGGUUGAAUCCUGAUACAACUCAACCACUGACAUCUAUAAAUACAGGACUCAGCUCCAUUAUUCGGGUAUGUCUUUACAAUACAAUUACAGCACAUACUUUUACACAAUUUCCCUCUCUGACUUAAGCAUCGGAGGGGCGACUAGCACACACGUCGUUGCCUUUGUUUCAGGUACUGGAAGGCUCCGUUUGUGCUCAAUCCCAGUCCUCAAUCUCGAGAAAUCAACAGGUACAAUUUUUGACAUCAUCACCUUUUAUUUUUACGACCGCGCUAUGGUGACCGAAACGGUUAACAGAAACUUUGACCUCCUAACAUGGAAAUACAACCAUUAAAUCCAAUAGGGGCGCGCCACUUGUCAAUUCGAUCAUCCAUUUGGUAAAUAAUUUGGCACAUAUAACAUCUCCCUUUAUUUUUACGACUACGCUAUGGUGACCGAAACGGUUAACAGAAACUCUGACCUCCUGACAUGGAAAUACAACCGUUAAAUUAAAAAGGAAGACAAAAAAUUAAUAAACCAAACAAGGACCCGGUCUAAUGUGUCAAACCCCAUAACUCACUACCCUCGUUAUCCCAUUUUUCCCAGACGAUUCUACCAGAUUUAAACCCUAAACUGCCGACACGGAUUAUCUCACACCCUCCGAGGUCAGCACGAAAAGAAGGCAUAUAUACCCUUCAUCGCUUGCUACCCCAGAAGGACCCAUUCUUGUCUUCGUUUGUUGAGUGUAUCCAGCUUCACCAGUGUUGAUUUGGUUUAUAGCAAGUGAAAGAAAGUUCGAAUAUGUAGGGUUUUCGAUGGAUUGACUAUACUGUUAAUUUUUGGGGGGUUAAUUUUUUUUCUCAUUCUGUAGUCAGUAGCAGUCGUUGGGUCGAAGGAAGGUUUUUUUUUCUUUUUAUUCUCCUAAAUCGUGUGCAUUGUAAACUAGCUAAAGUAUUGGCUUGGAUAUUAUGUAUGUUGUUUCCAAUUGCAUUAUACCAGAUCCAACACAAUGUUUUAGAUGAUUUCGUUGUUGCUUAUGAGUCGGUUUUCAUUUUGCACUAUCCGGUUGUCACUAAUAUUAAAUCACUCGAGUCUUAUAGUUGGAAGAUUACGGGGUUGGUAUGUGGGUAGAUAAAAAAACUAUGAUCGAACACUUGAAAUUUGUUCUGCAAAAUUUCCAUUGAUUCUUUGGAUAGUUUUUUGUAUUCUGUAAUCUCAAAAGAACAUGAAGUUAGCUUCUUCUUCUUCUUCUUAUUUUUUAUUUAUUUAUUAUUAUUAUUAUUAUUUUUUAUGUCACUUCUGAAUGAGGGCUUUCAUUCAGGAAUGCCCCUAAGUUUUUAUUUAUAAUUUAAAGAACUUUUCUUUCAAUUUCUAUUUCUAAACUCUCAGAUGUUGAAAUUUUGAUUUUUCUCAUUAUAAUGUGUAAUAUUUUUAGAUGUCUGGAAUAUGUACAGAUAACAAUAAGAUUGCUUUAAUGGAUGCAAGCUCUUAGUAGUUUGGAAUAUGUACCGAAAGCAAUUUAAUGACCUUAUUCACUUAUGCAUUUCCGGCAGUAGUUUCAUCGCUACGUGGUAGUUAAGUAAUGUCGUUUUCUAAUUGCGUCAUUGUAUGAGGACUCAGAGAGUGUGUUUGAUUGUCAUGAAAAAUAUUAUCUAGAAAAGAAAAUAUUUUUCAUCUUUUGUGGAAAAUAAAAAUCACCUCUACCCGAGGAAAAUAUUUUCCUUAAAAACAAGAAAAAUUAGGCAUAUUUUCAAAAGUUGGAAAAUGUUUUCCAUGAAAAAAAAUAGCAAUCAAACACUCCAAGUAGAAAUUUGGGUGGAAAAUUGAUAUUUUUCAUGAAAAAUAAAUGUAAUCAAACACACCCUCAAUAUGAAUUGUCCAUGUGGUAUUAUGUUUUUUGUUAUGCGAUGUGGAUGGGUUGGAGUUGCCAUUUAAGGAAUGUGUAGUAUCAAGGUCAGAAAGUCUUAUCUGUUCAUUUUGAUGGAUACUGCAUGGUCUCUUCUUUUCUACUGGUAAUUUAUAUCCGUGGAUCAAGAUAUUGGAUUGUAAAUUUUGAAGUAACUUAUAUCCAGUAAAUGAGGUAAAGUGUGUGUGUAAAUAUGAAAAUAAUGACUAUUAAAAAUAUUGAGGCAAAACCAACUUGGACUUUGAUCAAAUUGCGUCGUCUUACCAUGUUUAAGCAUUGUCUCUUUGUUAUGUAAAUUCUGUUCAUUUCAAUGAAAUGAUUUAUAUAGAAACAGCAGCAAGUCUUAUUAAUUGGGUCCUUAAGACACAUUUCCAUCCUCAUGUGCCUUCCAGCAUAAAAUGAAAUUAUCUAAGUUCUUCAGACAGUGUUAUAUUGCUCGUCACCAAUCAAGAGAUAAAAUAAAACCCAUGUAACACUUGAGAUAAUAUGAGCAUCCAAUCUACAUAGUUUCCAAUAUUCUUCAGCCUUUUAGCAUCCAAUACAUUAACUCACCUUGCUCACAAGCGCUAAUAACUUACAAAACAUGAAGCACAGAAGUUCUCCUGGACCAACCAUUAAACAAUAUAUGUAUACAGAACCCCUCUACGAGUUUGCCUCCAAUUUUCCUUGAAGAGUCUCCCACAACCAUUCUUCCCUUUAUGCUCGAGAACAAAACUCAGACAGUUCUAUACCUCAAAAAUGAAAACUACGUUGUCAACAAUUAUUACAAUAAGUACAAGAUAAAAACCGUUGAAUAUUACUUAAAACACACAAAUUAACGAGAUCACAUCACCCACCUCAGGUACAGUCACAGUCACACCAUUCCAUCAUGUUACGCCAUGACCCAGCAAUUUUGUAUUUUCAAGAUCAUUCUCGUCAUCGGACUCCACCAACAUAACGGUUUCAACAUCGUCCAAAAUUUCUUUCCCUGCGACAAAAAGCUGAUUGAUGCAACAUAUUCAGUUAUGGUCGUUUAUAACAUAUACAAAUUUGGCUUCUUAUGAGUACGUUGUCUACAGGAGAAACUUCCAUGGAAUUAACAAAAUCAUCAUGUUUCUACUUAACAAAUUCCUGCCUAUUCUGCUGAAAAUAAGUAUCAUGUUUAUACUUCAAAUCAAAUAAAAUUUCAGAUUUCACACAAUGAAAAUGGAGAUUUAUCUACACACAUCAUCCUAUACAUCAAAUUCACAGAACAAAAUUACUCUACUCUAACUUUGAAGAGUUCUAAUUGUUCUGAAGCUUUCCCGUCAUUAAAAAAAAAAAAAAAAAAGGAAUCACACAACAAACAUAAAAAGAUUGAACCCAGAUACAAAUAAUCCCCUUAUCAAAAGAUGUGGAACAUACUUGAAGAAAAUCGAUAGUAACUAAAAACAGUGUGGCUGGAAAGAGGAAAAGUUUUUAGAUUUGAUAAAUUUUUUUCCCAAAUUUGAAGAAAGUUACAAAGAAAGAUGAUGGUGCGACACAGCAUUUCCAACAUUUACAGCUUCAUAAAUCUUACUUAGCAUUUCAAACACAACGAAAAUAGAGAUUUGAACUCAUUUCUCUUCCCAGAUUUUAAAACAAAUUUCAAAUUUCAAAAAUAAUUUUAGAUUUUACAGUAAAUUUCAGCUUUUACCUUUUCUGUCAUAAUUUCGAGGCAAUGGUCGGAACAAAUGUGCGGCGAAAUCGAAAAUGGCCAAAUCUAGAAUGAAGGUGUGGCCAAAUCGAUGGUGUUGGCGCUGUAGACUUCGGAGGUAUGGCUGGAUUAUGAGCAGCAAAAUGGAGACUGUGUAGAUAAGAAAUGAAAAGGCAAGAAAGAUGCCGUCCAAAUUACUAAUGAAUUAGGAACUAAAAUGGGUAAUCCGACCGCGGUUUUGGUUUUGAUUGGUUUUUAAAAAAUCAAAAACAAAAUAGAUUAAAGAAUUAUUAAUUAAUUCAUGGCACGUCAUUCUGUCAUGAAACAGGUCAAAGCGCAUGGUAAAGUAACAUUUUCCAUAAGAGAUUCCCUCCUCGCUUUGCCGCUUUAGUUUAAGGGCCGUGCUAUUUGCACAGAACCCUGUGCACAGGGUUCUGUGCAAGGAGAGAAAUCCUUAGUUUAAUUGGCCAAACCUAAUUCCAAUUUUUUCACCUCCAAAUUUCUUGUGUGUGAUAAAAUUCUUUUUCCUGGAUUUUGCAAGAAAUUUUAUUUAGCUCGUCAAAUUGCCACGAUUGGCUGUGAUAUAAUUCUUUCUCCUUGACAUAAUAUUCAUUUUGGGUCAAAAAAAUUCGGCUGAAUGGACUACACAUUUGAGCUCUUCGAGUUUCUUCAAGGUAUGCCAAUCAAUCCUACUAUUAAUUUGUAAAUUGUGUAGAAAAUAUAAGUACAUAUCUUGAAUUUUGAGAUUACGUUUUCAAUUUCUCGCUAUGGAAAAGAAAAUAAAUAUGAAGGCUGUUCUUCUGUAUGAAUUUUGAGAUUUGACAUAUUUGAAGUUUUGAAGUUGUCCUUUUUGGUUGGUUGUUGUGGUGAGAUAGAGUGGGAUUUUAUCCCCAAUUUUAGGGAGACGAGGGGACCAGCAAAUAAAGGGGAAGUGGCUGGAAGAGGGGUAAUGGAAUCUGCCGUAGUGCUUGAUAACCAUGCUAUACAGAACACACGCUUUCCCGUUGGUUCAAUCAAAGACUAAGCACUUCUAAUGGAUUUCAUUAUACACGUGUUUAUUUUAAUCAAAUGACGUAGGAAUCUGCCGUAGAUUGAGGGGUAAUGGAAUUUUUUCAAGGCAUGAGGAUAACAUAACGUGGGAAUAUAUUAUUUUUCUUUUGUGGAUUGCAGUGCAAUUUGCUUGCUUUGUGACUUUUGACAUUAUUUUUGAUAUUUUAAUUUAUUUUUUCGAUUUUUCGAAGAAGAUAGUUUUUCUGAAUUAGAAUGUGGAUCAUAUAAUCAAGAAUUUAGUACAAUUGGCACUUUGGCAAUGGAUUCCAAUUCAUCAAUUUCUUUUGUAUAUUUUAUUUCUAUGGUUGGAAAAGCAUUGUGCGUUUAAUAUUGCAAUGAUGAUACUCUGAUUGCAAAUAAUAUAUUCAUGUGAAGAUCUCCUUAAACUGGGACACAUAAUUUAGUCAAGAUUCUUUCUUCUUAUUCUGUAUAACAGUGCACUUUGCAGCUGAUUCUGUAUUGAGUCUUUUGACCACUAUGUCUUAUUCUGCAUUAACAAUUUACUGUUUGUUUUUAUGCGAAUUCAUCCAUGAUAAACAUGCAAAAUAUUGUCAUUUAAGUUCAUCAUUAUCUCUCUAAUUUUCCUUUAUUCUGGGAAGUGCCAAACAACUUAAGUAGGUCCAAGCAAAAAUAAAAGUACUUUUGUCACUCCAAAACCUACCACAAUUUAUGUUGUAUACCAAAAUUUCUAUAUGGAACAGAUAGAUCCUGUUAUGGAUUCUCAAUUAUUUGGAUCUAAAAUCUUACCUACAUUUUAAUUGUUCACACGUGAGAUGUUAUGAUACAAUAUUCUUUCUUAAAAUAAUCCACUAAAAGCUAUUAGAUGUUUCAGAGAAUCACUAUUUUAACAAGAAGUUGUUAUUAUUAUUGUUAAUAUGAAAUUAAAAGAACAAUUUAUUCAUAGAUCCCAGCAGAUAAAGCAAUCUUUCUUCUCUCUUUUGAGAAAAGCAUGAAAAAUUAACUAGUAAAUAUAUGAUGAUUUGCUUGUCAAAUAAUCAGUUUUUUUCAUCUAAAGAUAAGCAGAACCAAGAAUAUAUCACUGGUUUGUACAUGUCAUCACCGAGGCCCUGCAACAACUUGAACCGAGGUUAUUAAGAUGAGAAUAUAUAACAUAAGAAUUGAGAUGUCAACAAAUGGAAUUGAUAAUAAAUGAAGUGAAAGACGACGACUCAUAAGGUAAUUGGACCAUAUUUUUGUUUAGGUUAAAAGAAAUUUAUGCACUAGUAGAACAAGUUAUGAAGAGGAAGAGGUAGAUCAAUAUUAAGAUGUCAUGUUUCCACAUUUAACGAGGAUAUAUUUUCAUCAAAUCUUCUAAUGUUAGCUAUGAAAUGACCAUAUAGAAUAGGAAAAAAAUUCACAUAGCAAACCUCAAAUUUAUUAGGAACAAGACCUUUUCUUUCUUUCUUUCUUUUAGCCAUGUUACCUUUGGGGCGGUACCUCAACAUCUUGUUUCUUGCUCACGAUAAAUGGAUAAAGUUGGCUCGAGCUCUUUCUUCACUGUAUGAGCAGUUAGAGCAGAGCGAGAAUGGGGAAAGGGAUGGGGGUGAAUCUGCAUCAUAAGGACUAGAUGUAAUGGAUAUAAAUAUGUCAUGUUAAUCGUAAAAAUUAUUUUACUUUGUAUUUUUAAUGAUUAAUGAUGAAAAAUGAUAUCCUCAUGUUUAGCGGUGCAGGUAGAAGCUUUUACUAGAAAUGUCUUCCUUUGCAAAGCACAUGUUAUAUGAGUUGAAAACAGAUGUUAUGGACUUAUCACAAUUAAAGAAGAAUCACUCAUACAUGAAAAUAUGAAUUCAGUAAAUAGGUUAUUAUCUCUUUUUAAAUUAAAUGUGUCACAAAUAUUGUCUAAAGAGCAAAUAUUUGAAAAAAAGGGAAACUCUUGUAAUAGGCACAGCAAAAGGUGAAAAUGUUCGUAGAGCUGAAGAAAAUGAUGAGGCAUUGGAUGAUGAAGUAGAGGGUUCCGAAGGUAGGGUGUUUAUUUGUUAGUAGUUAAUUUUCUUACUACAUGAAGUUCAUUUACAUGUUCGGCUUUUAUUAUUGAUUUUGCAAGUGUAGGUGUAGGUAUAAGCACUUGCCAAGGACUCCCGAUGACCUUCCUACUCGAGGAGAAUGUAAACAAAUUAAGACCUCUCGUAUCGUUCGUACAACUCGAGAGAAAAUUCGAUUUUUGUACAAUUCAGUAAGCAGACGAGCAACAAAUUCUGGAGUACAUAGUUUGUUAGUUCAUGAUAUCGGAGCUAUCAUUCAAUCACAUUGCCCAAUGAAUACUGGUUAUUGGAGGACCAUUUCUCCAAGUGAGAAGGGCCUUAUAGAUGAGAUCACAGUAAGCAUAUGUGUGCAUGUGUUUAUGUUGUUGGAAAAUUAAUAGCCAAAGAAAACUAUAUGAAUAAAUUAAAAGCGCAUUAUUUUGUGAAUUCGUUUAGUUUUACUUUAUGACUUGUUUUCUAGAAUUGGGUAGUUUCUUAUAAUUAUGGUUUCUUUUUAUUUUAAUAAUAUUUUUAAUUAUGUCAAUUUCAGAUGAACUUCGAGAUAGAUUUGAAAGACUCAAGAUUGGCAAAUGAUAUUAAUAGACUAUAUAAUGGGAGGUAUAGUGAGUUCAAGGUUGAGUUGAGUGCAUACUAUAAAUUGCGCAAGACACAUAAGAAUGGAUUAGCCAAUCCCCCUUUAGAGAUGCUUGAUAGAGGUGUAGAUCAAUGGGUAGAACUGUGUAAUCAUUUCAAUUCCGAUAAGUUCAAGGUAUUUAUUGUGUUACUCAUUACUAGUUCACAACUUUUACUCCUAUUUUUGUUAUGUAAUAUGUGUGUGUAUAUAUUCUGUACUUGCAGAAGGCAUCAUCUGCAAAUAUAGUGAAUCAAUCAAAGAAGAAGUAUAAUCAUUGUACUAGUUCACGUCUUUUCUCAUACACAGCGAAAGAGAUGGCUGAGGUAGUUAACUUAUAUGUUAUCAACAUGUAAUUAAUUAAUUAUAAUCGCUAAGAAUUUGAAUAUAGUAUUCGAAACAUGAAUUUUUUAUUAUUAGGAUGGUUCGAAGUUUCCCGAAGUCGACACAUUUGAGUUCGCUUAUGCAAGAAAGAACAAGUGUUGGACUUAUAAUGUAGCUAAAGCUCAACAUGUAAGAAAGGCUCAGCACUAAAACUUUAUUUUCUUUAUCAUGUUUUAUACCAAGUUAGACAAAAAAGAAUAUAUUGCAAAGUUAGAUCAAUAGAGGCCAAAAAACUUAACAUUAUGUUAAAUAGUAUAACAAUUUUUGUAUGAUUUUGUUGUGGCUAUUUUGGAAGUGGACAUUGGCAUGGUCAAAAUGUUUUAAAGAAUCGAUUAUAUCUCUUAGGUUGUACAAUAUCUCUUGUGUGCAGUUGUGUUAUAUCUCUUGCAAAAAAUUUCAUUUUAUGAGUUGCUUUAUAUAUAUUGUGAAUUGUGUUUUUAGGAUGAGAUGCUUGUCAAAGAAUAUGAAUAUCUUAUACAGAAGGCAAAGGAGCACCAACUUCCCAAAGAUAUUCGUUUGCAGGAGAUACCAGUAGAUGAUCCUGAUGCCGAAAUUGAUAUCAUGAUGUCUGUUCUAGGUACGAAGCCUGGACGUCAAAUUCGUGGGUUGUGAGAUGGUCGCCUUAGAAACAUUCGUACAUCUUCUAAUGUACACAAUUUGGAGAAAGAGUUAGGACCAGAACGCACUGCUCGAAAGACAGCUGAUGCAACUCUAGUAAAGAUGGAGCAAAUGAUGCAAUAUAAGAUGAAGGUUGUUGAGAUACAAUUCAAUUCUAUAUUGCAGUCUUGGUAUCAUUCUAUGCAUCAACUAUGCGGUAAAGUUCCUGGUUUUGUUGUGCCCCCUUUUACACCAUUGUCAAUAGAGAAUAAUGUUGAUGAGGAAGAUCAUUUGGUGAUGAUCAGUCGCAUAUCUAAUUCAUGAGGAUGAAUAGUUAUUUUGUUAGGUGCAUAAUAAUAGAUAUAAAGAAUGUUUGCUAUACUCAUUACUCUUUUUGAGUUUAGAUUUAAUCAUACUUGGUGAAGGAAUUUUAUUUGUGUUUAGAUAAAAUAUUUUGUAUUUAAUGUUAUAUCGAUUGACACUACAAGUCUUAGUUAAUUUAUUGUCAUUUUGUAUCUCUAUAUUAUUUUGAAGGCGCUAAAAAAUUACUGUAAUAUAAAUAACAAAUAAAAUAUAAAAAUAUAGUUUAAUUUCUCCCUACGAAUUGUUUAAUAAUAGCCUACGCAUAAGCUUUUCCUACAAAAAAUUGUUUAUAGAGAAAAAAGGGUUUAGCCCGCAAAAUAAUAUGUUAUCUUGUCGUCACAGAUUCUUAAUUGUUGGGAAAAAUGGAUCUAGGGAUGGCAAAAAAAUCUGCUCAACCCAAUAUCCAUGGGACCCGUCCCGAAAAUACCCGACAAAUUGGGUAUAUGGGAUGGGUAUGAGGUGAGGAUCAUUGCCUCGAAGCGGGUAUGGGAAACAUAGUCCUCAACUCGUUACCCACCCCGUUUAAUAUUAAUUUCAAAUAUAAGUUUUUAUCAAACAAGAAUAAUAGAUUUAUCAUCAUUUUUAAAGAAAAUAUAAGUUGUUUUUAACAAAUUGGUGAAAAAGUAAUCAUAUUUAUUAACUAAGGACAUAAAAAACUAAAAGCAAAAAAUAAAAUGAAUAAAAAAAUAAAAAAAAAUAAAUGGGACGAUAAAUGGGCAGGAGACUUGCCCCGCCCCGUACCGUCCCGCCGCCACCUUGCUCCUGACCCAUCCCAAACUUAAACGGGUAUGGGGCGGGAAACUAUCUAGUGGAGUGGGAUGGGUGUGGGGAAGUGUGCCCUGACCCAUACCCGCCCCGUUGCCAUCCCUAAAUAUAUCUUAGCCUACAAAUAUUCUUUCCGCACAAAAAAAUAUUUAAACGGGAAAACACGAUUUAGCCCACGACAUAAUUUGUCGGGAAAAGCGAAACCUUUACAUGGGCGAACGUAACUUUAGUAAACGAAUAAUUUUGUCGGGAGACACUUUACGCGAUGAAUUUUGUUUGUCUCCAAAGGGUUCGUACAGAAAAAGCUUAGCCGACAAAUUUAAAAAAAUUGUCACCUUUUACCUAUCCAUCGAUGUUUGCUCCACAAAUGUGCCUACAAAUUUAUUUCGUUUGCAAAUAUUUCGCCCACAAAUAUGAACCUUUCCCCUACAAAAAAAAGUUGUAGGGAAAACAUAAAAUUCUUGUUGUGAGUGAGAUUAGAUUGUCUACAGGUAAAAGAAAAUAUCCAAUAAUGGUUUAAAAAAUAUGAUCCCAUUAGGCGUACAAAAUGCAACUCAUAGAAUCCUUACAGAAUGACGUGUCUUUUUCCUUCCAAAUAAAAACUGAAUGAAAGAAAAGAAACAAAAUAAAACAAAAGAGGGAGGCAGCGCGAUUUGGAGCCCUAACCCUAAAAAUCGCCGCAUGAAGGACGAUUGUCGGAUUCACGAUUGAUGAAACGUCAGUGUGAAAUCGACCUCCGAAAGCCCAUCUUUGCUUUUCCUUUUCAUUGAUUCGAAAGCUUGGAACCAUCGUUUGCAGCAAUGAAGAGUCUGAAACUGUAGCCGCACUCGUCUUCACUUUCGACAGCCGCAUCUCAUCCGAUUUUCUCCACCUCCUACUGUCGCAUCCCAUCCAGUCUUCAAUUACUUAUAUUGUGCAUUGUCUUGAGUAGUGCCCAAAGAGGAAUUGGUGGAGUUUGAAUGUGUUCAGUAGUUUCCACAUAGUAAUUGAUCUCACUGGCCUUCAGGUACGUUGAAUUUGUGUUUUUGAAAAUCAUAAAUAAUACAAUGUGUAAAGUUUUCGACAGUUAAAACAUAUUCAAUUUUUGAGCAAUUAGUUUAACAUUUUAUAGGUUAUAAUUGAUUUGCAAUUUAUACAGAUAAUUGAAGUUAUGAAGAGUUAAUUAGAUUCUUUCUUCUUUCUUUCUGCUUAUUCACAUGUGCCCUAAUUCUAAGUGAAUGCAAUGAAGCAAAAAAAGUUGCCCUUUUAAUCCUCCCAAAAAGUGUGCCGAUCAACUAGCUAGAAUUCUUCACAGGGGCUUCACUGCACAUGGGAAUCCUAUUAGGAAAUUGAAGAUACAUAGUGUUAGCUUUCAAGAAAAAAUAUUCCUUGUUAAAGCAUUUGACACCAGAAAUUUGUAUCAAAUUGAAAUAGGUAGUCGAAGAUCUGGCUCUGUUGGUUGUUUUUGUCAUAUUUGUUACAAGGUUUUUGCUAAUUAUGGUUUUGUCGAUUGGUUUACAGGAACAUAUUGUUAAGACUAGCCACGGUUAUGUCUCUGUUACUAUCUUUGGAGACUUGGACAAGCCUGCUUUAAUCACAUAUCCUGAUCUGUUAAGAUUCAACUAUUGUUCCAAUCUAAUUUUUGUUUCAGGAUGAUAGGAAGGAAUGUUGGGGUUUGUCAUGGCUAUAGAAGCAUUGACCACUUCUUCACAGACUACUCGAUAAAAUGAAGAUGCCCAUGGGAGAUAGAAAAAAAGGACGAUUAUUCAAAACAUGAAGUGUUAAGUGUGGGUACUUUGAUUGGGUCCUAGAUGAAGAAUCAAGCGGUGAAUCGAACAAGCGAAGAUGUGAAUGUUGUAACCAUCGAGGAAGUGAAAGAUUUGCCAAGCAUGUUCGAUAGCCUAGCUAGAAUAGUCGAAAAAUGGGAAAUCGAAAUUUCAUUGACAUUUCAAAAGGGAAACAAAAGUGCCGAAGUUAAUGGAAAAGGAAAGGGCCGUGCUCUAUAAGGCGGCAACCUUGGAUUGCAUGUAUAGAAGGCUAAUAUUAUUGAACUAUGUAUUUGGCUUGAUUUCGAUCUGUAGCUACUGAUGUGUGAUGAUUUUAUUGAACUAUGUAUUUGGUCAAUUUAAGGACUUUAUUGAACUAUGUUGGACAGUUCUUGGAGCCUUCUUUAAUCGAGAAACGACAUAGGAUAGUUUUUAAUUGGAAGAAGUUUAUUGUCCAAGUGCCCAGUGACACCUUCAAGUGGCCAGUGUACUUAACACUACAUUGGUCACCCAUUACCAUUACAUACAUGUAGUCUGAUCACUUAAACAAUAAAAAUUUGACAGUCAAUUUCAACAAAAUGCCUGUACAUUAAUCGAAAAAAAAUCCCAGAAUAAAGAAAUAAAAUUCAUUCAUAGAACCUGUUUUUGGCCAUACAUCCUGUAAAGUUCAUUAAUAGAACAUGUUCAUUGUAUAUAAUUUUAGCACAAUAAAGAUGAAAUGAGGUACCAUAAAUCCCGUAAUCUAUCUAUCAUUUACCACACAUGCAUAUAUUAAUACAGAUGAAAUGAAAUACCAUAAAUCCCAUAAUCGAGGCAUACAAAUGAAAUGGAACACAACAUGAAGGGCAACCUCCAACUUCACUUGUAAUAUGAGUUUCUAGCAUUGCCAUGAGUCGACGUUAUUGCAUGAAUAUUUGGGACAGCAUUGAACAGAUUUACAACGUACAAAUAAUCUGCACCCGGUACCAAUGAAUGACGGUAAUAAUACAACAUGAGGCGGUAAGAAAUCUAGUAAAAUUAUCCUCUAAUACUCCAAAUUAACUAAAAGUGUACCUGAAGAAAAUUGUGUGGCAUUUGGCUCGUUCAAAAGUACGGACCUGUAUGUGGAAAAUUUGGGUUGGAAAACGCAUGACGGAAGGGAAAACAAAUUGCCUCCAAUUAUAAUGAUUUAAACACUUGUUCACCUUGUGAAUUGAGUAUAACAUUAGUGGAUGAUGGUGCGAACAAAUUAGACGACGCUGAUUGUUGCGUACACACUUGACUUUCGGUGUCACCCUAUGUCAAGUACCAACAUAAUUAUAACUACACAAAUGAAAGCAUGGAAAAUAAUUAUGUUUACUUACCAAUAGAAGCUGUGAAUAUGAGAAUGGUGUGGGCUGCAAGGGCUAAAGAUCCUGAGAUGUCUGGACGUCAGGUGUAGACUUUUCCAUAUUAGUACGCUUGUCUCCCGCUCUCAUUCCUCAACCAAAUUUCGAAGUCGCAUGUAUAUAUAUGGAUUGGACUGAGAUUUGUCUUGGUGUUUGAAUAGAGGAAAUUACCUUUGCUUUCUUCGAGGUUGACUCCAACGCACUUUUUUCUGUAGUUUCCGAAGAGCUUCCCUCCUGUUGGACAAUUUAAGAUCCAAUAUGCCAACACAUGCGGUAUUUUGCGAACUAGUACAUUGUGUUGCGAAAUUAAGAUAUUACUAGGAAAGGAAAUUACUACCACAACUCGACCUUGUAGUCCUCAAUUCCAUAGCUUGGGAUUUUAUCCAAUCCAUUAUCGCCCGUGCUCGCCCUUCAUCAUUUGCAGCAAGGUCCGCCACCUCCGAAAAAGCCUUACACAUAUCAUCAUAUCUCAACUGUUCAGGUGUACUUACCAACCUGGUGUAGUUCAUUGCGACCCAAGUGUGCGUUCUAUUGACGUCCCUCCUCCAUCGUCGCAAUAUGUACCUCUCUGGCAUAACUGUGAAGUCAUUACGAUCGAGAACUGUGAUCGCAUGCUGGCAAAUAAUUUCUCGAAAUUCGAACAAGUGGCAACUAUACAUCACUUGACAUGUGUCCAACCGACAUGAGACUGAAAAAGUUUUCUUCUUCCUACCCUCGCUACUACAAACUUCCAAACCUCAUAUUUCAUCCGUCCGGCCCCUUUGCUUCUGAAGCGACUUCACAAUACAUCUUUUCUAAUGAAAUUAUCCUGAGCUUCCUUAAAUUUUGCAAUAGUGUACAGUGCCUGAAAUUGUUUUUCCAUCUCAAAGCUUGUUGCAUACAGUACCAUUUGCGAGAACGAUUUGAAAUCGGCUUGGAACUCCUUCUCAACCUUAUUUCUUAGUGCUCUUUCAUACUGCUCAACAAAUUGCUUCAACAAGGUUUUCAAGUGGACAUAUCCAUCAAAGAACGCAUUCAUACUCUCACUUCGGUGUGUUGUUGACAUCCCUGUCCAGAAAGCCAUUUUCAAAAAAUAAGGUACCCAAGAACCUCAUUUUUCGAACAGACCCGAUAACCAAUCAUUAUCAUGCAAGUUAAACUCAUCCAUCAUUGCUCUCCAACCAUUUUCGAAUUCAUCAAUGGCUUGUGAAUCAUAUACCAUUCUAUGUAUAGUUGAGAAUAUUGAACCUUUAUCUACAUGGUAGCCAAACUUCUCGAGCAAUUUCUUCAUGAUGUGCCAUAGACAUCAUCUAUGUUAUGUAUUUGGAAAGACAAUCUCAACUGCAUUUUGCAUGGCUCUAUCGUAAUCGGUAAAAAUUCCACGGGGAGGUUGUCCCUGCAUGCACUGAAGUCAUGUCCUAAAUAGCUACACAAAUGUACUUGUAUUCUCAUUUGAUAACAACCCACAGCCAAGCAGCAUUAAUUGUCCAUGAUGAUUUACACCCACAAAAGGUACGAACGGCAUGUCAUAUUUAUUCGUCAGAUAAGUGGUAUCAAAUGUGAUAACAUCGCCCAACUCUUUAUACGCCUGCCUACAUCUAUUAUUUGCCCAAAAUACAUUCUUAAGUCAAAAUUCAUCGUAGCAAAGGAAAAUCCUGAACACCUCUCUCGCAUCUGGGAAAAGUGAGCUUGCAAUGUUGUUGCAUCUCCUUCUCCUAGUUGUAACCAUCUCAUUUGUUCAAUAUAGUUUCGACAGUCUUUUUCAAUGCAAGUCAUGUUUUCAUACUCGCCUACUUCCACAACUGCAGAGUUGAAACUUUUGUACAGUGAAAUUUCAGCUAUGUCAUUCAAUUCAGUCUUCCGUUUUUCUUUUGCAUUCAAUUAUCGGUUGCACCGAUACAACCUAGACUUGGAAAGACUUGUCUUAUGGUUUUGCUCUAGGUGGACGGUGUUAAUUCUCCAUAUUGUCGACAGAUAUAGAUAUCCUCAUUUUACAAACUAUCUAACUUGUUGGAUGCGGUUUCAAAGCAAUGCUUGUAUUACUGCUUCUUCGCCCUUCGCGACUACAUGUAAACGUUACAAAUCUAAUGACUCCGUCAUCCCCUUUUUUUGAAUUUUGUCUCCGAACUGGGAAACUUACUACAUAAGCAUGUCGUUUGUAAAAAUCAAACACCUCUUUGUCAUCUAUAAACGUCAUACCCACUUCAAGCACAGUCUCUCCAUCACCUACUAACGUUUCGUUGUCCACAAUGUUGAUAUUGUCUGAAACUACCUCAUUAUCGGACUGUACAAUUGAUUUUCAUUCAUGGCUUCCAUAACUUUCACGUCCUGCGACCAAGUCAAUGGUAACGUUCAACAGAAUGAAAACCAAUAACAGCAUAAUAAGUAGAUGGAAAUGACCACAUUGCAGCAAACAAGGAAGCUGAGCGAUUUUUAUUAUAACCAAUUUUCCAACAUAAAUGAGUAGUCAAAUUUCCAAAUUUAGCACCAUGUUUCACAAUUUAGCACUACUUUUUCAAACAUUUCCUACAGCCCUGCUUUGCAUAUUUUAUGGAGUUAUGCUGAUCAUUAUGUAAAAGAGAUCAAACUCAGUGGGUAUUUUGUUGUAUCAAGAACUAUUUCUUUUUCCCACUACUGUCCCUUUUCUUAUUCUGUUGAUUUCCACUUAGAAAUAAGGUCUCUUUUCAUUUUAUGAUAAUUUACAUUUAUGUUCUAUUCAUCACUAAAGAGUCCAUUCUGGUAUUGUCCUGAGUGCUUCUAUCAAUGCAGAAACAUAAUCUCCCAUUUCCUUAAAGUUCAGCACAGUAUAUAGACACCAUAAAACUCGUAAAAUAUUUUGGCUCUACAUGUUAUGCUAUGGACUUACUAAUAUUAUGGAAAUCAACGAAACUGCUCGACAACAGCUAAAAUGUCUCUAGAAAACUCACUCAAAAUCACAACCGAAUGAAUAGACAAACCCAUCUUUGCAGCAUCUUUGAGUUUUUUUUUUCCAUUUUAUUGCACAUGAACUAGAUCUCUGCUCCAACAAGCUAAUUUUAAUAAGUUUAACCUCUUUUACAUAGUACAUUACAACACAACUAAGCACAUUUUUCGUCUAGCUUAUGUGUAACAGCUGGAGAAGACGAUCUUAAAAAAUGGUCAGCUCAGAUUUCUUACACCAAGUAGAUAUCCAUAAGCUCAUAUGUUGUAACUACUGCAUAUGAGCUACAAAAAAUGUGUCGAAGAAGACGGACAUGAAUGUCAUUGGAAAGAGGAAAAAUUACUUACUCCUUUACAGCAAAUGACUAAUUGACGCACACCUCAACUACCGAAGAUGACAGUCUUCAAAAACGUGUAGUACAUUAUAAACAGCAGAUGAUCUUCAUCUUUGUGUAGUACAUUAUCUACCGAAGAAGACGAUCUUCAUAAUGUGAUGGAGAAAUAGAUUGGGUACAGAAAUUUUAGCUGGGACGUGAUUCGCUUUCAGUGCAUCUAGGGCUAAGUUUUGGGAGAAAUGUUCUCCUUUCCCUCAUUUUCACUCACUCCUUCCGGCUUUUUUGCUUUCUUUCUUUUUUUAAAAGGCCACGUCACCCAAUUUUUUCCAAUUUUGUAAGUCCUCUAUGAUCCCUUGUUUGUACAUCUAGCUUUUUCCUAAAAAAUAACUACUAUAUCUAGUAUUUUCACUUUCUUAUAACCGUUUUACAUGGCCAAUGUUGGCCUUAAACGGCAUAGAUUGCCUAGGGUCCCAAACAUAUGAAGACACCAUAAAAAUAAGGCUCACAUAUUUUUAUAAUGUAAUAUUGACUGAAAUUAUUAAUAGUCAGAGUAAAUUUUUGAGGUCCAUAAAAUAAGGUCCAAAAUCUUCUUUUCGACUGAAACGUGAUGACUAUGACACUUCUCAAAAAAUCAUGUCUUCUUCUUUCUUCUUCCUUCCUUCAAAAUUCAUUCCUACCUUUUAUCUUCAAAUUUAAGAACUCAAUCACCAUCUUUGUUUUAUUUUGAAAUCUUGAAUCAUAAAUCACAAUAGAAAAUUUAGAUAAAGUGAAAAAAAUGAAUUUUCUUUAUUCUCCAAAAUCAUUGUAUUUUACUAUAUGAAAAAGUAGGAAAUUAUCUCUCGCCUAAAUCACCUAGUUGAAGCCGACAGCCAGGACACUGGAGAUAAAGUAGCCAGCCAAUUUUCUGUUGGUGUAAGGAGUAAUUACAGGAAAUCUUAGUUAGGAAAUGUUCCUUGUAUAGUAAACCCCUAUUUUGCCCAUUAUAUUUGCCAGAAAAUUCUGCCAUUACCUUGUAUACAUGAACGGGCUGUCCCUAUUCAUUUGUAAGCUCUACAUUGGAAUGAAUAUACAAGAAAAGAAGAUUUGCAAGGCCUGACAUGGUUUCAGAGCGAGAUGAUCUCGGUAUACCGGCCUUUCUCUCACUUUAGCCCAGUUUCUUCUUCAUCCUUAUGGUAGCCAUCGGAGACAUGACCCCCUCUGAUGACCAACAACUAAAUACAGACAUCUCUUCAUAGAAUUUACCUACAAACUGACUGAAGCUUUGAACAAAGCCUAGAACCCGACUACAACAGAAUCUUCUACUACUCAAAUUGGCAUAAAAAUAGAUGGCUCCAACUAUGCACUUUGGUCUCAAGUUGUUGAGAUGUAUAUCUUUGGCAAAGACGAGUUGGGAUGUAUCAAUGGUGAUACUCCGCAACCAUCCCCAACUAUCCGUCCUUUCGCAAGUGGCGCACUGAGAACGCCAUAGUCAAAGGAUGGCUCAUCAAUUCCAUUGAUCCAUCACUGAUAGGGAAUUUUAUCAGAUUUCCAACUGCAAAAAUGGUUUGGGAUUCCAUUGCCUUUAUAUACUUUGAUGGGAGUGACACGUCCCAAGUUUACAACCUUCGAUGACGUGUGAGUCAACUACACCAAGCUGGAAGCUCUCUUGAAAAAUACUAUCUGGACCUUCAAGGAUUGUGGCAUGAAAUCGAUUUUCGUCGCCCCAAUCCUAUGAAAUGCCCAGAUGACAUUAAAAAAUACAAUACCUUGUUCCAGGAAGAAAGGGUGUACAUUUUUUUGGAUGGGCUCGAUGAUAUACUCGACCAGAUAAGGAGAGAUGUACUUCAACUACAACCCUUCCCAACUGUGGAGCAAGCAUUUGCACUAGUUCGUCGAGAGACCAUCCGAAGGCCGUGAUGAAUGGAAGUAAAUUUGACGAAACUCCUAGACAGGUUCUGGCUUCUAGGAGUAUUAAAUUUACCCCCUCUGGUCAAUCCAAAAUGGGCGGAAGCUACAAAAAACCUUCGAAGACUCGGCCCCUCUCCGAUGGAGAGAAAUGCUCACAUUGUGGAAACAGGAACCCAAUCGUGACAAUUGCUUUCAACUUCACGGAUACCUGGACUGGUGGCAUGAACUCCAAGCAAAAAAGGGGCAGGAAGGUGUUGGUUUAGAAAAAAAAAAUAUGAAGCUGGAAGAGUGGGUACAGCAUCAAUUGCUACUACAAAUCUUCAUCUUUUCCUCAUUCCACCCGAGGAGUCCACCAAAGCCGACACUUCCUAUGCAAACUCAGGUAGUGCUUUUGCAUCUUUCAAUGCCCCUAGAUAUAUUCACAGAGAUUCUUGGCUCCUUGAUCCGAUGCCACGGAUCACAUGACGUUUGAUGAAGUAGAUUUUAUGACGACACGAUCACCAAAAAGAACUAUGAUUGCUAAUGAAAAUGGCGUAAUCUCCCCAGUAACAGGGGCUGGUUCUGUAACUCUGUCCCCUUCUCUAAAAUUAUCUAAUACAUUGAUUGUCCCGUCACUCUCUCAUAAGCUAUUAUCUGUUAGCCAACUUACAACUGAAAAAAAUUGUGUUGUGCUAAUUUAUCCCGAUUUUUGUCUUAUUCAGGAUAUUCUCACCAAGGAGAUAAUUGGGCGUUGUUCUAGGAGGGGGGGUUAUACUACAUGGAUGAUUUAGUGUAGGCCAAGCACAUCACAUGCACCGUUCGCUUGGACCCAAGGAACAACAGAUUUGGCUGUGGCACCGCCGGUCGGGUCAUCCAUCCUUUAGUUACUUGAAACAUUUAUUUCCUAAUUUAUUUUCUCAAUUGUCGAUUUCUGACUUUAAAUGUGAGACCUAUAUUUUGGCCAAGAGCCACCGAACUCGCUACCCUUUGAGCAUGAAUAAAUGUAAUACUUCAUUUACUUUAAUUCAUUCUGAUGUGUGGGGUUCAUCGCCUAUCUCUGUUGGAUUUAGUAUACGGUGGUUUGUAAUAUUUGUUGAUGACUGUACACAUAUGACAUGGUUAUAUCUGUUGAAACACAAAAAUGAGGCACUCAAUGCUUUCCAAGCAUUUCAUAGUAUGGUUCGUACUCGGUUCUCGUCAAAAAUUCAAAUUCUUCGCUCGGAUAAUGGUGACGAAUACAUCAAUCAUCACUUCCAAGAUUAUUUUCGAAAACAUAGUCUCCUUCAUGAAACUUCUUCCCCCCAAACACCCCAGCAAAACGGGGUUGCUGAGCGCAAAAAUUGACAUAUUCUUGAGACCGCUCGGACACUUCUACUUGGUGCUCAUGUACCCCAGCGCCAUUGGUCAGACGCUGUCUCCACAGCUAUGUACUUACUGAAUAGAAUGCCAUCAAAAGUCUUAAACUUUAAGACUCCUCUUCAUGCUCUCUCUGCUAGAAUCCCUCUACUAGUGGCAUUAAUGCUCCCUCCUAACAUUUUUGGAUGCGUAGCAUUUGUCCAACUGCAUAAGAAUCAAUGCACUAAGCUGGACCCAUGUGCAAUCUGUUGUCUUUUCUAAGGAUACGGUGUCUAUCAGAAAGGGUACCGCUGCUAUGACCCCUCUACUAAGCGAACUUACAUCACCAUGGAUGUUACAUUGCAAUUAUACUUCAUAAUUUUUUUUAAAAUGCAAAUGAAUCCAAAUAAAUUGUUAAAAGUGUAAUUAGCACAAAACGUCCAUACAUUUCAAUAUUAUUGUGAAAAAAUCCAUAACUUUCAUUCUUUUGGCAUUUUCAUCAUUAUUUUCACAUUUCAAUGUGAAAAUCAUCAUUUUCAUCCAUUUUUCAAUUAAAAGCUGUAAAAUGACAAAUAUACACAUGAAAACUAUUCAGUAUAAUUUUUUCCUAGUUUCUUAUGCUUGAAAUCUAUAAUUCCAGAAGCUGCAAUCUCAGUCAAGAGUUCUCUAUCUCUUUUAUUGCCAUGAAUCUACUUAUUUGUCUAAUUUUCUAGGGUUUUGGUUUAUAUUUUGUUAGGCAAAUUGUUGUCAAACGAUCUCAUUAGAUGUGAUGUUAACUCGAUUUUUUUUAGUCGACAUAGACCAGACUGACUGUUAUUUCGACGCCUCAUGGAACGAUCCAACCCCAAUUUGUGUGGGCCAUUUCAAGCAACCUAAUUUAUUAGCGUUGCUCAUGGCCCGUCCCACUUACAUGGACGGCUAAAUGAUGGUACCCAUUUUAGUGGCUCAUUAUUCUUGUGUUGGGUCUUUGGGCCACUAUUUUACCUUAAGUUUACUUACCUUAUUGCCCAUUCUACUUGGUCAAAUGGGUCACCUCUCCUUUGCUUCGGUGGUGCAAAAACUUACGGCUGCCUCUCCUUCACUCUUCUGUCCACUCUCGAUUUACCCAUUCCUAUUGCCUUUGUGGUUUAUUUCUUGCGUGAUAUUGACUUCCUGUGUGGUCUCCUUGGUGGGUAAUUCAUAGUAACUGUAAGUGGAGGAACCAUUUGGGAAUUUUGGGCUGUUGUUCUUGGUGGCGUCGAUUGAUUGGUGAAACUGAGCCCGGUAAAAUCUUGGUAGCCUUUGUCUUCUGCACAACAUGAUUGUUAAUAUUCCAACAAUAGUGCUGAAAUUGACUCUGCAUUGGGGUGGGUGUCCUUAGAGUUGGCGUUUACUUUCUAGUGGUGGCUUAAUUUGACACUUUUUGCGUGAAGUUAAAAUGUUUAUUUUCUAUUCUGUUAUGAUAUUUAUCCAUAUUCGUGAAUAAUAUAUUGUCGCUUUUUCAUUAAAAGAUCAUACGUUAUGUAAUUUGAAUUUUUUAAUGGAAUAUUUUUGCUUAAUCUUAUAAAGAGCUUAUCAAGUUCUUUAACUGCCUAUUCUUUAGCUGUUAAUUUUACAUUUUUGGGGGUGGAUGUGAAAUAAGGUUCUAUAUUAAAAAACGGCAUGAUGUUCACUUUUUUGUUAUAAGGUCAUAUACUAUCUAGCUUAGCCUUUUUUCCCCCUUUUCUUCUAGAACAUUCAUUUGCUUCUCUCAAUCGUCGAGCCUGAUCGAUCAACUCUUUUUCUUGAUACAUGAGAGUACUCUCACUAAUUUUCAUUCUUCAUAUGUUCUGUCACUUGAAAAAAGACAUCCGAUACAUUCGACUUUCUCAAAUUUCCAUCCUAGGCCCUUGACUAUAUUAUGUUCAUUAAUUAAAUAGUCACAUACCAUGUCAUUACUUUAAUAAAAACUUAUGUACCAUAUUUUUCAACUAUUUAAAUGUUUGAGCUCAUUUUUCAAGCUUUUAACAAAUAAGCGUUAUGAGCCUAAAUUCCCCUAUUAUCAACUAAUUUAUUAUUUUCAUAUAAAUAAUUUCAACAACUCAUUAUCAUACAUCUAAUUUGAUAACGAUAAGUUAAUGAGUAAAAUGUUAUUUUGGAUGAUAAUUAAUUAAUAUUAGUUAAGCAUACUAUAUAAACAAAACGUAAUGGAAAUGUCUUUUGUUGAUGACUUCUUUUGAAGCCAGCAAUGUGGAAAGAACAUUCAAAAUUACUUUUGAUAUCAAUUUUCCAUCAAUGGAUCAUUGGGGUCCUUUGGCUCACACAGUGUUCCAUUAGUAAAACCAAUUUCGUUUUUGAUCCUCAAGGCUCUCUUCAUCGAACGAGCCCAAGAAUGAUAAUUGCUAGAUCCAAAACAUGAGUAACCAGCAUAACAGUGCUUCCAUCAUUGCUCCCAAUAUAGUAUGGACUACUGGGAUGAUUUGGAUCAUGGGGAAGAGCUGCUGGGUUGCUUCCACCAGUUUGUAAUUGAUUUUGACCUUGGUUUAGAUUGGUGUUUGGAGAAGGAUUUAUAUUUCCAUAAUUGGAUUCCCCAAUUUCUAGCUCUGAUACCAUAUUGGAUUUGAGAGAAAAAAUGAAUUUGAGAUUGUAUUGUAUUUAAGAAAAAUGAAUCUGAGAAUGGAAUGAAUGUUUAUUCCAUUAAUCUGUGCUCUCAAUAUACAAUGGGGCAAUGUAUAUAUACAGCAAAAAAAAAAAAAGAAUAGAAUCUACACCUAACUAAUUUACACAGAGUACACAGCAAUGAAAACAUAACAAAUCCAAGUUGUACAAUAACAAAUCCCUUCUAGACUAUUCUCCUGUUAUUACUGCUAUGAGGUCCACGUGGCCUGUAUCCUCUCAAGACUUUAGCCAGGUCAUCUUCGAGCUGUUCCAACUGGAUCAUCCUCUAACUUUACAUUCUAUUUUGGAAUAACCAAUAAAACUUGUUUGCAUGGAAAGCAAUCACUCAUCCACGUAGUUUUACACUCCACGUCUUAUGUAGAAACUAUAUAUGUAAUUUUAUAGAUAGAUUUAAUUUUGUAUCGUGACAGCUAAUUAGUUUUUAAAUAAACUAUCCUGUCAAAUAACCUAUUCUUUAAUUGAUUUUAUCCAUUUCCAUUUUAUUUUGUAUGGAUAUUACAUUUAUUAAAUUUAAAUAGUAUCCAAAAUCACAUUUUAUGCAUAAACUUAUCAUUAUCAAAUAACAUGUAUGGUAAUGAGUUGCUGAAUGAAAAUUUCUACGAUCAUGAUAAAUUAGUUGAUAAUAUAGCACAUGACAAAGUGUUAUUGUUGUCCCUCUGCUUGGGUUAUCCAAACAUAGUUAAGUGCAAAUACUUCGAUUAUUCAGCGGGUAAAUAGAUGUGUAAAUAGAUUAUUGGGCAGACCAUGGUAGGUUGUUGCAGAUGACAUACAUAAGAAUAAAAGAACACCUACAUGUUUAAAUGGAAGGAUAAAAAGAUUACAAUGUCGUCAACAAAGAGUGCACAAAAAGCUUCUAAAGUGAAAGGAAAGCUUUUCUGAUUAUUACAAAUUCAGCCAAUGAGUUUCCAUGUGAUGAAAAAGAAUUUGGAAGAACAACUAAGAGAGAGUGUAGCAGUUGAACAACCUGUAGAGAUGAUUGAACAGGUGAAGAAGAAUUUGAAAGCCUCCAAUGUAAAGUAUAAAGUUGUUGUUGAUACACAUAGGCAUCAUAACACGUUUCAAAUGGGUGAUAUGAUUAUGGUGUUCUUGAGGACAAAGCAUGGAGAAAGUUGAAAGAAACUAGAUAGGAAGAAGAAUUGACCUUCUCAGAUUCUGCAAAAAAAUAAUGACAAUGCAAUGGUACUUGUUUUUCUUGAGCAUGUGAAGAUUUCCAAGACGUAAACAUUGCAGAUUUUAUGAGUAUGUUUUAGAUAAUGAUAAGUCUUUUGUAUCCUGAUGAGCACUCAGGGUAGAGUUGUUUUGGAGUGGAAUGGGAUGAUAUGGAAAAAGAGAAAGUCAUAAAUCAGUCAAAAUGGUGGAAGCGAAUGAUCUGAAAGCAUUUUUCGAUUCUCUAAAUUGUUCUCGGGCGAUACUUUUAAGGUCAAAAUUUCAUCAUUAUGGGUAUCUAUUUUGGCCUUUUUUUAAGAAAAUUUAAGGGUAAUUUAGUCAUUUUAAUGGUGUUUUUUCCCUUUCUAUUCAGAUUUCAACAAUGCUAUAGGUACAUAAAAAUUUUAAUAGAAAUCAUAUAGAUAGAUACUUGGCAGAUUAUUAUAGAAAGAUGACAAAAACACAAACAAAAAGCGGCCAUACAAGUGCUGCCAAUGUAACACCGGUACAAAUUCCAUCUACUUUUUCUUGUACUUGCAGCUUCCACCAGUUUGUAAUUGAUUUUGACCUUGGUUUAGAUUGGUGUUUGGAGAAGGAUUUAUAUUUCCAUAAUUGGAUUCCCCAAUUUCUAGCUCUGAUACCAUAUUGGAUUUGAGAGAAAAAAUGAAUUUGAGAUUGUAUUGUAUUUAAGAAAAAUGAAUCUGAGAAUGGAAUGAAUGUUUAUUCCAUUAAUCUGUGCUCUCAAUAUACAAUGGGGCAGUGUAUAUAUACAGCAAAAAAAAAAAAAAAGAAUCUACGCCUAACUAAUUUACACAGAGUACACAGCAAUGAAAACAUAACAAAUCCAAGUUGUACAAUAACAAAUCCCUUCUAGACUAUUCUCCUGUUAUUACUGCUAUGAGGUCCACGUGGCCUGUAUCCUCUCAAGACUUUAGCCAGGUCAUCUUCGAGCUGUUCCAACUGGAUCAUCCUCUAACUUUACAUUCUAUUUUGGAAUAACCAAUAAAACUUGUUUGCAUGGAAAGCAAUCACUCAUCCACGUAGUUUUACACUCCACGUCUUAUGUAGAAACUAUAUAUGUAAUUUUAUAGAUAGAUUUAAUUUUGUAUCGUGACAGCUAAUUAGUUUUUAAAUAAACUAUCCUGUCAAAUAACCUAUUCUUUAAUUGAUUUUAUCCAUUUCCAUUUUAUUUUGUAUGGAUAUUACAUUUAUUAAAUUUAAAUAGUAUCCAAAAUCACAUUUUAUGCAUAAACUUAUCAUUAUCAAAUAAUAUGUAUGGUAAUGAGUUGCUGAAUGAAAAUUUCUACGAUCAUGAUAAAUUAGUUGAUAAUAUAGCACAUGACAAAGUGUUAUUGUUGUCCCUCUGCUUGGGUUAUCCAAACAUAGUUAAGUGCAAAUACUUCGAUUAUUCAGCGGGUAAAUAGAUGUGUAAAUAGAUUAUUGGGCAGACCAUGGUAGGUUGUUGCAGAUGACAUACAUAAGAAUAAAAGAACACCUACAUGUUUAAAUGGAAGGAUAAAAAGAUUACAAUGUCGUCAACAAAGAGUGCACAAAAAGCUUCUAAAGUGAAAGGAAAGCUUUUCUGAUUAUUACAAAUUCAGCCAAUGAGUUUCCAUGUGAUGAAAAAGAAUUUGGAAGAACAACUAAGAGAGAGUGUAGCAGUUGAACAACCUGUAGAGAUGAUUGAACAGGUGAAGAAGAAUUUGAAAGCCUCCAAUGUAAAGUAUAAAGUUGUUGUUGAUACACAUAGGCAUCAUAACACGUUUCAAAUGGGUGAUAUGAUUAUGGUGUUCUUGAGGACAAAGCAUGGAGAAAGUUGAAAGAAACUAGAUAGGAAGAAGAAUUGACCUUCUCAGAUUCUGCAAAAAAAUAAUGACAAUGCAAUGGUACUUGUUUUUCUUGAGCAUGUGAAGAUUUCCAAGACGUAAACAUUGCAGAUUUUAUGAGUAUGUUUUAGAUAAUGAUAAGUCUUUUGUAUCCUGAUGACAACUCAGGGUAGAGUUGUUUUGGAGUGGAAUGGGAUGAUAUGGAAAAAGAGAAAGUCAUAAAUCAGUCAAAAUGGUGGAAGCGAAUGAUCUGAAAGCAUUUUUCGAUUCUCUAAAUUGUUCUCGGGCGAUACUUUUAAGGUCAAAAUUUCAUCAUUAUGGGUAUCUAUUUUGGCCUUUUUUUAAGAAAAUUUAAGGGUAAUUUAGUCAUUUUAAUGGUGUUUUUUCCCUUUCUAUUCAGAUUUCAACAAUGCUAUAGGUACAUAAAAAUUUUAAUAGAAAUCAUAUAGAUAGAUACUUGGCAGAUUAUUAUAGAAAGAUGACAAAAACACAAACAAAAAGCGGCCAUACAAGUGCUGCCAAUGUAACACCGGUACAAAUUCCAUCUACUUUUUCUUGUACUUGCAGGACAAUUCAUUCAGAUUUAUUUUGAUGUUUCUUAAUUUUUUUUUGAUUUUGUCUAUAGAAUUAGAAUUUCACUUUGAAUAAGAUUCAUUGUAAUUAUUUAAAAAUAUGUUAAGGGCGUGACUUUUUACUGAUUAAUAAUAAUUCAAUUUAUUCCGUUGAUUAGUGGGUUGUAAUAACCGUCACCUUCUUUCGAGCGAAAAUCAGCAAUACCCGUUUGUGUGAGGAACAAAAUUAUUUUAUUAUUAUUUAAGUUUCCAGCAUGCAUCAUAAAUCUUCUAUUUCAAAAUUAAAUUAUUUUCCUUUAUCUAAGUGUAUUAAAUGGAUGGGUUGGGUCUACAAAGAGAUUCAAUGGAUCAGUAAUAAGAGGUUAUCAUUUUAAUAAUAAAAAAGUAAAACAUGUAAUAGCAGUAAAUUUGGCUUGCAAAUUUUUAAGCCUAGUGGUUAUAGGACUGCUCCUUUUAGGUUCAAAUUAUAUUGGCAAACUUUCGUGUCCAAAAUAUUAUUUUAUCGAGUUGUAAUUAUGGUUAAGUUUUCAACCUGGGAAGGAAUCAAAGUCAUCUCAAGAAUAUGAAGAUGAGGCAAAAAAGGUCCCGUGGCUGUCGAUAAACCACUCACGUGGUUUUAGCAAAGAUCGAUCGUUCGCCAACCACUGGAGGGAACUCGAGCAAUCGUGAUAUCAAGCCAAAUAGUUCACGAUUUUCACCAAUCCCAAACAACUCAUAACUAUUAUGAAUAUCCAAGCCAAAAUUCGUUCUUGGGGCAUGUUGAGCCUUUAUUCAUUCAAUAAAACACUUCGUUAAAGAUCUACUAAACAAUCUAUAAUUCCCUUGCAUCAACCAAAAGAUCAAAACACCAAAUAAUGCCCUCCGAAAUAUCUUUCAGAGAGAUUAUAGGAGUUUCGAUUCAUAAAGAAUGAGUUCAUUCUCGUGAUCCACGAGGAGAAAAGAAGUCUAGAAGUUUAGGAGUUGUGGCAGGAGUGCACAAUCAAAAAUUUCUUCGAUGGUUAUAGGUUGGAGAUCAGAGUCUACUAAGGUUUAGCUGUAAUUGGAUCAAUCCUGUAAGUUUAAAUUUUUUCUAGUGGAUUAUUUACUCAAAGAUUUUUUUCUCGAAGAAGUCAAACGGGUGAAAUAUAGUCGAAGUAUUCCCCACACAUCAAUUUCCAAUUGAAAAAAUAAUGCUCUAGAUUUUUGGCCUCGGAUUGGAAUGUUUGGAAAAAUGAUAUUUCAAGAAUAAUUGUAGUUAUUUGAGUUAGACUUUCAAUACACUUUGAACUAUCUCAAUCGAAUAUCGAAAAAGAAAUAUCAACGACUGCUUAGAGAUAAAACGUCGCACUCCUAAGGGUUUGUAGCAUGCACGAGCUUGGCCCCUCACCAUGGUCGCCUAAAGCCAAAUUCACAAAACCAGGCACGUACCUCACACUAAACGAAGCACAGGCCUUGAAGGAAUUUGGGGAGAAAAUUUUAUUUUCUUCCUUAAUUCGGCAAGUUUUUGGAUGAUAUAUUUAGCAUCUUUUAUAACCUAAGGGAGGUCUAGAACGUGAAGAACCUUUCGUUUAUCAUUGAAGAGAGUCUAGCAAUGGCGAAAAAGAGUUUUACAACAAGAAUUUAAAAUUCAAGGCUCAAAUUGGAGUCAUUUGUUGAAGAAAUAGAGUUUUCAAGAUCUUCUUCUGGCUAUUUCGCACGAGUGAUGUCUUUCCAAUUAUAGUUUGUAUAAUUUGAAUACAAUAAUGCUAGGCUAAACUUCGCUUGUAUUAGAUGAAUGAUGAAGCCUAUUAAUUGAAACCAAAUAAUUACUAUUUUCAAUUCAAAUAUUAAAUAUGAAAAUUCUUAUGUCAAAUUCAAAUUUUAAGCUUACCAAGUUUACGUUCUAAUUAAUCAAUUCGACCUUACGUGCGGAAUUAAUCUAACUAAAUCAACAAGUCACUUUAAUUAGCUGUCUAGUUGAUUAAACAUACAUUCCAAUUUCCCUAAGUUUGAAUGCCGCAAUAAUAAUAUGGAAAGCAAUUAAAUCAACACACAAUAUGAUGAUGGAGAAACCUCAACAUGGGUAAAACUGCGGGACCAAGUCAGUAAGUUCUACUAUACCAAUUCAGCCAGUACAAGUUCUGCCAAAUUUCAUACCCAGUCAGGCCCACUGUUCCAAUCUCACGAUCUACUGUCGUAGAUGCUACUAGUCUCCCGCUAGUUUCCCUAUCUACCUCCUGCAGCUCAAUCUACUGUCUCAUACAGCCUCUUGCUCUUUAACUGAUUGUAUCACCAAGUAGAAUUCCAAGAACCUCCUGCGCUUCUCGUCCACAUCUCUCAAUCCCCUAGUGAAAGAGUCCCUUCCUCAACAGAUGAAGAAGUGCCGGUGUUUUGUCUUCACAAACUUGAUGUUUUUCCCCACACGGUUGGUUGUCGGAUCACAAGAAUUAUAUAGAUGAAUUCUCCAAUUGAAUUGCACUCUUGGAUCUCUUAAAUGUGAUAUGAAUAUUUUUCACAAUGAUAGAACAAUAUGACAACCCCCUUAUCUCACAUCCCAGAUUUUGGUAUUUAUACUUAAGAUCAAUAUGUGUCUUGGGUCAUGAAAAAAUCUCGAAAAAUGUGAAACACGAUUUUCCAGAUGACACUGUCACUCGAGCUACGUCGAGCGAAAAGCGAGCGACGCGAUUUCACUCAAGCGAUGUACCGACGACAAGUGAGUGACAAACAUUUUGCUUUUGUCCGCUCGAGCGAGGUCAGGCGGGAGGCGAGCGAAAAUGCACCGAUUCUUCAACUUCAUUCCAAACUCAAACCCUAACCCUAACCUACCUCAACUAACUAUACAAAAUUACACCCUAGGUCCCUGACUUUUACACCAUAGUUCAAUUCAAUCCCUGACUUUCAUAAAAUUACAAUUACGCCUAUUUUAUCCAUAGAAUCACUAAUAACAUUUUUAGACCUAAUAAACUCCCCCUUUGGCAUUUUGUGACAAAACCAUACAAAUGAAGUCAGAACUCUAUAAAAAGUAAGUCAGGACAAAUAACUUAUACUACACUACCUGGCAAACACAUUAGUUGAGUCUUGCAUUCCUUUCUGUACCUGUUUUCUGAAAUCCACAAACUUAUAUAUUAGUGUAAAAGCACGUGAUACAGGAAAUAUAAAAAUUAAAACACUUAAUCACAAUUCAACAUGCUAGUUUGAGACGUAACAUUGAUGCCAAUCAAAACACCGACCGAAACACCAAUACCACUAAAUAUCAAAACUCAAACAGAUAUGGAUGUGAUAUGGAAUGCAAUGCUUCUCCUUACUGCAAGCUUUCAUGCUUUUAUGCAGUAGGUGAAUGUAUCUAUGUUUCUCUCCAACGACCCAGACAUAGCAAUGCCAUGCACUUAGUGUCAAUCAAAGAAAUCGUGUGCAUGCAUAUGCACUUUCAUUAUUUUUUUCCCCUCAGUUACACAUUUCUCUCCCCCUUUUUGUCAUAAAUUCAGAAGGGAGUCACAGUAAAAACAAGUUGAGAAAUAACACAUAAUAAUUCAAAAAUGUAGUUGAUAGCAUGCAAAAGCAAAAUUAACAAGUAGUACACAUCCCCACAUACUCAGUUCAGACUAGAAUAGAGUAAAAAGUACAAAUGACCCACGUGUGUAAAGUGUCACCAAUCCAAUGUAAGCUAGACUCCAAACCUUAAUUUUGUGAGAAGGGACAUGCCAAUCACUGCUAAUAAAUAUACUCUCCUACUAAUGAAAAUCAAAUCAUGUAACGUGUAGUAGGACCUAUAUUUAUUAUUUUUACUUAUCUCCCCCAUACUAUGAGCUUAUAUAUUUUUCAAUUUUUCAAAUAAUUCCAGUUCAUAAUAUUUUUCAUAUGUUUCUCAUUUUUCUCAUUUUUUUCAGUUCAUUAAUUUUUCAUCUUAAGUGCAGGUUCUUCUCCAUUAGACGACUAAGAUAACCCCUGUAGUGAGCUUUAGACUCGUUAACCCAAGUCAGUUGACCAUAUGCACUAGGUUUUAAGAGGCCCCGCAGGCUUAAUUGCUCGAGUCAAAUAGGCCCCGAAGAAGAACAUUAAGAUAUGAGCUUUAAUGCAAUAGGGGAAGAUUUUUGGGUUAAGGUCUACAUAAAAUGGUCAAUUCAUGUUCAAAGUCACCCCAUCAACAUGUGACAGCCAUUCCAAAUCUCACACACGCGGUAGAGUCCCAUGAACAAGUUCAUAGUGUGUGCAGUGCACAUGAUGCAUGCAGACACUUAUACAGAUUAAUCCAACUAGACCUAAACAAGAAAUGAAAAUUAUUCUACAGCGUAUCAAUUUUAGCUCUACAUUAUCAAACGUGCAAGUUCAAAGUCAUGUGUCAUGCUGUAGCAAUUUUCAUAACCAACAAUUUUUGUCUUUUUAAAUUUUUCGAUGUUUUUAUGUUUUCAUUUUUCCUAAACUGAAACCUCCACACACAAAAUAAAAUAAAGCAAGCACACAAAGACAAAAAUAAACAUGAAUGCGCCAAAAGAAACAAAUGAAAAAGCAUGCAUGAAAUAACUAACAAAACAAAACAUAUACAUGUGAUGCAUGCAAUAAUUAUAUGUUAAUUAAGAACCAAGUAUGCAUCAAAAAUACCUAAUCAAGUAGGUAUAUGAAUGUUCUUUCCUUUAAGAGCGCCAUGAUCUACAACCAAAUUUGGGAGAUCGAUCUUCUUUACCCAAACCUGUCUAGAACGGGGAUUGUUUUUAGAUAGCUGUGUUAUCAAUUAAGUCAAACGAUUCACUUGAUCAGCAAGGAAUCCAAUCUCACCAACAGAUACUUGAUUUUUGUUCUUUUUCGGCUCAAGUCUUUCCUAUUAUUCAGGUACUGAUGAUAUCUAGGGCGGAUAUGACCUAACUCACCACAGUGAAAACAUGUAGGGACAAACCUAAGACCUGUGAUAUGCUUAGGCUAAUUUCUACUCUUAGGCCGACGGGUCGUAUUGCGUCUGGUAGACCUACGACCUGAAGAUCCCACAACAUUUGGUAUGGUGUUAGUCACAAUGUUUGGCUGGUCAGUAGCACGAACAAAGAUGGUCUGUGAUAUACUAGUAGCAUUCAAAUCAAAACCUAGACCUCCCUUAUCACUAGCCGGCUUGCCUAUUCCUAGAAUAUUAUCUAGCUUUUCAGAACUGCUAGAAAAGAUAAGUAUUUGAGGCCUAGACAACUCUAGCUUGCUCUCAAGUUGCUUAACCUGAAUAACUAAGGUCUCAUUCUCAACGGUCAGCUCACUUAAUCUCGUAAAGGACAUCUCAUUCUUACUGGUGAGAUCACUAACCUGUGCCUCUAACCGUUCAUUCUCUAGCCUAAGCUCCUUCACUUUUUUGCUUAGCACCUGGUUAGUGGCAAUGAUCUUGAGUCUUUCCCCAUACAUCUUCUCAUAAGCCUCUUCUAGAUCUUGUUCACUUCCGCUCUCAUCACCAGAUUCUUCACUACUAUCUAGGUCCUCUUCUCUUUCACUCCCCCGAUCGGAUCCACUCUCAACCCUUGCAACGAAGGCCACAUAUUUUCCACUCUCCUCGCGGGUGGAUUUCUCACUCUGAUUUCCGAGCUAGACUCGUCGUCAGUGAGAGUAGUAUUCAUAGCAUUUUCUUCAAAUCUCUUAGUACUAGGUCACUCAUUCCUCACAUGACCGAAACCGCCACAGUUAUGGCAUCUCACGGAUUUAGAUUUCUUCCUAAAUUCACUCGAGCAACCUCUUUGUCUCUCUUGAGGCUUCUUCUUAUUCCUAAAUUUUUUUCAUAAUUUCUUAGCUAGGUAGCCAUCUCCUCAUCAUUGCGUGAAUCAGAAUCAGAAGAUUUCAUCAGGGUAUUCCUAGCGAUUUUCAAGGCUAUGAAUUUUUUCUUAGCGGGAUUGUCUAAGGUCAAUUCAUAGAUCUGGGGGGAUCCCACUAACUCCUCUACCUUGAUAGUGUCUAUGCCCUUACUUUUCUCAAUUAUCGUAACUUUAGGCCUAAAACGCUCAGGCAAGGAUCUAAGAAUUUUUCUCACUAUCUUAGGCUUGGGGAUCUUCUCAGCUAGGUUGAAGGAUGAAUUUACUAUGUCAUUUAAGCUCGCAUAGAAUACAUCAAACAUCUCAUCCUCUGGCAUCUAAUCUCUUCAAACCUAGUGGCCAACAUCUGCAUUUUUGAAUUUUUAACUGCCUGAGUUCCCUCAUGUGUGGUUUCUAAAAUAUCCCAAACUUCCUUUGCUACCUCACACAUGGAUACUUUCCUAAGCUUCUCGGGGGAAAUUGCCAUAAACAAGGCAUGAAGGGCUUUGCUAUUCAAAUUACAGCUAUCCAGUUGAGCUCUAGACCAAUUCUCGAUAGGGGUGGGAGUGACUACAUCAUCUAUUGUGGUACUAGGGGCUGGUGCUGACCAGCCAUUUACCACAAUCUGCCAAACACGCUCUCCAAGGAUUUCAAAAAUGCCCUCAUCCUCACCUUCCAAUAUGCUUAAUUAUUCCCUUCAAAGUGGGGCGGCACAUUCAAUGAAGUACUCAUCUAGACUAUGUAAGGUUAGGACAUGCACUCAGGCUCUGAUACCACUUGAAAAUUCACGGGAACACUUAGAUAUGUCAAAUUCAAAUUAUAAGCUUACCAAGUUUACGUUCCAAUUAAUCAAUUCGACCUUACGUGCAAAAUUAAUCUAACUAAAGCAACAUGUCGCUUUGAUUAGUUGUCUAGGUGAUUAAACAUACAUUCCAAUUUUCCUAAGUUUGAAUGCCGCAAUAAUAAUAUGGAAAGCAAUUAAAUAAACACACAAUAUGAUGACGGAGAAAUCCCAAUGUGGGUAAAACUCCAAGACCAAGCCAGUAAAUUCCAAUAUACCAAUUCAGUCAGUACAAUUUCUGCCAAACCUAUACCCAAUCAGACCCGCUGUUCCAGUCUCACAAUCUACUGUUGUAGAUGCUACUAGUCUCCCGCUAGGUUUUCGAUCUACCUCCUGUAGACCAAUUUGCUGUCCAAUACAGUCUCAUAAUCUUUAGCUGAUUGUAUCACUAAGUGGAGUUCCAAGAACCUCUUGCUCUUGUUCAGUUCCUGCGCUUAUCUUCUACAUCUCUAAAUGCCCCAGUGAGAAAGUCCCUUCCUCAACAAAUGAAGAAGCACCAGUGUUUUGUCUGCACAAACUUGAUGUUUUUCCCCACAUGGUUGGUUGUCGUAUCACAAGAAUUAUAUAGAUGAAUUCUCCACUUGAAUUGCACUCUUGGAUCUCUCAAAUAUGAUAUGAAUAUUUCUCACAAUGAUAGAACAAUAUGAUAACCCCCUUAUCUCAUGUCUCAGACUUUGGUAUUUAUACAUGAGGUCAAUAUGUGUCUUGGGCCGUGCAAAAAUCUCGAAAAAUGCCAAACACGAUUUUCCAGAUGACACUGUUUCUCGAGCGACGUCGAGUAAAAAGCGAGCGAUGCACCAGCAACAAGGGAGCGACAGACAUUGUGCUUCUGUCUGGUCGAGCGAGGUCAGGUGGGAGGCGAGCGAAAAUGUGUCGAUUCUUCAACUUCGUUCCAAGCUCAAACCUUAACCCUACCCUACCUCAACCAACUAUACGAAAUUGCACCCUAGGUCCCUGACUUUUACACCAUAGUUCAAUUCAGUCCUUGACUUUUACAAAAUUACAAUUAUGCCUAUUUUGUCCAUAGAAUCGCCAAUAACGUUUUCAGACCUAACAAAAUAUUUUAGUAAAUUCUUGUUUUCUUAUUCAAUUAUGGAUGUUUAUUUCGUUGUUUGAAUGAUUGCGCAUUAUUUAGACAAUAAUUUGCUUAUUGUAGUGUAAGAAGACUCAUAAUAAGUAGAACACUGCAUAUUUGACGCACGAACAAUAGGUUUUAGGAAUAAUAUUUAUUACAUAUGCAAUCAUGUGUGAUAAUCAUGUGAUUAAAUGUUUGCUCUGCAUAUGAACUCAGACUAGAUAUAGGAUCAAGUCGUGCUUAAGAUAGGUUUAGUAUGUCUUGGAAAAAAAUUAAAUAUUAAUGAAUUAUCGAUUGUCACGAGCAUUUGAAGAUCACCAAAUUACAUGGUUUAAGAACAGGAAAUCGAAGUCAACAGGUGGAUUCUAAAAUCCAAUAACAUUCAUCUCAUUAUUUGAUAAAAAUCAAUUAUUUAUAUAUUCUUAGAUUAAGUUGGAAUAACUACAAACAAAUCAACUCUUUUGUAUUAUAAACAUCGAAUUUGAUACAAACUAGUAAUUUAUAGUUAAUAGUUAUUCCUCAUGGGAUGAUAAGUUAACUCAUCACAAUAUUACUUGUCAAAAUUCCAUAUGCUUAUGGGUUUUGCUUAUAUUAGAGAUAUCAAAUGACUAUAUAUAGUUUGUGAUCGACAUAACAGUACUAGACAUACCAUUGAAAUUGUUCAUCCAGGAGCAAUGCAUGGAAUUUGUACAGUUCACUUACUAAAAAUCUUGAAGACUCAUUACGGGAGUUCGGUCACAAUAUAACAUAGGCAUUUAAUUCUGUUGUUCGAGCAUACACAUUAGAUGUAUUCAAAAUACCAUAUGCAAUAGCUGGACAUAAUGAAUGGAGAUAUUAGAGGAUAUCAGAUUAGUGCCUCUAAUUAUAUUUUACAUCCAUACAUGAACAAAUUUUGUGUAAGUUAACUGCAUAUUGAUAUUUUAUAUUCUUAGGAAGAAAUUGGUCAUGAGAAGUAGUCAUGAGUGCACAUGUCGACUAAUAGGUAUUCAACAAUAACAAUGAAGAUAGUGGAAUUGGUACAAAGGCAGCAAAGAACUAUCAUGUUGAAGCAUUGCCGGAGUCGUUGAGACAAACUAUCCAGACUUAAUUCGGCAAGAAUAGAGAAAAUGCACAUGGUAAUAGUUUCUAGCUUUUAUUUUGUAAUAUUAAUAAAAUGCUCCGUAAGUUCUAUGCAUAUUCAUUAAUUUCUUUAAGAUUUUGCUAAUGUCUUAUUUUUGCUAUAACUUAGGAAUAGAAUAGAGAAUAAAAUUUCCCAUUCCAUCCAUUUUCCUUUCUAAAUGGACAUAGCUUUAUGAUAAUAGAAUCACAACGGAUUGCAAUCACUACAAGAAAUAUGAGUUUUGCCGACCAAAAAAUUGGUCAGUGAAGGUCCAAUAUUAGUUGGUAAAACCAUUCACUUACUAGAAAAUGUUGGUCGGAAGCUAGUCGCCAAAAGCCAAGCAGUAAAAGUUUUCACCGACUAGAAUACAUUUUAGUCGGUAAAUGUAGAGUUUUUUCCGACCAAACUUAUGUUAGUCGGUAAAGAUACAACUUUUUGUGACCAUAUUUUGGGUCGGAAAAAGUCAUAUAUUAGUCGGGAAUAUGACUUUUGCUGACUAGGAAAUUAGUCGCUAAAAAUCCAAUAUCAGUCGGUAAAUCCAAUUUAUGACUGAAAAAUGUUGGUCGGCAACUAGUCGCCAAAAGCCAGCCAACGAAGGUUUUUAACGAUCAAACUAUACUUUAGUCGGGAAACAUAGAGAUUUUUGCUGACCAAAAAAUUGUUGGUUGGUAAUGACCUAACUUUUUGCCUACCAUACUUUUGGUAGUCAAUAAUAUAUAUUUGCCGACCAAUAAAAUUCAAGGCAGUAAAUUUGAAUUCUAUUUUCUACUAUGAUAUUGGUCAGUAAAUGUGAUUUAUUUUAUUUUUUGAACCUAUGCAAUAAUCAAAAUUAUAAAGUAGAUUAAAAGGCCAACUUGAACACAAGGUACUAAUAAAAAUUUCAAAAUAAAAAAAAAUCCAAAACCAAAAAACAAUUGUCACAACCAAAAGCCUCUAGCAAAAUAUAUACAAGGCAAAAUAGUAUAUCACAUCUUUACAAGUCAAUUCCAAUUCCAUCUAUGAAAACACAGUGUCUAAACUAUAAUGGAAUCCAAAAUAAAAAGCCUAGUCAAGUUCCAAAAAUCUGAUAAGACUAGUUUCAUUACAUAUUUCUCCUUGGUCACAGGAUGGAUCCAGCGUUUUGUACCCUUGUAAUGUAUGUUCUUCCAUAGCUGAAUUCACAAAAUUGUAUUGGAAUAUGAAGUUCCUGUAGCAAGCAACCAAAAUCAGAACGGUAGCAAUUUUGAUCAUUAUGGAUAUGCGUACAUAUCAAUGAAACAUUCACACAUAUUCAAUAUAUGGAAGAGUGACUUUUUAAUCUGUUGUCGAUAGAAAAAUGAAGCGAGUGACAAUUAAUUUUAAAUUUUCAUAAGAACCAUGUAAUGUAGUCAUGUUUCAAGAAAUUAUACACUGAUUUGACAACAUUGUAUUGUUCUUUCUAAUAACUAAGAAGAAAAAAUAGCGGUACAAACUCAAUUUUCUCACUCUUUGCUUUACGUCCUUUGAGAUGCUACAGUAAUGUAUUGUGAAUAUCUUUUCAAUUUCAUGGAAGCUGGGAAGAGAGACAUUCACCAAAGCAGAUAAAAGGCUGACCAAGAAGUGGAAGGCAGAUAAGAAUGUUCCAACAAACUCAGGAGGCUUCCAAGUACCUUUCUCGUAUUCCCGUACUUAAUACUAUUCCCUCUGGUCUUAAAAAGUUCAAGGUCAUGGCUGAAGCAAUAUCACUAACUUCUAAUCAUUUAGAGUGCCUUCCUUUUUUGAUACUUGGUAUACUGGUACUUAACUUAUAUGUGUGAAAGCAAGAGGGUCAGAUUUCUUUGAUCAGGAAAAUAAUUGCCUGAUACCUUAGUAAUGUUUAGAACUCGCAAGUUUACUCUAUCAAUUGCAAAAUUUCUUAAUUCCUAACAUGUAGAGAAAGAACAUAACCUAUUAACGUGUGUUAUAUUUUAACCUUUAGCAUUGACAUACUUCAAACCUUUGUUUCUUCCUUCAGUAAUAUUAUAACAAUAUCAUGUUAAUAAAAAAUAGAAUUAAGAACUAAAUAAUAAUCAUAGAAAUACCUCUCUGUGUUGGCACAUUGACCAGUGCAGGUUGGAUGGUAGUGUAGGCUACAAGCUAGGUUGAGUGAUCGUCUGCAUGGUAGGAACAUUCUACACGUUCUUGGGAUGGUGGCUUCUUUUUUGGUGGCAUUGGAAUAACCAACAAGGUAUGUAACAUAAUAGUAAAGAUAGAAAAUAUCAUAAUGCAUAUAAAAGAGUCUUAUAAUGAUCAAGAAAAGAAAUUGUGUUUUACUAUAUGGCAGGAUGUCAAUCGCUAUCACUAUCGGAAAUGAAUUCUAACUCUGUAUCAGAUUUUUGGAAUCUUAUGAUCCAUGUCAUCAAUUUCAAACUGGAAGUCCUCUUCCAUGUCAACUACAUCAAUGUUUUCCUCAUCUACUUGUUCAAAUGGAACAUCAAUGCGAACAUAUAGUCUACGUUCCCGGUGUCAAUAGACUAUAUGGGGGACAUGGGAGUAAAAUCACAGAAGUUUCAACUACAUCAAUGUUUUCCUCAUCUAAUUGUGUUUAUUUUCAUUAUUCUUAUGAAUUUUACAUUAAUUUUUUUUUUUUUUUUUUAUGAAUUUACUUGAAAUAAUAGGCAGUCUCUAUAAAAUUGCUCCAUUUUGAUCACGAGUUAUAGAGUGAGCAUGACGAAGGUCGAGUAUGAGUUUCCACUUCACACCUUCUCGAGUCAGAUACUCAUGAGAAAACAAGUGUUAUUAAUGCGAGCUACAUCAUGAAAUAAUUAUUUCUCGAUAACUUGAGCAAAACUUAUUCGAAAUAAUUAUUUCUUGAGUCCAAUGUGCAUUAUUUAAUGCAAGCUACAUAAUGAACCCAGAAUUUGCAUACUAAUUCUAAAUCUAUUAAAUUUUAAUUAUUUGACCCAAAAAAAUAAGAAUUUAAAUCUUAGUUCUCUAUAGCCCUUUAACUUUCAAAAGAAUAUAUAUAUAUAUAUAUAUAUAUAUAUAUACACAUAAAAAAUAGCAUUGAAAACAAUUAAUUCCAUUCUAUAAAAAAUUUCGAGGCUUUACAGAGUACUAUAUGUGUUAUUCAACAUUUACAUACAGGUCCAAGUAUAUUGCCUUAUAUAGAAGCUCCGACUUUAGACGUCAUUAUAAUCGUAAUCGAACAUUUCAAACUAGAAGUUCCAGUCCACUUCAUAAAAGAAAAAUAGAAACUGGAAUUGUUAUCCCCUCAUACGCUUGGACACAUCACCCCAUAUAAGGCUCUGUUUGAGCCCCAAUCAAAAGCUUCCUCGUUAGGCGUUGAACUUUACAAAUGCAAUCUCAUAUAUCACUAAGAACUUCAAAAGUUUUUCCAUUCGUUACUGAACUUUAAAAAAUGUAAUCACAUCCAUCACUCAGUGACUAAUGGUAAAGUUCAGUGACCCCCUUGAAACCUUACGCAAAGUUCAAUAACCAAUCAGGUAAUUAACCAAUUUUUAAUUUUCUUGGCCUUUUUCUUUCUUUUCUCCUUUUCCUGUACUCCUACUUCCACAAUUUUAUUCUUUCUAUUACCGUUGAACUUAGAAAAAAGAAUAGCUUUUUAUCGUGAAAUAAUUGAUAAGAUUGUCUACUAUCUUCUCUAAGAUUGAAGAGGGAAUUGAGGAUAGUUUUAUGGACUGCUUAAGCUUCGAUUGUCUUUCUCUCAAGACAUAUCUGAAUAUAAACAAAAAAUCUAUUAGAUUAUUAGACAAACAUUAUUUGAAAUAUUAUUAUUUUUUAAAUGUAAGGAGUAGAAUCGAAUCGAAAACUGGCGGUUCUGGUUCAAGUUUGGUUUUUAUAAUUAGUGUAUGUAUGGUUCUAUUCAUGAAAUACCCUAAUAGUAAUGGAUGUUUCCAAGUAUUAAAUAAUUUAAAUCAACUCACCUGACGUCCAAAAUGCUUAGCCAUAAUAAGGUCAAAUUUGAUAUAGAGUUGAUCAAAUAAUUAAAUCGUAAAUUUGAACCAGAAGACUCCUGCAAUCGUCUAAAAUGCUUAGCCAUAAUCAUAGUUAUGCAUGUAUAGAUUUCUACAAUUGAAUAUAGUUGAGUGAUAAAACACCUGCAAUUAUGUGAAACUCCAUAAGAAAGAACCGUGAAAUUAUUUGAAGGGCACCAAUAAAGUUCUUGAAGGAUUACUAAAGAUAAUUAAUCAAGUUAUUGUUAUAUGAAUUUUCAAUCUAGAUUUUCAUUGGGGCCUUGACUCAUCUACUAUGCACCAAAUAGAGCUCCAUGUAAUAUCAAAAUCAAUGAUUAAUAAUCAAAUGAUCAAUAUGAUAUCAAUAGAGUCAAGUUGACCAUCCUCCAGUGACCUCUAAAUGUGCAUUCCGUAACUGUCUUUAUGACCACCUAAUAAAUUUUCGUCUAUAGAUUAUGGUAGUGAUGAUCUUUCGAUACCUACUCAUUGUUGAAGAAAAAUCUCUAUUAAGUAAAAUUAUCCACAUUCACCAUUUUUUAUUUGUCUAGUUAGAACACACACACACAUUGAAGUUAACUUUGGAAUCACCCAUUGAAAAAAUCAUCGAAAAAUUAUUAUUAUAUUUUUUGUUUAUUUUACCAAUGAAUUACGAACUGAAUUUUAUCAACGAAAUUAUUUCCAGGAUAAAUCCAUCGAUAUUUUACUUUUCGAAUUUAAAAAUUUUUAAAAAAUGUUAGCAUUAAUUGGUCAUUGAUAAAACUUGAAAUUACAUUGGUAAGCGAUUGAAAUAUGCACUAAUUUCAGGCAUUAUAAUGAGAGAAAAUAAGAUAUUCAUUGACUCAUUUCAUCUCAUCGACAAAUAUAUCUAUCUAGGCCAACUAAUAGUUAUUUUGGUCAGUAAAUGUUGUGCCGCCAUAUUCCCUAUCAAAAAUUUGUCCCAAAAAUAAGUAUUCACCGAUCCCUUUCAUUUGGUAGACAAAUAUGUCUCAUCUAUGCUGACCACUAAUUAUUUGGGUCGGUAAAUGUUCUGGCGCUAUAAUCCCCGCCAAAAAAUUGGCUCAAAAAUGAGAUAUUCGCCGAUCAUUUUUUAUCUAGUAGGGAAAUAUAUCUCCUCUAUGCGACUACUAAUCAUUUUGGUCGGUAAAUGUAAGAUAUUUGCCGACCAUUUUUAAUCUAGUAGGCGAAUAUGUCUCGUCUAUGCCGACCACUAAUUAUUUGGGGUAAAUGUUCUGGCGCUAUAAUCCCCACCAAAAAUUUGGCUCAAAAAUGAGAUAUUCGUCGACCAUUUUUUAUCUAGUCGGCAAAUAUAUAUCCUCUACGCCGACUACUAAUCAUGUUGGUCGGUAAAUGAAGUUAUUUGCCGACCGUUUUUAAUCUAGUCGGCGAAUAUGUCUCGUCUAUGCCGACCACAAAUUAUUUGGGUCGGUAAAUUUUGUUGGCACUAUAAUCCCGCCAAAAAUUGGCUCAAAAAUGAGACAUUCGACGACCAUUUUUUAUCUGGUCGGGAAAUAUAUCUCCUCUACGCCGACUACUAAUCAUUUUGGUCGGUAAAUGUAAGAUAUUUGUCGACCACUUUCUAUCUAGUUGGAAAAUAUGUCUCGUUUACGCCGACUAAAGUAUCUUUUGGUCGGUAAAUAUUACUUUUAGUGGCCAAUAUUUGGUUGGUUGGAAAAAACUGCAAAGACUAUUUUCAGUGACUAUUUCAAUUGGGCCGGGGAAAAUUUGGUCGGGAAAACUCUAUUUUCUUGUAGUGGUAUAUAUUGAUAACAAGGUUUCAUAUGUGUGCACCAAAUUUUAACUAUAACUGAAUACAAUUGCCAAAUAGCAUUAAAUGAUAGUGCCUUAAUCAAACAAGAAUAAAUGAAAAGGUGCCAUUGUGCGGGUAUUAAUAAGAACUAAUUGCGAAAGUACAUAAUUCACUUGUUAGCGAAAGAUGUUGUAGUCGAUUGUCUUAAAUCAAAUUUCUUGUGUUGUUCAAUUAAUCACACUAUGUAUAGAUGUUAUAAAGGUACAUUGUAUUAACUUUCUUUUUUUUUUAUUUGAUGGGAAUGAGUAUAAAUAGAUAGAAAAAUGUAUUUGCAAUAAGGAAUCAAUGUUAUCUACAGAAUUAACUAGAUAUAAGGUGUUGGUGAAAAAUAGAACAAAUACGAUGAUAAGAGAUUAAAAUAAUACCUGUGCAAAAACAUGUUUUGGAGUCACUUGGUUUCAAUUUUACAUUGCAAAAAUCCAAAAUCUAUGUGCCUAGUUAACAAGGUCAAAAUAAUUGUUCAACACUAAAAGUUAUCAAACUUUCAUUUGUUGCUGGAUUUGUUCUGUCGUUCAUUCCAAACUUAUUCCUUUGAGAGGGAAUCAGAAUAAGUUUGCAAGUUUGUGUAGUCUUUUCCUGCGAUAGAGCUUGGAUGUUGGAAAUCUUCAUCUUCAGGAUGGUAAAACAAAAGUUCAACUCGAGCACCCAUAUAAUAAAGAGAGAAUAAUUUUUUUGUUCGUAGACCGUACACUGUCAUAAAACUGGUUCUAUUUUCUUAUUCCACAGUUUAUUAAUAAGUCUGUACUAUUUCAUAAUCAUAAUCACUACUUUUGCAAAAUAAAAAUAAAAAGUAUUCAGAUAGAAAAAUAUACCAUAUGUGCAAGUUAUGUGCCAAAAUUGAUAUGAAAUCAAAAAGAUAGUUGCUAUCUGUUCCAAAAGCAAAAGCCCUUUGGCACUCUUGUGGGGAGUUGGUUGUCUUCAAGAUAUUUUGCAAAGUGCAUACUUCAUUUCCAUUUUGUAAAAUUUUUAGUUAUCUCAUUAAUUAUUUGCUAUUUUAAAUAUUGUAUUCCAGUUAUUUUAUCCAACAUUGCAUUUUUAUAGCAUUCACUUGACAUUACUUCAAUUCUAAUAGUUCACAAAAAUUAUGAAAAAUUACCAACUUUUCUGAUGUAAGGGUAAAGGGUUUGAAAUACAUACCUUGCACGUUGCGGGGUCUCUUUGCAUUGGCUUGCCAUUCUUACAGUCAAAAUCAACAUUAAUAUUUGAAAGUCUGCUUGUAAACAACAGUUUGAUCAACAAAUAUAUGACUAAUACUUGAUCUAUGAGUGUGUAUGUGUGUAUGCAUAUGUACAUAUUCACGUAUACUAAGUAAAGAGAAAGAUUAUACUUGUACAAUCCUUAAGGUAAAGAAGAAUACCACUAGAAGUAUUUUUUAUUCUCACCUUUCUAGUGUGAACAAAUAUGAUUGAGAGUGAGUGCGCCUAUUUAUGCACUUAUAUGAGGUGGGAAGAAAGAUGAUACCUAUAUACUUCAUGGUACAUGAAGUGAUGGGUUACUCACAAUGCUUUUGUCUGUCCCUACUGGAUUUGUGUGCAGGUGUGUGUGUUCAUGUGUGUGAGAGUAUGCACAAAUACAUAGUGAAGAAGAAAGAAAAUACCUAGACAGUUCAUGGUCAGGAAGGAUGCUACUCUUAACAUUUGUAUCCUUCCUACAAGUGGACAAAUUUUAAAAAGAAAAAAAUAAUAGUAAUAAUUAAACAAAAUUAAACAAAAAAAAAAAUCGUAUAUAUGUAUGGGAACUUUCGAAUUAUAAAAUUAUCAAAAAUAUACUUAAAAACAACCAUAAAAUGAAGAUGUGCCUAUGUGUUGAACCUUAGACUAAUUGAACUGCCAACAUAGGGAUGCUUCCGAGUCAAUGCUUGCUCUUCUUCCCCGAUAAGGGUUGUGCUAGACCUACCACAAGAUAUUUGAAGUGUACAAGAACACAUUUAAAUUGUAUUAUAAUCAAAUGAUUUAGAAAAUAAAGAAGACUUGAACAAUUAAUUAAAUCCUUCAUAGUCAAUUCUAACUUAAAACGAAAAGGGACUUACCUAUUUAAAUAUGGGAGUGGACAAGAAUUGUAGUUGGGAACUCCAUAGUUGGCAUUGUCUCUGGUUAUAUUUCUGCUACGAUCUUUAACCAUUGAGCAGUAAUUUCUACCCAUUGUUAUUAUAUGUGACAAUGAGUAGUCAUCUCUUUUCUGUCCAAGAUUUUGCACAAAAGUUUCUGAAAGAUUUUGAGUCCGAGUCUCAUUUGGAGAAGGGGUGUGGAUAGGUUCAAUUGAAAUGUGAGAUUCUAUAAAACUGUUUGUAAAAUUUAAAGAACCGAAAUUUUCAAAUACACUCUGUGAAUACAUUUGAGGCUGCGUUUGAUGUGUCUCAUUUGGUUCAUCGUGGUCAAGGUUGAUAAUGUAGUUUUCAUUUAAGUAAGUUUGAUUUUGCAAGGAAAAAGAUGAAUUAGGGUUGGAUUGUGAAAGCCCCAGUCUUGCAGUUGUAGCUUAAGCAGAACCUGUAAGAACUAAAUCAAUUAACAAAUCAUAGGAUUGCAGCGAUUGAAUUCAUAUUUGUGCACAUAUUUUGCACGUGCAACUGAAAAUCUCUAUAACUUCUUUUGAAUAUGAUUUCCAAUGAUGGUAAAUAAAAUGGAAUGUACUACUUGUAUAUAAUGUGAUAUUCUUAACGGUGUCUACCCUCCUCACGUGGAAGAUGCCCCACUUUGAAUGAAUUAUAUUUUAUUCGAAACGAGUCCCCCUCCAUGUGAGAGUGGUGGAUACAGUUAUAGGUAUAACACAUACACGUAGCAUAACCCAAAUAAAAUAGAUAACGAUAUUUAUUGUGGUUCAAUAAAAAUCUAAUCAAAAAGUAAAAAUAAUUUAUAACGGAUAAAUCAAACUAUCAAUUCAUGGACUAGUCAUCAUAGUAAACUUGAAAUUCACUAGGAACUUGAAGAUUAUACUUCUCCAUGAACCCGUUAAGGUUGUAAGCCUCAUUUUAAGUUCUCAUAUUCAAUAUAAGCUACAUUUUAGUCAUAUCUUAGCAUAGUCAUACCAAGAAGAUCAUACCAAAAGGAAAAAAGAUGAAAUAAUUUCAUCUAUGAAUUAAAAUAGUAUUUUGUAGCAACAGUAUAUAAAACAUUCUUACUACCACACAUAUAUGAAUUAAUUCUCUUUAUUUUGUACAACCAUUGAACAUAAACAAAAAUAUAUAAUUACACUAGAUCAGGUGCAAAUGAUUUAUCCCCCUACAUUUUUAAUCUACCAAUUUCAAUUAAUAGACAUCACCAUGGACAAAUUCAAAGUAGAUUUGGUAGAUAGUGUUGUCUAAUUCUACAUAUUGUUGUCAAAUAUAUAAUUUCCCAGAGAUUUCUUUCAUAUUAUGCUAAUAUCAGCCAAAAUAAAAUAGUCAAUGUAUACAUAUAAUAAAUAUAGUGGCAAGACCAGUCCCAAGAUUUUGUGGGCCUUAGAUAAACUUUGUAUGAGCCUUCGCUCUAAAUAUCUUUAGGAAAAUAACCCACAUAUAAUGCUACUUGAACAGGGCCGAUGACAGGCCAUUAAACAGGGGCUGAGGUGCAUAUCAAGCCUUUUAUUUGAAUUUCAUCCACUUUAGUCCCUAUUUAAAAGCAUGUCACAGACUUGUUUGAAUAGCAGGCCUCAUAAACCACAUUCUCUCUAAGAUGACCUUAUUAUAUAAACAAGUCUAAUAAAAUUUGGUCAAUUAUUUUCCUAUUCCAUGGUCCCAUAAUUUCCAAAGGUAAAACUACUAAUUUUGUAUCAAAACCUUCAUAUUGCUCAUUCCUAUUUUUCUCAUCUCCUAUGUUUCUUGCCCAUAAUUUAUAUAUUCUUUAUCAACUAAAUUUCAUGUUUUUUAUCCAUAUUUCUUUUUCCAUUUUGAACUUUUUCAUUUUUAAAUUCUUAAUCAGCCAAAUCUUAAACUAUAUUUUCCAUGCUUGUGUCUGAGAUCGAUUUAGCUCUUGAGAUGAGUAUUUUUUUUUUCCUUUUUUCCUUUUCUUUUUUUAAAAAUUUUUUUUUUCCUUAUGUCCACUACAUACUUUCUGGUAGACAUAAUAAAUCAAUCCAAAUAUCAAAAUCAAUACAAUAUCAGAUUUCAAAGUAAUUGAAGAACAAUGUAACCUCAUUAAUUUUUUUUGGAGAUUUUAUCUUUCAAUCAUGGAAAAUUAACAAUUCAUUAAAAUUAAAAAUGACAUUAUUAUUUUGUCAAUAAAAGAAAGGUUGGCAGUCUACUUUAUCUCCAGUCGCUUAGCGGCCGGCUACAACGAGGUGACUUAGGUGAGAGAUAAUUAAUUUCCUACUUUUUUAGGUUGAAAAAUACAAUGACUUCGGAGAAUAAAGAAAAAUAUUUUUUUCACUUUUUCUAAUAUUUAUAUUGUGGUUUAUUAUCGAAGAUUGAAAAAAUAAAGCCAAGGUAGGAAUGAAUUUUAAAAAAAGGAAGAGCGUGCAUGAUUAUUAUUAUUAUUAUUAUUAUUAUUAUUAUUAUUAUUAUUAUUAUUAUUAUUAUUAUUAUUAUAUAUUUUUUUAUUUUUUUAUUUUUUGAGAGUCAUCAUCAUAUUCUAGUUGAAAGAAGAUUUUGAACCUUAAUUAUUGGACCUUAAAAAAAUACUAUGACUCGAUUAUUAUUAUUAUUAUUAUUAUUAUUAUUAUUAUUAUUAUUAUUAUAUAUUUUUUUAUUUUUUUAUUUUUUGAGAGUCAUCAUCAUAUUCUAGUUGAAAGAAGAUUUUGAACCUUAAUUAUUGGACCUUAAAAAAAUACUAUGACUCGAUUUUCAUAAGUUUGGGGUCCUAUACGCUGUAUAAGCCCAAUGUCGGCCUUGUAAUAAGGAAGUGAAAAAAAUCUAAAUAGUUAUUUUUUCUAAGUUGAAAAGUUGAUGGACAUUAAUUAAACCUUCAUUGAAAAUUCUCGAGUGAAUUGCCUAUUUAGUCACUGAACUUUACACUAGGUUUCCAUCAGGUCACUGAACUUAAAAAAUCACCUACUUCAUCACUAAACUUUCAUUUUGUAAUCUCGUUAGUCAUCGAGCUCAAAUUCCGUUAAUUUUUUAAUGGAGUGUUGAUGUCGCAUGCUGAUGUGGCCCAAAAAUCACCUAAAAAAAAAAAACGGAAAACACAUCAGACGAACUGAGAAUUCCAAACUACCUUCAUCGCCACCCACCGCUGGCUUCCACCUCCAAAAAACCACCAUCCCACCACCUAGGUCGCCAAGUAUAAUCACCACUAGUAUCGGCUUCACCCACGCAACAAAUCCCGACCAACAUCCCGGCCUCAAACCGCCCCAAAGAACCUCAGUAGCUACAAAACUCCUCAUCGUUCCGGCCAAAAAACUUGGCAAUAACCACCCUUCCAAUCACACCCAUCACGGCCAACGCAUACGGGUCUCUUCUACAGUCCAAGGCGCUCAAAAUUUUCUUUUACCCAAGGAAGAUUUAGUCACAGUUAAACUUGUGAUGUGACAUAAACAAUAUAAUAAUAACAGUUAAUUUAAUAAUCUUCAUUUUCAAAAUUUUCAAGGACCAACAAUAAUAAUAUAAUUGUGUUAACUUAUGAAAGUAUAAAGAUUAUUAACUACGAACUAUUAACCCUUUAAUCUUUUUUAUCAACCCAUCAUCUUCAUUCAUUUUAAAUAUGUUCCCUACUUCAAUAAAAUAAAAUAAAAUAAGGGAAAAAAAUACAUACAGCACAACACAGUAUAAAAAUAAUAAUAAUAAAUCACAUUCAGCAAUCAAAAUUUUGAUCUUAAAAGUCGUUUUAUGUUGUUUCAUGGAAAACGGUCAUCGAGACCAAAAAUAAAAAAAAAAUCCAUCGUUAAAAAUGAAAUUUCUUGUAGAACUCAAACCAUAACUGGACAAAUGAGGUUUGUAAUUAUUCAUAAAUAUAAAAUGUUAAGACUAUUUAUUCGCUAUCAUCAGCUCAAAUGAAAUUAAAUUGAUGAUAAGAAAAUUUCUGAAGAAAAAAUCACAUAAAUCAUACCAAUGUAUGCCUUUUAAAGCUGAACCUUCACCUAGUGCUGCAAAGCAAACCCCGACGGUUGAAUCCUAUACAACAUGAACAAACAUAAAAACCAAAAAAAACAAAAAUAAAUACAAAAGCUUUACAAUAUAGUCAUGAAAAUAGAUUAACACUUCAUUUAACACCAAUAAGUAACAACAGUCAAAUUGAUCUAAUCAAGAUGAAUAAAUGUCAUAAUCCUUACACUUCUACUUAAGAAUAAUUGGUAGAUCUUGUUUGUGUUGCAGACACUCACUUGAAAUAAUCAAUACAACUUAUUACACCGAAAAUUCUACCUUCUUCCACGUAAUUUUUAAAGUAUUUGUCUUGUGUAUCAGCUAUAUAUGCAACUUUUAUUUUCUUAAGUUAUCUUAGUUACUUUGUCUUGAAUAUCAUUUUGCGUUCUCGGCCUGUGCUAUUUUCCUUCAAACAUUUUUUUUAAUGGGGUAUGAACAUUUUUUUCGUAUUUUACAAAUUGGAUUGUUGUUACUUGCUGGGCUCAAGAGUUACUGUAUCUAUUUUCAUUUAGUUAAUUGGUUUUUUACUAGGAUCCAAAAAGUAUAAUUUACAACUUCCAACCCAUGCUAAUAAGUGGCAAGAAUAUACCCCUAACCAUUUAAUAUUGGAAUUAAUUAAGAAGUCUUCAAUUUUGUUUACGAAAUAAUGUUAGCAUGAGCCCCUUUUAUGUUAAAUGAUACAUUCUAUGAAAUUUUUUCUUCCUUUUACAUAGCAUUAUAUUUUUUUAAUUAAAUAAUGAUGCUUAAAAACCUAAUAUUUGAAUCCAAAUAUCAAAUCAAUCAUAUUCAAAACCGUUAAAUUUCUAUGAAUCUUCAUUGCUUCAAUAUUAAGAAAUAUCAUAUAAAACCUCAAUGUUUAAAUGUCCUAACUUAAUAUAAGAAUGCAUUAAUAGUUUCUCCUUUUAACAAAAUUUCUUCUAAAAUUAUAACAAUGAUCGUGCAACGCACGAUCCCUCACUAGUAUAAAUAUAUAUCCCUACAAUCUGUUCCUUGAGACAUAAUCCAGUAGUGCAAAAGAUAGGAAUGAGGUUAUCUCAAUCCUUGUUGACAGCCACAGUGUGGGGGUUCGAUUCCUGAGACAUGAGGUUAUCUCAAUCCUCUGAUGUAUUCUUUCCUCCAUUUUUGCACGCGAUUCUGUACAAGCCCAGAAAAAAAGCCUUCUUCCACGCAACAACAAAUGUUAUGCCUCUGUAUAGGCCCUACGGAAAUCUUCUCUCACACGUCAAAUUGAAUGCGUUGCAGCCUUUUACACGUUCUUUCCCAUUCUUUACCAAAAUACAGAGUGUUACCACACCCCCACUAUAUUGGUAUCAGAGCCAUGUUGUUAUCUUGAUCUUACUAUUCUGAUUGGAAUUAUCCAGUUUGAAAGAAACUAGGAAGAACACAUUAAAAAUUAUGUCUGAAUCUUCUAGUUCAUCUAUAUUAGCACCCUCCACCUCCUUUUGAAAAUCUAAUGCUUCUAAAAUCGACUCCCUUUAUGAAAUAUCUUACCUACCUGAAUCUGAAAAAAUCCCAAUUACAGAUUUACCUCUUGUCAAUCCUUACCUUCCAUAUAACAAACCUCGAAAUUCCUUCACCAAAACUGUUAAAAGUAUCAUUUCACCAUCAAAAUCCCCAAUUAAAGAAUAUGUCCAGGCAUCAAAGUUUGAUCAACAUCUUCUACCUGCUACUGAAAAGGAGCAGUUUGUUACCUUAGAUUUACCAUCUCAUCUUCCAAAAGUAUGGUUAUCUGAAGGUUUUACCCAUCUUCAUUUUGGAGCUGUAAGAAUUGCACUUACCCUCCAUGGAAGAAAAGGUCUCCCGGCUGUUUCUAGAAUUGCUCUUCUAGAUACACGAUUUGCUGAUUAUCAACAUGCAUGUAUUGGCACUGUGGAAACUACACUCAAUGCGGGAACAGUACUUGUUACUAUGUUUCCAAACUUUAAUAUGCCAAUUGCAGAUCCAUUAUUGUUGUCAGCUUUAAAAAUCCAGGUCCAAAUUGUUGGAGCAGUUCCAACAGCAGUUACAUAUGGAGCAACACUUCAUUACCAGAUGGCUUCCAGAAUUCAAAAUCACUUUCUUGAUUUUGCCACUCCUAAUGGGACGGAUGAUGCUUUAUUAAUUCAGAUGGGAACAAAUCAGCCAAGUUGUACAUAUGUUCCUAGACAGAUUCCUAGAUCUGAGCUCAUUAAAUUGGUCCCUCAAACCUGGGUUAUAGUUAUGAGCAACAUCACCAGGCGUCAAAAGACUCUCUGCCCAUACAAUCAGCAACUCAUCAUUUCAGGAGAAAGUCAAAUGGCGAAGUUGAGAUCAUGUUUCAAAAAGAACCUGCAAAUAAAAAGCCUCCCUGUUUUCCAACACAGUUUGCUUUUUCCAAUGGAGAAAUUCCCAUUUAUGGAUUUGAUGCAAAUGGCAGGCCAGUUUAUUGCAAAUCUGAUAACUCAGGACAUAUUUAUUGGGAUGUAUGUUUCUGUGCGAAAUGCAUAGAAGAUGAAGAAGAUCUAUUUAACGAUCGUCCUUCCAGGAAGAAGAAGAAAAGGAAGAAUAGCCAAUAAAAGUUGCGUGAAGCAAUGAAAACAAAUAUGCAGGAGUCGAUUUGUUAUGAGAACCCUGUGGAAAAUUUGACUAUUAUGUCAAGUACACUCCACCUCAUACAAGUGAUGAAUCUAUUAUUCCUACUGGUUGGGAUGAUGAUGAUGAUAAUGAUGAUCCAUGGGAUUGCGACCAACUACAUAAAAAAUGGGACUGGGAUAAUAGUCCACCUCCAUCUCCUCAGAUAGCUAUGUCUAUAGCUAUGUUUCACCCUCCUCAACAAGAAGAGUUUCCUCCAUUGUCCUCUUUUGACAAAGAGCAGUCAACUCAUGCCUAGAAGAUCAGGAAUCCCACAUUCAGAAAAUUGGAUGGUUCAGUUGACCAGCUUUCAACAGCGAAAACAGUUUUAAACUGGCAGUCAGAAAAUGCAGUCCAACAAAAUUCCCUGUUGAGAAAAAUUGACCAAAGUCAGCAAAGAAUUGAAAGGACUCUACAACAACAAGCAUAAACACUAUUAACCCCUCUUCAAGCCUGUAAGCAAAAGAUUGAAACCCUCCAUGCUGAAAUCAUGACCAUUUUACAAAACCGUUUACCCAUAACAGAUCAAGAAAGAGAAAUAAGAAAUCUCAAAAAACAACUCAUUUCUCUUGAAAACAAUUCCAUGAUCCCACAUUCUACUCCAUAUCACCCUAUCUCAUAUACCCAUAUAUCACAAACUUCAGGACCCAUGUAUUCAACAGCUUAUGAAUCCACAUCUUCACUCUUCACUCCUGAAGAAUGGGAAAAGAAAUUGACACCUCUUUCUCAUCCUGAUAUAAAGAAAACCAAACCAUUAGCCUCAUAAAAUCUACAAGUUUUACCUCCACCAAACCCAGAAAAAAGACCACAAAUGAUGAUAAAAAACCCCAUAACCACUUUCCUACAAAAAAAACUCAAAACCGUUCCUCUAUAACUCCUAUUUUAACCAUCCCAAAUGAAACUAGUUCUGAACUUAAAGAGUCCUCAGAUGAAUUUCUAGAAGAUCAUCCUCCUUUUUAUAUGGCUGACAGACCAUACUCAAGUCAAACUCAGCAAGGAAUUCCUGUUGUUGAUGAGCCAAAAAUAAUUGAUGAAGAAAUUGCUGAUCCUCAUGUUGUGAACAAUUAUUAUUCACAAAAUAGUACUUCAGCAACCAAAUUCACUUUUGAUGAUAUUCCUCCAGCUUUGUGGAAAGCAAGAUUUCAAGAAAUGAAAGCAUGGUGUUUAGCAGAAUUACAAAGGCCAAAUAUGACUCAUUCUACAAUCAUAAAAUCUUUUCUGGCAAGAAUCACUGGGUUCUUAAAAGAUUGGUAUGAUGCUCUUGGAGAAUAUCGCCAGAUCCAAUAUUCUAAUUCUCCAACAAUAGAUGCUUUCAUAGAAUCAUUAUAUUGGGAAUUCUGUGGAAAGACGGAUCAUUUGAAGGACAUUGUAGAGAAGAAUUUUUCAAAUUGAAAUGUUGUUCUUACAAUCCUAAAGAUCUGGAUAAACAUUUCCACAAUGUUACCAGGCGAUACUACCUCAUUGGUGGAAUGGACGAUACAAAUAUAAAGUAGGCUUACUUAGAGUCCAUCCCACAGCCUCUUGGUCAAGAGACACUCAGAAUGAUUGAAAUAAAAGGACAAUCAUUGGGAACCACUUCAUUUGGAGAGCUUCACAACUGGGUCAAGAGAACCUUGAAAAAACUCUGCAAUCAAAGAGAGUUUUUAAAGGAUAUCAGUACAAUAGGACAGAAGCUUGAAAAGGCGUGUGAAAUUGUCCAGGAAAUAAGAAAUUUCACAGGAGGAGGUUUAAAUUUCGGAACAAAAGAUUUUCCAAAUCUUUUCCUCGAAGAAAAAGAUAUUUUAAAAGGAAAUUCACAAAGAAAAAGGGAGACAGGUGUUUUAUCUGUGGAUAGAAGGGCCAUUUUGCAAAAAAUUGUACCAACAAAAAGAAGGAGAAAAUUUUACACCAAAUCUAUACAGCAACGAAAGUGGAAGAAGAAGCGGACCUUGAAUCGGUAUUCUCGAAAGAAGAUGAGCAGUCCCCUGAAACUAUCUUCGUACUGGAAUUUGACUCCGAUGAUGAGAGCACUAAUGGCUAUGACAGUAUAGAGGAAUGCUAUGGAAUGCAAGUAAUCAAUCUUAGUCUUCCAGUUCCGAUGAUUGAAGUCAAAAUAUUUCCAGGAAAAUAUGAAAGACCAAUCAUAGUUGCAGGUCUGUUUGACACUGGAGCAGCUUGUUCAAUCUUAAAUCCAGCCAUUCUCCCUAAAGACAUGUGGAAAACACAUCAGCAAAUGUUCCAGGCAGCCAAUAAUGAGUAUUUUUCAACAGAGUUGAUAAGUAAGCCAGUGACACUUCAGUUCUUUCCUGAAUGUAAUGUCUCACACAAGUUACUUGGAUCAUCUUUACCAGGAAAGGAUAUUGUAAUUGGUUUUGACAUCAUUCGACAAUUGUGGGCAAAACGUGUUAUUCCUCUUCCAAAUAGCCUUAGAUACAAGUCCUACUUUCUGCAAUACAUAUAGCCAACCACAUAUUUUUCCAUAACCAGCCUUGAUGAUAUAACAAGCCUAUUAAUCCGAGAAUGUUGUGCAGAUUCUCACACAGAUUUUCUCACCAAAUGCACUCACCCUCUAUGGAAAAAUCCAGAUUUUUUCAUAGCCCUACCUUUCAAAAGAAAUGAAGAUGUUAACCCUACUAAAACCAGCCAUAUUGGAAUGAGCCCUGAACACCUCCAGUUAGCAACCAAAGAGUUAAGCCAAUUGCAAGAUGAAGGUCUCAUUGAACCUUCUACUUCUCAAUGGGCAUGCCAAGCAUUUUAUGUCAACAAAAGAAGUGAACAAGUUCGUGGAAAAAUGAGACUUGUGAUUGAUUAUAAACUAUUGAAUCACUUCCUUGCUGAUGACAAGUUCCCUCUUCCAAACAAAAGAACUUAUUUGCCAGUCUGUCCAAGGCGCAGAUAUUUUCAAAGUUUGAUCUAAAAGCAGGAUUUUGGCAAUUGGGAAUUAAGAAAGAUGAAAGGCAUAAGAUAGGUUUCUGUAUCCCAAACUGCCACUAUCAGUGGACGGUUAUGCCAUUCGGUCUUAAGACGGCCCCCUCAUUAUUCCAAAAGGCUAUCACAAGAAUUUAUCAUCCAAUAUUAGAGUCAGCAUUAAUUUAUAUUGAUGAUAUUCUCUUGUUCUCAAAAAAUGCCGAUUCUCAUUCUCAACUGUUGUCUCAAUUCGCUGAUCUGACAAAACAAUUUGGAGUAAUGCUUUCUCAGAAAAAGAUGGUUAUUGGAGUCUCUGAAAUUGAUUUCUUGGGCAUGCAUAUUAAAGAUGGUCAAUAUUCGUUACAACCACAUGUUGGUCAGGAAUUGUUAAAGUUUGCAGACACAGAUCUCUCUAAACGAGAAGUCCAACAGUUCCUUGGGAUUGUAAAUUACAUGGCCGACUUUGUUGAUCAUUUAACUCCUAUUAUCAGACCAUUACAGAACAUGCUGAAAAAAGGUGCACCACCAUUGUCUUCAAAACAAGCAGAAGCAGUCCGAAAAAUCAAACAAAAAGUGCAAGAACUUCCAGCUCUAUCUAUCCCUACUAACGGGAAAAUGAUCUUACAAACUGAUGCAAGUGAUCUAUAUUUGGCAGCAUUUCUAUUGGAGGAGAAAAAUGGAAAAAGAAACAUUUGUGGAUACAAAAGUGGAGCAUUCUCAGAAGCAGAAAAACAUUAUCAUUCCACUUUCAAAGAAAUCUUGGCGGUAAAACGUGGUAUUGAGAAAUUUCAGUUUCAUCUCAUUGGACACAAAUUUCUUAUUGAAAUGGACAUGUCAGCAUUCCCUAAAAUACUUUCAUUCAAACAAAAACAAAUUCCAAAUUCUCAACUACUCAGAUGGACAGAAUGGUUUUCAAACUUUGACUUUGAUGUCAAACAUAUAAAGGGAAAAACCAACCUCCUUCCAGACCAAAAGCUUUUCACUCCCAACCUAUCCCUGUAAUCUGUAUGAUGAACCUUCCCUUUCAUUUGCUUUCUCAAAAUGAACAAAUUCCCCCAGAACUUAAUACUCUCAUAAGAGACAAAACCCUCCAUUCCCAAGCCAAAGAGUUCAUGUUAAAAUACCAGUCCAUUGUUAUCAGGCAAACAGGAAUUGAAACUUUUGGUGGUCUUGGAUUUCAUCCAAUUAUCCAUUUUUUUAAUUUGUUCCACAUAAUCCCACACCAAGCAGUUUCAAAAUUUUCAAAGGAAUUAUUUUAUUUUCUGUGGUACUUAUUGGAACUUUUUCAAAUUGGAGUUUCUUUUAAUGUUUGUGAAUCUCUUGAAUGGUUCAAAAAAAUCACUUUUCUAAGUUUUAACAAAAAUGAUCCAUUUCAAGAAGCACAUUUUGAGGCAAAGAAAUUCUUCGAAUGGUUUUAUCCUAUUUCUCAUUGGAUAAAAAUGUUUGAAGCAUUUUCUUUAAAAUUUAAAGAUUUGAGAACUUCCCAAAACAAUGUUUUUGUAAUUCUGAUUUUCCAAUGACAAGGAUAUUUUACAGAAACAGGUUCUUAUGAACACUUCUCUUAUGUCAAGGAGCAUGCAGUCCAACCUUUCAAUCUCCAUCAAGAUUGGGAAAAGUAUCCAAAGGAGUUUCGAGAAUUUCAAAAAAAAGGCUGAAAUCAACCAGACAAUUCCUCCACAAAUUUGGCAGACAUAGAAGAUGAUGCUCCAUGAGAAAUUCUACCUCUAGACUAUGCAACCAAGAUUCAGCAAGACGUUCAGAAACACAGAGAAGGACAAUGCCAAAUUUUUGGACAAGUAUUUGGACACUAUCCAUCUGCUACUUGGGAAAGUGAAAAACCCAUUGGAACCAGCUUUACUUGGGAAGGCCACAUCAAUGCCUUGGAGAAACAUCUAAAUAUCCAGAAACCACACCAGAAGGACAACAACUGCAUAACAAUCUCUGGAAUGAAUUUCAAGAAAAAAUGAAAAUUGAUAAAAUGGACGUGGACAAACCAGGACCAAGCAAUCCAGACAAACAAACUUCAAGAUAUUUGGACACAGAAAUAAAUUAUAAUGACAGUGUUUUCCAGGACUCUCAAGAUCCAUAUGAUUAUGGAACACAGUCGUAUGAUUUUGAUCUAACAGACCCAGACAAUCUUGAAAAAUUGGAAGAAAAACUUUUUGAAAAAAAAUUUGAUACUACAACUUGGCCUUGGUGGAAGCAACAUGGACUCUCCUCUAAUUCAGAUGAUUCAAAUGAACCUGGACGAGAAGCAAAUCUUGGAACACCUUGAUGACUCAGCAGCUCGUGUAAAAUAAUCAUUUUGUCUUUUGCAAUAAAAUCCCUUUUAAAAAGUAGAUUCUUUACUUUUUAAAAGAUGGUUGUAAAAUUAUUGUACUAAAAGUAGUGAGUCAUGCUAGUAAAGUGAUGAGUCAUGUCCUUUAAAGUGAUGAUUCAUUGGUAGUAUUAUUAGUUUUGUGUCGGUUAUAUGAUGAGGCUCCUCCUCUAUAUAAGGAGCUCUUAUUUGAGGAUCAUCUCGAGCUCAACUCUUCUUAAUAAAAAGUUUGUUCCUCUUAACAAUGUUUUUCUAAAAUCCUUUCUUUAUUCUUCCAUAAUCUUGACAACAACUGUGAAAAUUUCAGAAUGAAUAAGUAAGAACAAGAUCUAAGUAGUAUCAAAAGUAUGUUCUACAGUUGCCUCUUUGAGGAUCCUCGGCAUCAAAAAAUUUGACAAUACUGAUUAUAUGAUCCCAUAUGGUGGUUUAGUAAUAUGGAAACUCCGGCCAUUAUUGCCCAAAGGCUGGUUGUGGGCUAGAAUACUAUGGAUUUUCAAUUCUCUCGCAACCCAUUCUCUCUCUCUCUCUCUAUAAUGGACCAGGAACCACCGCCUGCAACUCCGAUCAUAUGUUGCAGAUCCAAUUUCGUAUUCAUCAAUCGGCUAAUCUUCUACUGAUCUUGCGGAUUCACGGUGUUUGAUUUUCGGUAAUUCUAUUAUUAUUUUUUUUAAUCAUUUGGUUUUCCCAUUCUUUAUCAUUGUCCUGCAAAACCCAUCAAUAGGGAUUUUCAAUUCUUUCUAUACAAUUUGUUUUGUGAGAUAUAUGCUAGAAGAUGAAAAUUGCGAUAUUUUCAUACUAGGACUUGAAUUUAAGGUAACUUCUUGAAGUUAUUUUGGAUUUAAGUUAGAAAUUUUGUCAUUCAUUCUAAGAAACAUGAUUUCUGGUAAUUUUUUAAACUCAUUGUUUGAAUCUUUGUCUUUCUAAUGAUUCUUCCUCCAUUUUGUAGAUUUUCUUCCUUGGUUUGGCUCAUGCAGACUUUGGUUGUUUUGUAGCCGUCCGACUUUUAGUACAAUUUUUAUUCAUUUCAUUAACUGGAUUUAGAAUAAAUACUAUUGAUGCUUCGAUGAAGUUUUUUCUUCCGUUGUAGAUUCUUGUAUCUUUGCAUUCUUUUUUGUUUAUCUGGUCUGAUACCAUCAUUUAUAGAAUAUGGUUUUUUGGUAUUUUCUUGAAACUGAUUUUUUUGAAUAAUGGGUCUUCGGAACAAAUUUGAGAAAAAUCGAUUGUUUAUUCUAUUGUGUUUGCAAAUUUGAGAAAUACUAACAAAUUUCUCUUCUUUUGCGAGAUUUCGAGGCCUCAUUUGAGGUAUAGUACUUCUUUCAUAUGGAGUUAAAAGUUAUUAAUUUUUUGCAUCAUUUCUUUUUCUUAUUUAUGGUAAUAAAUGUUUGUAGGUUUUGCAAAUUUUCAGGUUUUGACUUUUGAAGGAUUUCGAUGUUUUAUUUAAAGUACAGUAGUUUUCCUCUGAUUUUAAUAAAGUUUGGGGUUUUCUACUUCAUUUUUCAUCUUAUUUUUCUCAUUGGGCCAGUAGCUUAAAUUGGGCUUGUCGAGGGGAGUCUGCAUCAUCUUCGGCACCGACGAAUAAAGGCCACGUGCCGGGAGACUCGCUGUCGGAACGGCACGUGCUCUGGGCGCCUGCACUGUCGGGGGCGAAAUGGUCUGUAGAUGCCGUUGAUCAGGUGCGUCUGUCAAGGAAGUGGCUGGAUCUUGCACGAUCUGCGUUGAAGUCCCUAUUCGUCUAACAAUCUUCCAUCCAUAUGGGUUGUCAACAUCUACCUCGUACUUCCCUGCGUGGUAUGGUGCGCCGAAGGUUACUGCUACAUCUCGAGUGGCGUUGCUAGGGUUACCACCUAGGGCCGCUGCCUGUGAGUGGUCAGAGUGGCUGGGAGGGUUAAUUAGUGGCCUAAGGCCGGUAGAGAUGGGUGGGUAUUGGAAGGUUUUCGAGUGGUAGGUCGGUGGAUUUGGAUUUGGGAGGGAGCUCCAUAUUAGAGAGAGCUACGAAGAUUUUUUCUUCCUACCUUAAAAGCUCAUAUUUUUGGAGAAAAUCAUUUUUCUCAUUUCACAUUAUUAUUGUCUUUGAAUAUUAGUCCACAACUUCCAAGGCUUUCUUGCCACUAUUUAUUGCUCUUUAUGGAUUAUGUUACCUUUUAUGAUUAGAUAUCCUAUUGGAGUAUAUCUCUUGAUGAUAUAGACAAUACUAUUGCAUUGUACAUUAUGUUGAGUUGCUAAGGUAAGAGCUAACUUGAAGAUAGAAUGUAGUAACGGCGUAAAACUUGUUAUAUUUGAAGAAUAUUGCUUCAAAGGCAUGUCGAAAAAUGUCCUGAAAAGGAUAGACCACCUUCUUCUUUCUUGGGAAGUAAGGGCACCUGAAUAAUUCAUCUGAACACCGAAUCUUUUUAGGGGAAUUCUUGAAUUGUUCAUAUCAUCUAUCCACAUAAUCGUCUAACUUAGAUUCACUUGUGUUUGUUUUGUCUUCAGAUGAGCAAGAAAUCUUCCACAGAAUUUGACAUAGCAAAAGAUUCAAUUCUCUGAUUAGUCCAGAAAAGGAAAGCACAGAAAAAACAAAUUGGAACAUUAUAUUUUCUGGGUAAGGUGUAAGCUAUUUUUAUAGGGUAAAUGGCAGAAUUUAAAGUAAAAAUUUGUCAAUUAUCUAUCAAUACUUGAUUUGCCUGACAUACAUAUCUGUUUUGUGUCAAUUAUGUUUUGUUAUUUUCUUUAUUGUGUUCAAACAUGUUAUAGCAUUAAUACGUAUUGCAAGGAUCUUCAGUAAUUUGAAAAAAUAUGAUGCACUUCUUAUAGUUUGAAAUGAUGAUUCCACAACAAAAAUAUGUAUUGCAAGCAUCCUCAACAACUACGGACCCCGCAUGAAUAUUGAUGAUAGCCAAUUGUCAACAAUUUCAUAGAUCAAACAAUUCGGUAAUAAUUUAUCAUCACGUUGAUAUCAUCUGCAUUCCUUUGAUCUCAAUUGUUGGCCCGUUGUUAUCUCCAGAGCGAAAGCCCUCUUCUUAUUUCUUAUUGGGGCAGUAGCUUCAAUAGCUCAAUUCGAAAGACAGUUUGGCUAAUUCUAUCUAUCCAGAAUCUUUCUUGCUUUCCCAGAAGGCUAUUCCCCGAUCCUCUACUUGCAUGAUUGUCUAAUCUUUUCUAUUUAAAAGGUAAAGAAAUUCAAGGAUCCUGCUUUUGGUUUGGAUAUAGAUAAUGUUGUUAGGAUAAUUGGCUCAUGGUCUUACUAACAGUCAAUGUUUUGAGCUUGUUGAGACUCUGAAAAAGGUAAUUUCCAAACUUGUGCUAAGAUACUUUUUUUCCUUUCUCUGGUUCUUUUUUAGUAUUGUAUGAAACUAAAUGGUUGUCGUUACAACGAAAUCUCUUCAAAAGUUAUAACAGUUAUCGUGCAACGCAAAAUCCGCCACUAGUAUGUGUGUGUGUGUGUGUGUGUAUAUAUUGGGAUAGGAAAAGGCAUAUGAUAUUAGAACUUACAGGUAUAAGAGAUAAUAAGUUAACCUAUCAGUUAACCUAUCAAGUAAAAUAUAGUAUAGAUAUUUGUGGAUAUUUUGAAGAAGAUAAUAUUGUAGGAACAUAUUAUAAAGAGUUAACUGAAAUUUUAAGAAUUAUUAAAGAUUUACCUGUUGAUAUAAGAGAAAACAUAGUAAAGAGAAUCUUAGUAGAAGAAUAUAGACAUAUUCUUAUAACAGAAAGAAUUUCUUACGAUUUGGAACUCUGGAUAUAAAUAGAAAGCUUGAAUAUUUAGACCUAGAUUUAAGAAAUACUAGUAAAAAAGUACAAACAAUUGAUAAUAAUAUAAUUAAGUGUAAUCUAGACAAUAAGCAUAAAUUACAUAGUUUAUUCUCAGAAGACCCAAGUCAGAAUUGUAUAGUAGACUUUAUCAUAAACUUAUCAAGAAAUUUAGAAGUAGAAAAUAAAAAGCAAAAUAGUUAUUUAGAAAUUAUAAAAGAAAACAUUACAGCUAGAGAUCAAGAGAUUAAAAAUAUAAAAGAAUCUUUAGAUUAUAUUAAAAAUCAAAAUUCAAGUAUUUUAGAAAAACUUGUUAAAUUAGAAAAAAUACCAUCUAAGGUAGAUUUAACAGAAAUAAAAAGAAUUAUAGAUUCCAAUAAAUCUAAAGAGAUAGAAAUAGGAACUACAUCAAGUGUAGAAAAAGAUUUAAAAGCAUUAACAAAUACAUUAGAAAACCUAAGUUUUAGAGAAACAGGAAAAGAAAAGGUAACUAGGAAAUUACCUAAAGAAUAUAAAUUUCCAAGAUGAAUACGAAUCCUUUCUUAGGAAGAUCUAGAACAAUAAAUGAAGAAGCAUCUACAUCUAGACAUAAUACUUCAAGUAUAAGCAGAAAUAUAAUAGAAAGAGUUUUAAAUAGACCAGUACAAUAUAAUCAAAAUAUAGAAGAAAUUAUAGAUCCUCAACAAGAUUACUUAAGAUUUCAAACUAAUGGAUUAAGAAUUCUUAACCCAGAAAUAUUAUAUAAUAGAGGAAUUUUUGAAACAAGAACACAAUUCUUUAGAAAUAGUAGAGAAGUAUCUGUUCAGUGUAUAGGAAACCAAGUAAGAAAAUUAAAUUUAAUAUCAGAAGAUUCUAAGAGAGAAUUAAAAAAGAAAAACUUUAGAUUCAUGCAUUUAGGAUUAAUAGUUAUAGGAAUAAAAGGAUUAAUGAGAAAAAAUCUAGGAUGCAAGGUUUUAGUUACUAUAUAUGAUGAAAGAAUUAAUAAUAUAGAUAAAAGUAUGAUUGCUAGUACAGAAGUUGAUAUGAAUAAUAAUAAAGGUAUAAUUUAUUGUAAUCCAGAUUUUUUAUUAACUAUUAAAGAUUUCUCAGAAAAAAUUAAAAUAGAAUUCAAACGAAAGGAUAUGAAGAUGUAGAAAGUGGAGAUAACUUAUUAAUUAGUAUAGGAUUUUUAGGAAGAUGUUCAAAUAAUUCUCAGACAAAAUAUAAGAUUUAUAUAGAUAAAGUAGUAAAUUUAAUGAGUAGUAAAGGAAUUAACAUGGUUAAACCUAAAGAAUAUUCAUCAGAACAAUUAGCAGGACUAGAGUGGGAUAUGGAUAAAUUUUUGGAAAACCAAGAAACAAUUAUAGCACCACAAGAAGUAUUAACUUAUAAAGAUGAAUUGGAAGAACUAGCUUAAGAUUUUUAGAUUAUAAUCAUGUACAAAGACAGAAUGAUUUUGAAGAAGAAACUAAUCCCGAAGAAGAACAAAAUGAACCAUUCCAAAAUCAAGUACACUUAGAAUUAAUAGAUGAAGAAUCUGAUAGAAUAAUUUAUCCAAAAGAAUUAGGAAUGAAUUUAAACAAUAAAGAAUUACUAGAACUAGAAGAUCAAAUGUAUCUUAAUAAGACAAUUACAGAAUCUGAAUACUUAUAUUAUGAUCAAGAACAGAAUAUAAGAAUAGGAAUUAUUAAAGAAGAUAAUAACUCAGAAAAUUCAGAUUUUAGUUAUAUAAAAGAACUUAUGGAAGAUUCUAAUACUUAUAAAACAUUUGGUGACACUCCUUUUGAUAGAAAAAUUAAACAUGAAGCAAUGGUAUACGGUGGAGGAUUUCCCCCAAGAGGUGCUUAUCCUUUAUAUAAUAAUACAGAAGGAAAAUACAUAGCAAGAGGAAGUGAAAGACCCUUAGAAAAGAAAAUAGAAUUCCAAUCAGAUCAUAAAGCACAAAUUUUAAAUAUUACAGUACAUGAUCCACAGACAUGGAAUAAUGUAAUAGAUGUACGGAAGAAUACUAUAAUAGGACAUUACAUUAGAAACUUUCAAGAAAUGGAAGCUUUAGAUAUGUAUAGAUACUUAGAAACAUUCUUAGGAGAAAGUGUAAAAGUUAUGUGGGAAGCAUUUAAAUUAGAAAAUAAAGAAGAAUUUGAACAAUUAGUUAAUAUGGGUAGUAAUCCUUAUAAUUUUGUAAAUAAAAUACAAAUAUUAAUAACAGGAGCAGACCCAAACUCAGGACAUAUGAGUAUACAAAGAAAAGCUAUGAGAGAUUUAGAAUAACUUAGUCUUUAUAAAUGGACUAAAGGAAGAUAUGUUAAGAACUUUCUAAAUGAAUAUCAUUAUUUAAUUUUAAUAUCAGGAAAUACAUUUAACCAAGAAAUUGGUAAUAAACUAUUUCAUAAAUUACCAGGACCGUUAGGAUUAGAAAUCACAGAUAAAUGGAACAAUUUACCAGCAGUAAAAGAAGAACCAGAAAAACAAUGGAGUAUAGGACAAAGAAUACAACAUGUAAUAAGAUGCUUAGAAAAUAAAUGUGUAGAGUUACAAAUUCAAAAACAACUUAAAAAGACAGACUAUAAAUUUUGUAAAGAUAUUUGUACCCCACAAACUUAUAGAGCUUCUAGUUCAAGAAAAAACAAGUAUAGUAAUAAAGAAAGAAAGAAUAAAAGAUCUUUUAAGAAAAGAUAUUUUCUUAGAAAAUCUAAUAAAAGAAAACCCUAUUUAGAUGAAAAAAGACAUGUGAGGAAAUUUAAACUAGAAAGAACUUAUAAAAAUAGAUUUAGCUGUUAUGUCUGUAAUAGUAAUAAACAUUUAUCUAAGACCUGUCCAAAAAGAAUAAACAAUUAUGAUAAGAAAAGCACAUUAAUAGAAUAUACUAAUGAAGAUCUAAUACAAUUAAAUGAAUAUAUUUCAGAUAAAGAAUCUAUUUAUAGCAUUAUAUCAAUAGAAGAUAAAAAUUUAGAAGAAAAUAAAGAAUCUGAUUAUGAAAUAAUAGAUGAAUUCUCUAAUACAAGAGUACAAGAAGAAUCAGAAUCAGAAGAACUUAAUUUAAUGAAUAAUGUAAUCAUAGAAUGUAUACAUAAUUGGCAAAAAUAUAAAGGAGCAGAUAAUAUAGCUUGUUAUUUAUGUAAUUGGUACCCAGUAAGAAAACUUAGAGCCAAAUGUUUAGAAUGUUAUAAAGAAGCAUGUAUAAAAUGUUUAGAAGAAAAGAAUCUUAUUGAAAAAGAAGAAGUCAAUUCAGAAACUUUAAAAGAAAGAAUUGAAAUCUCAGAAAUAAAAAUUCUCUGAAAAAAAUUGAAAGUUUAGAAGAAAUGCAAAAAUUUAUAAUAAACAAAAUAGAAAUGUUAGAAUAUAAUAAUAAAGGAAAAACUAUAGAAAUAGAAGAAUAAAGUCAAAUUACAGAAUAUAAAGAAAAAUAAUAUGUUCAGGUAAUAUGUAACCCGGAAAAACUUAAAAGUAUUAAGGUAAAAUGUUACAUAAGAAUAGGACAAUAUGAAAUAAAAUGUCUAGGUUUAAUAGACUCAGGAUGUAGUAAUUGUAUAAUUAAUAAAAAAUUAAUACCAAAACAAUAUAUAACAUAUUCAGAUAAACCAAUAGAAGCACAACAAAUGGAUGGAGAAGUUUAUAUUUAUGCAGAAUUAUUACAAUCAGAUAGCAAGAUUAGUUUUGAGACAAACUCUGGUAGAAGUAUAGAAUAUACCUUAUCAAAAGAAUCAGUUUGGGUUAGACCUUUAAAUAUUAAAGAUACAGAUUUUAUUAUAGGAUUAAGUUUUUUAUUAAAAGACAAUGGAAGUAUUACAAUUACUAAAGAUUUCUUACAUUUACAAAAACAUACAUUAUUUACACCAACACAAACUACCUAUUUUCCAUUAGAGUGCAUAGAGAAGUGUGGUGGAAGUAGUAGUAAUAAUUGUAAGUGUGAAAAAGAAAGAGAAUGUCAAUUGAUAGAAGAAGAUAAUUUAGAAGAAAUAAAUCCUGAAAUUUUAGAAGAAAAUAACUUAGAUUUUGGAAUUAUAGAACUAAUUAAUAAUGAAAAAAUCUAUGAUAUGUUAAUAACAGAACAAGAAAUAGAAAAUUUAAUUUCUAGGUUAGAAAAGAUAGAAAUAAUAGGAGAAAAUGUUUUAAAAUACUAGGAGAAAGAUAAAAUAUUAUGUGAAUUAAAAAUUAAGAAUCCAGAAUAUAUAAUUAAAACUAAGAAUAUAGAAGCAACAAAUUUAGAUUUAGAAGAUUUUAAAAUACAUAUAAAAGAACUCUUGGAAUUAGGAGUAAUUAGAAAAUCAGAUAGUUCUCAUAGAUCAGUAGUCUUUAUAGUUAGAAAACAUUCAAAAAUUGUUAGAGGAAAAAGUAGAAUGAUUAUUAAUUAUAAAAGAUUUAAUGAUAAUACUAUAGAUGAUGCUUAUAACAUACCAGAUAAGACAGUUUUAAUAAAUAAAAUCCAAGACUGUAAAAUUUUUAGUAAAUUUGAUUUAAAGUCAGGAUUUGGCAAGUAAAAAUGCAUCCAAAAAGUAUUAAGUGGACAGCUUUUACCUGUCCAGAAGGACAUUUUGAAUGGUUAGUAAUGCCAUUUGGAAUUAAGAAUGCACCAAGUAUUUUUCAAAGAAAAAUGAAAAGUAUUUUUAAUAGACAUAGUAAAUUUGUAAUAGUAUAUAUAGAUGAUAUUUUAGUAUUUAGUAAAAAUAAACAAGAACAUAGAGGACAUCUACAAAUAGUAUUCUCAGAAUUUAUUAAACAUGGUUUAAUAAUUAGUAAAAAGAAAAUAAUCUUAUUUAAAGAAUUUAUAGAUUUCUUAGGAGUUAACAUAGGAGAAGGUAAAAUUAAGUUACAACCCCAUAUUACUAAGAAAGGUUUAGAAUUUCCAGAUAAACUAGAAAAUUUAAAACAAAUCCAAAAAUUUUUAGGAUUAGUAAAUUAUGCUAGACCAUUUAUAAAAGAUUUAGGAAAAAUAGCAGGACCUUUAUAUGCUAAGACAUCUCAUACAGGACAAAGAUUUUUUAACCAAGAAAACAUAAAAUUAGUCCAACAAAUAAAAGAAAAAAAUAAAAACUUUACCAGAAUUGGCUAUGCCAUUAGAUUCAGAAUAUUUAAUCAUAGAAACAUAUGGAAGUAUGACAGGAUGGGGAGCUAUAUUAAUAUGCAAACCCAAUAAAUAUACUGAUAAAAGUACAGAAGGAAUUUGUAGGUACAAUAGUGAAAAUUAUAGAGAAAAAGGAAAUCUAAGUAGUAUAGACGCAGAAUUAUUAGCUAUAAAUUAUGCAUUAGACAGUUUUGAACUAUUUAUCAUAUCUAAGAAAGAAAUAACUAUAAGAAUAGACUGUAUAGCCAUAGUUUCCUUUGUCAAUAAAAUGAAAAUAGAUUCAAAAAGAAGUAGCAGAAGAAGAUGGUUAAACUUUAUAGAUAGAAUCACAAACACAGGAAUUAAUAUAAAAUUUGAACAUAUUAAAGGUAGUGAUAAUAAGGCAAUAGAUAUAUUAAGUAGAAUAAUAAUAGAUAGAAAUUAUUAAAUUUGCUUAACAUAAUUUCUUUAUACAGAUGACAAGACCAAGACCUAUAAGACCAGGAAUUCCACCUGGGAAUUCAUUUGCAUCAAAACUAUUACCAUAGACUCCAUUUAAUCAGAACAGACCAAUGUUACAAGACAGAUUAAAGUUUGGAAACCAAGAACUUAUAGUAUUUCCAAAUAGUAAUAUUUCUUUUAAAAUUCUACCGCAUAUUUCUUUAUCUAGAGAAGAGAAAUGUAUUUUAGAUAAUUUAUGGAUUUCUUAUAAUAAGAAUCCAAAAGACCAAAAAUAUUUUCUUGCAUGCAUGAAUGCAUUGUCAGAACAUUUUAGUCAGAACAAACAAAAGUUUAAAUUUUAUGUUGUUAUUAAAGGAAAAACUCCAGGAAUUUUCCAUUCCUGGAUAGAAGUUUUAAAUUGCAUUAAAAAAUUUUCUGACCCUCUUUACAAAGGUUUUACAAAUUUUCAAGAAGCAUUAGAUGUUGCAAGACAACAGAUAGGAAUAAAUUUUUAUUUAUUUCCUUCUUUGAAGAAUUAUUCAGACCCUCCAUUAGACUUCUCUCCAAGUAAAGACCAGAAUAUUUUCUGCCAACAUUGUAAAUGUAUGCAGAGAAACUACGAAGUUAUUAAUGAAGCCAACCAGAACCUUUCACUAGAAAGAACCCAAUUCCAAAAGAAAGUGGCCCAAUUGGAAAAAGAGAUUUUGGAAUUAAAAGUCCAUUAUCCAACAGGUACUAUAGAGCCUAAUAAGUCCAUAGCUAGUCCAACCCAAACGGUAGCUGGUAAAGACUUAUCAAAUCCGUUUAAGGUUGUGGACUUACCAAAAGCCCAAUAGACUCAGGGGACUGUUGAUUCCUCUACUAAAUUAGAUAAUCAGACUCAACAGACUGAUGAAUCUGCUACAGAAAAGAGUAAAGAAAUCUGGGAUCUUUUAGGACAGCGCAGUGAAAAAAUUGAUUAUUUAGUCAAAUACAGUUCACCAGACCAUUUUUCGCCAGAACAUUUUUCAAACAAUCCAAACUUUUCACAAGCCCAAGAAAUUUAGUCUAGAAAAGGAAAAGAAAAAAUGAUAGCUCAAGAUAGCCAAGAAUGUUUACUCCUUCAAGAAUCACAAGAUCUUAAUUCAGAUACUGUUUCCUUAGAAAAGAUUUUCGAAAAAAUUGAAGAAUUUCAGAAGCAAUCCAAAAAAGAUGAAGGAACUUCUUCUAGAAAAAAGAAAAAGAUUACGAAGAAGAAAAAUGAUGAAAGAUUGAAAGAACAAAUUAGAGAAGCAGUUAACGAAACAUUUGAGACAAUCUUAAAAAAGAAUUAUGGAGAAGAAAAAGAAAUUUCAGAAUGCCCAGAACAAAAAGAAAAAGAUGAAGCCAGUAACUCCAGACUUUCAGAUAAAAACGAAGAUCCAUAGGAUGAAGGAUACAAUAAUUCAGACAGUGGAAUGUCAUUUUCAUCAGUGGCACGCCAUAAUCUCGAGACUUGACAAAGAUCUUCAAUAAUGCAUAACAAGACAAAUCUGAAAGAAGAAAAGAAGAAAAAAUUGAAGACUUUUUAUCAUCAUACUAUAGACUUUUAGAAAAAAAAUCUUCAUUAUUGCUGUACUAUUAGAAAAUGUGUCGGGACUUUUUGAAAAAGAAAAGAUUCCAUUUGAAUUUUUAGACACUUGAUAGACUUUUUUGUAAAGUUGGUGGAAAUCUUGAAAAACAAAAGAUUUCCAACUGUAGACCUUUAGAAUUUCUGUAAAAAGACGUAGAAAAUUUUGCCACUUGUUAGACUUUUGAAUGGUCAGAAGUUUCUCGGUGAAACGUGUGCUUUUCUUAGGGAUAGUUUAGACUUUUUGCUCCAAAGAAUUUUUCUAUUUAAGGAAUGAGUUUCAUUCGGUUUAAGCAGAAGUUUACAACUUGUGUAUUCUCUACUAUCCAAAAAACCCCUUUGAAACCUCUCCUCCAGAAAAAUUCUCAAUCCAAAAAAAUAUUGUAUAGUUGAAGCAUCCUUGUGAAUAUUUAAGGUAUUUUUGUAUUCUAUUAAGUUUAUUUUAGAACUUUAGGGACUUCCUAAAAGGGAAGUCCUUAAUUGUAAAUCUUUUUAAAGAUGAAUUUAUAAAUCCCUGAUUUAUGUUUUACUCUUUUAUGUUCAUGUUUUAUAUUCAAGUAAAUAUUUGUUAUGUUUAUCAUUUUAUCCUAUGCAUAUAAUAAAAGCAUAACUUGAUUUCUAGAAGCUAUACUGUUUUUAGGUUAAUCUUGAGUGACCCAGAUAGAUGAAAACUUUUGGCCGAAGUGAGCCUUUUGAUGUGUUCUAAAGAUGCUGGGAAAAGGGAAAAAUUAAUCUAAGAAUUUUAUAAGGGAGCGCCACGGUAACCUUAUAAAAAGGAAUCAGGUUCAAGUUUAUAUGUCAUAGGUGGUGAAAAUUUAAAUGUGAAAAAAAAAAGAAAAAAAAGAAAAGAAAAGGGAUUUAUACAUGAUUCUUAAGAAAGAUUUAUAGAAAACUAAGAAGAGUACUGAGUAGGAUUAAAGUUAUUCAAAGUUAAAAGUUUGAAAAAAACAGUCAUUUAUAACANNNNNNNNNNNNNNNNNNNNNNNNNNNNNNNNNNNNNNNNNNNNNNNNNNNNNNNNNNNNNNNNNNNNNCCUGCAGUCUUAAAAGAGAAUACUUGGUUGCCAUUGUUCAUUAGGCGUCACUUUUUCAUCUUGCCGAUUUUAUUUGUUUAUUUAUCUUUUAUACAAUGGAUUGUUUUACAGUCGGAUUCUUUCCCCAUUUUUACACGCAAUCACCAUUCCCCCUUCCAUUCCGUCUGGCUCCAUUUUCCACUACUGCACCACCAUACCCAGAAUCCGCCACUCGUUACCAUAAUCAUCGUUUUGUAGGGCAAAGCUCUAACUUUAAAUUUAAAAAAAUCUUAUCUUUCUUGCAUCUUCUUGACCUGAGUUUAAGCUCGCAGAAGAGGGCAAAACCUUACCUUCUUCUCACUUGAUUUAUUGUGGAGCUAGAUAGUUUGCUCUGGUAUCAUGGCUUUCUUAGUUGAGAUCUCGGAAGAAAAGCACCAAUUUUCGCCAAAGGUGUUCUCCGGUCGACGACUUUCAGCCAAAUGUGGCUGUCCUAUUCCUCGAAAACUACACUCUCCCUUCAAAAUCAGGUGCUUCUUUGGAAUUCCGUUAAUUCGAUGAUUUUCUUAAACAAUUUGAAGAUAAUUUUGCAGUAACCGAUUUUGUUUCGAUUACAAAUUUGAUGUGUGUUUGUGGUGGGUUCAACGAUAGAGGAUGUUUUCAAAUCUGUUGAAAGUUUUACUCAAUUUAAGGAGUUCAGGAGUGUGGCUUGUGGCGUUCUUGCUGUUUGGGUUUUGACUGCUGCCUCGCCUAUAAAUGCAGCUGAUCAAAUCAAAAUUUAAGAGCCUUUUCUUAGUUAAGUUUUGCAAUUAAGUUUUGCAUUUUUAUUGUGAUUUACCAUUGAUAGAAAAAUGCUUGGGAAUAAAAUUAAUACUUGAGGUAAUUUCUUGUCAUUACUGACCAUUAAUAUUGAAAUUCUUGUUUCACAAAUGAUCUAGCUACAACGACAAACAUUUAAAUGUGUAUUAGGAUUUAUUUUUGUUUGAGAGUUAAUCUAUUGCGACUCUCUUCCUGUAUCCUUAACGUUGUUCUGGGACGAUUUAUGUAAAAUAUGGGCUGAGUUUCUGAAAUGAUAUGCCAUUUGAGAUAAGAAGUGGUGGAAUUAAUUGAAAUGUGUAGGAGUUUGAUUUGCAGAGGCUACCGCCUGUCAAGAGAUAUGAUGGAAGCAGAGUAAUGUUGAGAAGCACCUCCUUCGGAAAAGUUUCACAGAUUAGUAGAUGCCUGGCAUUCCCUAGAAUUACAAUGGUAGUUGCAAUUAUUAAUAAGGACUUCUUGUUUCCACCUGCUUCCGUAUCCUUUUACUCUUUAUGAAAAAUGUAAAAAUUGGCACUUUGAUUCAUCUCAUUUAUAGAUUCAUAUGCUUUAGGUAGAGGGCAUUUUUCUGGUGUUCUUCCAAUCACAACUGCCAAGGUGCCUAUUCUGAAAGUCGAUGAUUGCGGAACUGGUGUUGAAUAUGAUAUAUUAGUUGAAAAUGGGGAUCGAAUCUUGAAAUCCUAGAUGAUUAUUUUGAGAGGUUUAAAAAGCUAAGCUUCUUAGUAUCUUAUGCAUCUAUAUAUUUUGUCAUUCAACUUUUCAGCUUCAUUUGUCCAGGUUCUAUUUCAUCCUCCUUAUGCAUCUAUAUAUUUUGUCAUUCAACUUUUCAGCUUCAUUUGUCCAGGUUCUAUUUCAUCCUCCUUAUGCAUCUAUAUAUUUUGUCAUUCAACUUUUCAGCUUCAUUUGUCCAGGUUCUAUUUCAUCCUCCUUAUGCAUCUAUAUAUUUUGUCAUUCAACUUUUCAGCUUCAUUUGUCCAGGUUCUAUUUCAUCCUCUUAGUCCAACAUAGAAUUGUUUGAUGGUGCUUUUAUCUUUUGAUUAAUUUGAAGCAUUUGAUCAUUCUGUUUACAAUAAGUUUAAUAAUUCUAUUUCGAAUAUAAUGUUCCGAUUGAAAUGUUUGCAGUGCACUUAUUAUUUAAUAUCUUUUGCAUUUGGUUAUAAGCAUUUAGAUUCUGUGUUAUAAGUCAUCACCUUAUGAUUCUUGCUUAAUCUACAAGACUGACCUAUUGUUGUGGCAAAUCCAACCAAAGGUAAUGGGCAUGCCCUUGUACAAUGCUCAAGUUUCUCAGCUGGUACAUUCAAAAGUGAGCUGCCAUUCUUGGGAGCAUAGGUUACACAAUAAUUUGGAAAAUGGAGAGAGCCAAUUUCGUCCAUGGGAUAUUGCAGUAUUCAUUAGUUGGCUUUGAGAAAUAUUCAAUUACUUAUAAAUGUUCGUUGGAAUUUAGAUGAAGAGAAAAAUUGGAACACAAUGAUCCAAGACUAUCUUUGGGAAAAAGUAUCAAGUUUGCAUGAUAUGCUAUCCACUCCAGUGUGGUUUCUAAUUGUAGAGUUCGUAAAACUAAAAGUAAUUUACCAUACAGGAGUAGAUCAUUUGUGUUGCAUUUAAGCUUAUUUUCACUCUAUAGGAGAAAUAGUCUUACAAGAUCAUAAGAGAGUUGAAAUAAGAUUAGGUAUAGCCAUAGAUGUAUAAUUACAUUAUAAAACUUACUAAGAGACUCCACAAAAUGCUUCGAAAUAACCAGCUUGUUGCCAUUAAGCGCCUCUCAGAGUAGUCAUGGCCCAACCAUCUACUAUAUGUCAAAUUCAUUUCCCAAAUUUAGAUAUUAUUUUGUGAUUUCUAGCAUACUGUAAUAUGCAUUUAUAAUAGGAUUUUGCUAUUCAUCCAAGGUGACAUGGGCCCUAGCCGAACAUGCGUCCCUCUAUUGGCUUUGUGCCUACCCCUACAAAUGCCCGUGGAGUGACAAACCCUUUAUAAUAUCAAAAAACAGUCAUUAUAUUUAUCCCUCUUCUUUUCGUUGGCUAAACCCCCAAAUUGUUGCAUCACCCUUGAAUAAAUGUAUAGACAGCAUGACAACUAUAUCUAGGUUUGAAACUUCUGUGUGCCAAACACUUUUAUAUGAUGAAUUUUUCUCAAUAAUAUAUUUAAAAUUUAUGCAUGAUUUCUCUAAUGGAGAUUCGUAUGGAUGAUAAGAAUCAUUGUUCUUAAAAUUAUUGGGCUCGUGUUUAAUUUAAUUGUGUUCGCAGUGAAGUUGCUCAAGUCUUGAGAAGUGGGCUAAUAUGCAAUCUAAUGUAAAAUGAAAAAAUACGUGCUUUAUGACAUUGAUUUGCCACUUCGUUAAGUUGAAUGUUAUUAUGCCAUCUAUCAUCUAAUGGUGAGCAACUUCAUCAUCUAUGAAAUAGGGAGGACCUACUCUGCCUUUAAUCAAGGCUGAUGUGCCACGAUCAGCCUAGAGGGAGACUCUUUUUGAGAAGGAAAGUGUCUUGAAGCAUUUGAUGCAUCUAUCUUUGAUAUCUGAUUAACUUCGUUUGUGACAUAAUUACUAACUCAAAACAUAAUUCAAUGUUCAAAAAAUAUAAACCAUGGAACCCCAAUGUUCAGAGUUUGUAACAUAAUAUGAAAAUGCUUUAAUCAGUCAACAUAAUGAAAUAUCUAAAUAUUGUAAAAUAAUGUCUACUCAACAAAAUUCAUUCUAAAAUUAUAGCAAUAAUCGUGCAACGCACGAUCCCCACUAGUAUAACUACACUAAGAAGAGGGAAUAGAAUGGCAUUGUUCACAAGCCAGAAGCCGUUGGCUGGAUGAUAAGCCAGAUUUUAGCCUAAAGCACGAAGGGAAUUAUUGAGCAGCUCAGUACUACCACGAUAUCCUUUCUUUUGGUUUCUAGACUAGAGUAGGGAGAAAGAAAAUCGAAGGUUUCCUUUCCCAGCCGCUAGUGUCUCUCUUCCCCACUCGUAGAAUUCGAUUUCUCCACCUUCCAGCGCAUCAUCGACACACCUACAUGGGCCCGUAAUAACUUUUUUCUCCAUUCUCUACUGGCUAUUCAUAAAUAUAUUCUUCAGAUGCAUGUUUUUUCACUGUAAAUAUAUAACAAAGAACUUACAAUGCAAUCUAGGAAGAUCUUAGCGCCCCUAGCGACGUCUUGAUGGAUGAUUGAGUUAGCAUAGUUCUUGAUGGUAUGUGUGAGGUUGUUCUCGUUCCCCACCUCCACUGCCUUAUUCACGGCCCAAGUAGCCGCAACAUUUCUUUGCUUCGUAAAUUAUUACUACCAAUAAUUCUUCCUUCUGAUUUUGAAACACAGUCAAAUAAGAAUCUACUUUGCACAUAUAAUAGGGUGUUUCCAAAAAGAAUUUUGCAUUCAAUUGCCGGGACCAUUUUCUUUGGGCUUUUGAAUGGCUUCUGAAAAGAUUUAGUGAAAGUAUGAUUUCAUUGUAUUUAGUGCAAAAUUUGUUCUUGGGAGUGUCGAUUGAUAUGCAAAUGACAAUAUAAUGUUUAGGAGAACCUGAAAAUAUACUUAGCACAUAUGAUGCUUAUAGGAUUAUGAUGUCCUUCAAAUUUUUCUAUCUUGAUUAUGUGCCAAAAGUGCUCCUUUUAUAUUGAUGCGAACCCAUGAGCAUCACACUCACGAACCCACAACUAGAUAGCCACAGAUCCCCAAGAACGUCAAUAAUCACCGGUUUUGGAUUUAAUCCUCAAACAAUGAACUAGGCAACCGUAGAUAUAUUAAAUCUACGACCUCCUAAUCACAAGGCUUGCGAAUCUCACCCGGAAUUUGUGGAUCUGACUCAAUAAUCACGAACCAAACAACUGCCACAAUCACUUGGAUAUGCCGACCUUUUGAUUACAAACAAUUAUUUGAAUUCACAACUAGAUAUGUUUGAAUGCCACAAGAUGCUAGAUCUUGAUAAGUUCGGUAUUUUGAAGCAUCAUGCCUCGAGAGAGAAAAUUCUCCAUUCAAUAUUUCAUAAUUUCAAAGUUCUUGUGUUAUAAUGAAAUGAAAAUUACUAUUUAUACUAAAUCUAGGAAAUAAUGAUAAAACGGAAUUUUAAAGUCCUAAUAAUAUAAAAACUACCAAAAAUAAAGUAUUAUGAGCAAAUUGGGACUCUAGAUUCUGGCCAAACUCGGCUCCUUUCAACAAGCAACUCCAAAUUGUCUUGGUCUCCAUCUCGAAUCAUAUCAGACCCUCUCUCUUCGAAAGGAUUUGCUCUCAAAUCCGUAACUUGAUCGCUCAGAUUAUAGCCCUUAUUUCCGAUCAUGGUAAGAACAUGAAAUGGCCCGUCACCUCUCGGAUGUAAUUUGGACCUCUUUUGUAACCGAAUCCUCCUCUUGCAUGUAUAAACCCAAUCACCCUCAUAAGGAUCAAAGUGUGCUCGCCUUGACUGCUUGAUCUUGCAAGUUUGAAUUGCUUCAAUAGCAAUUCCAUUUGAUGAGUACUCGUGUGUUCCACUUGCUUGACUUGGCCCAAUCACAAGAGGUGAUUUCAUGUUAAAUGGAAGCAAGUUUCUUGGUAUAUCACCCAUGCCCUUCAAUCUAAUGCAUAUAAAUCCAUUCCAGGGCAACUCCUUUACCUCUAUAGGUAUAACAAAUUCAACCUUCGGUAUUACAGAGAUUUUAAAGUGAUGGUGUUGUUGGUUAACUUUUUCCACAAGUUGAUGUUCAAUUCUCGGGUCGGGUGGUAUUCCAAUGGAUUUGAUUUCUGGAAUCGAAUCUCCGGUAACCUGCAAAAUAGAAUUAUUAAAAGUAGGGAGGGAAAUGUUAGUUUUUGAUAAGGCCUCAACUCCACUCUCAUUUUCAUUCAAGCUCACUUCCAUCACUUCUUUCCCUUCCGAAGACUCUAUUCCAUUUUCCACUUGUAGCUCCACUUCCAUUUUGGUCACUUUUCCAUUUUUAUUUUUAAUCUCGACUUCCCUUACACUUUUCCAUGGCCCUUCUCCUUUCUUCUCGUCAUGAAGCUUGGAUAAUUCUAGCUUGAAAUCCAGACAGCUUACCCACUUGAUGUGCUAUCCACAUGCUUCGUCAUACGUGUUUUACCACCCUUCGGAUACUCAACCCCAUAAGAUGAUCUAGGUCCCCCUCUAUACUCCCGUUCACGCCGAUCUCUUCCAUAAUGAUAAUUUGGCGCGCAUUGCUUCCUCAUGAUCGCCCUCAACUCAUCCCAAGUUUCAAUCGGCUUCUCACCAUUCCUUCGCCUAGAUGUCAUCAACUCAUCCCACCAAAUUACAGCAUAAUCCACAAAUUGUCUCACAACUAACCUCAAUUCUCUCUCCGGAAUAAUCAUGACAUCCAAACACUAAUUUAACUUUUUCUUCCUAUGCAAAGUACGCUUCGGGAUCCUUCCUACCCUUAAAUUGCGGGAUUGAAAUUUUGUUAUUUACCAUAUUCCUACCAACACCGUAUCCAACACAAUUUAUAUCAUGUUCUCCAUGCCUAUUGCCUCUAUUUUUCAUUCCCCGCAAAUCAACAUCAACCAGUGCAUCCCCUCUACUACAUUUGUCAUAUGCAUCACAAAUUUUUGUACUAGGCUCCCGUCUCCUCACAUCGAACACAGCAUCACAUUCAUCCCUACAAAUUUUUUUCAAUUUCACAUCCAGUCUGUCUAACUUAGUUCUCAAUCUAUUUUCCAUAUCCACCAACAUUUUCUCAAGUCGCAGCAUCAUCUUUUCAAACAUAUUGAUUGAUUUUCAAUUGGGUUGUGGGUGAGACUCAGGAAUUUUUUUUAAGACUCAAAGAAUUGGAUAGAAACUUUGGAACGAAUUAUAAAAAUUCAAGAAGUGGUCUUGAAUUUUUGACUGACUGGAGUGAACAACUUGGGAUGUUAAUAUGAAUUCAAGAAAGUGGUUAUUGAAUUGGAAUUUGACACAAUAACAAUCUUUUUUUGACGAAAAUAAUAAGAACUUGAAUUUAUUUGUUUGACAUUGUUCUGAUGAAUAGUGAUUGUGAAUAGUAAAAAUUUUUUUUUUGGACUCUUUCAAUAGAAAAUUUAACUACGACUCUGAUGAAACAAGCGAAAGUGGAUUUGGACGCAAAUUGAAUCCAAGAACAACUUUUGAAAUUUUUUUGGAAUUUUUAUGGAUCAAAGACUAUAAAAUUACUGAUUGCAUGAACAACAUAUUUUUUUUUAAAAAAUAAAAAAAUUAUGAAUUCAAGAAAAAAAAAAAAAAAAAAAAAAAAAAAAAAAAAGAAAACUGACUCAACAAAAAAAGGAAAAGAUAUAACCUUCGAUUUUGGAGCCUAAGUUUUGAUACCAACUGAUGCGAACCCGUGAGCAACACACACUCACGAAUCCACAACUAGAUUGCCACAGUUCCCAAAAACGCCAAUAAUAGCUGGUUUUGGAUUUAAUCCCCAAAUAAUGAACUAGGCAAUCUUAGAUAUCUUAAAUCUACGACUUCCUAAUCACAUGGCUUACGAAUCUCACUUGGAAUUUGUGGAUUUGACUCAAUAAUCAUGAACAAAACAACUGCCACAAUCACUUAGAUAUGCUGACUUUUUGAUUACAACAAUUAUUUGAGUUCACACCCAGAUAUGUUUGAACGCCACAAGAUGCUAGAUCUUGAUAAGUUCGGUAUUUUGAAGCAUCACGCCUCGAGAGAGAAAAUUCUCCAUUCAAUAUUUCAUAAUGUCAAAGUUCUCAUGUUAAAAUGGAAUGAAAAUUACUAUUUAUACUAAAUCUAGGAAAUAAUGAUAAAACGGAAUUUUAAAGUCCUAAUAAUAUAAAAACUACCAAAAAUGAAGGAUUAUAAGCAAAUUGGGACUCUAGAUUCUGGCCAAACUCGGCUUCUUCCAACAAGCAGCUCCAAAUUGUCUUGGACUCCGUCCCUAAUCAUAUCAUAUAUAUUGUUGUUAAUGGCAAUGAUUUUUCACACAAAUUGUACUGAAUUUGAGGCUUACCAGAAAAGAAAACAGCUUCCCAAAAUUUGUACUCAAUUCUUCAUAGAUUUUUAGAACUACUUUCAAAUCUGGAAAGAAAGAGGGAAAAGCGAAGCCUUUGGGACCAAUUUCUUUGGGCUUUUGAAUGGCUUCACUAAAAGAUUUAGUGAAAGUAUGAUUUCAUUGUAGUUAGUGCAAAAUUUGUUCUUGGGAGUGUCGAUUGAUAUGCAAAAGACAAUAUAAUGUUUGGGAGAACCUGAAAAUAUACUUAGCACAGAUGAUGCUUAUAGGAAUAUGAUGUCCUUCAUAUUUUUCUGUCUUGAUUAUGUGUCAUAAGUGCUCUUUUUAUAAAUUGUUGUUAAUGGCAAUGUUUUUUCCCACAAAUUGUACUGAAUUUGAAGCUUAGCCAGAAAAGAAAACGUAUUCCCAAAAUUUGUACUCAAUUCUUCAUAGAUUUUUAAAACUUUCAAAUUUGGAAAGAAAGAGGAAAAAGCGAAGCCUUAGGUGAGUAUUAGAAAGAGAAAUGAAAAAGGAUGCUUAUCUUUUUUAGAAGAUUAAAAGUUCCCAUAUGAAAACCCACCGACUUCCAAGCAGCUCUCUUAUUUAAGCUCAAUACAAAGUGGCUUGGCCGACCACAACAUACUCCCUGGCAGCUCAAUUAAUCUGGCUCAAUUCAAAGUGCCUUAGACCACUGUUCGCGAAAUAUUUCUUUCGAUUUAAAUUACCGCAAGUGUACGGGUCGUGACAAGUAAUAAAGUGGACUUUAGAAGUCCGAAUAUCGUCCCACAGAGAAAGAGUAGUUCAAUUUUAUUUAUUUUAGCCUUAACCAAAACUAAUUGAUUCCAGAUGAAUUUUAGAAUUUAAGCCCUAAUUUUGGGAGAAAUCCCUAAAUUGGAAAAUCCUAAUUUCAAAUCAAACCCUAAUUUGAGGGAAAUCCCCAAAUUGAAAAACCCUAAUUUCAAAUCAAACCCUAAUUACUUAAAUUCACUUAACGAAUGACUCAAUUACGAAAUGUUAUAAAAAUAAAUGAAAUGUAUUGUCAAUUUAUGAAAAUCUAUGUAAAACAAAUGCACUAGGAUCACGAAUCCCCACAUAAUUACUAAUUAAACCCUAAUUUCACAAUUUUGAUAAUUCAAUAAGAAUUUGAUAAAUCAAUGCUCCUAAAUCUAUUCAAUACUCUCUCUCGAGAUGUAUUGAACCUAUUCUCAUAAAUCAUCAGCCUAUAUCUCUAUGACGGAUGCAAUUAUACAAGAACGCAUGUAAUCUUUUUGUGAGCAAUUAAAGAUUUACAUAGGGCAUAGGGGUAUAUUUCUAUCCCCUAUCGAACCCUAUGAUGAAUUAUAUAUGUCGAGUUUAAUCUAAUUUUCUCAAAUUCAGAAUUAAACCACCAAAAUUCACACAAAUUAAGUGCACAUUAAUUGUGGAAAUAAAUAAAGCAAUAUAAUCCAUUUAAAUAUCCCAUUGAACUAAUAAUUCAAAAUCAUGAAAUAACAAGUUUAAUAAUAAUUACAUGGUUCAUCGAUCACCUAGUUGUAGAAAUCUAGCCUAUCAUGAUAAAAAUAACGAAAUCUAAUAAGUUGUAAAUAAAAUACAUCAUCGGGUUAUCAAAACUUGAAGAAAUCUUGUAAAUCUUCACAUCAAUUCUUGUUCUUGCCUUCAAAUCCUCUCCAAGAUGAAUGUUUUUGCCUCCCAAUUCGGUCGUGCGGCUUUUGGAUGUUUAUUUGCUAUUUAAACCCGUUCAAAUUAGGUUACCGAAGGAGUUGCAAUCAUAUAAGGAAACUGCAAAAAUCGGGGAAAAAUUAUACCUAUGCGACCGCAUAGGCAUAAGAAAAAUGACGUUUUUGAUCCCUGGAGGGUCACUCGCGACCGCAUAGGUUUUAUACUAUGCGACCGCAUAGUAGAGCUAACUUCUAAUUUGAGUCAUUUUGAUUCUCAAGCUUCAUUUCUUCACUCCUUGACCUCCUCUCUUGUUCCUAGUUGCUCCAAUAUUCCAUUAUAACUUCCAAUUGGUGCUUGGCUUGAUCAAUUGCUUGAUGCGUUCAUCGGGUCAACUUUCAGAUAAUUGCAAUUUGGUCCCUGAAUUUUCAUUUUGCUUCAAUUUGGUCCUUUUUUUGGCUCUUUUCUCCUGAAUUCCACUAUUUUCAUAGAAUUACCUACAUUGCAUGAAUUUGACAAAGUUAAGUAAUAAUUCAAUCAUUUUAAUUGUAUUUAAGUCAUGUUUGUGAUGUAAAUAAGUGUGCAAAAACACACUUAUCAAACCCCCCAAAUUUGAACUAUUGUUUGUCCUCAAACAAGAUAGUGAUAUAAUUCUGAACAAACAUGGCUUAAUACCUUGUCUUGGCUCAGGAUUGGACUAAGUAAUUGAUUUUAUGAAAUUUAUCAGUGCAAAAUGACAUCAACCUUUACCUGUUAAGUGCAUACUUGACGUGUGUGUGUGGAUUCAUGCUAACAUAUCAAGUUCAUGAUGAGUUUGAGUCCCGACAUCUAAGUGGUCAAAUAUCUCCUUACUUGCUCGAGAAAUACACAACCCCCCAAACUUAUUCUUUUUACUCAAUUAUCUCGGAGUUGUGUUUAAAAAUUAUGAGUUUACCUAGCUAUAGUUCUCACCCUCUUGUAGUUUGGAUUAAUUUCACUAUCACAAGUUCACAUGUCAACAAAUGGAGGCUCUCCUAGUUUUGAUUGCUUCGACACUCUAGAUUAAACUCGGUUACUUGCCUCGCCUCAAAGGUAUAGUUUCUUCCACCAAUUGUCCAAGGGCUUUUCUUCUUGUUAUUGUCUCUUUUUGUUUUUCUCACUUUUCUCUGGUUUUCUGAUUUUUUUUUAUCAUCUUCUCAUUUGCUUUCUAUAAACCCAUAUGACGAGUUUUAGGCCGGUGACUCCCAAACCAGUUGAUUUUAGGGCACCAGGUUUUUAAACUCUUGCAGGCUUAUUCACCUGAAUUAUAAAGGCUCGAUCAGAUGACACUUUUAUUAACCUCUUUACCUCUUGCUUUCUAUAUGACCCAUGCAUCGAGCUUUAGGCCGGUGACUCCCAGAUCAGUUGACCUUAGGGCACCAGAUUUUGAAAUAUCUUUACAGGCUUAUUUGCUCGAGUCAUAAAGGUUGAAAAAGAAGUGUCUUAUUCUCACAAAUUAAGUUUAUGCCCUUAUUUUUCUAGACAUCUGAUAUCCAAAACCAACCCUCAAUUUAAGAUUUUCACGUACUCUUCAUCCCACUGGUCUAGGCAAUCUACACAAUAAUUCAUGCAUGGAGCCUCACUUAGCUCAAUGUUCUCCUAUAAUAGCUCAACUAUCACCAAACUGUCUUAAGCUAGUUUACGGGUUAAUUCAAUAGAGGAUUAUAAUUAUUUUCUACUUUAUGCUCAAAACUCCAAUCACUUACCUAACAUGUAAAACAUGAAUGACGUACGUGCAUAUAGAAUGUCAAGUAUUAUAUCAACAAGUAUUAGUUGGCCUAAUUAACACCGACUCCAAAGUUUUGAAAUAUACCAAUCCAAUAGUAACAUCAUAGCCGGCAAGGCGAUUAGGCUCACACAAGCAUACAUAAGCAUAAUCAAUAUUCACUCACAAGCAUGCCUUAUGCAACAAUUAGUCAAAUUAAAUCUGGAUUGUGGAAAUGCAAUUAAUUACAUGCCGAAUGUCUUUUUCAAAUUAUGCCACCAUCCCUCAAACUUAUAAAAGACAUUGUCCUCAAUGCGAAAAUUAAGUUUAGAUGGUAGAAUUUAAGGAAAAUGAAUACAACUGAGGCAAACGAUACUCCCCUGAUCAAUACGGGGGCUGCGAUGGGAAGCUAGAUCCUGCAGUAUCAUCAGCUGGAGGUGGAGGUAGGCGCGCCAAGAUCUCUCUCAUCAGUGCUGACUGCUGUGUCAUUUCAUCAUGGAUUCCCUCAACACGUGUCUCCAAACGGCCCAGACGCUCCCAAGUUUCAUUUACCCUCAUCUGGAUACCAUCCACCCUGCCCACAUACACACUGAGUCGAUUGUUCAUAGUGUCCAUCUCCCUCCUAGCUGCCUGGGCAUCCUGGCGAGCAGCACGUGACAUAUCAGUGGAAAUGCGGAUGUCAUGGUGGGCUGUAUACAUCUCAGUCGUCAAAGUCCCCAUAGCCUGCUGGAGACUCUGUACGUCUCGGCUGGUCCCCGUGGUGGUGGUGAAAAUCUGGCGCCACAGCUGUGUAUUUAACUCAGCCUGUGGUGGAGGAGCUUGAGGCAUCUCUUGCUCUGCUUGCACGUGACCUUGCUCUUCCUGCUGUCUGCGUCUUUCAAUUUCUUGCUUUUCACAGUCAUUUAUCCUGGCUCUGUCUUGAGCCUUCAAUGUACUGCGCUUUAUGGUGGGGCUGGGUUUGGCAACCACUUCCCUGGAUACAAUGUUUAUACCAGUAGCUAUGCAAAUUCCGGAGAUGAGGCUUGGAAAGAUCAUUGAGCUGUGCCUAUCUCCCAAGGUACCCACAUGAUGUAUCUAAUUAUAGCAACGAGCGGCAAGAUCAACCUUAUUACCUCGCACCAAGUGAUAAAGGAAUCUAACUGUGGGAUCUGUGAAUGUGGUCUUGUGAGAGGUCAGCUCAAUGUUGUUGCACAUAAACAGCUACAGGAUGGCUAUAGAUGGUGUCAGCUCAAUCUGGUGCCACUCGGUGGUGGGGAAUGGCCAUGCAUUUUGUCGCCCCAAUAAGAUCUCCGCCACUUCAUGCCAAUUGAAGUCACUUGGUAUAGGGGUUAUGUUUUUCCACGUGAGCUGGUAGUAGUCUUGAAUAACCUCGGGUGAGAAUGUGAUCCAUUUUCCCUUGACCCAAGUCUGAUGCAGGUGGUCGGACCCUGGUGUGUCAAUUUCUGUAUUGAAGUUGGCGUAAAAUUCCCCUACCAACAAUUCAUAACUCCGAUGUGGCUGCUCCACUAUUUUAUCCCAUUCACAGUUAUGCACCAAAGUGGUCAGCUCGAAAUCAUGAAAGUCUUCCAAUUUAACAGCCCGCUCUGGUGUCAUUGUCCAUCGACUCACUAUGUUUUCAUAUCUGGCUGCUGCCUCGGAAGUCAAGAAUCAUUGUAUCCCUCCUUCAGGCACUCGAGUGCGUGCUGUGCCGGAUGACGAGCCAACCUUCUCCUUUCCUUUUGAAGUUCAUUUUGGUGGCAUCCUGCAAAGUUGGAAAAUAACUAGCAUUAGACAUCUUGUUGUACAGCGAGAAAUCGCAUGAAAUGAAAAGCACGUAAAUCACAAAUCCCCCAAACUUGUUUCAACAAGCAUGUAUACUACCACGGUGUGUAAUGGACAAUGUAUGAUGAUUAGAGUAGUAUAAAUGUAUAGUCCAUAUGAAAACAUAAGAAAAUUUGGGUGAAUAUGCUCAUAGUGAAAGGGUUGGAGUCAUGAUUGAGUGUACACCUUCGGCCUCGGGCACCAUUGAGAAUUAUCAAGAUUGUUCCAGGCAACCUCCGGGCAUAUGGAAAUAUGCAAUGAGGUCUAGCACAUACCCAAAUUUCAGCUCAAUCGGAGUUCGUUUGGUGUGUCAAAUAGUAGUGUAAAAUAAGGGACGGAGGGUGCUGUGGGCAUGCAAUGACUUAGCUAUAUUGUGUGUGUUGAUGUUGUCUAAGUCAAAUUGGUUGGUAAUACGUCACAACGAGUUAUUCUAUUCAUCUAAUAGUCAUAUGCCAUGCUAGAUGUUCAUAAUUGUAUUAGAUUACUAAAAUGAGCAUUUUAUCGGACAUGUUGUGGGUAUUAUAAAACCUUCAUAUGUUUGCCAAAACUUUACUAUGUCACAUGGUUCCCCAUUCAAAAAUCAAUCACCAAUCUCAUUCACAUUCAUCAAUCAAAUGAAUUUAAUGCAACAUGUACCAAAUUACCCAAAAAUUAUCAAUGUGGCAAUUUAUCAAACACCUAGCAUGCAUUCUUUAGAAAUCCAUAUAAAACCCAAUAACUCAAAAUUCGAAUUACCCCGUAACACAAUUGAAGUGCAAAUAAUUCACUCCAUCCACCAUCAACACCCCAAAAUGCAGAAAAUCAAUUCGAAAAUGACUUAAACAAACGAGCACAAUGGAGGAGAUAGUCAAAAGUAAUACCUUCAAGAUGAUGUGCAACUCUAACCUCGAGAUCCUUGUGUAGUGUAGGUGAAUGAAAUGUAAUCAAGUGUAGAAAUCGGAUCUAAGAAGAAUUUGGGCGAGAGAGGAUUUGGGAAGAAAUUGAUUUGAAAAUAAAAGAAGUGAUUCGGGCGCUAUGCGGCCGCAUAGUUAAAAUCUAUGCGGUCGCAUAGGUGUAAUGUUUUUUUGAUUUUUGGUUUCGGUAGGUGUUUAUGCGGUCGUAUAGACAUUUUUUUUAAAGAAAUACAAUAAAAUAAAUAAUAAAAAAAUGCCAUUUUUGUCUAAAUUUUUUUUUAAAGGACCCAGCUUUUAACGUCCUCAAUUUUUCAAAGACAUACUUUUAAAACAUUGACAUGUGAAAUUUUGAAAACACAAUUUGCCUCGAAAUGCGUGAAUUUCACAUUGAACUACCCAAAAAACUCAAAUCAACCCGAACUCGUGUGUGAUACUUAAGGACUCGUGUGAACAGUGCUUGGACUCUUUUAACAUGUCUAGAUGAUCGAUGACCACAUAACAGAAUACUAAAUGAAUUUGAAAAUAAACUUCCUAAUCUAAUGCAGAAAACAUAAUAAAGUAAAUAAACAGAUAAAAAGGAUACAGUGGGUUGCCUCCCACCCAGCGCUAAGUUAUAGUCGAUAGCUCGACUUUUCUGCGGCUGCUUCAUUCUGGCAUCUCGAGUUGAACGGUUGGCUUUUGGUUAGAGAAGUCACCGCCCCAGUAGUGUUUCAACCUUUGCUCAUUAACAGUGAAGGUACCUUAUUCUCAUUGCUCACUUGUAUAGCCUCAUAUGGUAGAACUUUUGUAACUGUGUAGGGACUCGACCACCAUGAUCGUAGUUUUCCUGGGAAUAGCUUGAGUCUCGAGUUAUACAGUAGUACUUGCUGCCCCACUUCGAAUACUCGCCUCUGAAUGUGCAUAUCGUGCCACUUCUUGGUUCGCUCCUUGUAUAGUUUUGCAUUUUCAUAAGCUUCCAUUCUAAAUUCAAGCAAUUCAUUCAGUUGCAGUAGACGCUUUUCACCGGUGGCAUUCAAGUCCAUAUUUAACUGUUUCAUAGCCCAAUAUGCCCGGUGCUCCAUUUCUAAUGGCAGAUGACAUGCUUUCCCAAAGACUAGGCGGUAUGGAGACAUGCCGAUCGGGGUCUUGAAUGCUGUUCUGUAAGCCCAUAAUGCAUCGUCCAGCUUUUUAGACCAAUCCUUUCUAGAUGAAUUCACAGUGACUUCUAGUAUUCUCUUCAGUUGCCGAUUAGAUACUUCAACUUGCCCGCUGGUUUGUGGAUGAUAUGGAGUAGCAACGCGGUGUUUAACGCCAUAUUUGUUCAACAGCUGCUCAAACUGGCGAUUACAGAAAUGCUUGCCCCCAUCGCUGAUUAUAACCCGCGGUGUACCAUAUCGGGUGAAAAUAUAUUUCUUCAAGAAUCCAAUUACUGUCUUUGAGUCAUUUGUUGGCAAUGCAACUGCUUCCACAUAUUUUGAGACGUAAUCCACUGCCACCAAGAUAUACUGGUUUGAGAACGAAGGGGGGAAAUGUCCCAUGAAAUCAAUUCCUCAAAUAUCAAAUAUCUCCACUUCCAAAAUAUUGUUCAGUGGCAUUUCAUUUCUCCUCGAGAUAUUCCCAGUGCGUUGACAUCUGUCACACCUCUUAACAAACUCAAAUGUGUCCUUCGCACCUCCUCACUAUCUGAUCAGCUCCUCGUCUAUAGAGAAUUGGAUCCUCCCAGAAAUAGUAUUUUAACUCGGCGAAGAAUUUUUUUCUUUGGUGACUGGAGCAGUCAGGCGGUGGAAUGGAAUUGGCCAAGUAAUUGACAAUAUCUGCGUACCAAUGUGCUUCAUCCACUCUCAACAUCUGUUCAUCCGGGAAGAUCUCAUUUAUAUUCACUAAAUGUUCCGUCUUCCCAGAUUCUAGUCUGGAUAGGUGAUCUGCUACUACAUUCUCGGUGCCCUUUUUGUCGCGUAUCUCAAUGUCAAAUUCUUGCAACAACAGCACCCAACGAAUUAAUCUUGGCUUUGCAUCCUUCUUUGUGAGCAGAUAUUUCAAUGCCGCAUGAUCAGUAUAGACGAUGAUUUUAGACCCGACGAGGUAUGACCUGAAUUUGUCAAAUGCAAAUACCACAGCCAGUAGCUCCUUUUCAGUGGUUGCAUAAUUUAUUUGUGCAUCAUUUAGAGUUCUGAUUGCAUAGUAGAUCACAUGAAAAAUCUUGUUCCUCCGCUAUCCCAAUACUGCACCUAUAGCGUGAUCACUUGCAUCACACAUCAAUUCAAAAGGUGAUUCCCAGUCUGGUGCUACAAUCACUGGUGCUGUCGUAAGCUUUUCCUUUAAAGUGUUGAAGGCUGUGAGACAAUCCUCAUUGAACUCAAAGGUUGCAUCUUUCAUUAGCAAAUUGCACAAAGGUUUAGUGAUCUUCGAGAAAUCUUUUAUAAACCUCCGAUAAAACCCAGCGUGCCCCAAAAAACUGCUAACUCCUUUAACUGAUGUAGGCGGUGGUAAUUUUUCAAUCACUUGAAUUUUUGCCUUGUCUACCUCAAUUUCUUUUGCCGAUAUCCUAUGCCCAAGUACAAUGCCUUCCUGCACCAUAAAGUGACAUUUUUCCCAAUUUAAAAUCAGGUUAGUCUCCUUGCAUCUCUGUAAGACCAAAUUCAAGUGGUUUAGACAUUCAUCAAAUGAAGAUCCAAAUACUGAGAAGUCGUCCAUGAAAACCUCAAUAAACCUUUCAAUCAUAUCAGAGAAUAUUCCAUCAUGCACCUCUAAAAUGUGGCUGAAGCAUUGCAAAGACCAAAAGGCAUCCUACGAUAAGCAAAAGUACCGUAGGGGCAAGUGAAAGUGGUCUUCUCCUGAUCCUCUGGUGCGACAGAUAUCUGAUUAUAGCCCGAGUAUCCAUCAAGAAAGCAGCAGUGUGAAUGUCUAGCCAACCUCUCCAAUAUCUGAUCAAUAAAUGGGAGUGGGAAGUGAUCUUUUCGUGUAGCUGCAUUGAGUUUGCGAUAUUCAAUGCAAACUCUCCAACCCGUAACUGUUCUGGUGGGAAUUAGUUCAUUCUUCUCAUUUUUCACCACUGUGAUUCCCCUUUUUUCGGUACCACUUGAACAGGGCUGAUCCAUGCACUAUCUGAAAUUGGGUAGAUAAUUCCUGCAUCCAAUAACUUCAGUAUCUUUGUCCUGACUACUUCCUUCAUGUUUGGGUUCAAUCUUCUCUGACUUUCUAUGCUAGGCUUGCAAUUUUCCUUCAUUAAAAUUUUAUGCAUACACAUGGAAGGACUGAUUCCUUUAAUGUCAGCUAUUGUCCAACCAAUCGCCGUCUUGUUCUCUCUAAGUACCCUGAGCAGUUUUUCCUCCUCCAUCUCACUGACUAUGUUCGAAAUGAUUACUGGAAGUGUAUUUGAUUCUCCUAAAUAAGCGUAUCUGAGAUGUGGUGGUAGUUGUUUGAGUUCUAAAACUGGCGGCUGCUGAACUGAAUGUAGUGGCUUUGUGUUUCCCAUCCCCAGUUCCUUAAAGUGCCUCUUUCGUGUGUAUGGUGGGUUGGUCUCCAAAAAUCUUGCACAUGUUUCAACUUCAAACGACUCUGACUGGAUUGAUUGGGAUUGUGCAAUACAUGCCUCAUAGGCAUCAGAUGGACUGUGUAGUAAGAAUGUUUCUUGUGCUGCCUUGUCAAUAAUGUUGACUUGAUAACAGCUGUCAGAUUCUGCUGGUAAUUUCAUUGCCUUGAAUACAUUGAAUGAUAUCUACUCCUCUCCCAACCUUAAAAUCAACUUACCUCUUUGAACAUCAAUUAAUGCUCUCCCUGUUGCCAGAAAUGGUCUGCCAAGUAUCAAUGGAACGUCCUUGUCCUCUUCCUUGUCCAGGAUAAGAAAGUCCGCUGGGAAUAUGAACUUCUCAACCUUGAUAAGCACAUCUUCAAUUAUUCCUCCGGGAUGUCUCAAUGACCUGUCAGCCAGCUGAAGUGUCACAGUGGUUGCUUUUGCUUCUUCCAAUCCUAGUUUCCUGAAAACAGACAAAGGCAUUAAAUUAAUACUUGCACCGAGAUCACAUAACGCUUUAUCAAAAUAUACUUCACCGAUUGUGCAAGGAACAGUAAAACUCCCUGGAUCUUUUAGUUUUGGUGGAAGUUUAUUCUGAAUUCUGGCACUACAUUCCUCAGUAAGCAUGACUGUCUCAUGAUCUUCCAGCUUGCGUUUAUUUGAUAUGAUAUCCUUUAGAAAUUUCGCGUAGCUAGGCAUCUAGAACAGUGCAUCAGCUAGUGGGAUGUUGAUAUGGAGCUUUUUGAAGAUUUCUAGAAAUUUUUUGUAUUGUUGCUCCACUUUUUGCUUCUUCAAGCACUGUGGAAAGGGAAUCGGAGGUUCGUAGGGGUUGACUGUGACUUUGGCCUUAUCUUGUGAUUCUUCUAAAUUUUUCUUUGAACUUGAUUCCUUUACAACAGUCUCUUCUUCAACGGAGGAAGAUGUUUCUCCAAUCACUCCUGGUCUCUUGACAUGGAUUUCAGGUAAUUGAACUCCACUUCGAGUUGUAAUGGCCUUGGCUUGCUCUUUAGGAUUGAUUUCUGUAUUACUUGGUAAGUUACCUGGUGUUCUGCCAGUCAAUGCGAUGGCUAGCUGCCCCAUCCGAGUUUCCAAAUUUUUGAUGGCUGCAUUUUGAUUUUGAAAUGUAGUUUCAGCCUUCUCCAUGAACUUUCCUAUCAUAUCUUCCAAUUGAGGCCUCUUCUCCUGUUGUUGAAAUUGCCCAUGCGGCUUAUUCUGAUUCUGGUUGCUCCACGAGAAGUUGGGAUGUUUCUUUCAGCUGGGAUUGAAAGUCUCACCAUAUUGAUUAUGCUGCUGGCGUUGUCCCCAUUGUGCGUAAUCUGCUUGCUCAAUUCCUUGCAUGAGUAUAGGACAAUCUGAUGUUUUGUGCUCGGCUCCACAUUCCUCACAAUUGCUCUUCUUAGCUUGUGAUAUGCUUUCCACCUUGUGAUACAGAGAAUCAAUUUUUGCAGAAAUUGUUGAAUAAGCGUUCACCUCAUAGACACCUAGAGUUUUCUUUGGAGUCGCUCUCUCAGAAGACCACAUGGCUGAUGUGGUAGCCAUUCGCUCAAAUAAUUCCAAUGCCCCGUCAACUGUUCUUGUGGAUAUUGAGCCAUCUGAUGCUGGAUCUACCAUGCUCUUAUGGUAUGGAAGUAAUCCUGUGUAGAAGAAUCGAAUCUGAGUCUUUUUAUCGAACCCAUGCUGAGGGCACUUCCGGAGCAUGUUUUUAAAUCUGUUCCAGGCUUCAUCAAAUGAUUCAGUCUCUCCUUAAUUGCAUACUGAUAUAUCAUGUUUCAGCUUUGCUAUCUUGGCUGGGGAGAAGAACUUUGUGCAGAACUUGUGUGCCAGCUCAUUCCAUGUAGUGAUACUUGCAACCGGGAGUGAAUCCAACCAUUCAAGUGCUCUGUCUCGUAGCGUAUGUGGAAAAAGCCUCAACCUAAUGGCGUUAUCCGAAAUCCCUUGGUAUCUGAAAUGUUGACACAUAUUCAGAAAUCGAGAGACGUGUGUGUGGGUUCUCCUCAGCCUUGCCAUAAAAUUGGUGUCCAUUUUGAAACAGCUGUAUCACAUUAGUCUUCAACUGAAAAUUAGGUUGCCCAAACGGUGGAUACACUAUGCUGGUCUGGCUUUGAAUCACUUGAGGAGUCAAGAAAUCCCCCAGAAUCUCAUUCCCUUCGUCCAUUGCCUCUCCUUCGUUAGCAUGAAUCAUGGGAUUGUUUAAUUCGUUGGUGAUUUGUACUUGUGCUUCGCAGUGAUUUCUUUGUCAUCGGUGAAAGGUGCUCUCAAUUUCAAGAUCAUCUGGAAUCAAUUUUCCUCCAGGCAAUCAUGACAUGCAAAUCUGAGAAUUAAAACCAGUACGAGCGUUGAGAUUCAAACAAUUUAAUUAACUAAAACACAAAUAGAGGAUAAUAAACUAAAAUAAAAAUAAGAACAAAAGUAUGCUAGUAAAAUAAAUAAAAAAUUAAGUUCGAAUUAGUGCCUCAAGAAAUAAAAUUAAACUAAACUCAAUCCCCGGCAACGACGCCAAAAACUUGUUCGCGAAAUAUUUUUUUCGAUUUAAAUUACCGUAAGUGUACGGGUCGUGACAAGUAAUAAAGUGGACUUUAGAAGUCCGAAUAUCGUCCCACAGAGAAAGAGUAGUUCAAUUUUAUUUAUUUUAGCCUUAACCAAAACUAAUUGACUCCAGAUGAAUUUUAGAAUUUAAGCCCUAAUUUUGGGAGAAAUCCCUAAAUUGAAAAAUCCUAAUUUCAAAUCAAACCCUAAUUUGGGGGAAAUCCCCAAAUUGAAAAACCCUAAUUUCAAAUCAAACCUAAUUACUUAAAUUCACUUAACGAAUGACUCAAUUACGAAAUGUUAUAAAAAUAAAUGAAAUGUAUUGUCAAUUUAUGAAAAUCUAUGUAAAACAAAUGCACUAGGAUCACGAAUCCCCACAUAAUUACUAAUUAAACCCUAAUUUCACAAUUUUGAUAAUUCAAUAAGAAUUUGACAAAUCAAUGCUCCUAAAUCUAUUCAAUGCUCUCUCUCGAGAUGUAUUGAACCUAUUCUCAUAAAUCAUCAGCCUAUAUCUCUAUGACGGAUGCAAUUAUACAAGAACGCAUGUAAUCUUUUUGUGAGCAAUUAAAGAUUUAUAUAGGGUAUAGGGGUAUAUUUCUAUCCCCUAUCGAACCCUAUGAUGAAUUAUAUAUGUCGAGUUUAAUCUAAUUUUCUCAAAUUCAGAAUUAAACCACCAAGUUCACACAAAUUAAGUGCACAUUAAUUGUGGAAAUAAAUAAAGCAAUAUAAUCCAUUUAAAUAUCCCAUUGAACUAAUAAUUCAAAAUCAUGAAAUAACAAGUUUAAUAAUAAUUACAUGGUUCAUCGAUCACCUAGUUGUAGAAAUCUAGCCUAUCAUGAUAAAAAUAACGAAAUCUAAUAAGUUGUGAAUAAAAUACAUCACCGGGUUGUCAAAACUUGAAGAAAUCUUGUAAAUCUUCGCAUCAAUCCUUGUUCUUGCCUUCAAAUCCUCUCCAAGAUGAAUGUUUUUGCCUCCCAAUUCGGUCGUGCGGCUUUUGGAUGUUUAUUUGCUAUUUAAACCCGUUCAAAUUAGGUUACCAAAGGAGUUGCAAUCAUAUAAGGAAACUGCAAAAAUCGGAGAAAAAUUAUACCUAUGCGACCGCAUAGGCAUAAGAAAAAUGACGUUUUUGAUCCCUGGAGGGUCACUCGCGACCGCAUAGGUUUUAUACUAUGCGACCGCAUAGUAGAGCUAACUUCUAAUUUGAGUCAUUUUGAUCCUCAAGUUUCAUUUUUUCACUCCUUGACCUCCUCUCUUGUUCCUAGUUGCUCCAAUAUUCCAUUAUAACUUCCAAUUGGUGCUUGGCUUGAUCAAUUGCUUGAUGCGUUCCUCGGGUCAACUUUCAGAUAAUUGCAAUUUGGUCCCUGAAUUUUCAUUUUGCUCCAAUUUGGUCCUUUUUCGGCUCUUUUCUCCUGAAUUUCACCAUUUUCAUAGAAUUACCUACAUUGCAUGAAUUUGACAAAGUUAAGUAACAAUUCAAUCAUUUUACUUGUAUUUAAGUCAUGUUUGUAAUGUAAAUAAGUGUGCAAAAACACACCUAUCAACCACAAAUUUUGGAGAGUUUGCAUUUUCAUUUCUCUCUCUCUCUCUCUCUCUCUUAAAUUAAUCUUUGAGGAGCAUGUUUACUUAGAAAGUGUUCUUAUCAGAUGAAGAAAUUGGGAAUUUUCUUUAUACACGUCAGAUAAAUUUUGUGUAUAGAAAUUAAUCAACUUCAAGUAUGUGUGACUGUGUAAUUAUGAAUGGUGGAUCUCAUUAUCUAUUUUAUUUGACCAAAAUAUUUAUGCACAAACAUGUUUUUCCAAUAAAUGAAGGCGUGUGUAAAAGCUAUUAAUUCUAAAGAAAUCUUUUGGAUGCUAUUGCUCUUAUUUAUGAAUUUUGAGGUGAAACUUUGUCUUCCUUUGAGAUUUAUUUCUUUUUUUCUUGAUGUAUGUUGAUUUUGAGCAACUAAAUUGAGCAUCUAAGAUAUUUUUCGAUGAUUAUAUAUAUGUGAAUUUGAAGUUUAUUUGAAUACUACUAAAGACUAAAUAUCUCUUCAACCCACAAUGCAAACAUAAAACAUCAACAAAUAGCCCAUCGCUUGGAAGAAUGUUUAUUUGAUUGCCAGCAAACAAAAAGCAAGAGCAGGAGUAGUGACUUGAGAAUUUCAAAUAUGCAUUGUGGUUCCUUUUUGCAUGCUUAUGUCCACAGUCCGCCAUAUCUAACUUCCUACAACUCCAUUUGUUGUACUGGCUUUUGUUUAUUGUACUUCUAAGCAUGUUAAACAUAUGUAUUCAAGUACGAUAUGAAACAACUCUAAUUUUUGCUUAGGAUUACCAUUAGCAAUGAAAAUACGUGUGAACACAAUUUAUAUAAUCCAAUAUAAUCUUCAUGCACUUUCUUAUUCACGUGAUAUCACACACAACUCUAGGGUGUGUUUGCUAGAAUACUUUCAUUUUUCAUUUUGUAUUUGUCUUGCGUUAUAAAGAGAAUUUGAAAAAAGAAUAGUUUUAAGGGAAAAUGUUGUUAUUUAUGGUGAGGGAAGCAAUAUUUAUAUUAUGUGAUAAUUUGUUAUUCGAGCCAGUAGUUAUCUUAUGAUGAUUUGUUAUUUAUAGUGAGUGAAUGCAAUAAUUAUCUUACGUGAUGAUUUGUUAUUCGAGCCGAUAUUUAUACUUUAUUAAAAUUUAUAUUAAAAUCCCGAUGAUUUGUUAUUUGAGGCAUUAAGUGCACGUGUUUUUCUUAUUUACUUAAAUAGUUUUAAGUAAAAUUAUAUCAUUAGGAUUUUAAUAUACAUUUUAAUAAAAUAAAUUAUUCUUUCAUCACAAAUAUAAACCUUUUUUUUCUUUUUCUAAUAAUUGCAAGUUUUUUGCCCCCAUGAUACCACUAGUAAAUGAAUUCAUCAAUUUGUUUAAUCUUAUUUUAUGGGAUUUGUUUUUGAUGGAAAAUUUUAUUGGAUUGACCAUAUUUUUCUUUCCAAUCAUGCUAUAUAGCCACAAUGAUGAAAAAUAAUUUAAUGUACCAAUUAAAUUAUUUAGCGUGUUUGUUUAUUCGUUUCUAUAUAUGUCAAAAUUUCUUUGAACUUUUUCUAUGAUAUUGAUUCGUGUUUAUUUAUAUCAAAUAUACAGAAGGAAUUGUAUUUUGAGUGUAGUUAGAAAAAUGGCUUCAGUGUCUAAGAAAAAUAAAAGACGAAGAGAAGUGUGCAAUGAUAGUGCAAAAUUGGAUAUUGACGUACAGACGCCAAAGAGAAAAUCUCUACGUUUUGUCCAGUUGGAAGGUGAUACAUGUAACUACAAGAGGAAACAUAUUCGUAACAUAUUCUUAAUGAUGUUGUUUCCACCUUUGUGUUAGUUUUUCCAUUCAUGUGGACUUUUUAUUUGUUUUUUUUUGUUUUUGGAUAACUAAGCAUAUAAACUAUUAUAUUUUAAUACUACAUUUAUAAUAGAAUUUGUCUAGUGGUACAUAAUGGAGUGUACCGAAUGGUAUACACCCCACUCACAUGGGUGUAGGGCCCAUGUGAAAGAAAUGUUAUUUUAUUCGAGUGGGUCCCUCGCUCAUGUGAGUGAGGGUGUACACUAUUAGGUACACCCUGAUAUAUCACUAUCAAAACCGUUUACAAUAUUUGUUCUGUAUACUUUAUUCUGACCAAAAAAAUGAUAUUUUGAAUGAAUUUUUUUCUCUUUUCUUUAUUUAUUUUUAUGCUGAACUUCUUUGCCAAAAAAUGUACUAUAUUACGUUUAACAUACAAAAUUGUAGAUUUUUGUCAGAGAUUUUACUCUUUUUAUCUACGCAAGCUUCAUACGAUAUUAAUGUAUUAUUUUUUCUAUUUCGUGUGGCUUUAACAUUUGAAUUGGUUUUGAAAAAUAAAAAUUUUGCAGCUGCUGGAGUCACCAAUUCAGAUUCAAUUUCUGUCUUUCAUAAUUGUGAAAUUGAAGACAAUUAAGUAGGUAAUAAAUAUUUAACUUAUUUGUAUUAAUAACAUAUUGUUUUUUGAAGUGAAAAAAAGAUCAUGUAUUCCUUAGAUAGAUGAAUAUGAUUAUUUUGUCAUGUUUGAUUUGUAUUAUGUAUAAUUAUACAAGGAAUGUUUUCGUAUUCAGUAGUCUUCGUUGUAAUGAAGUUUGUAACAUUGAUGUUGGACCAAAUAAGUUUAUUUGAUAUAUUUCUUUUGUCAAAAAUUGAAUUUAUAAUCACGUUUUACAUUUUUUUAAGGGGAUGUGUCUUUUGUAGAUUCUAAUGUGGUUUUUCAUGAUAGGUAGCCGUUCCGCGACUUAUACCCAUCAGCUUGGUGUUCAUUUAGAGCUAAUGCCAUCAAUAUUUACAGCAAAUGAAGGUUUGUUUUAGAUACCAAACAAAUCACAUGUAUUACCUUGUCCCAUGUCAUGUGAAUAUUGUGGGGCUCUAAAAUUUUAAGAUGAGCCGAAAGGUUUUUGUUGUUGUGAUGAAGCUAUUAGAUUGCAAGUGAAUGAUACGUCAUAUGAAUUACCUCAUUUAUUUACAUCAAAUUUUGCUGAAUCCAUUGAAUUUAAAACUUACGUAUGAACUUAUAAUAGCAAUUUCUCAUUCACUUCAUUUGGUGUGCAUUAUGAUAAAGAUUUGUGCAAAAGAAACAAAGGGAUCUAUACCUUCAGAAUUCAAGUUCAAAUAUAUCAUUUUAUAAAUGACAUUCUUGUACAAAACGGUCGCCCUUCUUAUAUGCCACUCAAUUUUUUUGACACAAAAUGAAAUAGAGCAUCGACUACAACUUUCUGAAAAGUUAACGAAGUGUAUAUUUUCAAAGCUUGUCAAAGUGAUUGAACUGAAUCCAUAUGCAAUUUUUUUUUUUUUUUUGGACUUUAACAAAUAUUCCAAAUUUGAACUCUCAUAGUCUUAAAAUUAGAUCUGAUUGUGGAUUAGAGCAAAAAGUAUAUAAUACACCAUGUGCAUUUCAAGUUGCUGCUAUUUGGGUUGAUGAUGAUUCUACUACUAAUAAACGAGUGUGUGAUAUAACUGUUUCUUGCAAUUCGGGAGAAAAACAUCAAGUACAUUAUUAUUCUGGUUGUUAUGAUCCUCUUCAAUACCUUUUAUUAUAUCCUUUUAGUGAAAUUGGUUGGCACCAAGGUUUUGUUAGAAUUGACAAACGUAGAAGACAACAAACAUGUGUAAAUGAAAAUUUAUUUGACAUUCAUCAAUUAAAUUCUGCUGCAGAAAUUUUUGCGGUGGAAAAUACAGGUGAAUAAUUUAUUUAUGCUUAGUACAUUUAUUUUUAAAAUGUUUAAAAUCUCAUAUUGUAAGACAUUUUCCUGUUCUAUACUUUUUCCAGUUGUGCAAAAGAAGACAACAAGAGCUCAAGUAUCAUGUAAGGAAUACUAGUAUAUAUUAUAGGAACGUUGUAAGGUUAAUAGAUAUGUUUGAUUGAAAAGUUCAAAUUAUACAGUGUGUGAUCUUGUGACACAAUUUUUCAUUUUAUCAAAUAUCAUAACAUAAUAAUAAAAAGUAGUUAAACCAUGCAAAAUGUCAAAAAAACUCAAGCCGCCACCGAAAAGCAAAAGCAAACGCAGACGCCAAGGAUACCCAUCCCAAAUGCACCACCAAUUUCGGCACUAUUUGUUGAAAUAUUUACAAUCAUAAACUAAAACACUAGAAAUUAAGACAAAUAAGUAUUAUUUAUAUGUAAUUCAUUGUAUAAAUUUUGAUGUACGUGUAACAAAUUCCUAAGUAGAUUCUAUGGAAAUAGAAGGCAUGGGGAACAAAAAGAGUUUAAAAUAGAAAAUUAGAGAUGAAACUAACACCAAAAUUUGAACAUUUACACUUUGAAAAGUAAGAAUCUGAAAAACAAAAAUCCUCGUUAGGGAAAUUCAGUGAUUCAUAAGCUUGUGUCUCAUGCAACACUUGCCUUGGUUAAUAUGAAAUGUGUGGAUUACAGUACAGUUCUAUUUUCUCACGAAAUUUGUGGUGAUUUGAAUUGAUUAUGAAUUAUUUACAAAAAAUAGAGCUGCAGAGUUUCCAAGUUUUAUCAAAAUUGUAGGAGAAACUAAAAGAAAUUUCAUUGUAAUAUUUCAAUAGAAGUCAGUUUCGAUUCUCGAAUUUGUAUUCUCAAGGAAUCGAAGAAAUAGUGACGUGUGAUUUUUGCUAAUUAAGCUCUUGGGGAUCGGUUGUUUAUGAUUGUGGGUACUCACCAUAUUAAGCUCCUGUUUGAUUCUAAAAAAAAAAAAAAGUAUUUUAAUUUAAAACAUCUUUUAUAAUGAUUUUUUUCAAGAAUUAAGCUCCUUAUACAUCGUAUUUGACAUUCAAUGAUGUGUAAAAACAUAAAAUCUGGUCAUUGAUUUGAAUAUGUGUUAUUCAAAUAGGUGACCAGAUUGCUUGCGCAUCAUGGAAUAUUAACAAAACUGUCAACCAAAAUAUAAAGGUAGCGAAACUAUUCUUUUAAAAAGCCCCAUUAGCGGUGUUAUUGCUCUCCAUUUCUUGUGCGAUCCAAAUGAUUUAUCCAGGUUGGCUUUUAAUCAAUCUCUAGUUGUUUAGUGCCCUAUUGUAUGACUUUUAUGGAGACCUUACAAGUGAACUAUUGGUGAGAGGUCCAACGAGUGAACUUUUUUCUAUUAGGAGAGUUAAUCGAUUCCUUCACAAGUAGCAAACAAAAAAUGAAGGGAAGAGGAAAUGGAAAAUCAGUGGCCGAGAUUUCGUGCAAUAUCAAACCAGUUCUUAUGCUUUCAGGAAAAGAUUCGCUUUACGCCUCAUAAAAGAACUAGCAGGUUGUUGGAUAAAAUUACUGACAUAAUUAAUUAAGCGGAUAACUACUUUAUUUAUUGUAAAAUAUAUGAAUUUAGGAAAAUCCCCAUACCUCACUUUUGUUCAAUGAAGAAGCAGACCAAGGUUAGCUUGAAAGAGUCUCGAUCGGUCGCCUUGUUCCUCUCCGCCCCGAAGCUGACCCACGGCAUAACGCCCAUUCGCUUCGCUAAGGGAAGGCAACGUACGCAAGGCUAGACGCGAAUGAGAGCAGUGCGCGAAGGAAUUCAUUCCUUCCUAAGGAAUGGAGUACAGGGAAGCCCAUUGUUGUAGCUCUCCUGCCCAUCAAAACUUGAAAGUAAUUGGCGUAAAAAAAUGCAUUUUAAAGCUUAAUUGGGGUGGAUACAAAUCAAAUUAAAAAUUAAUCGAACUGUACUUGAUCUAUUAGUAGAAUUAGGGAUGGCAACAGUUCUGUUUAGGUUCAAUUUUGGUUCGACUAAAACUGUCACCGAACCGUCAAAUUUUGUGUCAUACUAUAACCGCACCAUAACCACGUAAAUCAGUUCGGUUCGUAUGUCGGUUCGGUUCGAUUAAUAAUCAUGAAAAUAAAUUAUUUUUUAUAGGUCCAUCGGUCAAAUUUAUUAAAACAAUUUAUGAAAAGAGAGUCAAUGAAAAUAAAAACACAAUAUUCCAAACAAAAAUGUGAACAUUAUCCCAAAUUUCAAUUGCAAAGUACAAAUUUAACAAACAAUAUUAUGAAUAUAACAAUACUAAAUUUAUCCUUCAUUCUUGAUUCUUGUGCAUUGUAGUAACUUGAUUUAUGCUCAAUAAUUCAAAAGCUUCAACAUUAACUCAUAUUCAAUCUUCAUUCUCCCCCACAACUCUUAUUAACAUAGGUCAGAAUUCAAAAUUGAUUUCUAUAUAGUAAAUAAGAAAUGUAAGUAGAGAAUACAAUGAUACUACCUAAUCCAAAAUGGUUUUACCUAAGAUUUAAAUAAAAAAUGUACCUCUUUGUCAACUUCCUCUUCACUAAACCUUGUCAUUCCUAAUAAAAUGAUGGUUUUUUUUUAAAGCGGGUAAUCGGUUCGAUGGCAUAAAUACCAUACCCGCACAGCCACGAACCGGUUCAUUAAAAUCAAAUAUCAUAUCUGUUCCAUUGCACUAUAGGUUCGAUUUUUUUGCCCCAUUCGAUUCGGUUAACCGCGAUUUUCGAUUUUAACGGUUCAAAUUGCCACCCAUAAGUAGAAUUAAUAGAGUAAUAAGAAGAAAUUCAUAAGUUUUGAGAGUUAAAUUCAUUUGAAAAGUUGAGGACUAAAUUAUAAACUUUCGAUACUUGCAUCCGAUCGUUGUUGGACAAUCAUUUGAAAAGUUGAGGACUAAAUUAUAUCGUUGUUGGACAAUCAUGGAAUUUGGAGGAUUCUAUUGUGAAGAUUCGAAGAUGAAGGACCAAAGUGCAUAUAGGAAGGCUCGAGCUAAACAGGAGAAGAAAGUCAAGGAUAAACUUGAAUGGAAGGUAAAAGUUUGUAGUUAUGAUUGCGGGUUCUCAGAAAAAAUAAAAAAUAAAAAAUAAAAAUAAAUAAUCAACAGCCAUAAUGCUGUGCAAUUGCAAAGUAAUAUGAGCCACUCUGAUUAUUUCCUUAUUCGACUCAACUUCUACUUAGAAAUUAAUUAGGACACAACUUUUUACCUAAUAUUGGUGUCUAUAAAUACACAUCAUCAUCUACAAUUACGGAGGAAGCUUAAUGCAGAAAUUACAUGUAUAUUGCAAGGGAUAGAGCUCUAGAGGAAGCUUUUGAUCAAAAAUUCCAUAUUGCUUACAAACUUGUAAGACAAGUAUCAUACUAUCUCUUUCUUGCUCAUUUUAUGUAGCUCUUAUGUGGAAAGUCUUCCACUCGUACCUUUCUAAAGAACUCAAUUUACUACGAUCCUAUCGUUAGAGCGGGCUUUCAAGAGAGAGAUGCGCUACUCCAUCUGGAAACGUGCUUUCCAUCAUAAGGGCCCCAAUUCUUCCCAGGUAUGUGAAUUAGGAGGGAUGUCCUUGCUUUGAAAGUUCAAGUGGGUUUUCUUGUCCUCCUUUAUCUUCAAGAACUUCCUUGGAAUCCUUCAAUUCCAGUUAGGGAAUGUCUGUUCGUUUUAAGUAGUCAAAUCAAGUAUGUCAUCGAGAAGAUGGUUCAAAGGAAGACGCUUAUGGCGUCUUACGAUUUAAUUAAUAAAAUAUUUUUUUUCCUGAGUCAUUUUAUUAAUAAUUUCCAAAGGAUGACCACAAAAGGAAUCAAUGAUGCAUACGCAUGCGUGCUACCCUUAUUUUGUUUAUCACUUUAGCCCAAAUCCAAACAACAUUAUGGAUUGGACAGUACAAUAGAUUUUCGAGGCGUUUCCUCAAAAAAAAAAAAGGAUGGGUGGAAGAUGGGAAUUGAGAUAUUGUUUAAUAAUCAUCUAUCAUGUUAGUUUUAAUAUAAAACACAUCCAUGUAAAUUCCAUGCAAUAAUUGAUUGAAUUGAAGAAGAAUCAAAGAAGUUAAUCAAUGACCAAUUUAAGAAAUUCAAGACUUCUUUCUAUCUUUCUUCAAACUUUAUUUGCGCGUGAUAUUGUCUCAAUUCAAUUGCAUUUUAUUAAAAAAAAAAAAAAGGUUGAAUCCCAACCUUGAAGGCCCCCACCGCCCCGUCCCUAGAGCUUUGUGAGGGAGGUAAAUCGCGGGAUGUGCCCCAACAGGCCAGGGAACAAGAGCUGCCUGUACACUGCACCAAUUCAAUUGUGUUUUAUUAAUCAUAUGACACUUGGAUAGUUGUAUAGAUGUAAGUAUAAAUUCAAACCUGUAUUUUGGAGUUUUGAUGUUAAAUUCUGAAUUUUGACAUUAAACAUGUAAUUGGAUUUGAAAGAAUGUUAGAAGUUUAAUGAUAUUUUAGUUACUUGCUCACUAAUUUUUUUUUUCAGAUUUAAAGCUUGUAACAUGGGUUCAAGAAGAAAAUGCUAUAAGGCUCAAAGGGGUUUAACAAAGGGACAACUAAUUACAGGGUAGGCUAUUUGGUCCAGGUGGCCAAAUUAUGCAGCAAAGAUGGCCUUAAUCAUGUUCAUGCAUGCAUGUAUCAAUAUGAUCUCGAAAGUUCUGGCAAGUUCUGGCAAAAAAACCCAAGGAAGAAAAUAACUCAUGAAAGAAAGUAGUGAGAUUGAUAUGGAUGUGUCAGUCUUAGUGGCCCAAAAUCUCACUGUUUUUGUCUACAAAAUUUAGUUACUACCAUCCUUAAAGAAAAUAACUCAACCAAUUAACUUUAAGUUGAAAAGAUCAUUUAUUCAAUCAUGUUAUGAGCUCUUCAGAGACUUAAUUGAAUCUUGCAAAUGGUACACACAAACAAAAAUAAUUUAAAAUCACAAAUUUUCUCUCAAUUUUUCGAAUUUUUUUCUUGUCUUGUCAAAAGUAACGGAAGCAUGACCCAAAUCAAAAUUUUAAAAACAACCUAACCUAAAUUCCCUCCCCCACCCUUAAAAUUUACAUUGUACCCAAUGUAAAGUGAAAUGCAAAGAAGAGAACAAAUUUAGCAUAAAAUAUUAAUGUAAAAACGAAAUAAAAUGAAAAGGUAAAUGAACAAACUACCCUUGUGUUGCCUCCCAAGCAGCGCCUUUAUUUAUUAUCUUUGGCUAGACUUUUUGUUUGCUUCCUCAAUCGGCAUCAAUUGGGUUUCCAAGGCCCCAUGUUCUCACCUCCUUCAUUUGGAAACCUGCGUAGAAAGGUCACUUGUUAGAAACUGGUAAAAUAAUAUGCGAACUUUUAUCUAACUUUGGUGACUUUGGAGACGUAUUCAAUGCUGCAAUGGUUUCUUGCAAGAGAGUAUUUUGGGGUAACUCCUGAUCCACCUCCUCAUAUGCUUAUCAAUUGCAACUUUCACUGCAUUUUUUUCCAUCAGGUUCUAAAACUUCCUGUUCUAAAUUAUCAACCACUUUAAUAGAAUAAAUAGGGUUAGUUUCGUCAGGAUAUUUUAUGGCAUAUAAAUAUUAAAUUCAUUGAGUUUAUCGUCAAAUUCCAUAGUAAGCAUGCCACUAUAAAAAUUUAUUUUAGCUUUGUAUGUCUUUAAGAAUGGUCUUUCUAGCACAAUAGGGGUAGUUUGAUCACUAUAUCCCAUAUCAAGCAUAUAGAAGUCAGCGGGAAAAACCAAAUCAUUAAUUUUCACGAGAAUAUCCUCAACUACACCCUUAGGAUAGACAUUAGAUUUAUCAGCUAAUUGAAUUACCAUGCCACUGACGCCAGUUUCAUUCAAAGGUCCAAGUUUUAAAGAAGCGUAUAUAGAGUAUGGCAUGACAUUAAUAGAAACUCCUGAGUCUAACAUGGUCUUUUCAAACCUAGUGUUACCUAUCAUGUAAGGGUUGGUAAACAUGCCUGGAUCUUUGUACUUUGUAGGGAGUGUUUGUUGAAUGAUUGCAGAGACAUUUUCACCUACGUUUAUAUUUUCACACCUUUUAAUUUUCUGUUUUCUUUUAAUGGUACACAAUUCCUUCAACAACUUAGCAUAACGAGGUAGUUGUUUAAUAGCAUCUAACAAUGGAAUGUUUAUCUCACAUUUAUGGGUUUCAUAAAGUUCAUCAUUUAGUUCAUCUUUCCUAGAUUCUGCUAAAGCCUGAGGGAAAGGGGAUACCGAUUUAAACUCAGAAAGGGGUGAAAACUUACGUUUAAGUGCGCCAUCGUCAUUGGGAACAAUCUUUUCUUCAGUGGCAUCUUUCUUCUUUUCCUGCUCCAAUAAUGUAGGGGCUGCCUAUGGAAUUUCAAUAUUCUUAUCACUCCUCAACAAUAUUGCAUUUAUAUUUUCCUUUGGAUUAACCAUUGUUUGAGAGGUAAUUUUCCGGAACCUUGUGCUUCCAGCCUAUUGAUUGAGGUUGCCAUUUGACCUAUUUGGUUCUCCAAACUUUUAAUACUUGCCCUUGUCUCUUGUUGAAAUUGCAAAGUGUUAGUGGCAAGAGAUUUAACAAAAUCGUCUAAAGGCAUACCUGAACUUGAAGUUUGGUCCUGUUGUUGUCUAGGAGGGUAUGGUUGCCUGUAUUACUGGAAGUUUGGGCGAUUUGUAGGCAUUGGUUGAUUCACUUGUUGAUUUACAUAGCUAAGAUUAGGAUGAUCCUUCCAUCCUGGAUUAUAAGUGUUUUAGUAAGGAUCAUAAUUCCUUUGUGGUAGUCCAAGAAAGCCGCCCAUUGCAUUAACUUGUUCAAUGGGGCCUUCCUGAAGAGUUGGGCACAUGUCAGUUGGAUGCCACAUCACCGAACAAAUUUCGCACGCCUUCGUCUUUUGCAUAUUACCUGCAGCAAUUUGACGAACAAGGGAAGUUAGACUUGCAAGUUGUUGUUCAAGAGAUGAAACAUUUACCUUAUUAACAUGUUUAGAAGGGGUGUCGAGUUUAGUGCUGAAUUGUUGAGAAUUGGCUGCCAUGUUUGCAAUCAAGUUCCUCCCGCCCUCAGGAGUUUUAUCCACCAAAGCUCCUCCAUUUGCAGCGGCAAUCAUGCUCCUAUCAGUGGGUAAAAGACCUUUCUAGAAAUACUGGAUGAGAAGUUGUUCACUGAUUUGAUGAUGGGGACAGCUUGCACACAGUCGCUUGAAACGCUCCCAAUAUUCAUGUAAGGAUUCUCUAUUGUCUUACAUUACACCACAAUAGCCUUUCAGAUGUUUGCUGCCCUUGAAGCUGGGAAAUAUUUCUCCAAAAACAACCUCUUCAUUUCCUCCCAUAUUGUGACACUUCCAAAUGGCAGAUAGUAGAGCUAGUCCUUAGCUGAGUCCUUCAGGGAAAAUGGAAAAUCUCCCAAUUUGAUUUGCUCUUCAGUUAACCCUGUGGGUUUCAUACUUGUGCAUACUACAUGAGAUUCUUUUAAAUGCUUGUGAGGAUCUUCACCUGCAAGACCAUGAAAAGUAGGCAAAAGAUAUAUUAGUCCAAAUUUUAAUUAAAAAGUGGUGGUAGCAUCUAAUGUAGGAAAAGUUAUGUAGAGGGGUUGUUGAUGCAAAUCUGGAGCUGCAAGCUCUUUCAAAGUUUGAUUCCUAGCCAUGUUAAUCCUUAACCUGCGCAAAGUCCUUUCUAUUUUUGGAUCGUACUGCAAAUCACCUUGGUUAGAAGAUUGGGUUAAGGGCAUAAACAGUUAAAGAAGCUAUAAAAAAAAAAAACACUAAACUAAACUAAAUAAAAUAAAAUAACCAAAUGAACAAAGCAAAGAUUUUAUUUUUUUGGAAAUAAAAACUAAUGAAACAUAUAAAAAGCACAAAAAUAAACUAAAUCACUCCCCGACAGCAGCGACAAAAUUUGGUGCGUGCUGUGGUCACUCCAAAUUAAAACCUAUACCUUUUAAAAUUAAUGUAGCAGUGAAAGAAAGAAUCGAUCCCACGAAGAGUGUUUAGUCUAUCUUUUAUGCUAAAUUAACUAAAAUGGGGGGUUUUGGUUUUCUUGAAAUAAUAUAAAUCAUCGAAAUAAAUAUAAACAGUAAAACAAACCUUGAUCUAAUUCAACAUCCACCAUUGGAAAUUAAAAAUCGGUCAUUGAUUCACAAAUAAUCAUCAAUUCAUAAUUUUAGCAUUCAUUGUGAAAAAUAAAUUUCUCAUUCGAAACAAUUUUCUUAUUUCUUCUUAGUUUUAAUUAAUUAGAAACAAGCGAUCGAAUUAAUCCUCUUUAUCAAACAAUCAUAGACAAGCGCGAGAAUUUAAUUUAAUAAUGGCUUUGCAAAUUAGAGAAAUCAAUGAACUAGAUAACACAAGUCAAGCGUUUGCAUCUGGAUAAAUCUUCUCCCUAAGAUUUAAUAAUUUCCAUUCAGCAAAUUAUCAAUCUUAGUUGCUUCAUAAGUUAAACCAAUCAACAAUUACAGUUUGAAAUUCAACUUAGCUAUAGAUUGUAGAGAUUAAUAAACUAGCGUGCACUCUAGAAAUUAAACACAACAAUCAUAAAAAUAAUUGCAAAAGAAGAUUUAAUACUAAGCAUAUAAAUUAAUCAAUAAAAAUCAGGUGAAUCUCACAGUUAUAAUUGUUCCAAGACUUCCGUCUUCUUCGAUCAGGCAAAAGAAAUUAGUUGCACAUCAUAGAUCUUGAGCACAAAGAGAGAAAAGAAGUGUUGGAGGCGUUCUCCUACGUUCUAGGGUGAAUUAGGGUAUUUAUGUGGUGAAAAGAUUUGUUUCCAUACAUGGUUGGACGGAAAAAGUAAAUUAAAAAUUGCGCCUCAAAUUCCUUCCAUGUGGCCGCAUGGUAUAUUUCCGUGCUACUACAUGGAACAAUAAAAAAGGCUCCAGAAUGCUCUGAACCAGUUCAUGCGACUGUGUGGUUAUACAGUUUUCUUCGUCGGACAAUUUUCAGUAUUUUAGUUAUAACUAUCUCUCCUGAUGUGUGAUUGAGGUGAUUCAAGUUGCGUUGGAAAGCUAACUCAAAGAUAUGCAACUUUGCUUCAGAGGUCAUCUUCCAAUUCGAUCGUCUACCAUGUCGAAAACAGGUCACAAUAUGAUGCUAAAAAUUGAUGCAUAACCUUUUCGAUCGAAAAUUGAUGUGUGAUUGUAUUUUGAUUAUAUUUCACCUCUUUGACUUCUUUCUUCAUCCACUUGACCUCUAGAACUCUUGAAUCUUCAUUCCAUCGUUCGUCUCUCGGUUCAACUUUUGGAUAAUUGCAAUUCAAUCCUUGAACUUUUGAUUUCUUUCACUUUGGUCCUUCUUCACUCAUUUCCUCUAAUUUAUGCUAUAAUCAUCCUAUUGCGACCUCAAUCAAAAUAUAAGGGUACUCAGUACAUUUAGGCAUACAUUUAUCACCAAAAAUGAAUGUAUUAAUGGAUGUAAAACAUGACAUUUUAUGUCUUAUCAAGUACCCUGCCUCGGACAUGGCCUCGAUCCUUAGGGACACCUCAACUGUGACGGUAAGGGCCCUCAAGCCGGGCUCCAGUGGUGCCAAGGAGGUUCAGGGGAAGGUGGAGCGGCUAUCCAAAGAUAGCAGUUCCAGGAGGUGCCGAAGAGAUGACCUCCUAGAUGCCGUAGAAUGCAAAGGAGCCUCGAGGGAAGGAGAAGGUCCCCCGAGGACCAAAAAAAGAGGAAGCUGGUGCACGUCACCAGCUCAUCUGAGAAGUUCGGGGCCUCUGUGUCCCAUGAAACUAGAGAUGGCCCUCAGCCAAAGCUUCUAGAGUUCGCCUCCAAGGCAAUAAAGGUUGGAAUGGUGCGACAGGCCGAGGCUGAGGAGGCGAGAGAAGAGGAUGCAAGGAGGGCAGCUGAAAAGGUAGAGGAGGAAGCUGACAAGCAGAGGCCUGCAUGAGUGUAGGAGAAGUCUUCGAGCUUUCUGGCCGGGAGGGAGGAGGUCCUGGCCCCGUCAUUGGUGGAGGCACUGCCAGCCAAGAUUCAAAGUGCUACUGAGAGCUUUUACAAGUUCUGGAUGGACUGGUGGCAGCUACAUGCCUCUUCCUGCGAUGCAAUGGACUUAACAGGGCCUUAGUAAACCCUUACUGAUUUUCAAACGAGGACCCAGUCUUCGGAGAAGAAGAUGACCUCCCUUGCAGAGGAGCUGAAGAAGGCUAAGGCUGAGGCAGAGGCAGAGGCAAAGGCAGAGGAAGCAAGGGCUCAGAAGAUUGAAGAUGCUACUAAGUUGGAGUCUGCCUUGACUCAGAUCAAGGCCUUGAAGAAAAAAGUGUAUGAGUCCCAGUGCGAGGUGGUUUCCCUUACUAAGAAAGUCGAGGUCUCUAAUGACCACCAACAGAUGACUGCUGAGGCCUUGGAGAAGGCUAAUCUAGAGCUUACCAGAGCCCAGGACGCUUACAAGUUCUUGGAGGGCCAAAUAAAAUGGUAUAUGGAUGAGCUGGCAAAAGCAAAGGAGGAGGCCAAGGUGGUGAAGGAGGAGGAGGUGAAGGACUAUAUUGCCAACUUCUAUAACACCGCGGAGUACACACGCUUCAGUAUCUACUGGAGAAAUUAUGCCUAUGCCGAAAUGAUGGAGAAGGCUGAGGAACUCUACCCAAACUAGGACCUGUCAAAACUGAGGUCGAAGUUUGUGGAUGAAGUGCCUCAGAGCCCAGCUGAUGAAGUGGUUGGUGAUAAAGCAGCAGAGGCAGAAUAAGGGAGUUCUGAUGCUUAGGCUGCGGAGGCUCCAGCUCUCGAGGCACCUCCACCGUCAUCCGAGGCUUAGGAUAGUUUACUUUUCAGUUAACUUCGAUGUACUGGCCUCAGACCCUCCUUUUGUAAUGUUGAUUGAAGAUCAAUGUAAUCUAUCUUUAUUCUAUGUUGUUUUCCUUCCAAAUGCAUUGGCCUCAUUAAGUAGUUGAACUUAAGAAUGACCUAAUAACUAACUCAGGUAGUAACUUGAACUUGACAUCCUAACUCCAAUCACUUGCAAUUAUAACUCAAGUCAUAUGAACCAUGACUCCACAAAUUGAAGUACUUAAGCAAGUUAUGACAUCCAAAUAAAUUGAAGUAGUUACGUAAAGCUCGUAGCGAUUGAGCCUCAUGAAUCAAUGGGUAAAGGAGUUCGAUUCAUGUUGAGGAUUCUCUCCUUGGCGUUCAGCCUCGCCAAAGGGAGGUAAGUGGCGUGCGCCCCGGAGUUCAAGUGAGUUGGCCCAGAGAUGGGAUCCUGAUCUCUCCUCCGAGGUGAGGACACUUCCCAACAUGGUGCAUGGUUUAUCCAUGUUGAAGAUCCUCUUGGCGUUCAGCCUCGCCAAAGGGAGGCAAGUGGUGUGCGCUUCUGAGUUCAAGGGAGGUGGCCCAGAGAUGGGAUCUUGACCUCUCAUUCGAGGUGACAAUGCUUCCCAACAUUGUGGAUGGUUCAUCCAUGUUGAGGCUUCUCCCCUUUGCGUUCAGCCUUGCCAAAGGGAGGCAAGUGGCAUGCUCUUCGAAGUUCAAGCGAGGUGGCCAAGGGAUGGUAUUGAAGUCUCUUUCUCUUCGCAAGGCAAUAGUUUACGAAAUCACUGAACAUCAACUCAAUUUCGAUCUAAAGCAAGUGAAUGUCUCAAUUCUUUUUCUUUAUCCAGCUCACCCAAUGGAUCCAUCUCUUUUUUGCGUGCUCUCUCACUUCUGUCAAUCCUGACCUCUCCUCCGAGGUGCGAGGUGGUGUGGAACAAACUUGAAUUCGAUCAUGGAUAGUUUUAUUGAAUCAUAAAAAUGUUACAUGAGCUAGGAAAGAACAUCUAGCAAGGUAGUACACUUAUUGAUAAUAGAUUCGGAGGUGCUCAAUGUUCCAUGGAUGAGGUUGUGCCUUGCCGGCCAUGUCUUCAAUCCAAUAUGUCCCAGUUCGAAUCUUUUCCUUGAUUUUGUAUGGGCCUUCUUAGUUCGAACCAAAGUACCGGUGCCUGGUUCCUUGGAGGAGAGGAAGACUCUCCUAAGGACCUGGUCGUUGAUUUGAAAUGACAUCUUCUUCACCUUCGAGUUGUAGUACUUUGUCAUCUUUCUUUGAUAGGUGGCGAGCUUCUUUUGGGAGUCAUCUCUUCUUUCCUUAAUGAAGUCAAGGUCGCACCUCUGAUGCUCAUCGUUUGUUAUUUCACUAAAGUGCAGAUGACGUGGUGAUGGAAGUCCGACUUCAACGGAACUCUUCGUCUCGGUUCCAUAUGCCAUGAGGAAAGUGGUUUCCCUUAUGGGGGUCCUUAUAGUAGUUCGGACUACCCAAAGCACUUGUGGCAGCUCAUCUACCCAGGCUCCUUUUGACACAUCAAAUUUCCUUUUCAAGACAUGUUUGAUGGUUUUUUUCACAGCCUCAACCUGGUUAUUUGCUUGCCGGUGGUGAGGUGUGGAUAAAUGCUUCUUAAUGUCGAGUUCUUCACACAAACUUCUGACCUUCUUUUUAUCGAACUGUUUACCAUUGUCUGAGAUGAUUGAGUGAGGCAUCCCGAACUGACAUAUAAUAUUCUUCCACAAGAACUUGGACGUGUUUGCUUCUGUGAUUUUUGCCAGUGGUUCAGCCUCAAUCCACUUCGUGAAGUAAUCAAUAGCCACAAUUGCAAAGCUUACGCCUCUUCUGCCUUUUGGUAGAGGACCUAUGAGGUCCAUACCCCACUUUGAAAAAGGCUAGGGAUUGGAGACCGUGGUCAAAUCUUGUGAUAGUUACCUUUGGAUAGGAGAGAAUCAUUGGCAUUUGUCACAUCUUCACACAAAUUGGAGGACAUCCUUUUUCAAGGUGGGCCAAUAAUACCCCUGUCUCAAUAUUUUUUGUGCCAUAGAUAGACCUCCAGAGUGGUUUUUGCAAACACCCUUGUGGACUUUUCUUAGGAUGUAGGUAGCCUCUUCUCCUCCCACGCAUCGGAGAAGUGGGGAGGAGAAGCUCCUCUUGUAAAGUACAUCAUCAAUGAAGAAGAAAUGAGCUGACCUCUUCCUUAGUUUGUAGGCUUCAUGCUUAUUAGUGAGAAGUACCUGAUUUUUUAAGUAGGCUAUGAUGGGCUGUAUCCAGGUAGGAGCCUCGACCAACGACAUCUCGUUGGGGGCCUUGGUAGAUGGUAUGAGGAGGUGUUCGAUUAGGACUACUGUAAACAGUUCAGAGUCUUUGCUACUUGCGAGUUUGGAGAGUGUAUCUGCAUGUGCAUUUUCAAUGCGAGAGAUCUGGGUCAACCUAAAUUUCUCAAAAGAUGGGAUGAGGUUCAUUACCAUCUUCAAGUAGGAGGUCAUGGUUUUGUCCGUGGCUGAGAAGUUUCCAUUUACCUGGUUAGCUGGGAGUCACUGUUGAUAAGUAGCCUCCUUACUUGCAUUUCUUAAGCUAUUCUAGGGCCCAUAAGAAGCGCCUCAUAUUCCACUACAUUGUUGGUGGCCUUGAAUCCAAACCUCACAGUUGAGUUUAGCUUGUAACCUUCUGGGCUGAUGAGGACUACCCCGACUCCUGGACCGAUAUCUCCAACCGAUCCAUUCACGAAUAGGUUCCACGUGGAAGGCUCGGUAGGUUCCAUAACUUCUUCCACCUCGGUUAAAUUGGCAAACUCUGCCACAAAAUCAGCUAUGGCUUGACCCUUGAUAGCUGCCCUAGCUUUGAACACAAUGUCAAAUUGACUUAGCUCCACUGCCCAUUUCAGUAACCCUUCUGAGGCAUCGGGCUUUUGAAGUACGCGCCUCAGGGAAAAAUUUGUUUGCACGUGGAUGGUGUAAACUUGGAAGUAGGGCCUCAAUUUCCUGGAAGCUGUGAUCAAGGCCAAAGCUAGUUUCUCCAUAUCGGGUAGCAAGUUUCUGGCGAUAGGAGUGCCUUACUCGUAUAGUACGUGGGGAGUUGUGUGGUUCCUUCCUCUCGAAUUAGAACCACACUAAUAGCCUCAUUGGAGACGGCCAAAUACAGCAGAAGAAUCUCGCUGGGCUUUGGUUUGAAGAGGAGGGAGGCCUGCCUAGGUGCCUUUUCAGGCCCUGGAAGGCCUCUUCACAUUUCUCAGUCCAUUGGAACUUCUUCCCAGCUUUCAAUACUUUGGAAAAUGGAAGGUAUUUGUCGGUAGCUUUGGAGACGAAGCGACUAAGUGCUGCCACUCACCCAGUCAGGCUUUAGACUUCCUUUGGCUUUUGGGAGGACCUCAUCUUGCAUAGAGCCUCAAUUUUCUCCGGGUUGGCCUCAAUUCCUUAUUGGUUGACCAUGUAUCCCAAGAAUUUGCUGGAGGUAACUUCGAAAGCACACUUGAAGGGGUUGAGCCUCAUCAUGCACCUUCUCAAUAUUCGAAAGGUGUUGUUCAAGUGCGCUACGUGGUCCCCAAAUUCCAAACUCUUUACAAGUAUGUCGUCUACAUAGACCUCCAUCGUCUUACCAGGUCCACAAAUAUUUUGUUGACGAGCCGUUGAUAUGUGACCCUGGCAUUUUUUAACCCGAAGAGCAUCAUCUUAUAGCAAUAAAGGCCUCUGUCUGUGAUAAAAGAGGUGUUAUCCUCAUUGGCCUGGUGCACGAGAAUUUGGUUGUAGCCGGAGUAUGCGUCCGUGAAGCUCAACAACUCGUGCCCGACCGUGGAGUACCAGUUGGUCAAUCCUUGGGAGUAGAAAGUUGUCCUUAGGGCAUGCUUUGUUGAAGUUAGUGAAAUCAAUGCAUACCCUCCAUUUGUUGUUGUGCUUCUUCACUAGUACUGGGUUGGAGACCCACCUCGGAUAGGUGGCCUCUCUAACGAAGCCAUUUUGAAUGAGCUUCUUCCUUCAGGGCCUCAUAUCUCUUAGGGUUGGGAGCUCUUUUCUUUUGUCUAUGCAGGGCAACUUUAAGAUCAAUUUUCAAGUGAUGGCAACUGACUUUGACGUCUAUGCCUACCAUGUCCUCAUGCCUCCGAGCAAUGACAUCGAGGUUCCUACUUAGGAAAUCCUUGAUCUUUUCUUUCAAACUGUUGGACAAAUCUUUGCUCACUUUCAAGAUUUUAGUGGGGUCUUGAAGGUUCAUCGAGAAGCUCUCAAGUUCCUCGACUGGGGUCGCUUGAGGUUCGGGUUUAAUUACGCGGGGGUCAAUCUCAUUGAUUACCAAUAUUUUCGGAUUGGGCGGUGCGUCGAUCAUCUCCACAUCCUCUCGUUCGAAGGGAGCAUCACUUGGGACAUCAGCCAUGACUAUGUCAGGGAUAAUCACAUGGAUGUCCCGGAGCUCAACCUUUCUGAUGGAGCUUAGGUAGCACUCCUUCGAGCCUCUUUGGUUGCCUCUCAUCGUUGCCACCCUAUUUCUAUCAAAAAUUCCAUGCAUAGGUGGUGGAUGGAGGUGAUGAAUCCAAAUUUCUUUAGAGCUAGCUUGCCCAAUACUCCGUGGUAAGUCGAUCGACUAUCAACAAUGAGGAACUCCAUAAAGUUCAUCGUUGUUUGGGAUGACUCUCCAAUCUCCAUCGUAAGUUUGAUGUUUUCUCUUGGAGUGGUGCUGUCUCUGGUAAAUCCAUACAAGGGAGUAGAGGUGGGCGUCAAUUCAUGGUCCAGUAUUAUCUUGUCGAAGGUGGACCCAAAUAGAAUGUUGAAGAGCUACCAUUGUUAACUAACAUUCGUUUGAGCCCAUUCCGGGCUAUGACAACUCUCAUCACAAGUGCAUCACAGUGGGGGUAGUGAAUUCUUUCAGUGUCCUCCUGAGUGAAGACAAUGGGUGGAAUUUGAUUCCCCCGGGAGCUGUGAUCCACAACAUAACUGGUCAGCGGAGGGUUCUUAGCCUCCCGGGUGCAAUUUCUCUUAGCAUUUCACAUUUCAUCGCCUACGUAUGGGCCUCCAAAUAUGGUAUCCACCUCGUGGAUAGUGGCCUCAUCCUGAGCUUACCGAUUUCUUCGGUGUCUGCACCCUUUCCUAGGUCUCUCUACAUCGUGCUCCUUUCGUCGCACGAAAACAUCCCUCUCAUGGAGAGCGGCCUCUUCAUGCCUAGGUCAUUGGUCAUACCUAGGUGGGGGCCUGUUCGCCUGGGGUGAUUUAUUUCUCCUAUCCCUGGGGUUUUCUUGUGGGGUAUGGUGAGCAUAGUCCCGACAAUCUGUUGUGUCAUGGCCAUAGGAUCCAUGGUACGUGCAGUAUCCAAGGGGUUUAGAUUUGACCUAUUCCUAGGCCCUGAACCUCUGCCUCGACCUCUUCCCCUGCGAGAACCUUGUGGAAUCCCGAUUUGUUGAGUGUCUGUCAAUGGGUUGACAUCUUCAUAUGCCAAGGUUGGAACUGCAUUAACUGUGGUGGUGGCAAGUGCUUGCCCAGAACUCUCAUUACCAGCCUGGUUCAUCUGGUAGUCCAUCAAGUGGGAGGUCGACCCUCUGGCAAGCUGUCUUUGUGGAGGGGGGAGGCCUGUGCUUGCCCUAUUCCUAUGCUCAAUCAAUUAUUCAUUGAUAAUCUCCUGUCUCAUCAUCUCAAGUAGGGCGUCAUAGGUAACAGGGUCUUGGUUUUGUACGUCCUUCCAAAACAGUGUUCAUAUUCAGACCUCCUUUCAGUACGGAUAAUGCCUCACGGUUGGUGACUUGCACACAGUAUGUUAUCUCGUCAGUGAAGCGUGAUAAAAAGCUUUUUAGGGACUCUCCAUGUACCUGUCUCAUGUCUUGGAAACGUUGGAUGGGAUCCCUCUUUGCUCAUAGCAAACCUCUUCAAGAAGGUAGUCUUGAAUUCAUGCCAACUCCUUAUGCUCCCAGGUGGUAGCCUACUAUACCAAAUUUUAGCCGCUCUACUAAGUGUUAAGUGGAAAGCUCUGCAUUUCAUUGCUGGGGUGGCGCCCCUUAGGCUCACGUGAGUUUUGUAAGCAUUCAGAUGCUUCUCUAGGUCGUCUCUCCCGUCAUACUUUAGUAUCUUGGGCAGAAUACAGUGGCUCGAAACCUGAGCACUCCUUAGUUCCUUUGAGAACGGUAGAUUUUCAACGUUAUCGUCCAAGUCACAGGACCUCUGCUGUUCAUCCGAAUCAUUGUUUUCAUCGGCCUCAUAUCUUGGCGGUUGGUGAGAGGUGACGGGAAGGUUCCUAGCCUCCUCUUCCCUCUUUUGACGCCUAUUUCUAGGGGGAGUAGCACGAGGGACAUUUUCAUGCCUUUCCUCUGGCUGUUGGGUUAUUGGAAGUGGGGGCUGUGGUCUUGUCCAAAGCUCGCGAGACUGUUGCAUAUGCCUUGGUUCCACAAGCCGCUUCUGUCAAAUACACUGUCUGACCUCAUAGGUCUUCGUUCUUGCUCAUACGGAGGUAGAAAGUUGUCCUGGUUCAAAGGGGUCUCGUUGGGUCAGCCAAAAGCGUAGUUGGAAGAAACAUCAACUUCCACUUUCCUUUCAAUGGGGCUUCUACCUCAGCUAUAGUCUAGCGAGGCACUCCUUUGACUUUGAACCUCAUUUUCUUGCUGGUAGUACCCUUGGGGACAUAGGGAGGAAUAGGGAAGCCUCCCUGGCCUUGCAUUUGGGCCAUGAGUUCCCUGAUAGCCAUGUUUUGGCUAACAAUGCCCCUCAUGUUUGCUUCCAUGGUGACCAUCUCUCUUGAUAGCCGGGCGAUCAUUCGCAUACCUCAUCUUCUAUGGUGGUGUUGAAGUCGAUGCCAAGCCACUGGGGCAACUGCCGGUGGGGGCACACUUACGUUUUCUCUUACCCUUCUGGGGUGUGUCUUCAUUUGAACUCAUUUUCAUUAUGUUUGAUCUCCAGAUUUCUGCUAAGGGGUACAUGGGAGAGUAUUUAUAGUGUCACAAGUUAGAUCGUGACCUUUGGUUUGGGGUAAAUGUGGUCUCAUCCAGUUAGUUUACAUGUCAAAUUGUAGGUAUCAGCCGCACCUAGCCUACUAUAUAUUUAUUGAUUGGCAAAGCUGCUUCUACUAGUGACAAGACUUAACAUUUACACUUAUGACAAACGUCCCAUCAAUCAUUCAAACAAGAUCUUUAUAUAGAAGGAUCUCUCUUGGGAGGAGUGAUCAUGGAAGAUGCUGCUUUGUGAUUCGGAGCUCCUACCUCGGCUUCAGAGCUUCGGCCACACAUAAUACAUAUGCUUUGGGGCUUCGGCCAAUAUGGCCACGGCUACUUUAAAAGGGCCUCGGCAUAUAGUGAUGUGAACAUCCAUUUACUAUUUAUUUUCUAUUUGGACUAUUAGUUAUAUUCUAUUUGUAUUAUUAUUUAUAUUUCUAUUAUUGGGCUUGUUUAGCGGGUUUGGCCCAAGUCAUUCUCUUUAGGGUUUUUGUUUUGUUAUUUAUUUCUGUUUUGUUGCGUAUUUGAGACAGUUGAUGAAUUGAUGAAUUAAAGAAUAGAAUGCUUGGGUUAUUGCCUAUGGCUUCCUCUUUCUCCCAUUUCCCCUGAUUUCUACUUCUUCUCUCUGGCCCUUUCCCCCCUUCUUGCUGCCUUCUUCUUCUUCUCAUUGGAAUUCUACUUGCUAGUUGUGCUAUUUUGCUAUUUCUAAUUAUUUUGCAGGAAUCGUCCCUCAUGCUGAAUCAAAGUGGUAUCAGAGCUAAUAAUUUUUCAUCCACAAUCCAAAACUUUCUUCCUAUCCUCUUCUCAAAAACUUGUGGAACAACGCAAACAAAAAAAAUUGUUAUGAGGCAGCUGUUUUUUUGUUCAAUUUUCUUUCUAGUUGAUUAGGCAAAAAAAAAAAAAAAAAAGGAAAAAAAAGUCACUGUUCACACCCGGAAUUUCAGUUUUUUUUAUAGAUUUUUCAGCAGUUUCACAAAAAAAAAAAUCGUUUUUGUUCACGGGUACUGUUCACACCCGAAAUUUAUUUAUUUAUUUAUUUAUCAUUUUCUGCAGUUCCCAAAAAAAAGUGAAAAAAAAAAGAAAAAAAAGAGAAGAAACGUCUUUUCUAUUAUUUACAGGUACAUCUUUUAUUCUGGUUGAUCUGGCUUGACUACUUCGACGAACGAAAGGGAAGUUCUUGCUUUUAUUUAUUGUUGGUUUAUAUUACUGUUUCAUUUUGAAAUUGCAUCAAUUAAAUUUUUGCCUAAACUCACGUAAUUGGAUCCAUUGACCUCGUUAAAUCUCACUUUAACCUGCUUAUUUUACGUGAUUAGGUUUUGACUAGUAUUUGACCAUUGCUUUAUUAUUUUACAUAUACCAGCAAUACUAGCUUAUUGUAUAUAAUUUUAGUCCCAAAAUUUAAAUUUAAAAAAAAAUCUCAAAUUUUCAUUUUCCAUUACUUGCACUUUUUGUUCAUUGAUCUCUCUAUUGCAUGUCAUUAAGUUGCUAUUACAGUGCAUGCAGUUAUAUAUUGGUCAUCUUGUCACUUCUAGCUCUAGUACCUUAAACAUGAACCCCUCACAAUUCGAUACACUCAUCCGACAAAUAGCGGCUAUUCAAACUCAAAUGACCACUACUCUUGAAGAGAGUAAGACCCUAUCUGCUAGUUUGAAAAAUUUUAAACACAUCCCUCAUUCGAUUGAUGUUGAUAAUUCUAAGGUGUCCCAUAAUAGACAACAUCGUCGACAAGGUAAUCAAAAAUACUUUCGACCCGAUCGUAAGGAUAGGGAUAGGAAUAGGGAUCAAAUUCGUGAGCGAGAACGAGAUAAUUUUGAAAUUCUUACUCAAUGGAAUGCCCUUAAACAAGGAAAUCAAUUAGUGACUGAGUAUAUCGCGCAAUUUGAGGAAUUUCGAACCAAAUGUCAUUUAAUUGAGAAUGAGAGCACGACUUUGAGUAGGUUUAGCCAAGGUCUGAGAGAUGAUCUUAAGCGCGAGCUUUUCUUUCGAGGCGUCACUACUCUUAAUCACGCUUACUCUUUAGCUCGAGAUUAUGAGUUGAUUAUUAGUACUCCAUAUGAAAAGCGUGGUCAUCGUCGUUCACCCAUCUCAUUAGCGUCGCCUCAUCAUAAGUCUAUCAUAAAACCUUCUUCCCUUCUCUCUGUUUCUCCUCCCCGUUCCUUCUUCUUUCUUUCUUAUUCAUCCUACAUCAAAUUUGGUAUCAGAGCCGAACCAUGGGUAAUUUCUUUUCUUUAAUCCAAAAUUUAUUCAUAUUUCUUUCCCAAAAUCUGUUGGAACAGCACGAACUAAAAGAAUAUUUGGUACAGGCAGCAGCUUUUUUCUUCUUCUUCAAUUUUCAGUCUUAGGUGAAAAAAAAAAAAAAGGAAAAAAAAGUCACUGUUCACACCCGGAAUUUCAGUUUUUUUUAUAGAUUUUUCAGCAGUUUCACAAAAAAAAAAAUCGUUUUUGUUCACGGGUACUGUUCACACCCGAAAUUUAUUUCACACUCGAAAUUUCUUUUUUUUUUUUAAUUUAUUUAUUUAUCGUUUUCUGCAGUUCCAAAAAAAAAGUGAAAAAAAAAAAGAAAAAAAAUAGGAAAAAAAAAAGAGAGAAGAAACGUCUUUUCUAUUAUUUACAGGUACAUCUUUUAUUCUGGUUGAUCUGGCUUGACUACUUCGACGAACGAAAGGGAAGUUCUUGCUUUUAUUUAUUGUUGGUUUAUAUUACUGUUUCAUUUUGAAAUUGCAUCAAUUAAAUUUUUGCCUAAACUCACGUAAUUGGAUCCAUUGACCUCGUUAAAUCUCACUUUAACCUGCUUAUUUUACGUGAUUAGGUUUUGACUAGUAUUUGACCAUUGCUUUAUUAUUUUACAUAUACCAGCAAUACUAGCUUAUUGUAUAUAAUUUUAGUCCCAAAAUUUAAAUUUAAAAAAAAAUCUCAAAUUUUCAUUUUCCAUUACUUGCACUUUUUGUUCAUUGAUCUCUCUAUUGCAUGUCAUUAAGUUGCUAUUACAGUGCAUGCAGUUAUAUAUUGGUCAUCUUGUCACUUCUAGCUCUAGUACCUUAAACAUGAACCCCUCACAAUUCGAUACACUCAUCCGACAAAUAGCGGCUAUUCAAACUCAAAUGACCACUACUCUUGAAGAGAGUAAGACCCUAUCUGCUAGUUUGAAAAAUUUUAAACACAUCCCUCAUUCGAUUGAUGUUGAUAAUUCUAAGGUGUCCCAUAAUAGACAACAUCGUCGACAAGGUAAUCAAAAAUACUUUCGACCCGAUCGUAAGGAUAGGGAUAGGAAUAGGGAUCAAAUUCGUGAGCGAGAACGAGAUAAUUUUGAAAUUCUUACUCAAUGGAAUGCCCUUAAACAAGGAAAUCAAUUAGUGACUGAGUAUAUCGCGCAAUUUGAACAAUUUCGAACCAAAUGUCAUUUAAUUGAGAAUGAGAGCACGACUUUGAGUAGGUUUAGCCAAGGUCUGAGAGAUGAUCUUAAGCGCGAGCUUUUCUUUCGAGGCGUCACUACUCUUAAUCACGCUUACUCUUUAGCUCGAGAUUAUGAGUUGAUUAUUAGUACUCCAUAUGAAAAGCGUGGUCAUCGUCGUUCACCCAUCUCAUUAGCGUCGCCUCAUCAUAAGUCUAUCAUAAAACCUUCUUCGUAAUGUUCCUCCUAUUUGGAAAAAUAAUUAUAAAGGUCGUGAUAGUCCAAGAUCUUCUUCUCCAGGUAGAAAGCAUAUUGACAAUCAUCCUUCGGUAUCACUGGCUCCACUUCCUCCCAUUAAGUCCCUUUUAGGACCUCCCCCGUCUGAUGUUCCUCCAAUUUUGAAAAAUAAGGGUAAAAUUUUUUAUAAUCAUCAUUUGGCUUCAUUGGCUCCACCUCCUUCCGUUAAGUCCCUUCUAGGACCUCCCCCUUCUAAUGGUUCUCCAAUAUUGGAAAAUCAGGCUAGAAUUUCUGAAACUCCAUGGUCUUCUUCUCACUGGUUGUGCGUCAACUGUAAAGACUUUGGUCACAUUUCUUCUAAAUGUCCUAAUCGAACCUUAGUCAUGGAAGAACGAAAGAAUGUAAUAGAGGAACCGUUGGAAGAUCUAGUCUAUGAACCUAAACUUGAAGAUUUUGAUGACUUGGAUGAUAGUGAGGACAAUUCCUUAGGUGGAAUCCAGACUCUUCCCAAGACUUUGGAUACUAUACCCCUUAUCUCUGACAAUUCUCGAUCACAUGGUAUAUGUCAUACCCUUACCCAAGUUAAAGAGCUUGACGAUGUCACCAGUCACCCUUGGAAAAUCCGGUCACUUGUGGUUAAUACUAAGGCAAAAUUAUCCACCACUGACCAACCUCAAAUUGAUGGUCAAAACAAAAGUGCUAACCAAAAUCCUGACAAUUUAUUACAGUUUUUAGUCCAAAAAAAUCUUGAAAAUUGGGACUUGAUCCCUCCAAUUGUUCAAAUUGCAUAUAACGAUCCUGUGAACUGGUCUUUAGGUCUAAAACCCUUUGAAGUUAUUCUUGGAUGUGAACCUUUGAAACCUCUAAACCUUAUUCCUAUGCACCCACAUGCUUGUGUGUCUAUGUCAGUUGAGGUAGUUGUAUCACAUUUUCAUAGCUUGCAUAUUGAGAUCAAUAAACAAUUUGAAGCAAGUAAAGCAUUAUAUAAACCUCAAGUUGAUUGGCAUAAACAAUACUUUGAAUUUAAUAUCGGGGAUUAUGUUAUAUUGCAAGCAUGUAAUGCUAGUCUUUUUAAAAUUUCAAAGCAUGUUGGUCAAAAUGCCUAUGUCAAUGACCUUUUAUCACAUUAUGACCACCACCCUAUUUUAUUUGUUACUGACUUCGAUGCUUACAACGGCUAUUUUCGCCCCUCUGAUGACCCGUUUCUACUCCCACAUGAGAAUUCUCACACUGAAUCUUUUGCCAUGUCUGCUUCAAUCCCACCUAUCACAGCACACAAAAAUAAAAUUGAUGUUAUUUUGGAUGAACAGUUUGUGUUAACCAAUGAUGGAGAGAUUCAGUGCUUUCUUGUUUGUUGGAUGGAUCGACUUGAUUCUGACGGUACAUGGAUUCCCAAAGAGAGACUUCAGCGGCGUGAGCCAAAUUCAUUGGAGCUGUAUAAGAGUCAGCAAAAUUCUCAUUCGCCUAAGUUAUCUUGGUCAGCUCAUGUUUUUGCGGGUAAUUUGCAAUUGGCGUCGUCAUCAUUUGUGGAAUUUCGAUAUUUGGUUCGUCAGAAAGAUCGUCCCCCAUGGCAUGACUUGGAGCCUUUAGCAUCAGAUUCAUUGCAACAUUUUGAUUUAUCCACUCGACGGGGUUGAGUUUUUCUCCCACCCCGGGAGAGUUGAUGCGGACAUCUAUUUACUAUUUAUUUUCUUUCUUUUACUAUUUAUUUUCUAUUGAACUAUUAGUUAUAUUCUAUUUGGAUUAUUAUUUAUAUUUCUGUUAUUGGGCUUGUUUAGCGAGUUUGGCCCAAGCCCUUCUCUUUAGGUUUUUGUUUUGUUAUUUAUUUAUGUUUUGUUGCGUAUUUGAGACAGUUGAUGAAUUGAUGAAUUAAAGAAUAGAAUGCUUGGGUUGUUGCCUAUGGCUUCCUCCUUCUUCCCUUUCCCCUGAUUUCUACUUCUUCUCUGGUUUUGUCCCCCCCUUUCUCUCUGGCCCUUUCCCCCCUUCUUGCUGCCUUCUUCUUUUUCUCACUGGAAUUCUACUUGCUAGUUGUGCUAUUUUUCUAUUUCUAAUUAUUCUGCAGGAAUCAUCCCUCAUCCUGCAUCAUAUAGGCCUCGGAUGCUUAACAAGAGGCCUCGGCAUGUGGGCCUCAGGUAUUUUCAUAAGGCCUCGUCCAUGCACACCAUCUCGGCUGGAGUGCCAUGUGGUUCGGUGUGAGUGGGCCAUAGGCCCUAGUGGGUUGGCCAAGUGUGUCAAAGCGUGACACUUUCUUUAGAGAGAGAGAUGAGUAGGAGAUCUGCAACUUGCUUGAGGUGUUGUUUGGUGAUAUUCGUGGUAGUACCGGCACGCUGUGUAUCUGGGCUGGCUUUGUAUUGGAAAUUCAAGGGGGACCUCAAAUUGAAAGGAAUUUCAUCCUCUUGCCCUUCCUGUUUAUGUGAUUGCCCUUCACCACAAACCCUUUUUCAGAUUGCCCCUGGUAUGUGCCCCCGUGCUCCUUUCUGAUCUAUUUUUCAAUUUGAUUUUAUAGUUUCUGUGGUGAUGAAAAUUAAAGACUUUAACAUUGAUCAAUCAUGAGGGGCGAAAGAAUGGUAGAUGUUUCUAAGAAUAAGGUCUGCCUUGUUUAUGUUAUCACUCUCUCUCUCUCUCUCUCUCUUAGCCCAUCUCAUGCUUUCUUUCAUAACAAUUGGCUAAUAUCCAAGCCAAGAAAGUUCAGCCUUUUUUUUAAUUGGCUGUUAAGCUGAAUUAGCCCAAAAAUAAAUAAAUAAAUAAAUAAAAUUGAACUUUCCUCUUUCAUUUACUUGAUGAGCAGAGAAAAAAGUUGGAUCUCUAAAUAGUUGGUCACUCUACCAAAUUGGUUUUUGGCACCAAAGCUUAGCCAUUGUAAUCUGAUAGAAUUAUUUUCUUGUCUGUGUGAUGUGAUUGCGGCAACUAUUAUUAAGGUCUAUUUGUAUGGCUCUUGUAAAAUUUUCUUGUGACACGUUUUAAUGUGUAACGUGAAUAAUUUUGAAUGUUGUAAUUUCUUGAAGGGGAAAGCUUUACUGUUUGUGUUUACAAGUUUCUCAUGCGUGUAGAUAAGCCUUUGAAUUUUAUGUGUCAUGAAUCAGACCUCUAAUGACUACUUUUGGUGUGAGAUCUAGAUAGCCUUUCUUUAUUUGGAUGUCAUAUAGAAGUGUCAGGUCUGUUAUUUCCACUUUUCAUUAUUUUUGUGAAACAAAAAUAGAAAAAUUGUUUUACCAAAUUAUAGCGGUAGGCUCUAGUGGAAACAAUUUAUUGUGACAAUUUGUAAGUUUUAUAGGAUGAACUGAAUAGCACUUCAGAAUGUGUUGGUAGAAGAAUGAAAGUAUUUUAAUAAUGUUAACAAGGCAUUAAUGAAAGAAAAAGGGGACCCGUUGCUUAGUUAUUUCAGCAACAGCCAAUAGAGAAAAAGAGACUUUGCUUACUUUAUCUCUUAGCAAAUUCGUUACAGAUUUGAGUUUUCAAGGGACCUGCAAUGCGUAGAGAUAAACAAGGGAGAGACAGUUUACCGAGCACUUUUAAAUGGUUGAAAAAAGAAGCGCGGGGGAAGAGUUGGCCAAGCUGUGUUAAACGGAUUGCUUUUGCUACCACUGUCUACUACAUUUGGUUGGCUAGGAAUUGUUGUAUUUUUGAUGGUACGAAAGUGCAAGUUGAAUCCAUAGUUAGGAGGAUCAAAACACACUUAUACAAAGCAAUGUUCGUUUUGUAUCCGAAUGUUUUGAUUCUCCAUGAUUCUCUUGAAGGGUUGGAGCAAUAAUUUGAGUAUUUGUACAUCUCAAUUCAAGUUCAUGAUUUUUAAAAGCCUCAAGGUUUGUGCAUUGUGACAACUGAUUUUACAUUUCAUUUGAAAUUACCCUAUUGCAAUAGAUUGUGGAAAAGAUGACCUUGAUCUCGAGGAAAUGGAAAAGCAGUAUGUGGACUUAUUGUCGGAAGAGCUAAAACUUCAAGAAACUGUGGGUGAAGAGCAUUCUCAACAUAUGAACAUCAUAUUCGGGGAGGCACGAAGAUUGGCUCCCCAGUACCAGAGGAAAGCCGAAAAAUGCAAUGCUGCCAUAGAAACUUGUGAGUUGGCCAGAGAAAGAGCACAGGCUUUGCUCACUAAGAAGAUAACUUUAUUGUGGGAAAAAAAGAGUGCGGCAGCUUGGUUGGGAGGGAGAAUAAAUUACUACUCGCAACAUAUUUUGGAUCGAUGCUCUAUAUUUAUGUGAAUCAAUGUAUGCUCAUAACGUAUAGAGUACGUAUAUUUUUGCCAAUUUAUAAGUGCCUCUCUCUCUCUCUCUCAGAAGAGGGAAAAAUCUGAAAUCUCUGUGAUCUGACAAUAGAUAUGGUUUGAUAUUGCAAUUUUGUGUUUAUUAUUCCUCAUGUCAAGUUUGCCUGAUAUCCUCUAAUAAUGGCACACAAUUAGGUUAAUAAUAUGUUAAUUGAAUACAUCAAGUAUUCCGAAUUGCAAAUCUCUACUACUAUUGUUUUCUUCAAGGCGUUUUAUUGAUGCAAAAUGCACAGAUUUCUUGUUCUUGUACAACUGUAUCGUGUCAUAAGCUAUAUUGUCUUACUGUUUUACGGCUUGUGUUUAUAAAUUAUUUAUAAAUAUUCAGUCAUUCUUUAUUCACAUAUUUUGAGUCAGUAGAGGACGUAGACACUUUGAUUUAGAGUGUACAAUCAAUUUUGCAAAAAGGUUAUGCAGAAUUUUGUUAGACCAAGCAAUCACAAUCCUCAAUCUCCUCCAUUCAACACCUCCACGUAAUACUGCUUCUUCCAUAUCAGUAAUGACUCCACAAUUACCUCCAACGUGAUCUUAGCAUUCCAUUGAUUUUCCCUCAAUUCUAUCAAUCAUGACAAUUGUACAUUUCAGAACUUUAGUGCAUUCCAUAUUUCGUAUAAUAUACUUUGUUAUUUAAAGCCAUUGUAAUACACAGAAGAUGUAAGUUAGCUCUUCCAUUCAUCUUAUACAUUAAUGCUCUUCUAUGGAUUUGUUAUUUUUAACUUGGUAUCAGAGCUAAAAGGCUCACGCCUAUUUCAAUCCUACCAAAACAGCUUCCGCACCAUAAUUCCUAAUACUCAAUGGCCAUUUCAAACACUAAUAUACCACAAUUUCCCAAACUUAAAGGACCCAACUACCUCACUUGGAGAAUUUAGUUUCUAGCCUUCUUAAAAAGCCACAAUAAGCUUGGCAUGGUGGACGGCUCCACCCUUGCUUCUCCCAAGAUCCUCCCUAACAAUGUCGCUAACCCGACUUAUGACAGCUGGUCCAAAACGAACACUGUCGUCCUCUGUUGGCUCUAUGCCUCACUUUCUGAAAAAUUAGUAUCCACCGUUCUCGAUCUUGAGACCUCAAAGCAAGUUUGGGACUCUUUCCAAACCCGUUUCUCUUCCACCUCCCGCUCCUGAAUUACCCACCUCAAGCGCCAUAAUUUCCCAAGGCAACCUUACCUAUCUGGUCUACAUUGAAGAAGCAAGGCUGUUAUCAGAUCAACUAUCAGCUGUCGGUAAACCCGUCGAUGAGCAGGAUCUCAUCACAUACAUCUUGGGUUGCCUUAAACCCCUCUUUGCUCGAUUUAUCACCGCCUUCAAUUUUGCAACUUGUGAAAAGGAUUUCACCCUAGAGGAUUUUCAAGCAGAGCUUUUCAGCUUUGAAACACUCAUGGAGGCACAUCAACCCACUGCUUCAACAGACGCCUUUUCUUUUGUUGCUAACCGAAGCAAGGCUUUUGCUUUUAUUAAGAAACCAACUAAGCCCCCAGGUUUCUCCAUUCAGGCGCAUUUUCCUUCUCAUGCCACUCACCCAACUCCUGUGGGCUCACUAAAUACUGGGCCUAAUCAACCCACUUUACUUGAAAAUAUGCCCACAUACCAGAUUUGUGGGAAAAGGGGCCAUACGGCCCUAGAUUGCUAUCACCGGUUCGAUUUUUCUUAUCAAGGUCGAUACCCAACUUCUAAACUAGUUGCCAUGGCUGUUGAGGGAAAUUCUACAUAUGCCCAACAGGUGUGGUACGCACGCAGUGGAGCUAAUGCCUAUAUUACUAAUACUACAGCAAAUCUCACUUCUUCGCAACCCUACGUUGGAGAGGACACCAUUACUGCUGGCAAUGGAUCAGGUUUAGUGAUUACAAAUACGGGUACCACGUCCCUUAAAACAAAUACUUCAAAUUUUUCGCUUAACCAAGUCCUUCAUUGUCCUAAUGCCUUUUCCAAUUUAAUUUCCAUUAAUUGCUUUUGCCUUGAUAAUAAUUGUUAUUUUGUAUUCACUCGAUCUCAUUUUUGUGUAAAGGAGAACAAGACGGAGUGGCUACUACUUCAUGGGCAAGUUAAGAAUGGACUCUACCCAAUUGCAGGUGCUAAAUCUUGUUCAUCAAAGAUUUCAUGCUUUACUACCAAAGUCGGUUGUCUCUACCACUCUAGAUGUCUAGCAUGAUCAUUUAGGUCACCCUUCCCAAGUUAGUUUAAAUCAAUUAUCUCGAUCUAAGUAUUUGUUUAUUUCAUCCAAUAAAUUAGGGUCUUGUUUGGCAUGUCCCCUAGGGAAAGCCAAACAAUUAUCCUUUAGUGAGUCUACUCGUCAGGCUUCACGUCCUUUAUCUCUUAUUCAUUCUGAUGUAUGGACAUCUCCUAUGUAUUCUGUUGGUGGUUCCAAAUGUUAUAUUAUUUUUGUUAAUGAUUAUUCUUGCUACACUUGGCUCUAGCCAUUAAUUUAUAAAAAUGAAGUUUAUGAAAUUCUCAAACAAUUUAAAGCGCUGGUCGAAAAUAUCUUUUCUUGUAAAAUCUAACAAUUCCAAACAGAUAAUGGGGGUUAAUUUCUGUCUACCUAAUUUAAAAGUUUUUUACAAUAAAAUUAUAUUUUUCAUCACUUAACGUGUCCUCGCACAUCUUAACAAAAUAAUAUAGUUGAAAGAAAACAUCGCCACAUUGUUGAAACAGGUCUCACCCUAUUAGCUCGAUCCCACUUUCCCAACAUAUAUUGGCCAGAUGCAUUCCUAACAUCAGUAUAUUUAAUAAAUAGGCUUCCAACAAAAGUUUUAAAUAAUUAACACAUUUUUACAUGCUCCAUAAAACCAUACCUUGUUACUCUCACCUUCGCAUAUUUGGAUCAAAAUGCUUCCCUUUGUUAAGACCAUAUGAGCCUCAUAAAUUAUUAUUUAGAAGCAAAGUAUGUGUCUUCAUAGGAUAUGCCAAUCAACAAAGGGGUUAUCGCUAUCUUGACCUAGCUACAAGGCGGGUCUAUGUGUCAUGAAAUGUAAUUUUUGAUGAACAACAUUUUCCUACAAAGGGUCAAGUCCAAACUUCUCCUGUGUCGUCGAGCUCGAGCUCGCCUAGUACACUUUCUCCUUUUCCUCUUUCAGACAUACCUAUUCUACCAACCUCUGCCACCGAUCCAAUAGCAUCACCUACCCAUGAGACCCUCACCUAGUCACAAACUCUUUCCUUGACUCCCACCACAAGUCGAAACCCAAGAUCUUGAAACUCUCCAUCCUGAACCACUUGAAACCCAGUCCAUAGAACAAAUUUUCAUUACCUUACAUGAACCUCCCAUCCCUAUCCCACACCCUAACAGGGCAACAACCCGCUCAAUGACGGGUAACUCAAAACCUAAGGCCUUCUCUGAUUUUACAAUAUUUUAUACUACCAAGUAUCCCUUGUAGGUACUCUCCUUUGUUAUCACUGAGACUAAACCAUCUAAUUACACACAAGCAGUUGCCUCUCCAACGUGACAUGAAGCAAUGGGAUGGGAAUUUGAUGCACUAAUGGUGAAUGGGACUUAGUAACUUGGUAAGCAUGUUGUACGCAACAAAUGGGUUUAUAAAAUCAAGAGAUUGUCUGAUGGAAGUAUUAAACAAUUUAAAGCCCGUUUGGUUGCAAAAGGCUUUGAUUAACAGUGUGGUGUUGACUACACCUACUUCUAUUCGCAUUAUGUUAGCCUUGACCAUUUCAUUUAAUUAGCCUCUUCGGCAAUUAGACAUUUUAAAAGCUUUUCUACAUGGCUAUCUUGAUGAAGAAGUAUUUAUGGAACAACCAUGAGGUUUUGUAGAUAAGACUCGUCCUAAUUAUAUUUGCAAACUUCAUAAGUCACUUUAUGGUCUUAAACCAGCUCCAAGAGCUUGGUUUAGAUAAUUGUCCCAAACAUUUACUUGAGUAUGGUUUUGUUGAAUCAACCGCCAACUACUCACUGUUUGUCUUACUACUGAGACUGUGAAAUUAUUUGUGUUGAUAUAUGUUGAUGACAUUAUGGUUACUGGGUCAAUCACACAGGCAAUUGAUUCUUUUAUCCAGUCUCUAUCAACUAACUUCAUAGUUAAAGAUCUUGGAAAUCUGAGUUUCUUUUUAGGUGUUUAAGCAUUAUGAGAUUCUCAAGGCCUGCAUUUUCGUCAAACCCAAAACAUCAUAGAUUUACUACAUAGCACCAAGAUGGCUGGUGCAAAGCCACUUGGGUGCCCCACUACAUUUGGUCUGAAGUUAUCUUCUACAGAAGUUCUCAUACUGUCUGAUCCAGUAGAGUAUAGAAGAGUGGUUGGGGCGCUUCAAUAUUGUACUUUCUCUAGACCGGAUAUUGCAUAUGCAGUAAAUCAAUUGCUUCAAUUUAUGCAUUCUCCAUGUGAAUCUCAUUGAGCUGCUAUCAAAAGAGUGUUUCUGUAUCUAAAGGGUAGUAUUGGUACCGGUCUAUUGUUCACUCCAAGAUCUAUUACUCUUCAAGCUUUUUGUGACUCAGAUUGGGCCGAUAACCCUAAUGAUCGUUGCAGUACCACUGGAUAUGCAGUUUUUCUCGGAAAAAAUUUGAUAUCAUGGUUUGCCAGGAAACAACCAAUUGUCUCCAAGAGUAGCUCUAAAGCCGAAUAUCAAAGCAUGGCCAUCGCCACAACUAAACUCUAUUGGAUAAGAAUGCUCCUCAAGGAACUUGGUAUCUUCAUACCAUACACUCCUACACUAUGGUGUGAUAACAUUGGAGCUAUCGCCUUGGCUUCUAAUCCUGUUUUCCAUGCGCACACAAAACACGUGGAAAUUGACUACCACUUCACUUGAGAAAAGGUCCUCAAUAAAGACAUUCAAGUGCAACAUAUUUUCACCCAAGAUCAUAUUGUUGAUAUCUUCACAAAGGGGCAAAUAGUCGCCCAUUUUGUGUACUUCGGUCCAAACUGAUGGUGAUGAUCAUCCCCAUCACUUUGUGGGGGGUGUUAGACCAAGAAAUCACAAUCAUCAAUCUCCUCCAUUCAACACCUCCAUUUAAUACUGGUUCUUCCAUAUCAGUAAAGACUCCACAAUUACCUCCAACGUGAUCUCAGCAUUCCAUUGAUUUCUCCUCAAUUCUAUCAAUCAUGACAAUUGUACAUUCCAUAUUUCAUAUAAUGAACUUUGUUAUUUAAAGCCAUUGUAAUUUCCAAAAGAUGUAAGUUGGCCAUUCCAUUCAUCUUAUACAUUACUGCUCUUCUACAGUUUUGUUAUUUUUAACUAAUUUUACUUUUGAAAAUUUGCAUUAAAAAAGAAAAAAUCACAGCCGUUAAAUUUACAUGGGCUAUGACUUUUUGGAUGUAAACUUUCUAAAAAUUUCGAUGUCAUGCCCAUGUAAAAUUUUCUAAUAGAAUGACGUAAAUUAUAUUGAGAAAUUUGUUGCAUGAAAAUAAUAAAUGUUAAUGAAAUAAUUGAAAUAUUUUAAAGAAAAUACUAGUUGGACGCCUUUUUUAAGACGUAAAUUUGAUGUACUUUUAGCUAUUUUCACUAUCUAUUUGAUCAUUCGAUAUAUUUAUGAUGAUGUUUUCGAAACAAGUUUCAAGAUGAUGUAGGCAAUUUGUGAAUUCAGCUAAUUUACGAUUGUUGGAGAAUUUUGAAAGUUAGCAUGUUAUUGAAAUUUUUGAGAUACUAAUUUGAAACAGUUUACUUUGACAAGCCAUAAAUUUUAGCUAUGGUUGGUCGUUUUGCGCGGCAUUGACGGCAUAGAAAAUUAGGCGGUGAGCACAUUGAAAUGAUAUUAAGAAUACAAUAUCUCGACGUCGUUUGGUAUCCCGUAAUGACUUAAAAAAUUGAGACAAAAGUAUAAUCAAUGGUGGUAAAAAAUGGAUUUUUCCAAAAGUUGGGGUCACGUGACCCCAUGCCACCUCCUACAUCCGCCACUGUUUCAUGUGAUCCACAAGUACUUCUCAUUUAUUACCAUUCAUUUCUAUCUAUUUAUAAUUUAAAUCGAUUAUAAACAAUUCUCAAACAUGUUUGUACCUAAUUCAUAUCACAAUAAAACCUCUUUAAUGAUGCGUUGAUAAUUUAUGUUCAGAUGUUAUCGAUCUCUUCUUAAUUGAUAGUUUUCGAAUUGCAGCGAUAGAUAAGUAAUGCUAUUUAGUCCCACUUGAAUUGCAAUCUCAAUUUAGGUUACGAUAAUGUAGCAUUUAAUAAUAAUUAGAAUUACAUGACACUAGGAUUGCAACCCUAAUGAGGUUAAAUAACAUAGCUCGAUAAAUAUUCAUCUUAUUUAAAAGCAAUGUAGGUGUAACAUCACGAUGCUUGUACAAGACAUUCACAAAAGUCAUUUUUGCAAUAUUUCACUUUGUGCUCUCAAGAAAUUAAAGCAAUAUAAAAGCCCACAAUAGUUCAUUUUGUGUCUCCAACACUAAGGGUCAGCUUGACAGGAAUUUUGAAAAGUCACAAGACUUAAAAGCUGAUUUAAACAUUUUUGAAUACUUUCCUAAAAGUAUUUUAUCCGUGGAAAUGGUUUAACAUAACUUUCCAAAAAGCUCUUCGUAAAAACAACAAUAAAAUUCCAACCGAAUGGCCCCUAAAUAACAUUGCACAUGUUGACAAGACUCCCCAGCUUGUUUCUUGGAAACUCAGUCAGCUGUACUAUUCUUGUGAAAAAUGUAAAAACGACAUUUGAUAGCACUCCACAAAAAUACUGGUACUUUAAAAAUCGUAUUUUGUGCUAAAUUUGCAACCCAUUACCAAUACGCCUGUUUCUGGGGCAUGGAUUUAUUUCAAAAUUGAAGCCAAAUAGAAGACUCUACACCAAUCCUAUAGAGCAUAUUUUGUGCGCAACAUUUUAUACAGAAUUAGACCAUAUAAUCCAUGUUAUCAAACAUGUCAAUAAUGUAAAAUAUACGUUAUACAGGAAGUUUUUGCACGUUAAAUUUGAGAUCAGUGCUUCACAUAAGAUGCAUAAAUACUACUGUAUAGUCUGUCAUAUGCAUUAGUUUCUAACUAAAUUUUAAAAAUGCCCAUGCAACAUAUUUCUAUUCAAUGAUCAGCAUCAAAUGGCAACAUUGCCCAUAAGGUUUUUAUACUUAUUUUACACUGAUUUGUGCAGAAAAUUUUAUCAUUUUCUCACAGAAGAAAAAAUCAAUAAUAAUUAAAGAAGAUGGACAUAGACAAUGCUUUCCAUAGGCAAUGGUCAUACCCUAUAAUAAAUGUUGACAUUCUUAGCAUACAUGAUUCUAGAAAGUAAGAUGAUAACUUGAGUUUUCAUAGAUAUACAAUGCUGCCUCCUGGAGGGAAAUUUGUCAUUCUCGACCAAGAAAAUUGCCAACUCAACAAGAUAUGGACCACACAAGCUAAUUUCUAAUUCAUACCUUUCUGCAUUGACACAUGAAGUAAGAAGAAGUCACCCAUUCUACAGCAUCUUUCUAACUGAUAAGAUAGAAUCAAUCAUCUUUUUGGAAAUCUCAAACACUUGUUGUAUUUGGAUUCUAUUGUACUUGGGGCUGCACUAACUUGUGCUUUGUUUCGUUUUGAAAAGGAGUGUUUUUCCAUUGCAUUCACAAAUUCGUGCAAGUGCUUAAUGUACUCUAGGAAAUUUUCAAGAUUUCAGUGUCCUCCACCUUGGACCCAUAAUGGAUCUUAUUUCUCCUCAGAAAGUUCCCAUAAUUGCUUACCAUGGGACCAAUCGACAAUAUCAUCAUUUGUUCCCUACAAACAUUGAACCAACAGAAAUAAGAUUUGUUGAAAAAUGAAAACAAAAUUAGCUUGUGUUAGCUCAUGCCUGUUGGGGGGUUCAGAAUAUAGUAGAGGUUUAUCUAUUGUAUAGUCCCAUGGAAAAUAUAAAUGCCCUGAAAACAUUCAGUAAUAGAUCACAAGUGGUGUUCAUUAAUAUGGGCACACCAAAUCAAGAAAAUCUUUCUAAUCUUAUUCCUAGUUGAAAUUUUUUUUCUAUUCUAGAUAACUUUUUCAGGACCAUUUCCUCCUACACUUGCUAGUAAACCUAAUACCAGCAAGCAUAGCUAACUCUUGAAAUUUGAUUUUAUUCCUAAACUUGACAAAGCUUUUUGACGUUCACUUUCACAAGACAGAAGCUCAUAAAAGAAAACUUUAUUAAUCACGUUACUAUUAUUCCAAUUCCACAUUUCUCCUUUAAUUCGGGAUAAAUGUUAGUUUGAAAAAACCUUAACCCUUAAAGUCUCUAGAAGGCAUCAUAUUACCAGAUCAACGUAGCUAACUCUUGAAAUUUGAUUUUAUUCCUAAACUUGACAAAGCUUUUUGACGUUCACUUUCACAAGACAGAAGCUCAUAAAAAGAAAACUUUAUUAAUCACGUUACUAUUAUUCCAAUUCCACAUUUCUCCUUUAAUUCGGGAUAAAUGUUAGUUUGAAAAAAUCUUAGCCCUUAAAGUCUCUAGAAGGCAUCAUAUUACCAGAUCAACAGACUAGAAAUGGUAACACCACAUAGAAAACUCAAAAACUUUCAUUGUGAAAGUGAGAAAUGUAAUUGCUGCGUAGAAAAAUAGAUGUUCUGGAAAUGCAUUUGGAGAGGAGAAAAAAGGAUGAGAGACAGAUCAUUCUUACAUGUAUAACUAAAAUGGGGCAAGUUACAUUCUAUAUUUUGUCGAUGUCUUGCAAAAAAUGAACAGAAACUUUCUCAAUCACAAACCUAGAUAAAAAACUGGAUUAGGAGAUAAAAUUGAAGACCAACAGACUCUCGAGAAGCUUACUUUAAAAAUGUCGAACCAAAUGUCAAUUUGACAUUGUACAGAACUCGUAUUCCUAAAAGAAUAGCGCUAUGAAGAACAACAGCUCUCAACCUCGGUGAGCGAGCAGCCAAGUGUAGGGUGGACCAUUCCCGACAGAUUGACCAUACAAAAUAACAUCCUCUUGCUUGAUUCCAUAUUCAUUCUUCAAACAGUUAUAGACAACCUCGAUGUCAUGGUAUGUGUUGAACUCAGAUGGCUGUCACAUGAAAAGAAUGCAUUGAGCAUAAGAUAUAUCCGCUAAUGGUAUAUAAUAUGGCUUCUUAUUGUCUUACAUAUUAUUAUGGAAGAGAAUUUCGUGGACAAUUUACUUUGGAUAUUUUGUACUUUUUAUAUUUGAAAUGUCAUUUAUUCUACGCACAUCAAGGGCAUCAGAAAACAUCCAAUCAAAAAUCUCACCUUACGGUGGAUGCUCCAUAUCCCGAAUAGUCAUAGCUGCUAAAGGUAAAAGAAAAAACAUUGUUAGCAACAACUAUCCAAGAUAGAAGUUUUGAAAUACAUAUUAUUUUCCAUUCUUGAAUUAUUGCAAAAAAGAAAAAAUUAUUAACUCGAAAACACUCAUGACUCAUCCGACCAAUUAUAGCAGUUGGCUGGCAAGCUGAAAUCAGAACUACUUUCUAAUUGUGAUAGGCCGCUUGAAAUCAAAUUUAAAUUUGUAGACAAGAAUUUCUAUCCAAUUUCGAGGUCUCAUCUUAAACUACCAAACAGUUUCUUAAACGAUUCUAAAAUUAACAACCUUAGGAAGAACCAAAUAUACAACUAAACCAACAAAAAGGACAAAAGAACACCAGCUCAAUAUCAAAACAAAUCACAACCUUCAACAUCUCUCUGAAUUCAAAUGAUGAUUAACUAAAAUUAAUUUCCAAAGCCAAAUUCUGAUUUUCCAUCUAAAUCUGUAUUUAUAUCUAACACGUUAUAAUGAAAAAUUGCACAACAGAAGCGCAAGAAAACAAAAACACCCUGCUUAGUAAGGAAAUUGCUGAAAACCACAAUCUUGAAGGCACCCAUGUUCAAUACCAACAUUACAAUAAAAACCCAUUGAAUUUACAUUCCAAAAUAAUAAUAAAAACGCUCAAACACUGCAUAAGCAAAUACAGAUAUUCAUAAAAAAUGCAUACAUGACACACACAAUUUAUUUCCUAUAUAUACAAACUCAAAUAAUCAAGAAAUGGAAAUUUAUACGAACCUCAUGAUAUUGACACGAAGGUUGGCCCUGAGCUCGAUAAAGAGGUCCUGCAUUUGUCCCAAAUCGGCAGCGUUUCCAUGGGAGUACAAUACGGUGAACCUUCCUGUUGGGUGCUUCCAGAACGCAGUCACAACCUUAUUCCCGCCCUUGGUUUGCAACAAAUGGACGUCCACAUUUUUAUCCACUGUUAAACCACUCAUCACUAGCCACCCAUCCAAUUCAUCACAGUAGACAUCGUACGUGGGUGGGUUCGACGAGAAGAAUGCAAAUUUUGCCGCCACACUUGACGUCACAUUUCCCAUUUAUCACAACCCCUUCAAACAACAAAAAAUCAGCUAUCAAUCAAAAAUUCCACGCUUCGAGCCAUAAACACACCACCUACGACACGGAAUUUCGUUCCCAGUAAAUGAAUAUCAUAUCAAAUUUCAAAACUGGUUUUUUUUCUGGUGUUCUUUUUUGUUCUUCUUUCCCUGGUUUUUGAGUUAUUGAUAAUGGGGAAGUCGGGUGAUCCGCUCUAAAAGGAGGGUGGAGACAGACGGGUUAACUAAGAAAGAAGCAAAAGAAAAGUGUGUAAUUUGUGUAUGUAUUUGUCCGUUUGCAUGUAUUUUUUUUUUUUAUAAUAAUUAAACACUUUGAACAAAACAAACACAUCAUUAUCUUGGAUUGAUGACUAAGAUUCGGUCAAAGGCUGCUGUGGAUCUAUACAGAAAGAGAAUUACAUACUAAAAGGUUGAACCCCAACCUUGAGCGUCCCUUCCUCACCGCCUUUGUCCUGUAGUAUCGUGAGCGAGGUAAAUCGCAGGAUAUGCCUCCAAGGAUACAGGGUGGAAGGUUGCUUGUACACUUGCACUUACUCAAGAGCCAAAUCCAUAUUUCAAGAUUCGAACCCUUGACGCAGCAGCCUCAAGCAAAACUGGAUUUCUCCACCCUCCCCUUUUACGACUUGGAAAUGUACCCUGGGGGCGAAAGAGAAUUACAUAUUUGUUGUAUGUUUUGAUGCUUCCUUAACCAGUUUCGAGAGAUACAUUUGAGUUGGAAUCUGCUAUCAAGAAUUGACUGCCCAAUUCGUUGUUCAAUCAAAGAUUUAUUGACACAUAAUCUGUCCAACUUUUCUCUCACCGUCAUUUGUGCUUGAAAACAAGUGUAAAAUGAUAUGUCAAUAUAUCAUUUGAUAAACAGCAAGUCGGAUAAACAUUUUUGGACAGCAAAUCUCAACUCAUUUUGUGUUGCCUUUUUUCUUCCUGCUUUUUCAUAACUUUUUUGUUAUGUUUAAUAAAUGGUUGCUACUUCGAAAAGAAAAGAUGGGUAGGGUCGGAGUCGAGGGUAAUUCCAAAUUGACGGUGAAAAUGUGUUGAAAUCUCAAUCACUUAAAUGAAUUCUAUUUACAUAUAGUUACUUGCGCUUGGUCACCAUGCUUUUGACCUGUUAUUGACUUUGGGGUCAAUGUUACUAGGUUGAAAUUGUCAUGCUUAGUAGUCAGGUAGACUCAAAUAAGCGAAUUUGAGCUUCGUAAAUCUUGUUGAAUUUCAUGAACGAAUGAUUGAAUUUGAGCUCACGAGAAGAAUACCACUUAAGGCGAUUUUAUCAUGUUAUUGUUAAGUCCGUUUUAAGUCGAUAGUGAUGAUUGUUUGUCUUCAUCAUAACAAAAGCUCACUAAAUGCUAGUGACUGACUUAUGCCUUCUAUUUCGAGGUGGGGCUCCUUGCCUAUGCUUUUCUAUUCAUCAUGCUAAUUCUUUCUUUGUACUGCAAGUCAGCUUACGAUAUUAUCAUGCACUAGUCUAUGUUAUGGAUUAGUUUGUAAGGUUCUCAAUAUUUUACUCUCUCUUGAAGAUAUUUCCGAGUACUUCACAAAUUUUUUUGUGUCAUUACAGAGACGUGGGGGCAAGCUGCAAUCACCUGAAUCUUUUCCAAAUUUUGAAAGCUUUAGUUCAAAGGGAAGAACACUGGGUCAAUAAAGUGUAAAGAAUUGCUUGGAAUUUGGUGCCCCACCUAAAGCUAAGUUUUGAACAAAACUAGAGAUGAAACAUGGAGCUUUAAAAAGAGGUAUUCACAAUCAAACUCGGAUUAGUAUCGUGGGGUUAGAAAUUAAAAUGUAAGUUAUAAACAACAUAAUAUUAAUGAAAUUAUGUUAAUACAAUACUAUAAUUGUAGUUUACACAUCUUGAUACUUUGAAAACGUCAUAUAAUUACAUCAUUAUUAAUAUUGUCAAAUAAAUUAUGCUAUUUGUAUAUUUUUGUUUACCAUCUCGUUAACAAUUGUUGAGCCGGCAAGAAUUAAAUCAAGUUGAAUGUAGGAAGGAAAUGUUUUGAAAUAAAACUCAAAUUUAAUCUAGGAAAUAAAUGAAAUUCAAACUUAAUUCGAAAGUAAUUCAAAUUACACUUACUCUAAAACGAUCCUAAUUUUUUUUACAUCAUACUUUAUGUAAAAUUUGCUAAUAAAAUAAUGUAAAUUAUAUUCAGAAAUUUGUUGUGCAAAAAUAAAAAGCAUUAAUGAAAUAAUUAAAAUUUUCUAAAAGGAAAGGUGAAUUAGACAUAUCUUUUAGAGAAGUACGUUUUAUGCACGUUUAACUAUGUUUGAUAUCUGUUUGGACCAUUCGAUAUAAUUAUGAUGUAGUUCUUGAAACAAGUUUCUGGGUGACGUCGGCGAUUUGUGGAUUCGGCUAGCAUAUAAUCGUCGACGAAUUUUUAAAAUUAGUAUAUUAUUGAAAUUCUCGAAAUACUACUUUGAAAUCACCUACUUUGACGCUCCGUAAAUUUUGCUACGAUUGGCCGUUUCACGNNNNNNNNNNNNNNNNNNNNNNNNNNNNNNNNNNNNNNNNNNNNNNNNNNNNNNNNNNNNNNNNNNNNNNNNNNNNNNNNNNNNNNNNNNNNNNNNNNNNNNNNNNNNNNNNNNNNNNNNNNNNNNNNNNNNNNNNNNNNNNNNNNNNNNNNNNNNNNNNNNNNNNNNNNNNNNNNNNNNNNNNNNNNNNNNNNNNNNNNNNNNNNNNNNNNNNNNNNNNNNNNNNNNNNNNNNNNNNNNNNNNNNNNNNNNNNNNNNNNNNNNNNNNNNNNNNNNNNNNNNNNNNNNNNNNNNNNNNNNNNNNNNNNNNNNNNNNNNNNNNNNNNNNNNNNNNNNNNNNNNNNNNNNNNNNNNNNNNNNNNNNNNNNNNNNNNNNNNNNNNNNNNNNNNNNNNNNNNNNNNNNNNNNNNNNNNNNNNNNNNNNNNNNNNNNNNNNNNNNNNNNNNNNNNNNNNNNNNNNNNNNNNNNNNNNNNNNNNNNNNNNNNNNNNNNNNNNNNNNNNNNNNNNNNNNNNNNNNNNNNNNNNNNNNNNNNNNNNNNNNNNNNNNNNNNNNNNNNNNNNNNNNNNNNNNNNNNNNNNNNNNNNNNNNNNNNNNNNNNNNNNNNNNNNNNNNNNNNNNNNNNNNNNNNNNNNNNNNNNNNNNNNNNNNNNNNNNNNNNNNNNNNNNNNNNNNNNNNNNNNNNNNNNNNNNNNNNNNNNNNNNNNNNNNNNNNNNNNNNNNNNNNNNNNNNNNNNNNNNNNNNNNNNNNNNNNNNNNNNNNNNNNNNNNNNNNNNNNNNNNNNNNNNNNNNNNNNNNNNNNNNNNNNNNNNNNNNNNNNNNNNNNNNNNNNNNNNNNNNNNNNNNNNNNNNNNNNNNNNNNNNNNNNNNNNNNNNNNNNNNNNNNNNNNNNNNNNNNNNNNNNNNNNNNNNNNNNNNNNNNNNNNNNNNNNNNNNNNNNNNNNNNNNNNNNNNNNNNNNNNNNNNNNNNNNNNNNNNNNNNNNNNNNNNNNNNNNNNNNNNNNNNNNNNNNNNNNNNNNNNNNNNNNNNNNNNNNNNNNNNNNNNNNNNNNNNNNNNNNNNNNNNNNNNNNNNNNNNNNNNNNNNNNNNNNNNNNNNNNNNNNNNNNNNNNNNNNNNNNNNNNNNNNNNNNNNNNNNNNNNNNNNNNNNNNNNNNNNNNNNNNNNNNNNNNNNNNNNNNNNNNNNNNNNNNNNNNNNNNNNNNNNNNNNNNNNNNNNNNNNNNNNNNNNNNNNNNNNNNNNNNNNNNNNNNNNNNNNNNNNNNNNNNNNNNNNNNNNNNNNNNNNNNNNNNNNNNNNNNNNNNNNNNNNNNNNNNNNNNNNNNNNNNNNNNNNNNNNNNNNNNNNNNNNNNNNNNNNNNNNNNNNNNNNNNNNNNNNNNNNNNNNNNNNNNNNNNNNNNNNNNNNNNNNNNNNNNNNNNNNNNNNNNNNNNNNNNNNNNNNNNNNNNNNNNNNNNNNNNNNNNNNNNNNNNNNNNNNNNNNNNNNNNNNNNNNNNNNNNNNNNNNNNNNNNNNNNNNNNNNNNNNNNNNNNNNNNNNNNNNNNNNNNNNNNNNNNNNNNNNNNNNNNNNNNNNNNNNNNNNNNNNNNNNNNNNNNNNNNNNNNNNNNNNNNNNNNNNNNNNNNNNNNNNNNNNNNNNNNNNNNNNNNNNNNNNNNNNNNNNNNNNNNNNNNNNNNNNNNNNNNNNNNNNNNNNNNNNNNNNNNNNNNNNNNNNNNNNNNNNNNNNNNNNNNNNNNNNNNNNNNNNNNNNNNNNNNNNNNNNNNNNNNNNNNNNNNNNNNNNNNNNNNNNNNNNNNNNNNNNNNNNNNNNNNNNNNNNNNNNNNNNNNNNNNNNNNNNNNNNNNNNNNNNNNNNNNNNNNNNNNNNNNNNNNNNNNNNNNNNNNNNNNNNNNNNNNNNNNNNNNNNNNNNNNNNNNNNNNNNNNNNNNNNNNNNNNNNNNNNNNNNNNNNNNNNNNNNNNNNNNNNNNNNNNNNNNNNNNNNNNNNNNNNNNNNNNNNNNNNNNNNNNNNNNNNNNNNNNNNNNNNNNNNNNNNNNNNNNNNNNNNNNNNNNNNNNNNNNNNNNNNNNNNNNNNNNNNNNNNNNNNNNNNNNNNNNNNNNNNNNNNNNNNNNNNNNNNNNNNNNNNNNNNNNNNNNNNNNNNNNNNNNNNNNNNNNNNNNNNNNNNNNNNNNNNNNNNNNNNNNNNNNNNNNNNNNNNNNNNNNNNNNNNNNNNNNNNNNNNNNNNNNNNNNNNNNNNNNNNNNNNNNNNNNNNNNNNNNNNNNNNNNNNNNNNNNNNNNNNNNNNNNNNNNNNNNNNNNNNNNNNNNNNNNNNNNNNNNNNNNNNNNNNNNNNNNNNNNNNNNNNNNNNNNNNNNNNNNNNNNNNNNNNNNNNNNNNNNNNNNNNNNNNNNNNNNNNNNNNNNNNNNNNNNNNNNNNNNNNNNNNNNNNNNNNNNNNNNNNNNNNNNNNNNNNNNNNNNNNNNNNNNNNNNNNNNNNNNNNNNNNNNNNNNNNNNNNNNNNNNNNNNNNNNNNNNNNNNNNNNNNNNNNNNNNNNNNNNNNNNNNNNNNNNNNNNNNNNNNNNNNNNNNNNNNNNNNNNNNNNNNNNNNNNNNNNNNNNNNNNNNNNNNNNNNNNNNNNNNNNNNNNNNNNNNNNNNNNNNNNNNNNNNNNNNNNNNNNNNNNNNNNNNNNNNNNNNNNNNNNNNNNNNNNNNNNNNNNNNNNNNNNNNNNNNNNNNNNNNNNNNNNNNNNNNNNNNNNNNNNNNNNNNNNNNNNNNNNNNNNNNNNNNNNNNNNNNNNNNNNNNNNNNNNNNNNNNNNNNNNNNNNNNNNNNNNNNNNNNNNNNNNNNNNNNNNNNNNNNNNNNNNNNNNNNNNNNNNNNNNNNNNNNNNNNNNNNNNNNNNNNNNNNNNNNNNNNNNNNNNNNNNNNNNNNNNNNNNNNNNNNNNNNNNNNNNNNNNNNNNNNNNNNNNNNNNNNNNUUAUCUAAAUACAAAGCUGAAUCCUGAAUGGGAAUUGAAAUUUGUUAAAUUCCGCUGUGCAUGUUUAAAUCAAUUCCCAACAUAAUCAUCGCAUAUGGAGCACUAUCAUAACAAUGUGCAGAAAAUCAAAACUGCAUCAAGAUGAGAGGAUGUGAUUUGCCAGAUAAAUAUCACAUGAGCGAUGGUGCAUUUAGAAGCAGAGAAAUCACCUGGAUCGCCAUGGUCACCACCUCCAAAAAACCAAUCCCUUCCACAGAUGUCAUCCACAUUGGAUCCUAGACCUGCAUCAUAUUACCCAUCUUAUCAAUUUAAGGCAAGAUCCUUCACAUUAAGGUUGCAAGAAAAUAAACUAUAUUUAGUUUCAUAGAUUGAUGCACCUGUUGGCCCAUUAUGAGCCAGGAUCACAACUGAAUGAUCCUCAGGAGUACUUAAAGCAGUUUGAUAAAUCCUCUUUGCACUUUCAUUUAAGUCAUGGAUACCAUAUCUGAUAUAAAUAAUUGCAAUUGCCAGAAUAAAAAAGAACAUUGAGGUGUCUCUAUGUUAGCAAUGAUCAUAUCGUUUUUACAUAUUUUAAUUAAAAUUAGGUUUUAGGCGCUUCUACUCACAAUCACAAAGAAAUUAGGUGGUGGAAGUAUAAAUGCAUAGAGAAGAGGGGGGGGGUGGGGGGGGGGGGGGGGGGGGGGGGGGGUGUCAUUUAGUAAAAUUACACCCUGUUUAAUAAUUUCAUUAUUACUUCAGUUUAUAAUAACUUCUGAUCUUUUAUAUUAAAUAACAGAGUACCUUUUUGCUGCGACAUACACAUUCUUUUAAUUCACAUAUACAUGAAAAAAAAUAUAGACAUUGAAAAAAUCCACUUGCAGACUCUCUGUCUCUCUCUCAGCAAAUCAGUCGUGCUGUGGGUUGGAUUCAUUUUUAAACACUUUUCUGAAUGUUGCCGACUUUGAGACACUGAAAUUGUCUCUGAUUAGAGGAAUUAUACCAGAAACACAGGUAUCUUUUUAGCAUAACAUGGAAAUAGGGCAAUCCUAACUUAUUUAAAAACCAUCCAAAAGUAAGCCAAUGUAGAGAAAACACGGGUCAAAAGGGUAGUCAAAGGGACUUGAGCCCAUUAAUCUAGAGGAUAUGCAUGGGAAAAAAUAGUCAAUGUGCCUUCAUCUAGAUAAAUCAGUGCAAAAGUUUAGGUUUAGACGCAAAUAUAAAUUCUUUUAGAACAUUUCAAAGUAAAUAUACGUUCCAUUUAUCUAAAAAAAAAUCGAUACCCUUAUGGUGGUCGUGGUGGCGGGGGCGGGGUUGUUUCUGGUUUGGGAAAAGGAAUUCCAUGUUCCAAUAAUCUCCUCACUUGAUGCUGAAUGAACUCACACGUGAACUUUCAACCUCUUUAUCCCUUUCCCUCCACUCAACUUUCUAGUUUUCUCAAAAAGCAAUACCAAAAUGAAUAUAAUGGGUUGCAAACUUUAUCCUAUAAUCAAAGUUUGAAUAGAUCAAAAAUCAAAAGGGAUUUUGAUAGCAAUCUGCAACAAAAAGAGAAACUAUAGAUUUGGGAACUGUAUAAAAUGCAAGGCAUUGUAACUUAAUUUUUCCCCUAAAGCAAGAAGUCAGAUGCAUAGACCGUGAAUGAGUCAACAUCACAAUUCCUGGAUUGUGAACUAACUACAGACUGUAACAUGGAAACAUAGCGAUGGAAACAUUACUGAAGCAAUUUAAAUCUCCAGAUAAAUGGCUUUGAAGUUCAAAUUAAUCAACCUACUAGAUUCAGAUACUUGCAACUACCGUCAUGAAAAUGUUAGUGAGGUUACAAUAUUUUACCAGCAAAUAUUAGAGCUGAUGUAUUGAAGAAUGUGCUGAGCUUUAACACUACUACUUAAGGAGCACAACAGAGAGAAAUUUCAAAUUGUCAAAAUCAGAUUUACAUUAACUAAUCAAAUCCCCACCUUGCUGUCAUUUGCCAUGUCAACCUAAUGCACAAUAAACAUUGGAACUCAUCUUCUUUAUUUUUCUUCUAAUUACAAACACAAUAACACAUUUUAUACUCACUGCAGAUACUCCUAUGUGAGUUAAAUUAAACUUUCCCUGCAGAAAAGUUCUGAGUGUUCCAGGCAUCAUGAUUUCCCAAAAUAAUUGUUUUGGAAAUUCCAAGAUUGGCUAUACUUCUAACACGAUCAACAUUCUCAUUACCAAAAUCAUCUGGAGAAGACCCCCAAAGAAAAACGAAAAACAAAAGGAACUGAUGAAUUCUUGACAUCCCAACAAUUGACCUAAUCUACAGAAUUAGCAAGAAAUACAAAGAGAAAGCAGGCACGCAAAUAAGUGGAUAAACAGCGUCACCUGCCUGUGAACAGCACCAGAUCCGGCUGCAUUAUCACACACACAAAAAAUAAUGAAUACAAGAAGAGAUAUAAAAGCAUUUAGAGUAAUAUUAUAUGCAGGCAGCAUGGAAUUGAAACUAAAAAAUUUAGGGCCUGUCGGUACUGAUUCUUAGAAUCAAUUUUUUGACCGUUAGAUAGAAAAGUCUGUGAGUGAAGAAGUAAAAAAUGACGACUGACUAUGUUAAAUAACAAUAAAAAAUUGAUUUUUUGGCUUGAAAAAUCAGAACCAAAUGGGGGCUUAAUACCCACCAAAAAGCAUUUCUAAAAUUAUUUGCUUCUUUACAAUCAAUGAGACUCUAUACUACAAUUUUUUGAGAGAAGUGGAAACUAUAUAGUAUAUAGAACCCUUUCUUUUCCCUAAUGUCUUCUAAAAAAAAAAAAAAANNNNNNNNNNNNNNNNNNNNNNNNNNNNNNNNNNNNNNNNNNNNNNNNNNNNNNNNNNNNNNNNNNNNNNNNNNNNNNNNNNNNNNNNNNNNNNNNNNNNNNNNNNNNNNNNNNNNNNNNNNNNNNNNNNNNNNNNNNNNNNNNNNNNNNNNNNNNNNNNNNNNNNNNNNNNNNNNNNNNNNNNNNNNNNNNNNNNNNNNNNNNNNNNNNNNNNNNNNNNNNNNNNNNNNNNNNNNNNNNNNNNNNNNNNNNNNNNNNNNNNNNNNNNNNNNNNNNNNNNNNNNNNNNNNNNNNNNNNNNNNNNNNNNNNNNNNNNNNNNNNNNNNNNNNNNNNNNNNNNNNNNNNNNNNNNNNNNNNNNNNNNNNNNNNNNNNNNNNNNNNNNNNNNNNNNNNNNNNNNNNNNNNNNNNNNNNNNNNNNNNNNNNNNNNNNNNNNNNNNNNNNNNNNNNNNNNNNNNNNNNNNNNNNNNNNNNNNNNNNNNNNNNNNNNNNNNNNNNNNNNNNNNNNNNNNNNNNNNNNNNNNNNNNNNNNNNNNNNNNNNNNNNNNNNNNNNNNNNNNNNNNNNNNNNNNNNNNNNNNNNNNNNNNNNNNNNNNNNNNNNNNNNNNNNNNNNNNNNNNNNNNNNNNNNNNNNNNNNNNNNNNNNNNNNNNNNNNNNNNNNNNNNNNNNNNNNNNNNNNNNNNNNNNNNNNNNNNNNNNNNNNNNNNNNNNNNNNNNNNNNNNNNNNNNNNNNNNNNNNNNNNNNNNNNNNNNNNNNNNNNNNNNNNNNNNNNNNNNNNNNNNNNNNNNNNNNNNNNNNNNNNNNNNNNNNNNNNNNNNNNNNNNNNNNNNNNNNNNNNNNNNNNNNNNNNNNNNNNNNNNNNNNNNNNNNNNNNNNNNNNNNNNNNNNNNNNNNNNNNNNNNNNNNNNNNNNNNNNNNNNNNNNNNNNNNNNNNNNNNNNNNNNNNNNNNNNNNNNNNNNNNNNNNNNNNNNNNNNNNNNNNNNNNNNNNNNNNNNNNNNNNNNNNNNNNNNNNNNNNNNNNNNNNNNNNNNNNNNNNNNNNNNNNNNNNNNNNNNNNNNNNNNNNNNNNNNNNNNNNNNNNNNNNNNNNNNNNNNNNNNNNNNNNNNNNNNNNNNNNNNNNNNNNNNNNNNNNNNNNNNNNNNNNNNNNNNNNNNNNNNNNNCGGACCGGGUUUAAUUAAUUGGAUUAAUUAAUUAUUGGACCGGACCGAGCCGAGCCUGUUUGGGUUUAUAUAAAUACAUAACUAGGGUUUGAGGUCCAUUAAGGUUUUCAUUAUUCUUGCUGGCACAAGAGAAAACCCUAGAGGCUGCAAUCAUAUUCUCUGUGUGGAUCACCGUUGGAGGCUGGACAAUUGGACAGCUGUGGUGGCGAAUCAAAGUUGUGGAACAAAAAGAAAAGCAAAAGGAUUGCAGAUCUGGAAAAGGUACAAUCUUAUCACAAUUUCUAUCUAAACACAAAGGCGAUUUUUGGUGGGAAUCGAAAAUUAUUUUAAAUUUCGCUGUGCAUGUAUAAGUAGAUUCCCAACAGGAAGAAGAGAAGGAAAUUGGCGAGUAAAUUUUAAUGAAUGCUUACCCAACAAUAAAAUAUAACACGUUGCUCACCCAUCUAUCCAAUAACUUACCCGUUGCUCACCCAUUUCAUCCCCGUCAAUCUAAGUUAACGGAGUAUGCCACACUUGGAGGACUGAAAUCCCACAUGGCACAAAUUUUCGUUCUCCACUGCCUAGACUUCACAAACUGCACACCAAUUCACUGCUGAUACUCUUUUGACCACGAUUGCUGAUGAAUUCUAGAAGUUGGAGUGUUCUUACUGUCGUAAAAGAGCUAGCUAAUGGAGAACCAGAGAGGUAUGAAUAACAUCUGCUCGGUGCUAAUAUUCUUGACUGCGAUCGCUGCUGAAUCCAAGAAGCUAGAGUUUUCCAUUUUCUGUCCUAACAGAGCUUGUUAAUAGAGCAAGAGAGAGGUAAGAAUAACAUCUAGUCACUGCAUAUUGAAUACACCUUCAAAUAUGAAAAUGGAAUUUCUUCGGUCUCAUUCUCCUGUGAAACAAGAAAAUCAAUAAUAUUUUCAUCGGUUUCCAAUUGAUUUUCUAACUUAUUUCAACGGGCAUUUCAGUCUGAAAAUGGAAUGAAUUUGAUGGGCCCACAAGAAGGGGAAAUAGAAAGAGGAAAUUACAUAAACUAAGAUAUUUGAAGAUUCAAUUUCAUAAAUCAUAAAUGAUUAAGUUUGUUAUUUCAAAAAUAAGAUGAUUACAUAAUUAAUUAAUAUAUAAAAAAAUAAUUAAUCAACCGUUCCAAGCCCUAAUCCAUUCAUUUUCUUCUUCACUUUCUCUCCACACUCUCUCUCUCUACCCUAUGUCUCUCAAGUCUCUCUGUCUACCAGACCGGCAUCGGCACUGAUCGUCACAACAGCUGCUGCGAAAUCGUCAGCGGUCCCAACGCUUAGAUACCGCCGUUGAUUCUUUCCAUUCUCUCUCUAUCGUGGCUGAUACAGAAUCAUCAUUGUCAAUCAGAGCACUCGCAGGGGUGCCGGCGCUCAAAUACCGCGACUGAGGCUAUCUGAUUCUCUCCAUUUCUCUCUACCGCAGCUACUGCAAAAAUUAUCAGCGUCGAUCGCCGCUUUGAGUACGUCGCAGGCACUGCCAUUGGAGGCAGAGUGACGUCGCAGGCAUCACUGUGGUGCUGCGUGUGUUGUGGUUGUGUAGUGAGAGUGAGAAUGAUUAAACGAGUUCAACAUGCACGAUAACAUAAUUAUUUUUUCCUUUUUUUACCUUGACAAAGUUAAGUGAUCAUGAACUUUAAAUUUUCAAUGGCCCAAAGAUUCCUUUUCUUACUAGCAUAAUUUCCUUUCCUUGACUAAGUUAUUCAUGCCAUGAAAUCAACCUUUCUCCAUUAGAUUUUAAUUUUCACCUAAUUAGAGGUGUGAAAAUGGCCCUUUUUCCAAUCCCUACUUAGACGGUAUAUAUAUUUUUCCACCAUUUGUAUUGGAUUUGACAUGACUUACUUUUAAAUCAAUGGAACUUCAAAAUUUUCCAUAUUUUGGUAACAAGAAUGUCAAUGGAUUGAAUGAUCAUGUGUUCACAAAUCACAACUAGGAACAUGUUCAUUUUGUUUAGAACUCACUUUUCUCAACAAGUUAGGACUUACUUUUAGGAUCCGUUUGAUUGUAAAGAUGGAAAAGACGAACCAAAUCCAUAUAAGUUGGAAAAGAAAAAACCACUAAAACCAUAGGAAUUUGAUUUCCAUACAAUUGGCCAAAAAUAUUCUUUAAGUGUUUGUACUUAGAAAUCUAAACUUCAUUUCUACUUUCAUAUCAAAUAGUCAAGUAGAAAACGAAUUCAUCGGAUGUGAUAUUUUCGAUUAAAUUUAGGACAACUUAUAAAAUAUCCUUAAAAUUAGGGGUGUUUUGAAAAAUCAUAUGAAAAGCUUUUUCGAAGUAAAAAAUACUGUGUAAAAAUUAAAAAAGUGAUACAAUGUCAUUUUUUUUAUAAACAUUGUGUCACUUAAAAAAAAAAAAAAGCAUCAUUGUAUUACUUUUUUUUUUUUUUUAAUAAAAAGUGAUACAAUAUCGCUUUUAAUAGUUUAGUAUCACUUUCUAUUAAAAAAUUACAUAAAAUGUCAUUUUUAUUAGAUGUUUAUCACUAUAAAAAAAGUGAUUGAAAUUUCAAAAAGAUGAUUGAAAAAGUAACAAAUACUAAAAAAAUGUGACAACAACUUUAAAAAGUGACAAUUACUAAAAAAAGUGACAAAAUUUCAAAAAAGUGAGAAAUUAAAAAAAAGUAACGAAUUUUAAAAAAUGACACAAAUUAAAAAAAAAUUAUACAGAUUCGAAAAAAGUGAAAGAAAAAUAAGAAAAAGUGACACAAACUAAAAAAAUAAAAAAUAAAAAAAAUGAAAAACACUCAAAAAUGUAUGAAACUAACAUGCUAUGUAAAUUCAUUUAAAUUUGACACUUCGAUGAAACCAACAUGCUGCUUAACAAUAUUCAGGUGAUUUGCUAGCUAAUUAAUCAUAAAUAUUAAACUUGAAUUUGACACUUCAAUGCAACAUCAUAUAUCUUAUUAUAUAAGGGCAAAAUAAAUAAAUAAAACACACACACAAUUAUUGAACAUUAUUCCCCCAAAAUCGUUGAGUUACGAGGUGAAGUUGAAAAUUGAAUCCUAAUCGCCAAAAAUAGAGAAGGUUUUGCCAAAUGAUUUUACCCUUUUGUCCCCAAAGAAUUUUAUAUGUAAUGACGGAAAAUUCAAAUUUUCAACUUGAAGGAAGUAUAUUUCAGCUUCUUCGUGUUUGGGCCGUAUGUGGCCUAAUUUUCCCUUUUAAUAAUAUCUGAAUUUUGAAAUUGUAAACCUUCUUUUCUUAAUUUUGAAAUAGGUCAUAGAUAAACUCUUAGAAAUGAAUUUUUCCCAAAAUAUUCAAAAGGGAACGAAUUUGAUGGGCUCAAAAUUGAAGUAAAUUAAUGCAAGACUAAACUGAAAAUGGAAUUGGAAUUUGGGUCUACUUUCUUGUAAUGGCCCUAGUCGGAAUUUUAAUCUGGGUAACUGGGUUUGCUAUCAUAUUCACGGAGGAACUCUAAGGUUAAAAUUCAAGGCUCAAAUAGAAGAGGAAAGGAGAAGAUGACUGUUGUUGCCAUUUCACAUGCCAUGCCAUCACCUGAUCCGUGCCACAUGAGAUUUUCGUCUGCCACAUGGCACAUUCCAUUCAUUUAGUAGAUGGAGACGAGAUGGGUGAGCGAUGGAUAAAGAAUUGGAUAGAGGGAUGAGCCAGCAAGUAGUAAUAUACACAAAAAUUGGGUGAGCAAUAGUUAAAUUUACUCGAAAUUGGCAAUAAACUACCUUCUGUAGUUGUAGCGCCUUUGAAUCUUCUUCUGGACUCCAAUCAUCAUCUUCAAAAAAAUUUGAUAAAAUUUUCCUUAAAUUACAUCAAAUAAAAUAUAUUAUACUAAUAAUCAAUCCUACAAUAGCUUUAAAAACACAAAUUAAUCAUAUUUUAUAUACGGAAUUACACUUUUGCCAAUACAUAGGGAAAAAUGUAUAUGUAUUGUAAGGAUUUUUAAUCAAUUGAUGGGCUUAUAUAUGUGAAUUAUUGUGCAUUAAAUUAAGGGAAAAAUUCACAAACCAUGUUUUAACUAUGCACAAUUCAAAAAUCAUAUGUUAAGUUUAAUUAUGCAAAAAUUAGGUUUUUAUUUAAUUAAUUAAAAAUAUUUAUUAAAUAAAGAUAAUAACGUCUCAAUUAUACAAUUAAUGGUCACAUAUUCAUAAUUAUAGGUCACAGAUUUAUUUACCGGUCACAUAUCAUCAAAUUAAUUGGUCACAGAUUAUUUCGUGAUUACAAAUAAAAAAUUUUAUAGGUUAAAAAUUAUUUCAAAGUUAUAGAUUAUUCAAAUUACAGGUCACAGUUUGUUACAAAUUAUUUUUUAGUCACAAAUUAUCAAAUUUUAAGGUUACAGUUAAAUAAUUAGUCACAAAUACUAAAAUGAUUGGUCACAAAUAACAAAAUAAUUGGUCACAUAUACCAAACACCUAACUCUGAUACUGAUUCACCACAAAUUUUUGGUCGCAGGCACCUAAUUAGUUGGUCACAUACGCCUAAUUAGUUGGUCACAAACGCCGCUACCACCUCAAAAACACAACAAAACAUGCCGAAAAAUCACACGACCACAACCACCACCAACACCGCACCAGAAACACCACCGCACAUAAUCAACACCUCACCAGCACCUCCAAAACAACCGUCGCAGAUCCCCAUAGCCGCCAGAUUGAAAAACCCUAAACCCCCCCCCCAGUGCAUAUCGAAAAAGAGAGAAUUGCAGCUUCGUCGUCGAUUUUAGUGCUAACAACACAACAAGAAGGCCACCACCAACCAUAUCUGACCCCACCAUACACCCACCACGACGCCAACACCAACACCACCGCAACCACACCGAUCACCACCACGCACAUCUCACAGCAUAUGUAUUAGUACUAGUGCACCACCGUCACCUUCAUGAACUGGUGCAUAUCGAAAAAGAGAGAAUUGCAGCUUCGUCGUCGAUUUUAGUGCUAACAACACAACAAGAAGGCCACCACCAACCAUAUCUGACCCCACCAUACACCCACCACGACGCCAACACCAACACCACCGCAACCACACCGAUCACCACCACGCACUCACGACGCACAUCUCACAGCAUAUGUAUUAGUACUAGUGCACCACCGUCACCUUCAUGAACUGAGAAGAAGUGGCAUCACCUUGCCACUGCAAUCGAGAGAGCCGCUGCGCAUCGUCAAUCGGUCAACGAACCAUACCACCACCAUCAACGGUGAACAAUAGAGGAAUGGGUCACCGACGUCGAAGAGUGAGAAGGAAGAAAAGGGGCCGAAACCAUCACUUGCAUCAUCGCGAUGCUGCUGCAAAUGCCCAUCCCUGUUGAAACUAAAAGUCGCAUCACCUCCUCCAUCGGCAUCGGCGCAUCUCCUUCAUCGCCGGUUGCAGUGUUCGAAGGUGUCGUCGGUGGUGAAGAGAGAAAGGGUAGACGGGGAUGGGAAAAUGUUUGUAAUGGAAUGGGUUGAAAUGAUUAGGGAUUGGAAUUAAUUUGGGGAUUUAGAGGUUGAGUAAUUAUAUAUAUAAAUCUGAUUUUUGAUUAAUUGAACUUUGGACCUGGUUUUUUAAAAGUGAUCUCCAAACACCUGCCAUUGUGUAAUUUCCACUUAAAUUAAAGGCCAUCGAAUUUGGUUGAGCUCAUUUAAAGUGAUCAACCAAGACUUCGGUUUUAGGCUUUAAUGCAUCCAAUUAAAGCGUUGGUUUAUAAAUGUAUAAAGACCGGGCCCAGUUCCUUAUUUCCACGAUGGGCCAAAUUAGGUCAAACGGACAUCUGUGUAUAAAUAGUGGUUAUGGUCCUCGAGUCACACGUAGAAGAUAUUUUAAGUNNNNNNNNNNNNNNNNNNNNNNNNNNNNNNNNNNNNNNNNNNNNNNNNNNNNNNNNNNNNNNNNNNNNNNNNNNNNNNNNNNNNNNNNNNNNNNNNNNNNNNNNNNNNNNNNNNNNNNNNNNNNNNNNNNNNNNNNNNNNNNNNNNNNNNNNNNNNNNNNNNNNNNNNNNNNNNNNNNNNNNNNNNNNNNNNNNNNNNNNNNNNNNNNNNNNNNNNNNNNNNNNNNNNNNNNNNNNNNNNNNNNNNNNNNNNNNNNNNNNNNNNNNNNNNNNNNNNNNNNNNNNNNNNNNNNNNNNNNNNNNNNNNNNNNNNNNNNNNNNNNNNNNNNNNNNNNNNNNNNNNNNNNNNNNNNNNNNNNNNNNNNNNNNNNNNNNNNNNNNNNNNNNNNNNNNNNNNNNNNNNNNNNNNNNNNNNNNNNNNNNNNNNNNNNNNNNNNNNNNNNNNNNNNNNNNNNNNNNNNNNNNNNNNNNNNNNNNNNNNNNNNNNNNNNNNNNNNNNNNNNNNNNNNNNNNNNNNNNNNNNNNNNNNNNNNNNNNNNNNNNNNNNNNNNNNNNNNNNNNNNNNNNNNNNNNNNNNNNNNNNNNNNNNNNNNNNNNNNNNNNNNNNNNNNNNNNNNNNNNNNNNNNNNNNNNNNNNNNNNNNNNNNNNNNNNNNNNNNNNNNNNNNNNNNNNNNNNNNNNNNNNNNNNNNNNNNNNNNNNNNNNNNNNNNNNNNNNNNNNNNNNNNNNNNNNNNNNNNNNNNNNNNNNNNNNNNNNNNNNNNNNNNNNNNNNNNNNNNNNNNNNNNNNNNNNNNNNNNNNNNNNNNNNNNNNNNNNNNNNNNNNNNNNNNNNNNNNNNNNNNNNNNNNNNNNNNNNNNNNNNNNNNNNNNNNNNNNNNNNNNNNNNNNNNNNNNNNNNNNNNNNNNNNNNNNNNNNNNNNNNNNNNNNNNNNNNNNNNNNNNNNNNNNNNNNNNNNNNNNNNNNNNNNNNNNNNNNNNNNNNNNNNNNNNNNNNNNNNNNNNNNNNNNNNNNNNNNNNNNNNNNNNNNNNNNNNNNNNNNNNNNNNNNNNNNNNNNNNNNNNNNNNNNNNNNNNNNNNNNNNNNNNNNNNNNNNNNNNNNNNNNNNNNNNNNNNNNNNNNNNNNNNNNNNNNNNNNNNNNNNNNNNNNNNNNNNNNNNNNNNNNNNNNNNNNNNNNNNNNNNNNNNNNNNNNNNNNNNNNNNNNNNNNNNNNNNNNNNNNNNNNNNNNNNNNNNNNNNNNNNNNNNNNNNNNNNNNNNNNNNNNNNNNNNNNNNNNNNNNNNNNNNNNNNNNNNNNNNNNNNNNNNNNNNNNNNNNNNNNNNNNNNNNNNNNNNNNNNNNNNNNNNNNNNNNNNNNNNNNNNNNNNNNNNNNNNNNNNNNNNNNNNNNNNNNNNNNNNNNNNNNNNNNNNNNNNNNNNNNNNNNNNNNNNNNNNNNNNNNNNNNNNNNNNNNNNNNNNNNNNNNNNNNNNNNNNNNNNNNNNNNNNNNNNNNNNNNNNNNNNNNNNNNNNNNNNNNNNNNNNNNNNNNNNNNNNNNNNNNNNNNNNNNNNNNNNNNNNNNNNNNNNNNNNNNNNNNNNNNNNNNNNNNNNNNNNNNNNNNNNNNNNNNNNNNNNNNNNNNNNNNNNNNNNNNNNNNNNNNNNNNNNNNNNNNNNNNNNNNNNNNNNNNNNNNNNNNNNNNNNNNNNNNNNNNNNNNNNNNNNNNNNNNNNNNNNNNNNNNNNNNNNNNNNNNNNNNNNNNNNNNNNNNNNNNNNNNNNNNNNNNNNNNNNNNNNNNNNNNNNNNNNNNNNNNNNNNNNNNNNNNNNNNNNNNNNNNNNNNNNNNNNNNNNNNNNNNNNNNNNNNNNNNNNNNNNNNNNNNNNNNNNNNNNNNNNNNNNNNNNNNNNNNNNNNNNNNNNNNNNNNNNNNNNNNNNNNNNNNNNNNNNNNNNNNNNNNNNNNNNNNNNNNNNNNNNNNNNNNNNNNNNNNNNNNNNNNNNNNNNNNNNNNNNNNNNNNNNNNNNNNNNNNNNNNNNNNNNNNNNNNNNNNNNNNNNNNNNNNNNNNNNNNNNNNNNNNNNNNNNNNNNNNNNNNNNNNNNNNNNNNNNNNNNNNNNNNNNNNNNNNNNNNNNNNNNNNNNNNNNNNNNNNNNNNNNNNNNNNNNNNNNNNNNNNNNNNNNNNNNNNNNNNNNNNNNNNNNNNNNNNNNNNNNNNNNNNNNNNNNNNNNNNNNNNNNNNNNNNNNNNNNNNNNNNNNNNNNNNNNNNNNNNNNNNNNNNNNNNNNNNNNNNNNNNNNNNNNNNNNNNNNNNNNNNNNNNNNNNNNNNNNNNNNNNNNNNNNNNNNNNNNNNNNNNNNNNNNNNNNNNNNNNNNNNNNNNNNNNNNNNNNNNNNNNNNNNNNNNNNNNNNNNNNNNNNNNNNNNNNNNNNNNNNNNNNNNNNNNNNNNNNNNNNNNNNNNNNNNNNNNNNNNNNNNNNNNNNNNNNNNNNNNNNNNNNNNNNNNNNNNNNNNNNNNNNNNNNNNNNNNNNNNNNNNNNNNNNNNNNNNNNNNNNNNNNNNNNNNNNNNNNNNNNNNNNNNNNNNNNNNNNNNNNNNNNNNNNNNNNNNNNNNNNNNNNNNNNNNNNNNNNNNNNNNNNNNNNNNNNNNNNNNNNNNNNNNNNNNNNNNNNNNNNNNNNNNNNNNNNNNNNNNNNNNNNNNNNNNNNNNNNNNNNNNNNNNNNNNNNNNNNNNNNNNNNNNNNNNNNNNNNNNNNNNNNNNNNNNNNNNNNNNNNNNNNNNNNNNNNNNNNNNNNNNNNNNNNNNNNNNNNNNNNNNNNNNNNNNNNNNNNNNNNNNNNNNNNNNNNNNNNNNNNNNNNNNNNNNNNNNNNNNNNNNNNNNNNNNNNNNNNNNNNNNNNNNNNNNNNNNNNNNNNNNNNNNNNNNNNNNNNNNNNNNNNNNNNNNNNNNNNNNNNNNNNNNNNNNNNNNNNNNNNNNNNNNNNNNNNNNNNNNNNNNNNNNNNNNNNNNNNNNNNNNNNNNNNNNNNNNNNNNNNNNNNNNNNNNNNNNNNNNNNNNNNNNNNNNNNNNNNNNNNNNNNNNNNNNNNAAUGGUUGAUUAAUUUCAUUUGUUUAGCAAUAUAAUUUCGGCGGCCUGUUGACGUGAAAUUGGAUUCAAUAGUGAUUCAGAAGCUAUUGAAUCCAUUUUUUUAUUAUUAAUUCUGGAUUUGUUCGCACGAAAAUCAUCAUGCCGGCGUGCGGUCUCAAUUUUAGGAUGGAUUUUAGGGCGGGGGUUGAGUCAUAAUUUUGGUGAUUUUAGGCCCCUGCUUACAAUUAGGGUUGAGGUUUUAAUUUUAAGGUUUAAGCCCAUGAUGUUUUAAAGUUCAUCCAAAUUGGGCCUUAAGUUUUGGGUUUAAUAAUUCUGUACCCAAAGUUUAAAAAAAUAUUGAAUUUGGGCCAUUAAAGUUUUGAAUUUUGCAAUUAAAGCCUUAAAGUUUAUAAUUAAUUUAAAUGGCUCCCAAAGUUUCAAAUUUUAAAAAUUUGAUCCCUAAAGUUUUGACAUAGUCAAUUUUUGGCCCCUAAAGUUUUCAAUUUAUUAAUUUUGGCCAGUAAAGUUUUGAAUUAAUUAUUUUUGCCUCCUAAAGUUUUGUAUUAUUAACCCUUAGGCCCCUGAAGUUUAAAACUAAAUGAAAUAUGCAAAAUUGGUGAUUCCGUUUCUCAAAUUUUGAUACUAAGGACUCUUUUGAGAGAUAUAAUAUUCGAAAAUGAAUUAAUUGAAGCAACAUGUUGCCAAAGCAACCUCUCUUGUGGAAAUUAAUUAACUUAGAAUAUUAAAUGAUUUUUUUGUGUGUGUUAUUCAUGCGAAUAUCGAUUGGCCCAAAGGAAGGUCAAUAUUUAGCCAAAUUUCACAUGCAAUUGUGGUGGUAAACAUGUGACGAUUAUUUAGUUUAACGUGUAAUCAAUAAAUCAGUUCAAAGAAAGGUUUAUUGAUUGACAUGUAUUUAUUGUCAGUGUUUGAUCACUACAACAAGAGUACUACUUACAAGUCAAUAUUUCUGUCCAAAGACUAGAUAUUGAUGUUGUGCUAGGUAUCUUGUGAUGAGCCCUACCAUUAUUUGAUAAUAUUAUUAUUUGCAUAUUGAGGAUAUUCAUGUGAGCCAUUAUUUUUUAUAGUUCUCAAUUCAGCUUCAGGUUCUGCUAAUAAUAUCUCUGCUAGCAUCAAUUCAAUUACAAUACUUAAUGGUCAUGAAACGUGCUAUUCUAGAACUAUUUCAGGGCACUAUGUCUAAUAAAGUAAACGCAACUAAUGUUUUUCAUAAGGACCUUGAGAAGAGGUUUGCCAAUAAUGAAAAUGUUGAAACUUGUACAAUUUUGACAAACCUUACUUCAAUGAGGUAUAAAGGAAAAGGAAAACUGACAAGGAAGCUGCAAGCACAGUACCACAAAAAAAACAACAUAAGGAACAAAUUGAGGAUGGUUGUUUCUUCUGUGGAAUUGCAGGUAAUAAGAAGAAGAAUUGUCCCAACUCUUACGUAUGGCGUGUGAAGAAAAGUAUUCUUCUUCAAUUGGUUUGUUCUGAGGUUAAUUUAACUUCGGUAUCUAGACACACAUGAUGGAUAGAUUCUGGUACAACAACUCACAUUAGUGUGCAUAUGCAAGGUUGCUUGAGUUGCCAAAAUCAAGUGAUGGUGAAAGAUACAUCUAUAUUGGUGACAGCAAGACAAUGGAAAUAGAGGUAAUAAAAAAUUUUAGAUUAUUGUUAAAGACUAGAUUUUAUUUGAAUCUCGAUGAAACAUUAAUUGUACCAGCUUUUAGAUGAAAUUUAAUUUCUAUUUUCGAUUUGGAUAAAUCUUAUUAUUGUUGUUCAUUUGGGAAUGGAAUAUUCAGUUUGUUUCAUGAUUCAAAAUUGGUUGAUUCUGGUUCUUUAUCAGGUUACGAUAAUCUUUAUUUAAUUGAUAUAAUUGCUUCUUUUAAUGAAUCCUUGCAUGUAAGUACUCAAGGUAUAAAGAUAAAACAAACAAAUAAAAGGAGAUUUUAAGCCAACAGGACUUCGGACGUCUUAGAACUUACACACACAGACAUUUGUGGACCGUUCCCUACGAGGUCUUGGAAUGUUCAAUCAUAUUUUAUAAGUUUGUAGACGACAUUUUCAAGAUAUGGCUAUGUAUAUCUCAUUCAUGAAAAAUCAUAGUCGCGGGACGUGUUCAAAAAACUAUAAAGCCAAAAUUGAAAACCAACUAGGCAAAAGGAUUAAAAGCAUUAGAUCUGACCAUGGUGAUAAAUACUAUGGAAGAUAUGAUGGUUCAGGUGAACAAAGUCCAAGGUUAUUUGCUAAAUUCCUAGAGGAAUGAGGUAUCGUUUCAUAGUACACUAUGCCGGGUUCGCCCACUAUGAAUGGUGUUGCUGAGAGACGAAAUAGAACGCUUAAGGAUAUGGUAAAGAGUAUGAUUAGUCAUUUUACCUUACCAGAAUCUCUCUGGGAUGAAGCAUUAAAGACCGCAGUGUAUAUAGUCAAUAUAGUUCCAACUAAAGCCAUUGAUAAAACCCCUUAUGAACUUUGGACGGGCAAGAAGUCUAAUUUAAAACACGUAAGAAGUCUAAUUUAAAACACAUACACAUUUGGGGAUGUCCAACUAAGGUAAGGCCUUAUAGGCCAAAUCAAAAGAAACUGGAUGCAAGGACCAUCAGUUGCUAUUUUAUUAGAUAUUCUAAAAAGUUUAGGGGUUGCAAGUUUUUUUUGAUCCCACAACUAAGGCAAUUUUUGAGAUAGAAAAUGCUCGAUUCUUUGAGGAUGUCUAGUUUGUGAGGGAGAGUAAGGAUUACAAACAAUGUAGGUCAACAAAUCAUUCCAGAAGAACAAACUCUACAGCCUCAAGAACCAAUGUCAUUAAGAAGAUCCACUANNNNNNNNNNNNNNNNNNNNNNNNNNNNNNNNNNNNNNNNNNNNNNNNNNNNNNNNNNNNNNNNNNNNNNNNNNNNNNNNNNNNNNNNNNNNNNNNNNNNNNNNNNNNNNNNNNNNNNNNNNNNNNNNNNNNNNNNNNNNNNNNNNNNNNNNNNNNNNNNNNNNNNNNNNNNNNNNNNNNNNNNNNNNNNNNNNNNNNNNNNNNNNNNNNNNNNNNNNNNNNNNNNNNNNNNNNNNNNNNNNNNNNNNNNNNNNNNNNNNNNNNNNNNNNNNNNNNNNNNNNNNNNNNNNNNNNNNNNNNNNNNNNNNNNNNNNNNNNNNNNNNNNNNNNNNNNNNNNNNNNNNNNNNNNNNNNNNNNNNNNNNNNNNNNNNNNNNNNNNNNNNNNNNNNNNNNNNNNNNNNNNNNNNNNNNNNNNNNNNNNNNNNNNNNNNNNNNNNNNNNNNNNNNNNNNNNNNNNNNNNNNNNNNNNNNNNNNNNNNNNNNNNNNNNNNNNNNNNNNNNNNNNNNNNNNNNNNNNNNNNNNNNNNNNNNNNNNNNNNNNNNNNNNNNNNNNNNNNNNNNNNNNNNNNNNNNNNNNNNNNNNNNNNNNNNNNNNNNNNNNNNNNNNNNNNNNNNNNNNNNNNNNNNNNNNNNNNNNNNNNNNNNNNNNNNNNNNNNNNNNNNNNNNNNNNNNNNNNNNNNNNNNNNNNNNNNNNNNNNNNNNNNNNNNNNNNNNNNNNNNNNNNNNNNNNNNNNNNNNNNNNNNNNNNNNNNNNNNNNNNNNNNNNNNNNNNNNNNNNNNNNNNNNNNNNNNNNNNNNNNNNNNNNNNNNNNNNNNNNNNNNNNNNNNNNNNNNNNNNNNNNNNNNNNNNNNNNNNNNNNNNNNNNNNNNNNNNNNNNNNNNNNNNNNNNNNNNNNNNNNNNNNNNNNNNNNNNNNNNNNNNNNNNNNNNNNNNNNNNNNNNNNNNNNNNNNNNNNNNNNNNNNNNNNNNNNNNNNNNNNNNNNNNNNNNNNNNNNNNNNNNNNNNNNNNNNNNNNNNNNNNNNNNNNNNNNNNNNNNNNNNNNNNNNNNNNNNNNNNNNNNNNNNNNNNNNNNNNNNNNNNNNNNNNNNNNNNNNNNNNNNNNNNNNNNNNNNNNNNNNNNNNNNNNNNNNNNNNNNNNNNNNNNNNNNNNNNNNNNNNNNNNNNNNNNNNNNNNNNNNNNNNNNNNNNNNNNNNNNNNNNNNNNNNNNNNNNNNNNNNNNNNNNNNNNNNNNNNNNNNNNNNNNNNNNNNNNNNNNNNNNNNNNNNNNNNNNNNNNNNNNNNNNNNNNNNNNNNNNNNNNNNNNNNNNNNNNNNNNNNNNNNNNNNNNNNNNNNNNNNNNNNNNNNNNNNNNNNNNNNNNNNNNNNNNNNNNNNNNNNNNNNNNNNNNNNNNNNNNNNNNNNNNNNNNNNNNNNNNNNNNNNNNNNNNNNNNNNNNNNNNNNNNNNNNNNNNNNNNNNNNNNNNNNNNNNNNNNNNNNNNNNNNNNNNNNNNNNNNNNNNNNNNNNNNNNNNNNNNNNNNNNNNNNNNNNNNNNNNNNNNNNNNNNNNNNNNNNNNNNNNNNNNNNNNNNNNNNNNNNNNNNNNNNNNNNNNNNNNNNNNNNNNNNNNNNNNNNNNNNNNNNNNNNNNNNNNNNNNNNNNNNNNNNNNNNNNNNNNNNNNNNNNNNNNNNNNNNNNNNNNNNNNNNNNNNNNNNNNNNNNNNNNNNNNNNNNNNNNNNNNNNNNNNNNNNNNNNNNNNNNNNNNNNNNNNNNNNNNNNNNNNNNNNNNNNNNNNNNNNNNNNNNNNNNNNNNNNNNNNNNNNNNNNNNNNNNNNNNNNNNNNNNNNNNNNNNNNNNNNNNNNNNNNNNNNNNNNNNNNNNNNNNNNNNNNNNNNNNNNNNNNNNNNNNNNNNNNNNNNNNNNNNNNNNNNNNNNNNNNNNNNNNNNNNNNNNNNNNNNNNNNNNNNNNNNNNNNNNNNNNNNNNNNNNNNNNNNNNNNNNNNNNNNNNNNNNNNNNNNNNNNNNNNNNNNNNNNNNNNNNNNNNNNNNNNNNNNNNNNNNNNNNNNNNNNNNNNNNNNNNNNNNNNNNNNNNNNNNNNNNNNNNNNNNNNNNNNNNNNNNNNNNNNNNNNNNNNNNNNNNNNNNNNNNNNNNNNNNNNGUAUUGUGAAGGUAACAAAUUUCUUACACGUAUAUGUAUAACUAAGUAUGAUGAUAUGUGAGUGACUGUCUUUGGGGAGGGAGGGAGGGAGAGAGAGAGAGAGAGAGAGAGAGUAAGAGCUUACAACGUCGCCAACGACAGCGAUUCGGACGGAGCUAGCCAUGGAAAAGUGGCUUCCGUCGAGUUUAGACAGCUGAUGAGAAUAAAAGAUUCCAUAGCGAAAUGAGGCGCGUGUGGCCACGUACAAUUGCUGAACAUUAUGUGUAUUGUACAGUUCACCUACCAACAGUUUUGAAUUUUCUAGUUGGUAAUUUCAAUUUAUUUUAAUUCACUUCUUAUGUUCUCAUAAAUGAUGUCAAUUUGGCUCGUCAUCUCGGACCACCCAUAACUCGGCCCGAAAAAGGUUCGUGCCAGCUUAGUUCGAGACUUGGUGCAACCGAACCUAAGCUUCAAGUGAGCCCCAUCUUGGGGUGACAAGCCAAGCCCAAGCCGACCCGUGUAACUCACAGGCCGACUCGUAUAUAAUAAAUAAAAAAAAUUAAACAUAGCAGCUGCUACCUUUUAGGCAGCCAUGCAGUGCCUUUACAUUAGGUAGCUCCACGUUGCCUCUACAUAAAAAAAAAAAAAAUCGAGCCAUAUCAGGCCAAACCGAAAGCUCAAGUCAAGUCUCAAUUUUUUGGUCGAGCUUUUGCUUGACUCAACUCUGGCAAAAAAAAGCCCAUCUUUAAAGUGCUCGAGCUAAGCCCAAGCCUUGAUUUUUUACUCGUGAGCCGACUCGACUUGUUAACACCCCUAUGCUCUCACUUCUCAAGUCAAACAAGAAAAUUAUUUAAAUUUCAUUUUAGCUACAAUAUGACACCUAGUUAAGAGAAAGCUCACCUAGUGUAAUUAAAAAUGAGAUUUUUAAUAUAUUUUGAUAAAAGUCGAUGGUUGAAACAUUGUUGAUCCUAAAUUUUAACUUAAAAUUUUGUUAUUAUAAGUCACACCAAAUAGGAACAAAGUGUAUACAUCCUACUACACAAGAUAGAGGAAUUCAAAUAUAUAGAUGAGUGGGAGUUUACCUCGUAAACAAGUUCUAUGGAUUAAUAUUCUUUGUACGACAUGUAUAUGUAGAAGUUUAUAUAAUGCUUUGCAUACACAUGAUAUGGUGGAAUAUGAUUAGAUCACAAUUUCUUUAACCAAAUUAAAAAAUAAUAAUAAUAAUAAAUAAAUAAAGCCCUUUCCCGCUCUCUUUUUGCACCUUAUAUGUAUGUGAAUCAUAUGUAAUUGCUUUUAUAAAAAUAUCAUUAUUCUUAUUCUAAUUGUAAGUGUAAAUUCUAUUCAUUAUCGCAUAUAGUGGCUAUCGGUAGAAAUUAUUGCUCAGUGGUUUAAGAUUCUAGUAGAAAUAUCCUUGACUCCGAAAUUUAAAAGGUAUAUCUUUUUUUUUUUUUCAAUUUGAAUUAAGGGAUUUAAAUAUUUUAGUCUUCAUUAUUUUAUAAGUCUAUUUGGUGUAGAUUAAAUUCUCCGAAAAAUCUAGAGUUGAAGUUAUAGAUCCACAACUUUUCAAUCACAUGUCAUUAACUUUUAUAAAAAUUUAUUAAAAAUCUGAUUUUAAUAUAUAUCAAACAGAGACUAAAUUAUAAUGAACUAAUAUGUCUUUGACACUUAAAAAUCUUGUAGUUUGUCUAGCACAAGCCUAGCUGUUGGGGAACAACGCCAAGCAUUGACUGGAAAGUUUCCCUAAUCAGGCGCCUCUAGUAGCAUAAAGUUUUAUGUAUGCAUUUCUUCUUUUAUGGGUUUUCUUUUUUUUUUUAGAGUAGAUAUUUAAUACUUCCAUAAGCUUAAGGGUCCGUUUGACACAGCUGUUGUGAGUAAAGCUUCUAACAGUAGACUUUUAGGGUAGAGCUUUUAAUAAAAAACCAAUGAUUGUUUGGGUGUGAAUCUAUCCAAAAAGAGUAUUUUAUUAUAAAUUUUAUAUUUAUUUAAUUGGGUUGCAAGUUAGAAAGUUUGUGUGUGUGUGUGUGUAUUUUGAUGAUUUUCAAAUUUAAUUAAAUGUAAAUAAUAAUUUUUGUAAAGUCUAAGUAGUGUCAUAUACGUGCUAUAUAAAUUCAAAUAUAGUGUGGGAGUAAAUAUUUUGAAAUAAAAACAUUGAAAUAGAUAAUGAAAAAUUAACGAAAUAUGAAGAUAUAAGAGUUAUGCACUUAGCAAGAUAAUUUCAUGCUCAGUCGCUAAAGGAACUAGGUAUUCAUACUUGCAUAUUUUAUCUUCACUGGAAAGUAUUUAUAAAUAGUUGUUUUUAAAUAAAUAGAAAUGAGUAGUAAAUAAGUAAGUAAUACUGGUGAGUAGGCCUGGGCAUUUUAAUCGGAACCGAAUCUCCCGAAUCGAAAUCGAAUCGAAAUCGGAGGUUCCUGUCCGGUUCGCUCAAAAAAUAAAUUAAGAAUCGGAACCAAGAACUGAUUAUCAACUAGGUUCAGUUCGGUUCUUCGUUCCUGAACCAGAACUGUGGCUACUCAAGUAGAACCGAUUUUUAUAAAAAAAAAAAUUAAAAAAAAUUAUUACAUUUUAUAGGUUGAAAAAACAUAUAAAACCUAAAAAUUCUAAUUUUGGUAGUAAUUAGUCUAAAACUCUAAACUCUAACUUUGAAAAAUAAGAUUGACUCCUACUUUUUUACAUCUUGCCUUACAUUAGAUUGAUGCAUUUCAUAUGUUAUUAUAUGUUAAUGUUUACAAUUUGAGUUUUUUUAAAUCAAAAAUUUCAAACGAAUUGUGGUAUAAGUUGAUGAAUCAAAACGUUUAUGCUUUGCAAUUUAAGUUUUUUUACUUUCUUGUGUUGUUAAUAAACUUAAAUGAUUUUUUUAAUUUUUCAUAACACGUGGCAACUUAUUUUGACAUAUUCAUUGCUUGCAUUGUGUUGUACAUUUUUGUUAUCUUGAGUUCGUGAUUCUCUUUUUAAAUAUAAUAGUGCCUUAUAUGAGAACAGUCAUACUUUGACGGUGUUGGAUGUUGUUCUAUCAAGGGUUACUAAUACGACAUCAUUCGAGUAUGUCAAGAAUCAUCUCAAGGUUGUGAAUGAUCAAUAGAGGAUUCAUCACUUUUAGAUAGUAAGAGAUUAUCAUCUACAUUUCAUCAGGUUGAGUCGAUAUCGAAAUCCUUGAUCAAGGUGUACUCAUAAGUCGAAAAUAAGUUUUCGACUUAUACUGACUUAACAUGGAGUGAAAGAUAUGAUCAAUAAUCAAGAUUAAUACAUUUUCAUAUCUUGUAAUUGAUCGGAUCAUAUUGAAGAAGGGAUUAUAAUUUGACAGUAAACGAACAAAUUUGGUUUUGUCAUACCACGUGACAUUUCCUGUCACAUGUAUUGCCCUAACACAUUACUAGAUGUUAAUCUAAGACGACGAGUAUGAAUUGGUGAUAAAUUAAAAGGAGUGUUUUAAUUUAUCAAUUUUGAUUAGAUCAAAAUAAUAAUUCAUGUCAUUAGGUAUCGUGAUUGGGAACUUGAUGGGUCACACACAAAUGAAAAACUGGAAGAUUGUUUUAUACCAAUUAAUUAAUUUAACAAGCAUUGGAUAAAUUAAUUAAUUGGAUUACUUAUUUACUGGCUCGGAUUAAUUAAUUAGAUUGAUUAAUUCAUGGACCGAAUUUAAUUAAAUGGGUUAAUUAAAUCUUGGAUCGGUUUAGGAAACGGGCCAAGCCCGUUUGGGCUUGUAUAAAUAUGUGGCUAAGGUUUAGAGUUUUGUAGAAAAAUCAUUCUUCUUGCUAGCACAAGAAAACCCUAGCGUUAUAAAAUCUGUUUCUCUGUGUGGAUUUUCAUUAGAGGCUGGACAAUUGGAUAGUUGUGGGAGGCAAAUCAAGGUUACUAAUGUAGCAUUAUUUAGGAUUACAAGUGAGACAAGAAGCUUCAUUCAGUUUGUUCGAGAUGACUUAUAAAAAGGGCUAUGUAAGGGUUGGUUUUUGAUAUAUUUGUUUGAUCAGUUUUAACCCACAAGAGCGUGAUCAAAACACAAUUUAUAUGAAUGAAAAUUUGGACAGAUUUUUGAUAUAAAGAUUACGCAAAACAAGGAUUAAGAAGGAGUAGAAAUAGAGAAUAAUCCAAUGUGAGACGAUAUGUCUUUCCUUAAGACAAAUUGCCCUACUACGGUGCUCACGGUGAAUGGCACUUGUCUCCCAAGAUACAAUGGAUUCACAACUUGUGAUAGCAGCACUUCAAACCACAAGAAACCGACGAACUUUUGACAGAAUUUCCUCACUACAAAGGAAAUGUAUGAAAUGCUAUGGAAUUAGAAAGGAGAGAAUUGCAAGUGGAGAAUGAAUGCUCAAUGCAAUUGGUGUACCCAAAACCAUGUCCAUAGGGUUCUAUUUAUAGAUGUAGAAAUGGUGCAAAUGAAGUAGUGUGGGCCAAAACAUGCAUCCUUUUAAAAAAGUUGCAACACUUAGCCAAAACAUGCAUCCUCUCUAAAAGUUGCAACACUUCAUUUCUUUCAACUUUGAUCCGCAAUUUUUCAUUCAUCCGAAAUUGGUUUUGAGAUUCCAAAUAUACCACGACGAUUUACUCGACGAGUAGAAUAAGUUGGUCUAUUUAAUUUUUAAUUUGACUAUUGGAUCAGUUCCGAAUAUUUGGUCGAAACUGACACGUAGUCACACCUUUUCAUUUUCCACUUUUACAUACCUUUUCAUUUUCCAAUUUUUGGUUAAUAAUUUCAACCAAUUCCUACAAUUCCCCCACAUGAAUGAAAACUCGGAUACACAUAUGCAAAUGCAAUGAUAUGAUGUAAUGUAGAGAGGGUGCGAAAAAAAUACUGCAUUAGGGAUGGUGGCUUUUGGCCUUGAACCUCCCUUAGUGAAAUACUAUCGAACUUACUCGGCUAAUUGGUGAACAAUAGGUCUUGAACCACUCGACCUUUGGUGUAAGUCAAGACAACUGUACUCACACAGAUAUCUUCCCUAUUCUAUACCUAGUUCUCAUGACUUGGUUCAUUUUGGCCUUGAACCCUUCUUGGUUUCAUGAGUGUUUAGAAAAUUCAAACCUUAAACAAUUCUUAUCGAAGCAGCCCCACUUCACACUUACAUAGGCGGCCUCCUAUUAAGAGUAUUCUGCCCUACUCCACUAGACUUAAUCAAGAUAUAGGAAUUAUUAAAAGAUAAUCUUAGCCUCUAUUCACUCUGCAGAAAGCACUUUAGUAUCAUAGGGAUGAGUUAGGAAUUUUAAUUUCUUAAGUGCUUCAUGGAAUUUUUACAACUUAGUUGUCCCUUUGGACCAAGAUCAUGGGAUAUCCAAUCAACAAGAUAGGGUUACCAUUGCAAAAACUCUUACAUAGUAGACUUUAAUACCAUUCCUCUCGAUAGGCAAUGCAUUUGAUCUCUAGGCAAACUUUUCGUAAAUGGAUCCGCAAUAUUCUGCUUUAAUUUCACAUAAUCUAUGGAGAUAAAGCCAUUUGAGAUCAGUUGCUUAAUGGUGUUAUGUCUACGAUGAAUAUGUCUAGACUUACCAUUAUACAUGUUGCUUCGAGCACUUCCAAUGGCUGAUUGACAAUCACAAUGUAUACUUAUCGUAGGUACUGGCUUGGGCCACCAUGGAACAUCUUCUAAGAAAUUUCGAAGCCAUUUUGCUUCUUCUCCAGCUUUGUCCAAAGCAAUAAACUCAGAUUUCAUCGUUGAUCGAGCCAUGCACGUUUGCUUUGUUGAUUUUCAUGAUACAGCAGCUCCACCAAUGGUGAAUACAUAACCACUAGUGAACUUGGAAUCCUUCAUAUCGGAUAUCCAAUUCGCAUCACAAUAUCCUUCUAGUAUCGCAGGAUAUUUUGUGAAGUGUAAUUCAUAGGUUAAGGUAUACUUCAAGUACCUUAGAACCCCUGUCAAAGCCUUCUAAUGAUCAUGGUUUGAAUUACUUGUAAAUCUACUAAGUUUAUUCACCGCAAAAGCAAUAUCCAGUCGAGUGCAGUUUGUAAUAUACAUGAGACUGCCAAUUAUUUGUGAAUACCUUUGUUGUGAUAUGCUUUUUCCCGUAUUCUUGACUAAGUGCAUACUUGGAUCAAGAGGAGUUCUCGCAGGAUUUUUCUCAAACACGUCAAACUUCUUAAAUACUUUUUCUAUGUAGUAAGAUUGUGAAAGUACAAUUUUAUCCUGCGUUCUAGAGAUUUUAAUCCCUAUGAUUAUAUCUGCCACACCCAUAUUUUGCAUAUCGAAAUGCUUUGUUAGCAUCUUUUUGGUGUUAAACAACAUUUCGUGACUAUUGCCCAUUAUUAACAUGUCGUCCACAUAUAGACAUACAAUUACAUAGGCAUACGGUGUAUGUUUAAUAUAUACACAUUUGUCAUAUUCGUUGAUCUUGAAUCCAUUUGACAGCAUCGUUUUGUUAAACUUUUGGUGCCAUUGUUUAGGAGUCUGUUUUAAUCCAUACAAGGACUUAACAAGUUUACACACUUUGUUUUUUUGGUUAGGAGAAACGAACCCUUCAAGUUGCUCCAUGUAAAUCUCCUAUUCUAACUCACCGUUUAGGAAUGCUGUUUUUUAUAUUCGUUUGAUGAAUCCCAAGAUUGUAUAUUGUCGCAAUUACAAUUAACAACCUAUCGACGUGAUUCUAGUCACAGAUGAGUAGGUAUCAAAGAAAUCAAAUCCUUCUUUUUGCCUAUAUCCUUUAGCAACCAAUCUAACCUUAUAUUUAUCAAUGGAUCCAUCAGUUUUCAAUUUCUUUUUGAAUAUCUAUUUGCAUUCUAAAGGCUUGUUACCGGGAGGUAAAUUAACCAACUCCCAUGCAUGGUUUUGCAUUAUAGAAUCUAUCUCAUUAUUGAUAGCUUCUUUCCAAUGCGGUGCUUCCGGUGUAGACAUUGCUUCAUCGAAAGUCUUUGGAUCAUCCUCUACCAUAUAGGUUAGAAAAUCUGGGCCAAACGUCUUGGAAGUCCUAGCCCUUUUACUACGCCUUGGUUUUUCCUCAUUUGAAGUUCCAUUAGUAGUUUCAUAUGUUCUCUUGUUAGAACUCGCAUUUUUCUUAUCUUUGCAAGGAAAAAUAUUUUCGAAGAAUAUCACAUUUCUUGAUUCAAUUAUGGUCCCUUCAUGUACUUCUUGUAUUUCGGAUUUGUGUACAUAUGCACUACUAUUAUUGGCGUAUCCAAUAAAUAUGCAAUCUAUCGUUUUAGGACCGAUUUUCACUUGUUUAGGCUUAGGUACCUCAAACAUAGCCAAACACACCCACACUUUUAAGUAUUAGUAGGAUGAAGGAUGGCCUUUCCAUAGUUCAUAUGGUAUCUCUUCCAUUUUGUUAAGAGAUAUUUUAUUAAGAAGACUAUUUGCCAUUAAAAUAGCUUCCCCCACAUGUUCUGUGGUAAACCCGAACUUAUUAACAUGCCAUUCAUCAUUUCUUUAAGUGUUCGAUUUUUGCAUUCUGCAACACUAUUUGAUUGAGGAGAGUAAGGUGCCGUUGUUUGAUGAACAAUUCCAUGUUCAGAACAAAAGUCUUCAAACGGUGCCCCAUAUUCACCUCCUCUACCACGACGAAUAUUUUUUUAUUCAUUUUUCAAGUUUUGUUUCAACUUCAGCCUUAUAGGUUUUGAAUGCAUCUAAGGCUUCGUCUUUACUUCUCAAAAGAAAGACAUAACAAAACUUUGUACAAUCAUCAAUAAAUGUCACAAAGUAUUUUUUACCACCUCGAGUUUGUACAAAUUUUAGAUCACAUAUAUCGCUAUGGAUCAAUUCAAGAGUUGUUGUGUUCCUUUGUAUUGAAUGGAAUGGUAUUUUAGCCAAUUUUGUUUCAAUAUAUAUUUCACAUUUAUGAUUAGGAUUGAUUUUAUGCGUCAAAAUUAAAUUUUGAUUCAUUAGUUUGCGCAACGAUUUGUAAUUCACAUGUCCUAAUCGACUAUGCCACAAACAUGAAGGCUCAAGCAAGUAAACGGAAUUUAUAGUUUUAUUCAUAACGACUUGCUUCGGUACAAUUGUAAGAACGUUCAACUUGAACAUUUCAUCACACAUGUAAUACUCCGAAAUUUUAUGCACGUUUAAUUUGCUCAUUUAAUUUUUAGGCUAGCAAUUUAACUUUUCAAAAAUUUUGUAUGACCAAGAUUAUUAAUGGUCGCCAAAUUUGCAUUGGUCAAUUUAUUAAAAGUUUACCAAGAUUAGUUAAUUAGGGGUUUAGAAUAAUUGUCAAAUUCUAUACCUUUUACGUUAAUAUAUUUUCCCUUUGUUUCUAUCACUUUGCCGCCACCUUGUAGAGGAUUAAUGCAAUUAACUAAUGCAUGGACAAGUGGGAAUACAAAUUAAACCAUUUCUCUCAUUUUUUUAUAUACACACAUAUGCAAUAUACAUAUAUAAAUGCAGCAGGACGGCAGAUUAGAGAAGAAUUCAAGUAAGAUUUAACUAAUGCAUGCAUGGGGUGUUAAUUGUUGAACAAGUAGGAGGUGUCAAGCUAUCUUUGUAGUAACAUGCAUGCAUGAGGUGGUUUAAGCAGGUAGGAGGUGUUAAAUUAUGGCACAACCUGACCUUAGGUGUUGAGUUAAGUAUAUGAAAUACAUGCAUGCAACCACGUGUAGAUGUAGGCAACAAUUUUGGUUAAUUAUCUUCACUUUGCUUCUAUAUAUGUAUAACCGAGAGAUGAGCAGCCUAUAUAUCUUUGCAAAAUCAGAAUUUUUAUGGAGAGAUAGAGAGAAAAUCGGCAGGAAGAAAGGAAGAAAAAAAAGAAAAGGAAAGGAAGAAAAAGGAAAACAAAGCCUACACUCUCAAGUUCUUGUUUUUCAACCGAAGUUUCUCCAAGUUUUAUUGUAAGAUACUUUCUUUGCUUAAGUGGUAGGAUUUCAUGGUAAUAUUUAUGCCUAAGCUAUGCAUGAAAAACCAUAAUAUGAAUGUGUUGACAAGUCCACAAAGUUAGAUAUCUAUGCCUUAGGACAAGUCCGAAGGGCACGGGCAAGCCGGAAUGUGCAAGUAUGUAUUUGAUUGCAUUCUUUUGUGUAAUAUUAACAUGUUAAAUCCAAGCAUGGUAUCUUACUUAGUAUUCUUUAUACUCAUAGUAUCCUAUACUAAAUUUUCAGAUCCAUAGAUGUGAAGUUGGUGGAAGUCAGUCGGCAUAAUCGAUGAUGGAUUAAGGACGAAGGUUAUUUUGCAUCGAAGUUUUGUUUUUGCAUGUUUGUUCGACUGAUCUCCAAAUGUUUUUCUUAUGGUGUUGUAUAAAAACUUGUAUAAGACAUGAUCUACAAUGGUACCGGAAGUAAAUUAUGUAAUUAUAUCUUCCAUGUUAUGUUAAGAGACAUUUUUAUAAACCUUUUUCUUGAAUGAUAAAAAAGGGCAGAAUCCGGGCAGUUUCUGGGUCAUUUUCAAAAAAUUAUUUCUAACUCUAUAGACAUCCAUUUGAUAAUCUAAAAAUACUGCUGCGUUCAUCUUUGAGUUUUCUAAAUAUGGGCACAAGAAUCACUCAAUUUGGAUGUCCGUGGCCUGAGAUAUGAAUUUUUAAACAUUGAAGAGUCAAUCUGGAUUUUCUGUGCAACACUACAAUGUUUUCAGUAAAACGUCCAUACUAUAUGAUCUCGUAAAAUUCUCAUAUUUUAACCUAGGAAACUACUUGAAAUUAUCUUUCUAAUGCCACAAAUUUCAUAGAAAACGGAUUUGGGAUGAAUUUUAUAAAAAUAGUUGAACUUGCUGCCCUAACUGACUGUGGCAGUACCGAGUCCUUUUUUUUGUAAAGUUUAAUUCCACGACGACAUGCACUUCUGCUGGCCAUUAAAUUUCAUGAGAGAUAUUUUACCAAAUUGAAAAUAGUUUUCUAACAUGUAAUACUUCUAUUUAAGAGUAUUUACAUGUACCAAAGGUAGAAGUUACUAUGUUUAGUACGUGACCCUGGAAGCCUAAGUUCGGGGCGUCACAGCGCAUAUAUCCUUUCCCUGCAUACAUCUCAUUCUUAGACAACACAAAUUUAUCGGAUACAAAUACAAGUUUAAAAUCAUUCUUGCUAAGUAGAGACCCAGACACAAAAUUCUUUCUUAUAUCCGGUACAUGUAGGACAUUCUUGAAGACGAGUUCUUUCCCGAAUGUCAUCUUCAAAGUGAUUUUGCCUUAUCCUUCAACUUUAGAAUUUGCAGAAUUUUUCAUGUAUAGUUGUUCCCCAUUCAAUUCUUGAUAGUUGGAGAACAUCCCCUUGUCUGCACACACAUGGUGGGUAGCGCCGGUGUCAAUCCACCAUUCUUUAGUAUUUCUAAUCAUGUUGCAUUCGGACAUUAUUGCAGAUAAACUCAUUUCUUGUAGUCCAUCAAAUAGAGUGUUAUUUGUAACCAUGUGGGCUUGAGCAUUCUUCUUUGGCUUUCGACAUUCACUUGAACGAUGUCUAGCCUUGCCACAGUUGUAACAAUUCCCUUUGAACUUCUUAGCCUUCUUGGAAUUGUCUCUUGGUGGUGCAUAAUUAGGAGCCUUUCAUUUCUUGUUUGUUGCCUUUGGUUCCAUUUCAACAAAAUUUGCACCAUCUUGAUCAACCAGCUUUCGUUCGAUUUUCUGAUUGUCCUCUUCAAUCCUCAAGCGCACAAUCAAUUCUUCCAAAUUCAUCUCCUUGUAUUUGUGCUUGAGGUAAUUUUUGAAAUCUCUCCACAUAGGAGGGAGUUUCUCAAUAAUGAUAGCCACUUCUCAAUUCCAUUUUCUCGGCGUGGGUGUCGUGUAACAAGACUUGAAUCUUUUGUGUUUGGCUAAUUACGAUUUUGGAAUCCACCAUCUUGUAGUCCAAAAAUUUGCCAACAAUGAACUUUUUUGCUCCGGCAUCCUUGGUCUUGUACUUUGUCUCCAAAGAAUCCCGUAGUUCCUUAGCUGAUUCCUUUGAACUAUACAUCCCAUAUAGUGUAUUAUGCAAUGCGUUUAGUAUAUAAUUCUUGUAUAGGAAGUCCGAGUGUUUCCAUGCAUCCAAAACAAUAAUCGAUUCACGAUUAUUUUUCCCUUUUUGUACAGUCGGUGCAGUUUCCUUUAGAAAUUUAGCCAAAUUAAGAGUUGUGAGAUAAAACAAUAUCUUUUGUUGCCACAUCUUGGAGUCUACUCCUGCAAAUUUUUCCGGCUUUUCUCCAUGUGGGAUAGUAGUAUUAUGUAACGGUAUGGCCAGGGGUGGUACCACAUUAUUGGAACCAUUUUGACUUGACGAAGUCCCGAUGGUAGUCAUUUCUAUUACACAAACAGAAAUUUAACAAAAUGAUGAUAAUAUCGGUGGAGGAAUAGUACACAAAUCACUAUUCAAACAAAGUAAUGUUUGUCCACAAGCAACCACAAAAACACGAAAUUUGUCUUAAAAUUAUUGGAGACGACUUAUAAAAAGGGCUAUGUAAGGGUUGAUUUUUGAUAUAUUUGUUUGACCAGUUUUAACCCGCAAGAGCAUGAUCAAAACACAAUUUAUAUGAAUGAAAAUUUGGAUAGAGUUUCGGUAUAAAGAUUACGCAAAACAAGGAUUAAGAAGGAGUAGAAAUAGAAAAUAAUGCAAGGCGAAACGUUAUCUCUUUCCUUAAGACAAAUUGUCCCGCUACGGUACUCACGAUGAAUGGCACUUGUCUCCCAAGAUAAAAUGGAUUCACAACUUGUGGUAGCAGCACUUCAAACCACAAGAAACUGACGAACUUUUGACAGAAUUUCCCCUCUACAAAGGAAAUGUAUGAAAUGUUAUGGAAUUAGAAAGGAGAGAAUUGCAAGAGGAGAAUGAAUGCUCAAUGCAAUUGGUGUACCCAAAACCAUGUCCAUAGGGUUCUAUUUAUAGAUGUAGAAAGAGUGCAAAUGAAAUAGUGUGGGCCAAAACAUGCAUCCUUUUAAAAAAGUUGCAACACUUGGCCAAAACCUGUAUCCUUUCGAAAAGUUGCAACACUUCAUUUCUUCUAACUUUGGUCCGCAAUUUUUCAUUCAUCCGAAAUUGGUUUCGAGAUUCCAAAUAUACCACGACGAUUUACUCGACGAGUAGAAUAAGUUGGUCUAUUUACUUUGGUAAUCUGACCAUCGAAUCAAGUCCGAAUAUUUGGUCGAAGUUGACACGUAGUCACACCUUUUCAUUUUCCAAUUUUUGGUUAAUAAUUUGAACCAAUUCCUACAUAGUUUUCUGUGAGACAGUGAAGUAUGGUGCAAACCUUGGUCCUAAUGUAUACGACAUCAUAUUCUAUUCCUUACCUCCCAGCACUCUGAAAAACAAAAAAUGAUAGUCCUUUUACAAUUGGGAAAAUAUUCAAAUUCUUGAACAUACCACAAAACUUUUGAACAAUGUAACAUCGACGGGUAUUGUCUUACUAGUGUUAUGAAUCUAUAUGCAUAUGUAAGUUAAUAUUUCUCCAUUACUUAAAAUAAAGCUUAUGAGUAUGCAAUUUUAUCUCAAUUACUUUUCCGACACUUGAUGAAACGACCAGUGAUGCUCUACAAGUACUUGUUAAUGUGGGUGUUCCAUGCUGCAAGUAACAAAUUAACAUCAUAUCUUAAUCUUUUAUGUUGUUUGCUCACUACUACUUCAUUUCAAUCACUUCUGAAAAAGUCCCACAUUGCAGGUUCUUGUAUUUUCAACAACCCUUAGAAUAUGCUAUGUACUUCUUUCACCAAUUUUAGAAAUUAUACGUAAAUAGACUAUAUUAUAUAACUUGUGGAACAACUUUUCUCACCCUUUACCUCAGAAAGCAGCUCCCAUCUAGCAUCUUGCAAGAAAUAUAACGACAGCAUUGCCUCCGGCUAUCUACAAACAACCUGUACCACGCUACCAAUUAAUAGACUGCUGUUAAGAACAUUUUUGCUGAGCAUAAUCACCAUUGACAAUACCACCAUCAAUGUUUAGAUGCUGGGAUUUUUUCUUCUUUGCAUCUUCGGUAGCUCAUUUCCCGUAAAGAUGAUUGCUUCUGUUACCUUCAUGCUUUUUGUCAUCCUAUAUUACACCUUUUACAAUUUUCGGAUGUUAAGUUUCAUUUGUUAUUUAAUAACAAUUACAUUCUUUCGUAAUUGUUUUUACUUUCAUAAUAUUUGAUAAUAAAGUAGAUUAUAAAUAUUUAUUAACUUGUGUGAAGCAAGCACAUGAACAAAUGCUAUAUUAUAAAUCGAAGAUUAAGAAAAACUUGCAAAAGAAACAAGGAGUACGAAUCUAUUCUUCAAGCACGGUAACGUUACCUUCAAAAUCACAGAACCCGUGCAUUGCAAGGCACAAGACUAGUAAUGUUUAGAUAAGAGAAAAAACAUUAUUAAAGAAAAAUACAUAUAAAAUUUCUGAGAAAAAAAUAAUAAAAGGGAAAUCUACAAUACUGUUGAAUUAUAGAAAGAGAUGAGGUGUGACUAAAUAUUCAACACUUGAUUUACUGAUACGGGCUUCCUCGAAGAUCUGAUACAAGGCUUCCUUACUUGCAUCAUCAGAUUCUUCGAAACAAAUCUCGAGAAUGUAACGGACAGUCUUAGGACUUGGAAGACACGUUUCCCAACCUUUACCCCUAGCUGAAAAGAAUUUCCGUAAGCAAGACAGAGCCUUAGAAAUCCUCCUCUCUUGGAUGUGGAGCAGGGCAAGAUUCUCCCACAUAAAUGGAUUCGGUUUUAUUCCCACUUCAAUCAUUUGGUUGAAGAACGUCUCAGCUUCUUUAAAAAGCCCUUUUCUAACAUAACAAUGCAAUAGAUAAUUUCUUUUGUAAUUACCGGGCUCAUCAAUAACAUCUCCAUAAUCAGAAUCAGAAUCAGAAUCAGAAUUAGAAUUAGAAUUAGAAUCAGAAUCAGAAUCAUCAUUACCAAGCUCUUCAAUAAUAUCUUCAGAAUCAGAACCAUCAGGUUGGGAAAGCCAUUCCUCGUAAAUCUUUUCAGCAUCUUCAAUAUCAUCCAUUUCAAACAAACAAAAAAUUACUGACGAGUAGCAAUCAUACGAGUAUUUUGGAAAGACAGACUUGUAAUUUUCCCAAACUCGGUAAAGCUCCUGUUUGUUGUGAAGUUGAUCGCAGAGACCAACAAGAUAUCUGAAUUUGUGAUGCUCGUCCGUGAUUCUACUCUCAAUUUCGUUCAAACAGUCCUGAGCCUUUUCAAGCUGCCCUAACUCAUUGUACAUAAUAGCUAUUGAGGAGAAGCGAUCCAAAGAGGACCUGCAGGUGGUUUCCCGCUGCGCCUGUUUAAAUAAUUUAUCCAAAGAUUCUUGAUUUUGACAGGACCACAGCCAAAUAUUGAAGGAAUGUCUACUUAAUGGUAUGUUUUCCUCUAUCAUUUUUGAGAUCAAUAACUCAACCUUCUCAUUAUCUUUAAGGUCCUCAUAGAAUUUCAGCAUCGUAAAGAAUGAAAUUUCAUCACUGGCAUAACCCGCAUUUCUCAUUUUAUUGUAAAAGGAUUCAGCAUUUAUUUGCAUUCUGGCAUCCAUAUACCUAAUCAAGAGAGCGCUAUAAGUUCUUUCAUCCUUCAUGGCAUCUGACAAUUUCAUGAAGUAUUUUUCAGCACUUGAAACUCCAUGCACUCUUGCAAUCAAAUACACCUCCCUAGCAGUGUCCUCCGGUGUCAUUUCGUCCCUCUCUUUCCAGUUAUUUAUCCACUGGUUGAUCUGCAGAGUGUACAAGAACAAGAAUUUUCUAUCAAAAAAUCGAUUUUGAGAUUCACAUGACCCAAACUGAAGCUGGUGCGAAUCAUACAGCCUAAUUAAAACGAAGUCUCAUACACGAUGAGGAUGACGGUGACGGUGACGGUGACGGUGACGAGAGAUAGCCGAGUUGAUCAUGCCAAAACAAUAACAAAGUUAUCUAAUCAUGCUGCAACCCUUAUAUAGAGAAAGCAUAGUUACAAAGUAAUCAAAAUCAAAUGAGAUUAAUCAUUUGUUCCAAGGUCAAAUAUUUUUUCUUCAUCAAUGGCAGGACCGGCCUGGCCCAAGGAGACAAAAUAUUAUGAGACCUACAUGUAAUUUUUGUUUUUUGUUUGUUUUUUACAAGCACACUAAACUCUUUAGUAUCUGUCAUGGUCAAUUCAAACAUAAUUCCUCGUGAUAAGGAAUAUUAUUUCGAUCACACUCACUUACCAUUUGAUUUGUCCGAAAUUAAAUCUCGCAUUCAAGAAAUUGAACUAAGGCCUUCUAAAAACCCGUGAGACAUGUGGUUGGUGAUUACCAUUUAUUGCCUAAAAGUUCCUAUAUUUAAUUUAAAAAGUAAAAAAAUUCAAAAGAAGCAAUCAAAUCUGCAAAACAAAAAUUGACCUUGAAUAAUUUGAAAAAACAAUCAUUAUUUGGGAUAACCUUUGUUUUAUUUGUACUACUACAUCUUCCAACAAAUAUUUGAUGCAAGAAAAUUCCAUAAUUUUUUUGUACAAAAAGUAGUCAUUUUGGACUUUAAAUAUUUUUGAGGCCCCCUAUAUGUUGAGGCCAAGGGCGGCCUUGGGCCAGAACCGGGUCUGAUAAAUGGAAAUAUAGAAGCCCGAAAGUAGAUUCGGCAAAAUGUUAUAGAGCGAAUUAUGGAGAAUCCUAAGCUUCAAUUUAUAUUGAACACUUUGAUUUACCUCAAGAGCAUCUUGGUAACGUUCUUCACUCAUGAGGCUUGAGAUCACAUUUCGAAGCUUGGAUAAUACAUCGUCGCCCUCUUUCCCAGGUACUUCAUUCAUGGAACUGUGAUAGCCGUGAAUCAUGUGUAGAAGGUCAGGGCCUGUGUCUGUCUUGUAACCUAGCGUGCCAGCAUCAUACCCUCUUCCGGAGGCACGUAGGCCCUCAAUCGUUUUAUCUAAAAUUGAACACUUUAUGGAGGAUGGAUUCUUAUGGGUUCGAGUAGUAAUAUUAACCGAUUUAAAUGAGAGUUUUGACGAGAGAGAGACGUGGUUGCGGUUGUGGAACUGGAAAGAAGGAGACGGUUUUGAGAUGGGAAAUUGAGAUAUUACGGCAUUGAGAAUCGUUGCCAUGGAAGAUCUUGAAUGCUGAGGAAGACAAGAAAAAAGAGGGCAACAAAAUGAAAAUUUUAGUAUCUUUCUAUUCGAUAUCCUAGCCUUAUGGUUUCGGGUUUUGGGCUCAAAUUUAGGGAUGUCGAGAAAAGAAAAGGGAAAAAAAUCGCAAAUAAAUUAGAAAUUUGAAAUAUUUCUUUAAUUACCAUAAUUAUUCUAAAUUUUAAAUUAUACUACAGAUUCCACUUAAAAUCACCGAAAAUACUGCCAUGCAAACUUUCCAUAUAGGCAUACACACACAAUGAGUGUUUGAUAUGCAUUUUUAUGUAAAAAUGCAUUUUAGAAUAGUAAAUUGAUGUGAAAUGUGUGGUUGAAAAAAAAAAUUUGAUUUAAUAUUAUUUUAAUAAAGAAUGUUGGUUAAAAAGAAGUGAGAGAAAAAUAUAUUUUGAAAAUGUAAAAGAAAAUAAGUAAAUGGCUGAUAUUAAGGGAAAUUAACUACAGCUGGUUGCCAUUGUAAAAUAUUUUUGAAUUCAAAACAUAGAUGCUAAAUAAUGCUAUUGAUUACACCAUUUCGUAACUUUUUCCAUUACAUUGAUUUCCUUCUCACGGACUGUAGCAUCUACGCAGUCUCACACAGUCCCAAUGUUUUGAAAAUCGGACCGGCCAUUGACCAGAAAAGAGAAAGGAUCGAAUCGGGGUCGAACCGUUAAUAAUAAAUAAAUAAAUAAUAUACCACAAAAUUGACAAAAUUAAGUUAAAUUUUCAACUUAAUUAAUAUAUAUAGACAAAAACACCAACUAAUGAUUAAAUUUGGGUACAAUUAUUUUUUAUUUGUCGUAUGGUGAAUUAUUUAAUAUUUUUAUAGUAUUUCAUUGUGUCAAUGUAAAAAAAUUACACGAAAGAUUACGUAAAUUGGAUUGAAAAUGAAAAAAAAAAUUAAAGAGAAAUAAUUUACACCAAAAUGAUUUUUUCUUUUUUUCUUUUUUUUUUUAAAUAAAACAGCAAAAUUCUAAUAGCAACAUAUUUACAAGAAUGGACUAGAGUGGAAUUUCUUUAGGAAAUUUACUGUACACACUUUCCAAAUCCCACAUCGGAAGCGGUAGGAUAAUGUAUGGGAAUUUUAAGUUUUAAAAACAGCAAUUGAAAAUUACAUAGUUGUCAGAUUAGAUUCAGGCACUCACCGGGAAAAUGUAGCAGAUCAGCGGGUCGGUAGUUCAAUCGAUAGGUCAAUUCCUAUAGUAUAUUAUUAAUUAUUUUUAUUGAAUAAUAGAAUUUUACUAUUUUCUUCCAAUAACUAAAUUAGUCUUAUGCUAUUUUGUUAACUAAAGAUUAAUUUGUAUUCCAAAUUUCACAAAUUAUAGAUCAUAUACAGUGAAAUAUGCUUGGAAAAAUAAAACAAAAAUAAAAAUAUCAUUGAAGGGUAGUUUGAGCCUCAUUAUUUAUAGAUUAUAACGAGAUAAAUAAUAAUUUUAAUUUUUUGAAAAAUGAGUGAUUGAAAAUUUUUUUAUUUACGUGUAAUAUUAUAUUAUUGAGGAUUAUGUAAUUAAAAGUAGGAGGGAGAAAAUUUUAAUUUAAUGUAAUGAAAAAUAAUGAGGUUCAAACGGGGCUAAAUCUUAUUCAAUGAAGUCACUCUUUGGCCUUUAUACGAAUUUGAAGUAUGAACUUUGAAGGUGCCAUCAGAUUUCUCUCUCCUUUUCUGCCAUCUCCAUUCACUUGCGUCCUUUUCUGCAAUCUUUUUUCCUGCCAUCUUCUUUUUGUCAGAGAAGAUUAUACCCCCCAAAUAGACAAAACCAAAGAAUCCUGCUACAGAGUUCUGCUAUGAUCAUUUUCUUGUGGGCCCCCCGCACACACAUCCAAGGGCUGAGAUUUGGCCACCUCGACCCUUGGAUCGGAGCCCGGGAUUCUGCAGCUAGAUUCAAAACCAAAUGACUACAUUAUUUCACACAUUGUUUGACACACUUCUCACAGUUGAAGUGUGGGUCUCAAGUGAAUAAAAUAAUGUCAACCUUCCCAUGUGAGUGUAAUAUGUCAACCUAUGUGUCAAGCCUUGUGAUCAUGUAGCAAACCCUUCCCAUCAAGACCACUAAACCAGCUCUCAAAAAUUUAUAUGCAGUGAGCGUGAGUAAAAAAAAAAAAAAAAAAACUAUUGAUCGGAGAGUUAGUGAAAGGCAAAGAAUUUAUAGCCCAAAUUCAAACCUUACGUUAUAAGCUACUGAAAAAUAAUGGGCCUGUCUUUGCUGAGGAAUUAGUUGUGGAAAUCCUAAAUUCAUUCACUAAGACUCUUUCUGGUGUUAAGUUCAUUGUCGAUGACUAUAAUGGUCCGUUCCGUGAGAGUGAGAAGAAGCUGACAAGGAGUCUGGAGACAGUUUUUUUUCAACAAAUAAUAAGACUCGGUCGGGUCAAGGAAAAAUGGGCUGACGGGUUAACCUAAAAAUUGGCGGUUCAACGGGUUUGAAGCGGGUUGUUUGUCAAGCAAUAAAUCAGUGCAACUUGGACCAGACUCGAGUCUGAUUGAAUCGACCGGUCCGAUCCGGUUUGGAUUUUAUAACUAUGGAAAGAACUACUACGCCGUAAGGAUUUUAUAACCACGAUCAUAUCAAUAGCAUAGUAUGGUAUUGGUAAAAUAUCUUCUUUCGAAACUGGAGCUACGGAAUGCCCUGUAUGUGAGGUAAGAAGAUCGAUUUGUGGUCUGAUUUUUUUCCCUUUUCUUGAUUAAUUGAUUUGAGGGUUUUGAUUUUGCUCGAAGGAAGAGAGCAAUGUUAUAUGGGUGUUUUGAUUUUGCGGGAAGGAAGAGAGCAAUGUGAUAUGGGUUUUUUUUAGGUAAGUGCAAGAUUUGAAUAAAGUUGCAGAAAUCUCGGGCUCCGAUCUAGGGGCCGAGGUGGCAAAAUCUCAGCCCCUGAUGGUUUGUGGGGUGGCCCCCACAUGAAAAGGAUCAAGGGCCGAGGUGAUUGCCACCUCGACCCUAGAGCAGAACCCAGGAUUUAAUCCCGGAAUCUGUAGUAUGGUCCGAUUUUUGGGUAAAAAUGUUUUAACUAUAAUUGACGCUUGUUUACAAGGAAAAUAAUGACUUUCUAGUUAAUCCACUUAUUGUUGGGGUUACUUUUUAGUUUUAUUUAGGAGGAUGCUACAAGUACAUCGGGGGUGCCAUAAGGGUGUCCAUAAUGGACACCCGGCACCUCCCUAUUGGAGGAGUGCUUAUGCCCACUCUUAUGGCAUCUCGGAUGUACAAGGAGCUUAAUUCUUUAUUUUAUAAUGUCUAAAAUGCAGUAUAUCAAGGAAAAAAUAAGAUGACAAUUAUAAUAUGAAAUAUAUAUAUAUAUAUAUUUUAUGCUAUGUGUAAUUUUCCCAAAAAAAAGGGAACCCUCAUAUUCAUAAAUUUUAAUUGUAAUUAUAUAUUAUGUCCCUAAUUUUUUCAUCAAUAAUUUAUUACCACUACAAAAAUUAUUAAGUGCAUCACAAAUUUCUUUUUUAUUUAAACAACCUUAAGUAAAAUUACAUAAUCAGAUUAAUAUACUUUUAAUUAUUUACCCCACAUUAUAAUCACACCACAGAUAUAAACCUAGCAUAUUCUUCUUCUUCUUAAAUGUCUGUAGUCGUCAAACACAAUUAAGACCUAUUCCUCUACUAAACUUGGUUGUGAAAGCCAUCAACCCGUUUGGAAUAUAAAUUAUGUUUACGUGCAAUGAAUAACAUUGAAUCACAGAACAGUCAUACAGCCAAGUCCGUACAACAGAGGAAAUAAAUCAAAUUUUCUGGAAUAUUUGCUGAAGAGACAAUUUGCUCGUCGGGAAGACUCAAAUGGACUAACAAAUACUGUGAUUUUUCCUCAAAAAUCAUAACUAUCCAAAUCUUAUACAGACUCUUUUCCCACAAUGGAGAAUCACUUGUACAAUUUGUAACAGGUCUCCGACGACUCAUUGCUGCGAUCCCGAGAAAUUGAAUUUGAAAACCCACUAUCAUGGGACGAUGGGCAGAUGCCAAUAAAUUACCAAGUCAAGUUCAUGCGCAGUUAUGGCGGAAAAAACCACCCUCGUCCUCAUGACCACCUGUUAUCUUAUAUUGGGGGUGAGACCAAAAUCUUGGCAAUUGAUCUAACCAUCAAAUUUGGGUCUCUGCUUUCAAAGCUGAUUGUACUCCUGUGUACACACAAAAUCCCGAUCAACUUCUCAAGUGAGAUGAGGGUAAAUGUGAAUUUCUUUGUGUUUUAAACUAUUAAAGAUGAUGAGCACACUUAUUUUUAGUUUUUAUUGGAUUAAGAGAAUAAUGGUAAAUUUAUUGUGAAGUAUUUAUUAAAAAUGUAUUUUAAUUGUUGUGUAAUUAUAAUGUGGUGUAGUAAUUAAAUUUUGUGGGGUAAUAUAAUUAGCCUUUUUUUUCAUUAAAUUCUUAUUUUCAAAUCAGCACAAGGAUUUUGGUCCCAAAAAAUUGAUAUGGUGAAGUAAAAAGACUUAAUUGCCCUUCAUAUUUUGAAAUAAAGCAAAAAAUUGUACCAAAAAAAAAGGGUAAUCGGCAAAAACUUCCAUACCUUUCAAGCUUAUUGUAGAAAAUGUUUCUAUCUUUCAUUUUUUUUGACAUUUUUUCCUUAUUUCAACGUUUCGUUGCGCUUAACAUCCUUUUCGUUGUUUUUGAACGUAAAAUGACCAUUAUACCCUCUUAUUUAAAACAAAAAAAAAAGUAAAUAAAUAAAGCACAAAUUGCAAUCACACUCCCAAAAGUUUUUAAAAAUUAUAAAUCAAUCCAAGUUGUUUUAAUAGUAAUUAGUAGCUGUUAAUUAAUCUAAAUUAACUUCAAAAGGACAGUCUUCACCCGUAAUUUUGGAUUCUAAAUUAUGCUCUGCAAAGAAUCAUUCAGUAUUCAGAGGAACCAACUAGAAGAUCCAAAAAAAGCAAAACAUUCCUCAUAUGCCUUAAGAAACUGGAUAUUAGAAUCUUGACCGACUCCAAUCACUGACGGAUCAAGCACCUGGCGAGCACACGCGGCCCCGCGUGCUGGAUCCGCCGACAACCAUUUUUUUGGGUUGACAAUAGAUGAAUUUUUUAGAUAAAAUUUCUGAUAAUCAUUUUCCAUUCAAACUUUGCUUUUGGUCAAGUUGGUUAGCAUUGGUUUUUUUACCUUGCUGGUCUCAGGUUCGAUCCUCCAUCAAUCAAUUUUUAUUGUUCCAUUUUUUUUUUGUUUUACAAUUUAAAAUUAAUGGAAUGAAGAGGAGGAGAUUCGAACCUGGAACUAUUGUUAAAAUUAUUAGUGGUUUGACCAUCAUGCUACUUGUUGAAUUGUUAUAACUGAUUUAACAAAUUGUAUGUAUUACAUGUUAGCUUUUUUUACUGCAACAAUAAAAAUUUGAACUCGAGCUUUUCUUUUGAAUUAUAUAAAACUUGGCAACAAUGUCAUUUGAUGAGUAUGAUUUAUUCUUUUAACAAAAUUAUAUAUGUUCAAUUUCAACAAAAUAAUUGUUAUGUUUAAAUUUUAGGUCCUGUUUGAUCCCCAUUUAUUUCAGAAUAUAUUUUUCUCUCUUUUAAUAUUUUUUAAUAAAAUAAUAUUACACGAAACUCUAAAUUUUUCUUAUUUCUAAUUACAUAUUUUCCAUCAAAUCACUAUUUUACAAAAUGCAUAAUAUUUUAUUGGGUCGACGGUCAAUGGUCGCCCAUGCUGACUCAAAAUCCUGGAUCCCCCAUUGACUCCAAUUUGAGCAUGCUACACCGAUUCCCUCCAUACGAUGUUUUCCUCGUUGGAGCAAUUUAUGUAUACCAGCCCAAGAAUCCUUGACAGCGAUGGAAAGCCCUAAAAUUGGCCAAGGUGGAGGUUGUGUUGGUCCGACGGCAAGGUGGCAGGAGAGUGGAGUUUUGGUUGUGAAGGAGGAGGGAGAGGAAAAGGAAGGAAGAGAGAAAAGAAAAGAAAUAGAUAAUUUUUAAAUUUUUAGUAUUUUAACGAUUUAUUGGACUGAUUUACAUUUUUUUUCAAAACUUUGAGAGUAUGAUUGCAAUUUGUGCUUUAUUUUUCUUUUUUUUUUUUUUUUAAAUAAGAGGGCAUAAAUGUCAUUUUACAUUAAAAAAUAGUGAAAAUGACGUUUUGUGUAAUGAAAUGUUGAAAUAAGUGCAAAAUGUAAAAAAAUGAAAGGUAGAGAGUUUUCCUCAAUAAACUUGAAAGGUAUGUACAUUUUGUGCCAAUUACCCUAAAAAGUAAGACUAAAUAUUUGUCUCUCGUUGCAAUAUAUGUUAACAGUAUUUUGGACGAAAAUCAUGGUUAUGAACAAGAAUUACUAGUAAAUAAAAUAUUAAAGAUAAAGUAUGAGAAAAAUACGUAUAUGAGAUAAUAUUAAGAUACAAUUUCAAAAAGGGUGACGUUAUUUACAUCCACGAUUUUUAUAUAUACAUCCACCUUUAAAAUAAUAAGGGUAGUUAUAUUAUCACUACAAAAAUUGUUAGUGACACCACAAUUUUUUUAGUUACUUAAAUAACCUUAAAUAAAAUUACUUAAGUGGGUUUUUAAUAUAUUCAUCACAUAAAAUAAGUUAUUCUCCCACCACAAUUAUAAAACCAUUAAAAAUUUAUCUUCUUCCCCAAUCGCCAAUCCCUCCUCCAACCCUCAACCUCAAAACUUCAUCUUUCAAUUAAGUUUGGUCAUUAAAGAGAAAGAAAUUAAGUCUCUCUCAUCAAAAUUAAAUUGAUCCCAUUGAAGGACAACGAUUAAAAAAUUAUGUUUCAUCAAUGAAGUUGAUCGAAUUAAUUUUCAUCCACAAGAAAACUUCUAGGCAUCACUUGUCAGAAGAAACCGUCUACGAGACAUCAAAUGCAAAAAUUGGCAAGGUUUUCCCCGAGCAAUACUGUUCGUAGUUCAUGCAUCUGACAUUUGUUAACUUGCUUAAAUAUUUUUACAUUAUUUUAAGCUACUUGCACUAUUUUGGGGAAGUCCGUGGUCUUCCCUGAGAAAAACUUUUUGUAGUUCAUGAAUCUCGCUUGUGUGAUACUGCUUAAGUAUUUUUACAUUAUUGUAAAUUACUUUCAGCAUUUUGGGGAAUCUCCUUAGCCAGCUUACGAUUGCAGCAUUUUGGGGAAUCUCUUUUGCCAGUUUACGAACCUAUUUUUGACUGGAAAAAUGAGAGAUUAAUGAUCUUUGGGCAAAGAAUUCCUGCAACUAACACAUCUCAGUAUACCAUUUAUCUUAUUUUUCUUCUUUUCAAGAAAGUUCAUAAUUUAGAAAGAACAGCAGAAAGAAAAUAAGAAAAAUAUAAUAGUAGAUUCAUAUCAUUUCAGAUCCAAAGUAAGUUCCCAUGUGUAUACAUGUAUGUAUGUAUGUAUAUGUCUAGAUAUUAGGGUAUGGAUUUUGAUGGGUACACCACAACAUUAUUAAAUGAUGAAAGAUAUUGAAAAUGAUUCCCCCUUAAAUUAAGAAAUUGAUUAUAUACUUUUGUAAAAAUAAAGUGAAAUUCAUUAAUUAAAGUGGGUGUACUCAAUUGAGAUUGUAAAAGUCAUUCUAAAUUUAGGUGUCUUUAAUUGAGAUUCUAUUGGAUUUUAAUUAAAUUCAUUAAAAUUUAAGUGUCCCCAAUUGAGAUUUUAAUGAAAUCUUUUAAAAUUUAGGUAUCCUCAAUAAUUAGUGAAUUUAUAAAAAUUUCGUUAAUUGAUGGAUUUUAAAAUAUUUGGAUGGAUUUCAAGCUUAAAUAUACAUAUAAGCAAAUCUUUUGAAAUUUUACCAUAUUUGAUGAGAUUCUUAUGAAAUUUGUAAGAAUCUAUUCAUGCUCUCUCACAUAUAAAGGGUGGGACUCGCGAUUAAAAUAAUCGCAAGUCCCACACAUGGGAGAGGACUGUAAUUUUUACAGCACUCAAGUAUCUUUAUUGAAUUAAUAUAAACAAAUAAUAAAAUGACAUGAUGUAUAAAAUUUUAUGAAUUCAACCAAUUUUAUUGUAUUUUUAUUUAAUAUAGAUAUACUAAUAAAAUAUAAUUUAUGAAUUAUUUUUAUUUAUUUUCUUUAUCGAAUUAGAAUAAUGUACAAUAAAUUUAAGUAUGAAAAAUAAAGAUCUUAAUAUACAAAUAGUUCACUUGAAUAAAAAUAUUCAAGGAUCAACUUCAUGACAUGUGAUUGUCUCUCUUUUUUGUUAUAACCAUAAAAUAAAAGUUCAAAUUUUUAAUAAGUGCAGGUUCUUUUCAAUUUAAUUUUUCAGUAAAAUCCUAAAAAUACAAUAUAUUAAGGAUUGCGCUAUUUACAUUCACGAUUUUUUUAUAUACACCCACCUUUAAAAUUAUAAUUAUAUUACAUUUUUAAUUUUAAGUAAAUUUACCUAAAUAGACAUAUAUAAAAUAAAAUAAAAACAUAUCUGAUGUGAUUCGGGAAAGAUGCCAAGCUACCACAAAUUUAAUGAUAGAUGGAGAGUGGCCAAACCCAAGUUGAGCUUGAUUGGAGUUGUUAUCGCUGAUCGAUUCUAUGUUGGAGCCAAGGAAUCAAUGGAAUGAAUUUAACAAUCUUAAGGACGAGGUUGAUCAGCCAAAGUGCAACUACAACGUUGGAAGGUCGAAGUCCGAAGCAAAAGGAAGUCUAGGCAACGCGAACCGCAAGACAGGAACCCAAUUGUAAAGCGUGCGACCGGACAGCAUUGGAGCCUUGCGAUUGCACUACAUGGUGCAGGGAUAUGGGGACUGAGAUCAGCAUAACCAUGCGACCGCAACUGUAUUAACCAUGUGGUCGCAAUUCGGUGAAACAAGGCAGAAUCUUCUGAAUUCCAGAAUUUCCUCAAGUUACCAAAUUGAGGUGGAAUUCUACGUUGGCCGACAAUUCUAUGGUCCAUUGGUAUUUGUUUCCAUUUGAAUAGGAUUUUUAUUAUUUUAUUCCUUUUAAUUAUAUCUUAGAAUUCCUUAAUCAUGGUUUUUACCAUGAUUUAGUAUUUUAUUCCCGUUUAAAAUAGGUUUUAGAAUUAUAAUUCCUUUUUAAUUAUUUCCUAUAUUUUCUAGUAUAAAUAGGGUUUAUUUUUUACAAUGUAACAAGACUUUUAUGAUGAAUUGAAUGGAGUUUUUCCUCUCAAAGCUUUGGCUUCAAAAUAUGGAACUUAUCAAGAUUUUAUAUCUUGUGGCGUUCAAACAAAUUAUUGGAUUGAUUUCUUUGAGCUGUGUAAUCAAAAGUUCCUUGGCGUCGUCAUUACCAUUGGGUUGUUGGAUUCAUUAAUUCUUUGAAUCAAAUCCACAAAUAUGGGUAUAAUUUCGAGGCUUUGUGAUGAAGUGGUCGUUGGUUUAAUGCACCUUCGGUUGCUUGGUUCAUCGAUUAGAGAUUAAAUCCUAAACCUAGGUCGUAUUUGGGCGUUUUUGGAAUUCGGUUUCAAUUCCUACGGGUUCGAUUGUGACUUUGCUAACCAGUUUCGCAUCAUUUGAUACCAGCGCUAAGGCACCAAGAUCGAGGUUAUAUCCCUUUUUUAAAUUUUUGUUGAGUCAGUUGUUAUUUUUCUUUAUUGUUUUUUUCGUGUUCUUUGAGUCAAUCAGUGAUUGUGAGUCUUUGAUCCGUUUAAAUUUCGUUAAAUUUUCAAAAGUUGCUUUUGAGCUAAUUUAGCAUCCAAAUCAACUUUUGUUUGUUUUGUUGGACUUGUAAUUGGAUUUUCUGCUAAGUGAGUAAAAAAAAAAAAGAGAGAGAGAGAGAGAGAGAGAGAAAAAAAGGUGUUAAGUCAAGAAUAAAAAAAAUUCAAAAAAAUUUCGGAGAAGAUGAUGAAGAGAUUUGAAAAGAUGAUUAAAAACAUGGAAAGUAAGAUGGAUGGGAUUGAUGCGAAGUUGACAAGAAUUCAUCGGGAUCAAUGUGAUGAUGAACUCAAUGUUAAGAGACGGGAGCCUAGGAUUAAAAUUUGUGAUGCAUAUGACAAUUGUGGUAAUGGAGAUGCAUUGGUUGAUGUUGUUUUACGGGGUAUGAAAAAUGGAGGCGAUAGGCUUGGAGAACGGAAUUCAAAUUAUUAUGGAUACGGCGUUAAUAGGAGCUUUGGAAAUAUGAAAAUGUCAAUUCCGCAAUUUAAAUGUAGAAGUGAUCCCCGAGGCGUACGUGGCAUGGGAAGAAAAUGUUGAAUUAGUGUUUGGGUGCCAUGAUUAUUCUGGGCAAAGAAAAUUGAGGUUAGUUGUGACCUCAUUCGUGGAUUAUGCUUUAAUUUGGUGGGUUGAGUUGAUAACAUCUAGGCGAAGGUAUGGUAAGAGGCCGAUUAAGAAUUGGGAUGAGUCGAAGGCGAUUAUGAGGAGACGAUAUGCACCUAAUUAUUAUUAUAGGAGUGAUCGACGUGAGCAGGAAUUUAAAAAGGUGCCUAGAAGAACUUAUGGGGUUAAGCAUCCAAUGGAGAAGAAAACAUCUUUUGUGAAGUGUGCGGGUAGUACAUCUAGCAGAGUGUUGGGAUGGAUUAUAAGCGAGAAUUAGCGAAGAUUCGUGAAUUGUUAAAUUCUCAAAUUAAUCACGUGAAGGAACAAGAGAGUAGAAGAGAAACUAGUGGGGUGGUUGAUUGUGAGAAAAAAGAAGAUAAGUCACGAGAAAAUAAAAAGGGGAUCGAGAUUGAAAACAAGAAGGGUUAAGAAAAAAAAAAAAGAGAGAGAGAGAGAGAGAGAGAGAGAGAGAGAGAGAAAAAAGUGUUAAGUCAAGAAUAAAAAAAAUUCAAAAAAAAUUCGGAGAAGAUGAUGAAGAGAUUUGAAAAGAUGAUUAAAAACAUGGAAAGUAAGAUGGAUAGGAUUGAUGCGAAGUUGACAAGAAUUCAUCGGGAUCAAUGUGAUGAUGAACUCAAUGUUAGGAGAUGGGAGCCUAGGAUUAAAAUUUGUGAUGCAUAUGACAAUUGUGGUAAUGGAGAUGCAUUGGUUGAUGUUGUUUUACGGGGUAUGAAAAAUGGAGGCGAUAGGCUUGGAGAACGGAAUUCAAAUUAUUAUGGAUACAGCGUUAAUAGGAGCUUUAGAAAUAUGAAAAUGUCAAUUCCGCAAUUUAAGGGUAGAAGUGAUCCCCGAGGUGUACGUGGCAUGGGAAGAAAAUGUUGAAUUAGUGUUUGGGUGCCAUGAUUAUUCUGGGCAAAUUUAAUGAUAGAUAGAGACUCCAAGCUACCACAAAUUUAAUGAUAGAUAGAGAGCGGCCAAAACCAAGAUUGAGCUUGAUUGGAGUUGUUACUGCCGGUCGAUUCUAUGUUGGAGCCAAGGAAAUCAAUGGAAUGGAUUUAACAAUCUUAAGGAUGAGAUUGAUCAGCCAAAGUGCAAAUACAAUGUUAGAAGGUCGAAGUCUGAAGCAAAAGGAAGGCGAGGUAACAUGAACGGCAAGACAGGAACCCAAUUGUAAAGCUGUACAAUCGCACAAAAUUGGAGCCUUGCGAUCGCACAACAUGGUGCAAGGAUCUGGCGGACUGAGAUCAACAUAACCAUGCGACGUUAACUGUAUUAAUCAUGUGGUCGCAAUUAAGUGAAACAAGGCAGAAUCUUCCGAAUUCUAGAAUUUCCUCAAGUUACCAAAUUGAAGUGGAAUUCUAUGUUGGCCGACAAUUCUAUGGUCCAUUGGUAUUUGUUUCCAUUUUGAAUAGGAUUUUUAUUAUUUUAUUCCUUUUAAUUAUAUUUUAGAAUUCCUUAAUCAUGGUUUUAACCAUGAUUUAGUAUUUUAUUCCCGUUUAAAAUAGGUUUUAGAAUUAUAAUUCCUUUUUAAUUAUUUCUAAUAUUUUCUAGUAUAAAUAGGGUUUAUUUUCUACAAUGUAACAAGACUUUUAUGAUGAAUUGAAUGGAGUUUUUCCUCUUGAAGCUUUUGUUUCAAAAUAUCGAACUUAUCAAGAUUUUAUGUCUUGUGGUGUUCAAACAAAUUAUCGGAUUGAUUUCUUUGAGUUGUGUAAUCAAAAGGUCCUUCGCGUCAUCGUUAUUGUUGGGUUGUUUGAUUCAUUAGUUCUUUAAAUCAAAUCAACAAAUUCGGGUACAAUUUCGAGACUCUGUGAUCAAGAGAUCAUUGGUUUAAUAUAUCUUCGGUUGCUUGGUUCAUCGAUUAGAGAUUAAAUCCUAAACCUUGGUUGUAUUCGGGCGUUCUUGGGAUCUGGUGUCAAUUCAGAUGGGUCCGAUUGUAACCUUGCUAACCGAGUUCGCAUCAAUAUCAUUCUAAAUUCAUCCAUUCAUUUAUUUUCACUAAAUUCUAUCUCUUUUUUUAUUCUUAUUUAUUUUGGCAUAGAUGGUUUCGGAUAUCAAAAUUUUUAAGAGUAAAGGUUGCCAAUCACAGGCUCAAACCCAUUGCACUCAGCAAAAUACACGAGCCCUAAGAAUUAAACAAGAAGAAGAACUAUUAUAAUUACAUAAAAUAAUUGGGCAAAAGGAUCAACUAACCAUUUAAACAGUCGUCUAAACAAACAUAAAAGAACAGUAGAACAAACAACAUCUAAGUCGACAUUAUCCUAGAACUCGAAAAGACAAACUCACAUUGACAUUAACAUUGGACCAUUAUCUGGCAUUUCCAUCCCAGCAGCUAGUUCAGCAUCGAGUUGAGUGUAAGGUGCAGGCUCCAUCAUUUGCUUCACAGGCCUCCCUCUCAAAGCCACGUUAGAAAAAUACCGAUCGCAAUGUAGACAGUAAUAUUGGCCCAUUCCAGGGAGAUCUUUGUGAAUUCUUUUACAUUUAUGUCAGUGUGUAGAGUUUCUUGGUUUUGUAUUUAAUUUCUAUCAUUAGCUCAUUCUUUGAUGGUGGUGUCUGCAGUGUUUUGAAAUUUUAAGAAUUAAGUAAAUGAAGAUCUGGUUAUGUGAUUAAUUUGAGUUUGAUUUUGUAAGAAAAAUCAAAAUGUGAAACAAAUGGUAACGAAAAGCUGCCAUGGAUAGGAUAUAUAUAAUUACCAGUAUGGUUUCGCUAAACUCUAAAGGCUGAACUAGACCAUGUGUGUGCAUAGGUUGAACUCGAAUAUUGGAAAAAAAAAAAGGUCAUUUACUACUUUGAAGCAGUUAUCUAGUAGAUUUCAUAUAUGAUGGUGAUGAAUAAAGGUUGUAAGGAUGUUGAUUUAUGUGUAAUGGGGAUGAAUAUAGUGAAUUUUUUUAGGGAUGUAUUUAGAGUGGAUGAAUAUAUAAAAUUUGUGUGGAUAUAUAGUGUUUAAAUGAAUUAAUUCAAUAAGGACAAUCUUGGAAAAUGACAUGGAUGCGAAUAGUAAUUUUUUAAAAUUUUAAUAUUUUAGUAGGGAUGAAUAUAGAAUUGGAUAAAUAUAUAAAAAUCAUGGAUGUAAAUAGCCAUACACUAUAAAAUUCUACCGACGUGCACCAAGUCUCAUCAGUUUCCGUCAAGCCGAUCUUUGCCAUCAAGACAAUGCAAUUUAGGCUCGACCUAUUCAUUUUAACACCUAACAAAUUAAACGAUGUUCACGAGGGCAGUAAGCAAUUCAUAAUGAAGCCAUUGAAAAAUCUUACCAGGCAAUGUUAUGAUUUUUCACGUUCGUAACCCAUGAGGUUUGCCCAACUCAUCAUACUAUUAAUAUUUCUUACCAUUAUUUCAAGCUUAAACUUAGUAGAAAAAAAUGCUUAAGGAAAUUACAUAAAACCAGGCAUUUAAAAGUUCAAAUUCAAAGUUCAGGGAUGAAAUUUUUCAUGCAAACAUCAGGUAUUAUAUAUAGUUAAUUCAACCAAUUCAAUUAAAAUCCCUAAUCAAUUCCCCAAUUCAAUCUCGUCACUUCCUCUCUUGCUUUACAACCUCUUCCUUCUCUCUAUAACAAAUCGCCACAGGAGAUCAAUCACUGACGGCGCCGAUUUCUAUGUGAGACCGGUGUCGCUGCAAAGAAGACCGGCAGAGGCUGCAAGGAGCGCGACAGUGACUUCUGCCUAGGAGUAUUGCUACUGCGCGAAGAUGAGCUGGAAGAAGACAUCGUCGGAGAUACGUCUUGCUCAUAUUUUUUCGAGCCUUUGCAGCGGCAUCGUGAGCGACUGCGCUCGUCGCAAUGCCUCCGGGCACUGAUUGGGUUAAAGAGGUGUUGUUUUAUAAUGAAAGCUCUGUGAAUGGCAUCGCUUCAUGAUGGGUCCAGAUAUGGUGUAGUGGUGGCCGUGUUGUGGUAUUGUUAUGUGCAGUGGUGUUGGUGGUGUGGUGUUGGUGUGAUUUUUUUGGCAUGUUUUAUUGCGGUUUUAGGUGGUGGUGGCGAGUUUGUGGAUUCUUUGGUGGGGGAUGGUGGUUGGACGUGGUGUAAAUAGAGAUAGAGGAAAUGGUGGUGGUAGUGGUGGUGGUGUUGUGUGUUGUAGGUGGUGCAGUCGUGGUGUGUUGUGGGCGUGAUGGAUUGGCAGUGUUAUCAACACAGUGGUGCUCAUGAUGGUGGUGGUAGGAUGCGAUGAUGCUCAUGUUGGUGAGGUGAUGCUGGUUUCGGAGGUGGUGGUGUCCAACUAUUGUUGUGUUGUUGAUGAUGAUAUUAGUGGUGGUUGUUGCGGUAGCGGUGAUGGGUGGGGCAUUUGUGACCAACAAUUAGGCAUCUGAGACAAACUAUUUAGGGUCCAUGACCAAAAAUUAUGUGUCUGUGACACGCUAAACUGUAACAUAUGUGGGCCAUAAACAAAAUGUGACAUGUAAUUUGAAUGAUUCGUGACCCUGAAAUAAUAUGUAACCUAUAAAAUUUUUGAUUUGUGACUACAAAAUAAUUUUGUGACCAAUUAAUUUGACGAUACGUGACCAGUAAAUAAAUCUGUGAUCAGUAAAUAAAUUUGUGAUCUAUAAUUAUAGAUAUGUGACCAUUAAUCUUGUAAUUGUGACUUUAUUAUCUUCAUUUAAUAAACAUUUUUAACUAAUUAAAUAUAAACCUAAUUUUUGAAUUUUAAAAGUAUCUACCUGAUUUUUGAAUUCAGGUAAACUUAACAUCUGAAAUGUGAACUCUUCCCAAAAUGCUUACCAUAUGAUACUAGGCAAAAUAAUUGCAUUUGUCAUCAUUCAUUGGGCACCCUAUUAACUUUAGGGCUAAAAUGUCAUUAUGGUUCGCUUAUUGAGACAUAUUAGGAGAAUCUUGGUGCCCAUCUCCAGAAUUUAUGCAUUAGACGUAGGAUUCGAUCAAUUGUUUAAAAAUCAAUUCAGUUACUUACUCAAAAAGGGUAAGAGGUUGAGAAUUACAUGAUCAAAUCAUUAAUAAAAACAAAAUUGUUUGGAGUUAACCUGCCGAUUCCCAAGUUAAUAGAUUUUUAAGUUUUUAUAUAUAAUUGAAUUGAAUUUUAGAUUAUUUCCUUAUUUUUCUGGAAACCCUCAUAGUUCAAAUCGGAAUUGAUUACACACAUACUAAAUAAUGUGCAAUCUAAAAACUUCAAACGGUAAAUAUGCAGGCAGAAUAUACUGUUAGAAUUUGGAUGUAACCUGAAUUCUUUGUUGAAAAUAAUUAUGAGUUCUAAUUUAAGUGCAUAAUAAUUAGAAUCCUGUUUGGAAUGCAAUUGUGAAACUUUUGGGCAUUCUAUUUCGUCUACAUUUUAGGGCUUGAAUUUUUUCCUAUAUUACUAUACCGUUCUUCUAGUUUUGGUGAGCUAGAAGCAUUAUCGUUGGGUAGUAAUAUUCUCUCCGUUGGUUGUCAAUAAAAUUACUUGGUUUCUCUGCCAAUCUUUCUUCUUUACUUUUAAUCUUGUUCUUGUUUGUGCGAUUGAAUACUUCAUAUUGUGUCAUAUUAACUUCUCCAAUUUUCUAACAAGUGAUAUUAGAGUUGUUCUGCUUUUAAUAAAGUGGUUUCAAAUCUGGUCCGAAUUCACAACAAGUGGAAUCGGAGCUAUUGGCUGAUAAUUUUGUUUGAGGUUUCUAUUAUCGAUGACAAUCACAAAAUAUGAAAUUUCUCUUUUGGAUCGCAACACAAGAUUUUCGUUGUGGCAAGUAAAUAUGCGAGCUGCAUUGGCUAGAUAGAUCUGGAUAAUGCAUUGUUGGGAUUUGACAAGAUGUCCAUAACUUAGACAACAGAGAAUACGCAACAAAUGAUCGGAAGGCACUUUCGUAGAUUCAUCUUCAUCUAUCUAACAGCAUUCUUUAGGACGUUUUAAAGGAAAAGACAACUGCUGCAUUAUGGUUGAAGUUGGAGCAGCUAUGCUUGACCAAAAGUCUCACGAGCAAAUUGCAUUUGAAGCAGAUGUUGUAUUCUCAUCACUAGCAGAAGGAGGAUCUUUGGAAGACUAUCUUGCUGUGUUCAAGGAGAUCAUCCCUGAUUUGGAAACGCUAGAGGUAAAGUACGAUGAAGAAUACUUGGUCUUGAUCCUAUUGUGCUCACUAUCCUCUUUGUAUUCAUCAUUUAGGAACACAAUUGUAUAGUCAUAACACACUCACCAUUGAUAAUGUUUAUAAUGCUUUGUUCUCAAGUGAGAAAAUGAAGCAUCUGGUAGGAGUUGGAUCUAGACAUGAUGAGGCUCUUGUUACUCAUGGUGAUUGAUGAAGGGGUAAGUCGAGGAUGAACUUCAGUGAUCAAGUCCGCUUCUAUUGCAAGAGAAAAUGACACAUCAAGAGGGAUUGUGAUAAGUUGCAGAGGAAAGGUAAUGCAGCUGCAAAUCAUAGAAAGCAAUCAAAUCAUUCGGACGAAACUAAUUUUGACGAGGACUAUUUAGAUGGCGGAGAUGUGGUGUUGACUAUAUCUAACAUUGAAUUCAAGCCUGUCGAGGAGUGGAUUUUGAAUUCAACUUAUUCGUUCGAUAUGUGUCCCAAUAGGGCCUGGUUUGAAACAUAAAAAAGGGUAAAGUAGGGUGUUGUUGUCAUGGGAAACAACAAAUCUUGUAAGGUAACUGGAAUUGGAAGGGUUAGAUUGAAGUUGUUUAUUUGGGAUAGUUAGAAUUCUUGGUUUGGUUCGACAUGUUCUAGACUUAAGGAAGAAUCUUAUCUCACUUAGUACUCUGGAUUCGAAAGGGUACAAGUUCUCUGGUGAAUGUGGAGUCUUGAAGGUCCAAAAGGGUGUCCGAGUUGUACUGGAGUGAUGAAAGAAAUCUCAAUUGUACAUCUUGCAAAGUUGUAUAAAAUCAAUAAAAAAAAACAUUUGGACAUGUUUAGUAUCGUGAUGGAUAUACAGUUUGGUACAGUACCUUUGAGGAUUGGCUCCGAGUCAUUAUUGAAUAACACUACUCAUGAGAGUUUGGGAGAUAUUGGUAAUUCUGCUUUGCCACCAUCAACCACGGUUCCAUCGUGUUCAUUUGCUAGGGAAUGACUCAUUGAGAAUACGUAUGGUGUUGCAGAUGUUGGUAUUCAUGCUUUCGUGUGUUUGAAGUUGUAAAAACUAGCAAGUGGCCUUCAGUUAAAGCAUUUGGAGGGAAUUCUGCUAUAGGGUGUGUUUCGACCCUGUUUGGUAAAUUUUGAAUUCCUUGUAGAAUUUUGGGAACCUAGUGUUUGGGUUCGAGUAUCAUUUUUUAUACUGUGGAAGAGGAAGAGUAAUUUUUCAUAAGGUGAAGGAGUUCGGUCUUAGAUGAAGAGUUUAUUCUAUUUCGCUGCAGUCGGACUUAUUUUUCGAGGUAGAAAAAUUUUAGAGCUUCGUUUGUUUCACUGAAAUUCGUGUCAAGGUGGAGAUCGUUAGAAUUUGGGUGUGACCCAAAUUCUUUGUUGAAAACAAUUAGGAGUUCUAAUUUAAGUGCACAUUAAUUAGAAUUCUGUUUGAAAUGCAAUUGUGAAAUUUUUGGGCAUAUUAUUUGUUCUACAACUCACUUUUAUGGUUUAGAUUGUUCCUUAUAAAUAUUAGACUAUUUUUCUAGUUUUGGUGAGCCAAAAGCAUUAUUGUUACAUUGCAAUAUUCUCUCCAUUGGUUGUCAAUAAAAUUAUUUUGUUCCUUUGCCAAUCUUUUUUCUUCACUUUUAAUCGUGUUCUUGCUUGUGCGAUCAAAUACUUCGUAUUGAGUCAUAUUGACCUCCCCAAUUUUAUAACAAGUGUUAUAAGAGCUGUUCUACUUUUAUAAAGUAGUUUCAAAUAUGGUCCGAAUUCAUAACAUAGACUACUUAUUUCUCUUUUUUCUCGUACAAUUUUAAUUUGUGCUAACCAUACAUCUAAAAUUAUGUCAACCACUAACUAAGCAUCACAAGAUAAAAAUGGAAAAAGUUAAUCAAAGAGGACUAGUAACAUAUUUGACAACGUACAUUCGACCGUAUUAAAUAAUGUAUAUUGGCGUUUCUAUCUAGUACUCUAUUCUAACUUGUCUUUGGAUAAAUACGUACAUAAGAAAUUUGAAUGUACUGUGAAAAUGGUAUAUUAUCACAAUUACAAAUCCAAACCCAAACAAAAGAGAACCAAUCCAAGCCAUUAUUACAAAUCUUCGGAUGGCCAAGAUAGGCCCACCCAUCAUUUUGAGUGUAUACAAAUACAACUCAAAUACCCAAAAUACCCUUAUGUCAAAUUCCUAAAAUACCCCUUCAUCGUUCAAAAGACGCCAUCCUCUAAAAACUUCAUCAUCAUAAUCACAGUAAAGUGGAAAAUCCUUGCCUGCACGACACACAAGCCGCCUUCUUUGCACUAUAUAUAUCCACACUUUAUCUCCAACCAAACAAACACACCCUUCAUCAUUCUUGUCUUUUUAUUUGAGUAAAUGUAAACACUCCCUUACAUUUUUGUUAUUAAGUUUUUUGUAAAUGUUUGAUAGAAAUGGAGAGGCUAAACUCAAAGCUAUACUUGGGGAACUGCUACAUAAUGAAGGAAAAUGAAUGGCUGAGGAAGAAGGCUGAGUUACUGAACCAGGAGAAUCAAGCACCGUUGAAUAAAUUGAAGCAGAAGCUGUCAAAGGAUGCCAAGAUACUAUAUGGUUCAAAUAAUGCAUUGAGAAGACUGGUAGAUAGAAGAUAACUCCCACUGUGUCGGACGACCAUCGCUAUGCUGGAUGGCGCCUAUCAUGAUAUAGUGACUGCCGUUGUGCCAACUUGACUGAUGCUAUGCUUGCUUGCUCAUAGGGUAUAGAUAGCUUCUAGCAUGGUAGGUGAUGUUCGCCAUGAUAGAGUGCUUACUGCUAUGCUAAUCUGACCCUUCCACGUGUGGACCAACCACUAUUAUCUAGAUUACCCGGACAUCAUUGAAACUGGCGAGUAACUGUCUUGAUGGUUAACAUUAAACUCGCCAUUCAAGUAGUGGGCGGAAAGUAACUACUAAAUAAAUGGGAAAAAUCCUCUGAGGAGUGGGCAGAUCUCAUAAGGAUACGUGGAUGGCAACUAUCCGACGGUUACAUGGUGCCAAACACCUAUAAAUAUCUCAUGGACAUGUCAGGUAAAAGGGAUUUUCCUUUUCAGAAAAAAAUAUUCUCUUUCGUUAUUGCCACCGUUCUUUAACAUCCUUGAUUGUGAAAACAAUCAUUGAUUCUCACGUCGAAGGUAAACCAGGAGAGGACACCCAGCCUCUUUUUUACAGGAUCACCGGAGGAUUAAAGACAACUUUUUCCCUCUCAAGAAGAUGCAUUUAGACUAUUUCAUUGGCUCCCUCUGUGGGAAACUUCACUAAGCAUAAAAGCUAUAUCAAGAAGACGAACUAGGAACGAUACGCGGUGCUCGGUAACACUGCAGAGUCAGAGUCUGUCGCAAAGGGUCAAGAUCCGUAGUUGAAACCUCAAUAUAUGACGCAGAGCCAAUUUAGACUUCUGAAAGCCCAGUUAGCCACUAUGAUGACUCUCUUGCGAAGUCGGAAACGGAGAGUAGCCAAUCCAUUCCACAAUCUACUAGAAGUAUUGUCAUAAGACACAAGUGGGCAACUGUCCCAAGCGAACCAUGCAAUUGUCCCACCAGUCGUUCAGGAAACAGUUGUCGACCAAGGGCCUCACAAAGUCACAUAUCUGCAGGCCUCACGUCUAAUGGUAGACCUGGAGCGUAGGAUGGAAGAAAUAAUGGCCCAGAAGAUUAACAAUGCACUGUCGAGGUGGAAGGAUGGAUGACGAUCGAUGGUUUUGGAAAAAGACCCAUUCGCCCUAGAAAUCAUGGUAGUUCUUCUACCAAAGGGUUUCAAGUAGCCUAUGAUAGAAGCGUAUGAUGGAGUCACUGAACCGCUUGAUCACCUACGCACUUUUGUUGAUUUGAUGAGAUUGUAUACAGCCUCAGAUACCACGAUGUGUCAGUCCUUUUCACCGAUGCUAAGAAGAGAAGCAAGAGAUUGGGUGGCCAUACUGGCGUCUCGAUCUAUCAGAACCUUGACGAGCUCUACAGAAGCUUUGUAGCAUAUUUUAUGAGCAGCAAGAGGAAAAGGGAAAACCGUCAUAAGACUAAUGCAAGUUUGUCCAGGAUAAAUAUGAGCUAUUGUAAGAUUAUUUGGAUGCGUCUAGUCGGGCAACACGGGUAUAAAGGAUCUUUAUAUGCCAGUGAUAGUCACUGCACUGUUGAAUGGGACCCAAAAUCGAGCCUUUAAAAUGUCACUCUCGAAAAGCCCUAGGAGUCAAUGCAUGAUCUGUUGAAAAAGGGAAACAAAUAUGUAGACACCUAGGAAGCAGAGAGGGUCACAAGAAACCUUUAAGAAGGACGGGAGCCAAAAACUAACAAGGAAAAAUCACGCGACGAGAGAAAAUUUGCCAAUAAAAAUAAGUCAAAGAACGAGCAUGUGGGCAAAGGAUAUGCGCAGGAUCGAUCAAUCAAGCAAAGAUUAGAAGAGGUAAAAGCCUUCAUCCCUUUAAAUGCUCCAAUGGCUAAGGUAUUAAUGGAAAUUCGGGACAUGAAAGAGCUCGACUAGUUGAAGCCAAUGGUGGCAUCCACAAACAAGAGAGACAAGAACAUGUAUACUCACUUCCAUAGGGACCACGUUGUCGACCUGUGGUUUAUUUUAUAUUUUCUCAAACUAAACAUUGGCAUGCCAACGAGUGUUUACUAUGUCUAUCAUAAAACUUAUCCAAGCUGGUAUUAUUUUACUGCGAGAUUUUGAAAUUUUUUGUCUUCUCUUAUAAAAGAUUUAUUUCCAAAAUAAGCAAACAUAUCUUUACUCUAUCAUAUCAAUUAACUUGAUUUAUUUCAUUCAGGUCAAUUAGCCAUUUUUGAGGAAAUAAAAAUGGAAUAUUUCCAGAAUUCACUUUUGUAACCGAUAUAAUUUCCUCUUGAAUCACGCCAUUUUCUUCAUUUCCAAAAAAAAAUAAAAAUAAAAAUCCAUCACACUCUAUUUAAGCUCGAUAGUCACUGCACUGUUGAAUGGGACCCAGAAUCGAGCCUUUAAGAUGUCACUCUCGAAAAGCCCUAAGAGUCAAUGCAUGAUCUGUUGAAAAAGGGAAACAAAUAUGUAGACACCUAGGAAGCAGAGAGGGUCUCAAGAAACCUUUAAGAAGGACGGGAGCCAAAAACUAACAAGGAAAAAUCACGCGAGGAGAGAAAAUUUGCCAAUAAAAAUAAGUCAAAGAACGAGCAUGUUGGCAAAGGAUAUGCGCAGGAUCGAUCAAUCAAGCAAAGAUUAGAAGAGGUAAAAGCCUUCAUCCCUUUAAAUGCUCCAAUGGCUAAGGUAUUAAUGGAAAUUCGGGACAUGAAAGAGCUCGACUAGUUGAAGCCAAUGGUGGCAUCCACUAACAAGAGAGACAAGAACAUGUAUUCUCACUUCCAUAGGGACCACGUUGUCGACCUGUGGUUUAUUUUAUAUUUUCUCAAACUAAACAUUGGCAUGCCAACGAGUCUUUACUAUGUCUAUCAUAAAACUUAUCCAAGCUGGUAUUAUUUUACUGCGAGAUUUUGAAUUUUUUUUUCUUCUCUUAUAAAAGAUUUAUUUCCAAAAUAAGCAAACAUAUCUUUACUCUAUCAUAUCAAUUAACUUGAUUUAUUUCAUUCAUGUCAAUUAGCCAUUUUUGAGGAAAUAAAAAUGGAAUAUUUCCAGAAUUCAAUUUUGUAACCGAUAUAAUUUCCUCUUGAAUCACGCCAUUUUCUUCAUUUCCAAAAAAAAAUAAAAAUAAAAAUCCAUCACACUCUAUUUAAGCUCGAUAGUCACUGCACUGUUGAAUGGGACCCAGAAUCGAGCCUUUAAGAUGUCACUCUCGAAAAGCCCUAGGAGUCAAUGCAUGAUCCGUUGAAAAAGGGAAACAAAUAUGUAGACACCUAGGAAGCAGAGAGGGUCACAAGAAACCUUUAAGAAGGACGGGAGCCAAAAACUAACAAGGAAAAAUCACGCGACGAGAGAAAAUUUACCAAUAAAAAUAAGUCAAAGAACGAGCAUGUUUGCAAAGGAUAUGCGCAGGAUCGAUCAAUCAAGCAAAGAUUAGAAGAGGUAAAAGCCUUCAUCCCUUUAAAUGCUCCAAUGGCUAAGGUAUUAAUGGAAAUUCGGGACAUGAAAGAGCUCGACUAGUUGAAGCCAAUGGUGGCAUCCACUAACAAGAGAGACAAGAACAUGUAUUCUCACUUCCAUAGGGACCACGUUGUCGACCUGUGGUUUAUUUUAUUAAUGGAAAUUCGGGACAUGAAAGAGCUCGACUAGUUGAAGCCAAUGGUGGCAUCCACUAACAAGAGAGACAAGAACAUGUAUUCUCACUUCCAUAGGGACCACGUUGUCGACCUGUGGUUUAUUUUAUUAAUGGAAAUUCGGGACAUGAAAGAGCUCGACUAGUUGAAGCCAAUGGUGGCAUCCACUAACAAGAGAGACAAGAACAUGUAUUCUCACUUCCAUAGGGACCACGUUGUCGACCUGUGGUUUAUUUUAUUAAUGGAAAUUCGGGACAUGAAAGAGCUCGACUAGUUGAAGCCAAUGGUGGCAUCCACUAACAAGAGAGACAAGAACAUGUAUUCUCACUUCCAUAGGGACCACGUUGUCGACCUGUGGUUUAUUUUAUUAAUGGAAAUUCGGGACAUGAAAGAGCUCGACUAGUUGAAGCCAAUGGUGGCAUCCACUAACAAGAGAGACAAGAACAUGUAUUCUCACUUCCAUAGGGACCACGUUGUCGACCUGUGGUUUAUUUUAUUAAUGGAAAUUCGGGACAUGAAAGAGCUCGACUAGUUGAAGCCAAUGGUGGCAUCCACUAACAAGAGAGACAAGAACAUGUAUUCUCACUUCCAUAGGGACCACGUUGUCGACCUGUGGUUUAUUUUAUUAAUGGAAAUUCGGGACAUGAAAGAGCUCGACUAGUUGAAGCCAAUGGUGGCAUCCACUAACAAGAGAGACAAGAACAUGUAUUCUCACUUCCAUAGGGACCACGUUGUCGACCUGUGGUUUAUUUUAUUAAUGGAAAUUCGGGACAUGAAAGAGCUCGACUAGUUGAAGCCAAUGGUGGCAUCCACUAACAAGAGAGACAAGAACAUGUAUUCUCACUUCCAUAGGGACCACGUUGUCGACCUGUGGUUUAUUUUAUUAAUGGAAAUUCGGGACAUGAAAGAGCUCGACUAGUUGAAGCCAAUGGUGGCAUCCACUAACAAGAGAGACAAGAACAUGUAUUCUCACUUCCAUAGGGACCACGUUGUCGACCUGUGGUUUAUUUUAUUAAUGGAAAUUCGGGACAUGAAAGAGCUCGACUAGUUGAAGCCAAUGGUGGCAUCCACUAACAAGAGAGACAAGAACAUGUAUUCUCACUUCCAUAGGGACCACGUUGUCGACCUGUGGUUUAUUUUAUAUUUUCUCAAACUAAACAUUGGCAUGCCAACGAGUCUUUACUAUGUCUAUCAUAAAACUUAUCCAAGCUGGUAUUAUUUUACUGCGAGAUUUUGAAAUUUUUUGUCUUCUCUUAUAAAAGAUUUAUGUCCAAAAUAAGCAAACAUAUCUUUACUCUAUCAUAUCAAUUAACUUGAUUUAUUUCAUUCAUGUCAAUUAGCCAUUUUUGAGGAAAUAAAAAUGGAAUAUUUCCAGAAUUCAAUUAUGUAACCGAUAUAAUUUCCUCUUGAAUCACUCCAUUUUCUUCAUUUCCAAAAAAAAAAUAAAAAACAAAAAAAUCAAUCACACUCUAUUUAAGCUCGAUAGUCACUGCACUGUUGAAUGGGACCCAGAAUCGAGCCUUUAAGAUGUCACUCUCGAAAAGCCCUAGGAGUCAAUGCAUGAUCUGUUGAAAAAGGGAAACAAAUAUGUAGACACCUAGGAAGCAGAGAGGGUCACAAGAAACCUUUAAGAAGGACGGGAGCCAAAAACUAACAAGGAAAAAUCACGCGACGAGAGAAAAUCUGCCAAUAAAAAUAAGUCAAACAACGAGCAUGUGGGCAAAGGAUAUGCGNNNNNNNNNNNNNNNNNNNNNNNNNNNNNNNNNNNNNNNCAGGAUCGAUCAAUCAAGCAAAGAUUAGAAGAGGUAAAAGCCUUCAUCCCUUUAAAUGCUCCAAUGGCUAAGGUAUUAAUGGAAAUUCGGGACAUGAAAGAGCUCGACUAGUUGAAGCCAAUGGUGGCAUCCACUAACAAGAGAGACAAGAACAUGUAUUCUCACUUCCAUAGGGACCACGUUGUCGACCUGUGGUUUAUUUUAUAUUUUCUCAAACUAAACAUUGGCAUGCCAACGAGUGUUUACUAUGUCUAUCAUAAAACUUAUCCAAGCUGGUAUUAUUUUACUGCGAGAUUUUGAAAUUUUUUGUCUUCCCUUAUAAAAGAUUUAUUUCCAAAAUAAGCAAACAUAACUUUAUUCUAUCAUAUCAAUUAGCUUGAUUUAUUUCAUUCAUGUCAAUUAGCCAUUUUUGAGGAAAUAAAAAUGGAAUAUUUCCAGAAUUCAAUUUUGUAACCGAUAUAAUUUCCUCUUGAAUCACGCCAUUUUCUUCAUUUCCAAAAAAAAAAUAAAAAAAAAUCCAUCACACUCUAUUUAAGCUCGAUAGUCACUGCAAUGUUGAAUGGGACCCAGAAUCGAGCCUUUAAGAUGUCACUCUCGAAAAGCCCUAGGAGUCAAUGCAUGAUCUGUUGAAAAAGGGAAACAAAUAUGUGGACACCUAGGAAGCAGAGAGGGUCACAAGAAACCUUUAAGAAGGACGGGAGCCAAAAACUAACAAGGAAAAAUCACGCGACGAGAGAAAAUUUGCCAAUAAAAAUAAGUCAAAGAACGAGCAUGUGGGCAAAGGAUAUUUGCAGGAUCGAUCAAUCAAGCAAAGAUUAGAAGAGGUAAAAGCCUUCAUCCCUUUAAAUGCUCCAAUGGCUAAGGUAUUAAUGGAAAUUCGGGACAUGAAAGAGCUCGACUAGUUGAAGCCAAUGGUGGCAUCCACUAACAAGAGAGACAAGAACAUGUAUUCUCACUUCCAUAGGGACCACGUUGUCGACCUGUGGUUUAUUUUAUAUUUUCUCAAACUAAACAUUGGCAUGCCAACGAGUGUUUACUAUGUCUAUCAUAAAACUUAUCCAAGCUGGUAUUAUUUUACUGCGAGAUUUUGAAAUUUUUUGUCUUCUCUUAUAAAAGAUUUAUUUCCAAAAUAAGCAAACAUAUCUUUACUCUAUCAUAUCAAUUAACUUGAUUUAUUUCAUUCAUGUCAAUUAGCCAUUUUUGAGGAAAUAAAAAUGGAAUAUUUCCAGAAUUCAAUUAUGUAACCGAUAUAAUUUCCUCUUGAAUCACGCCAUUUUCUUCAUUUCCAAAAAAAAAUAAAAAAUAAAAAAUCAAUCACACUCUAUUUAAGCUCGAUAGUCACUGCACUGUUGAAUGGGACCCAGAAUCGAGCCUUUAAGAUGUCACUCUCGAAAAGCCCUAGGAGUCAAUGCAUGAUCUGUUGAAAAAGGGAAACAAAUAUGUAGACACCUAGGAAGCAGAGAGGGUCACAAGAAACCUUUAAGAAGGACGGGAACCAAAAACUAACAAGGAAAAAUCACGCGACGAGAGAAAAUCUGCCAAUAAAAAAAGUCAAAGAACGAGCAUGUGGCCAAAGGAUAUUUGCAGGAUCGAUCAAUCAAGCAAAGAUUAGAAGAGGUAAAAGCCUUCAUCCCUUUAAAUGCUCCAAUGGCUAAGGUAUUAAUAGAAAUUCGGGACAUGAAAGAGCUCGACUAGUUGAAGCCAAUGGUGGCAUCCACUAACAAGAGAGACAAGAACAUUUGUUCUCACUUCCAUAGGGACCACGUUGUCGACCUGUGGUUUAUUUUAUAUUUUCUCAAACUAAACAUUGGCAUGCCAACGAGUGUUUACUAUGUCUAUCAUAAAACUUAUCCAAGCUGGUAUUAUUUUACUGCGAGAUUUUGAAAUUUUUUGUCUUCUCUUAUAAAAGAUUUAUGUCCAAAAUAAGCAAACAUAUCUUUACUCUAUCAUAUCAAUUAACUUUAUUUAUUUCAUUCAUGUCAAUUAGCCAUUUUUGAGGAAAUAAAAAUGGAAUAUUUCCAGAAUUCAAUUAUGUAACCGAUAUAAUUUCCUCUUGAAUCACGCCAUUUUCUUCAUUUCCAAAAAAAAAAUAAAAAAAAAUCCAUCACACUCUAUUUAAGCUCGAUAGUCACUGCAAUGUUGAAUGGGACCCAGAAUUGAGCCUUUAAGAUGUCACUCUCGAAAAGCCCUAGGAGUCAAUGCAUGAUCUGUUGAAAAAGGGAAACAAAUAUGUAGACACCUAGGAAGCAGAGAGGGUCACAAGAAACCUUUAAGAAGGACGGGAGCCAAAAACUAACAAGGAAAAAUCACGCGACGAGAGAAAAUCUGCCAAUAAAAAUAAGUCAAACAACGAGCAUGUGGGCAAAGGAUAUGCGUAGGAUCGGUCAAUCAAGCAAAGAUUAGAAGAGGUAAAAGCCUUCAUCCCUUUAAAUGCUCCAAUGGCUAAGGUAUUAAUGGAAAUUUGGGACAUGAAAGAGCUCGACUAGUUGAAGCCAAUGGUGGCAUCCACUAACAAGAGAGACAAGAACAUGUAUUCUCACUUCCGUAGGAACCACGUUGUCGACCUGUGGUUUAUUUUAUAUUUUCUCAAACUAAACAUUGGCAUGCCAACGAGUGUUUACUAUGUCUAUCAUAAAACUUAUCCAAGUUGGUAUUAUUUUACUGCGAGAUUUUGAAAUUUUUUGUCUUCUCUUAUAAAAGAUUUAUGUCCAAAAUAAGCAAACAUAUCUUUACUCUAUCAUAUCAAUUAACUUGAUUUAUUUCAUUCAUGUCAAUUAGCCAUUUUUGAGGAAAUAAAAAUGGAAUAUUUCCAGAAUUCAAUUUUGUAACCAAUAUAAUUUCCUCUUGAAUCACGCCAUUUUCUUCAUUUCCAAAAAAAAAAAAAUAAUAAUAAAAAUCCAUCACACUCUAUUUAAGCUCCAAAAGAAUGGACAUUUCUUGUAUUUUAAGAAAAACUUUGUCGAAAAAAUCUCAUCAAUGGCACCUUGCAAAUGGAUUCGUUCAUUUAAAGAAGACAAUUCCGCAUUCAUGGUAUUAUAUUCUCUCAUUAUAUUUCAUCUGUAUUUUCCAUUUUAUCAAAAAGAAAAUCAUGUUCUUUUUGUAUUUUUUUUCCUCCAGUCAUGUAUUCUGAGAGUAAAUGUACAUAGUCCAGGAUGGCAAAAGGCAGUCAGGGGUGUGCUAUCCAGUAGCCGAGGUACAAAAUAAUUAAUUUCUUAUAAAAACACUUAUUUUCAUGAUAUAUUCUGAUUUUUUUUUUUUUUGCGUAUCGAAUAAAGGAGUACGAAGUUUCAAGAUGGAUGAAUUCGGCAUUGUGCGCGUGUCAGGUUUGAUUGAUCCAAAAUUACUUAUGAAGAAGCUUGGAAAAGUUGGAAGACAUGCAGAAUUAUGUUGGUUUCAAUUUGGACAGUGUCCGAGCAACUUAUUUUUGCCGAACCACGAUAAUCCACACGGUUACUGGAUGAGCGGCUACGAUGAAUAUGGUCGUUAUUUUCCUUUCCGACAAGCAUUUCAAGAAGCUUGUUUAGAAUCCUCGUACGAGCAUGUGCCACCGCCAACGGCCCCGCCCUUGAGCUUCGAAAGUAGUGGCUGUUGCACUAUCAUGUAAAAAAUGCCAUCAACUUGGGACAAAACCUAGGAUCUAGGAUGAAAAAAUGUUCAUUUUUAUGAUUUUUUUUUUUUGUCCUAUGGAAUCCAAGUAGGGUGUCUGACUUUCUUCUUAUAGUGGCCAUGGUUUUUUUCUCAGCUGCUUUGUUAUAUAGAAAGAACUACCACCUCUCUUUUUCAUGUGUAGUUGUUUUUAAUGAAUUGUUAUGGUUUUGCUAAAACCAGUUUUUUAGUAGAUUUUUUACAAAAGUUAUGGUUGAAAAACUAUUAAAAUUGAGGGCCCUAUGAAAUGUGUGGUUGAAAACGAGUUCGAAGAAAAAUGUGUUUUAAGAAAUGAGGACCAAAUGGAGACUUAGUGAUCGCCGCGAGAUAAUCCAAAGAUUCCGAGUUAUUGUCACGAGCUUUCCAGUUUAAAUGAUGAUGUUAACUCACCCUUGGAGAGGGUACCCGAGACAUCACAAUCAUCGAGAAAAUCGAGCAACUUUGAAUAAAAAGAGUCGUAGUUCAUCAAAAGAAAGGGAACAGGAAGCAUAGAUCCAAUUCUUUCGAGUUGAAUCAAUGCAAGAAUUUCAAACGUUUCAUCUAAAGUGCCAAUCCCACUAGGAAGGGCAACAACAGCCGUACGAUCAGAACCUGUAGCUAUAAACCCAGUAGAUACAACGUCCAUGAGCCCGAGUCCAGCCCCCGGCUUGCAAUCUUCCAAAUAAAAUAGUAAUCGGAGAGCUUGAAAUCUAGCAACUUGUGUAUCUUCAUGCAUCUGAAAAGGGAUCUACUAUUUAUUUAGGUUUAUAUUCUCGUUCGGAUAAUAAAUUAAUAAAUUAUUCAUAAUCAUGAGCAUCAUUUUCUUUGCAUAGUACGCUAAAUUGGCGUCUUUUGUCAAUAUUGACGCUUUUGAAGCAAUGUGUCUAAAAGAUUAAGCCGUUAAGAAGAACAUAAAUUUAUUUAUUUAGAUUGUCUUCAACACGUUUCUUUAUACAAGCAAGAUACAGUUCCCCCGUCAUCAAAAAGAAAAAAAAAAGAUACAUUUUUUUUUUCUUGAAAGGCCCAAGAGUUGCACAAUUUUCGUAAACAUUUGCCUAAAGACUCGAGCUAUCCAUUAGAGAAGAAAUACAAUGCUGAAAUUGCAUCAAAACAUACGUCAUCUGGGCUUGUUCUCUCUUGAAAAUUAAUUCCCUCUAGUUUGCAGCAAAAUAACCUUCUUGAUUGAGCCCUGCUGAAGAAUUUUGAUAGUUUAAAAUUUCCAUUAAAAGACACAAACUUUUUUUUUUCCCUAUCCUUUGAUGUUGAUAUUUAAUAAGAUAUGAAUGGCCAAAUGGGAACAUUGGCACAAGAACGUUUUUAUCCUGAUCCCACCUUAUCCCCACUGCACCUCCCCAAAAUAUCUGACAGUGCUCGAGCAAAGGGCUAUCCUGCCCAUUGCCAUCCCUAAUUCUUAUAACAAAUUCUUGAAAAUUUUGCACUUUGAUAAAUGUAUAACUAAUUAACUACAAACCUAAAGCAUUAACGUACUUUCUAAAUCACAUCAUUUAAUUUCUUUCGGUGUAUAAAUUUAUAAAUUUUUCAUUAUUUUUGUCUAAACUUUCAAAAAUUAAAUUGAAACAUAAAAUUUGGUGACUAAAUUGAAAGACUCUAUUAAUUCCUAACUAAUGGUGUUUUUAACUAAGCACGUGUUUCACAAGUGUUUAUUUGUUUAUAAACACGUAGAAAUGAGUGACAAUAAGUAUAUAAUACUUUUGAAUCUCACGGAAUAUGUGAAUAAAAAUUUAUUUGGCUUUUAGCAAAUAUUUAUUUAUAAUACUCUAAGUUAAAUAAAAAGGAUUUUAAGUGGAAGGAAAUUGUAAAAAUUCCUAGGGGCAAAGAUCUUUUUGGUGAGGGAAACAAAACUUCUUGGGUCUGUAUGUAAUUUAUGAUAAUUCUUGGGGGUCUCAUACGAACAUUCAUAGGCAUCUGGGUUAAAGACAUAAAAGGACAGCUUUAUAUGCUGCGGACGGCGUCGUUUAAAUUUAAAAUAUUAGCAGCUUGUUUGAGAGUUAUUUUUUGGCUUAAAAAAUUAAUUUUUUGACUAUUAUUUCACUAUUUCUUUUCUCACAGAUGGAGCCUAAUUUUCUCCUAACUAUCAAAAAAUCAAUUCUCAAAAUCUCUACCAUAAUUAAAUCAACUAGGGUUUUGAAGUGGGCUAUCUACAAUUUAUACUUCUUCUAUUGCGUGGCUUGAAGUUUUGUCCCGCCGAUUCUUCCUCUGCAAUAAUUAGUGGACUCGCCGGAACCCUAGAAACCGCCACUUGCAACCAUGGGUAACAGAUCAAUUUAUUCACUUCUUGUGUCUUUUAAUAUGUUAUACACGUUUCGCAUUGUAUACACCGAUUCCGUAUGAAUUGACUGCAAUGUUGUUUGUGUACAGGUAUUUCACGGGACUCGAUGCACAAGAGGAGAGCCACUGGAGACAAGAAGAAAGCUUGGAGAAAGAAGAGAAAGUAAUUUUUACUUAUUUCAUAUUUAAAUUUUUUGUCAUUAGUGAUUUUGAUUUAUUGGUUGCUUUGUCUAAUAUGUGUUUUUGUGUAUGUGUCCUUGGUUUAUUUCGAUUCCCAAUACAUCUUGUUGCAUUAUUUUUAUGCAAUUCACAGUGUGUUUUAUUGAAGUCUGUAUGACUGAAAUUUUAAAUUUUUUAGCAAAUAGGGUUUUCUAGAAUGAAACGCUGUUCAAUAAAUCAGAUUUAGAAAACAAUAUAUACAUUUUUAAAUUUCUUGUCAAAAUUAAAAAAAGAUCGCACCAAUGAAUUUCCUCCAUUUCUAUUCUAAGAUGCUAGUUCAGUUAUUCAACCAUUAAACAGUUUAUGAAUAUUUUUUUUUUAUUUUUUUUUUAUUUAGCUAUGACAACAUAGAUCUGAAUUCUGAUUGACGUAACUUAUUACUCCCAUGUGAUUGUUAUUGGAUUAAUCUAUUCUCUGUCUACUCGUAGGUAUGAGCUUGGAAGGCAACCUGCAAACACUAAGUUGUCAAGUAACAAAACAGUAAGAAGGGUGAGAGUUCGAGGAGGUAAUGUGAAGUGGCGUGCGUUGAGGCUGGAUACAGGAAACUAUUCUUGGGGGAGUGAAGCUGUGACCCGUAAGACCCGUAUACUUGAUGUGGUUUAUAAUGCAUCAAACAAUGAGUUGGUUAGGACCCAGACUUUGGUGAAGAGUGCCAUUGUUCAAGUGGAUGCUGCACCAUUCAAGCAGUGGUAUCUUCAGCACUAUGGAGUUGACAUUGGUCGCAAGAAGAAGACAGCUGCCAAGAAGGAAGGAGAAGUAAUGAACUAUCUUUCUUUUCUACUGCUUUAGGAUAUACUUUACCCAGUACUUUUUGUUAGACUCGAAAGUGCUUCAUAAAUUUUUAUUGCUCACAAAGCACAUUUUACUCCAAUUAGAUACUAAUAUAAUUAGGUACAUAUUAGUAGCUGAACUGUGAGUUGAUGGACAAGAUUGCAAUGCAUCGAGACCAUCAAUGAAGCUAUAUAAUACAUUUGAAGGCAUCAUUGAGGACGUUUCUAAAGACCAGGGAGCAACUGGGAAAAACAUGUGAAGUAGAGUUACUGAAAUACGCAAUCUAUAUUGCAUUUUAACUCUAUUGGUAUCAAUAUCUAUUAUUUGCUAAUAAAAAUGUAAGACAUAUUUAAGUUGGAGUUUCUUAUCGGGAUUAGGGUAAAAUAAGAAAUUGAGCGCUCCAGUCUGGGAGGCAUAAGAAAUGUCUUGACAUGAUUUAAAGGAGGAAGAUGCCAAUUGCGUGGACAUAUUUUUUAAUAUAUGCUCUUGUUUUAAACAAAGUCUAUUGAAGAAUAUCUAUUCAGAGCUUUUUAAUAACUUUUGUUUGCUGGGAUUUAAUUAGGAUGCUGAUGCCGCUGCUGCUAAAGAGACGAAGAAGAGCAACCAUGUCCUGAGAAAAAUUGAAAAGCGUCAACAGGAUCGCAAGCUUGAUCCCCUUGUUGAGGAGAAAUUUGGCAGUGGCAGUUUAUUAGCUUCAAUCUCUUCACGCCCUGGACAGUGUAGGCGUGCUGAUGGGUAUGUGUAGUCUUUUGUAUUCCUUUUUAUCUCAUGGCUACUGAAAUGUCAAAGGCCAAAUGUCCCUUUUUCAUUUUUAUGACGAACAUAUUAGAAAAAUGCUCAAAAUCUCGUGAUUAAUGAGAGGCAAAUUUUAANNNNNNNNNNNNNNNNNNNNNNNNNNNNNNNNNNNNNNNNNNNNNNNNNNNNNNNNNNNNNNNNNNNNNNNNNNNNNNNNNNNNNNNNNNNNNNNNNNNNNNNNNNNNNNNNNNNNNNNNNNNNNNNNNNNNNNNNNNNNNNNNNNNNNNNNNNNNNNNNNNNNNNNNNNNNNNNNNNNNNNNNNNNNNNNNNNNNNNNNNNNNNNNNNNNNNNNNNNNNNNNNNNNNNNNNNNNNNNNNNNNNNNNNNNNNNNNNNNNNNNNNNNNNNNNNNNNNNNNNNNNNNNNNNNNNNNNNNNNNNNNNNNNNNNNNNNNNNNNNNNNNNNNNNNNNNNNNNNNNNNNNNNNNNNNNNNNNNNNNNNNNNNNNNNNNNNNNNNNNNNNNNNNNNNNNNNNNNNNNNNNNNNNNNNNNNNNNNNNNNNNNNNNNNNNNNNNNNNNNNNNNNNNNNNNNNNNNNNNNNNNNNNNNNNNNNNNNNNNNNNNNNNNNNNNNNNNNNNNNNNNNNNNNNNNNNNNNNNNNNNNNNNNNNNNNNNNNNNNNNNNNNNNNNNNNNNNNNNNNNNNNNNNNNNNNNNNNNNNNNNNNNNNNNNNNNNNNNNNNNNNNNNNNNNNNNNNNNNNNNNNNNNNNNNNNNNNNNNNNNNNNNNNNNNNNNNNNNNNNNNNNNNNNNNNNNNNNNNNNNNNNNNNNNNNNNNNNNNNNNNNNNNNNNNNNNNNNNNNNNNNNNNNNNNNNNNNNNNNNNNNNNNNNNNNNNNNNNNNAAUUUGUACGUUAAUUUUUCUUUUCUUUUUUGUUUUAUUUAAAUAUGCGGGUAUAUUUGUUAUUUUACAUUUUAUUUAUUGAGAAAUUGAAUAAAAAUGAUCUUUUCAACAGUGAAAUGUGAAAAUAGGGACGAAAAUACCAAAAAAAAAAAAAAAGGAAUGAUAAGGACGUUUUGUAUAAUAAUAUCAAAAAGAAAGGACGGUUUAUGUCAAUUACUCUAAUUUAAAUAUUGCAAUGUAAAAGAAGAACUUUAAUUUUAUUUUUAACUACAUAGAAUCAAUACCUUUUGUUAUUUAACGAAAUAAUCUAAAAUUUAUCCUUGGCAACAUUUCAUGCUAUUUUCUUGAGAUCAAAAACCAAAAUUAAUGACAAAAGAUAUGAAAAUUUACAAAAUACAUCCCAGCCUAUAGAAUAAGGUGACGCCAUAUUCUUUUUAUAAUGAUAGAGCUUAUUUUCUCAAUUUUUUCCCCUCACAUUCAUAUCCUCAACGUUUCAUAAUUUGCUUAUUUUUCCUGAUGACUUUUUCGUCAUAGAUUCCAUUAAUAAAUAAUAAGGAGAAAAAUGACUUAAUUGUCCGUUGUUUUUUAAAAUAAAAAAUAAAUAUAAUAUUAUGAUUAUACAUUUGUCCUCAUUUUAAAGUAUGCUAACAUAAUUUUUGAAUGAAAAAUAAUCAUUAGGGACGAAAUGUGUAAAUUUAUGAUAAGUAUUAAAAUACAAUGAAAGGGGAAAUAAAUGUAACAAAAAUAAAAGUUACGAUCCUUUAAUGCAAUUAAAUGUGAUAAUAAGGAGAAAAAUGACUUAAUUGUCCGUUGUUUUUUAAAAUAAAAAAUAAAUAUAAUAUUAUGAUUAUACAUUUGUCCUCAUUUUAAAGUAUGCUAACAUAAUUUUUGAAUGAAAAAUAAUCAUUAGGGACGAAAUGUGUAAAUUUAUGAUAAGUAUUAAAAUACAAUGAAAGGGGAAAUAAAUGUAACAAAAAUAAAAGUUACGAUCCUUUAAUGCAAUUAAAUGUGGUCAAUAUAACCAUCAUAACAAAAAGUACCUACUAUAGUUAAUAAAAGAUUAAAAUUUUGACAUUUCAAAUAGUUGAACAAACCAAAUAAUUUAUAGAACUGAGCUAUACGUACAGAAAGAAAUCUUACAGAAGUUUUACAGAUCACUCAUAGCAGGUGGGGUCGGUAUUUUUUUGGCCAUUUUUUAACACACAGGGACCCGUGUGGGGUUGACCUCCAUUGGAGAGCUCUGUAACUCCACUUUUGUACAUCCAAUUUUUGUGUAAUUUAUAAUAGAAAUAACAAAUUAUAUCUUAUAUAUUAAUUAACAACUAUUUUUCAUAUAGUUAGUUUAACUACAUUAUCACUGGCGGAGGUAGUUUGGGGGGGGGGGGGGCAUGCUGGGCUGUAGCCCAGCAAUGUCCCCUAACACAUUAGAAUUUUGGCCCAAGUUUUAACAUUAGCCCAACUCUAAUUUAAAUCCCAACCUAAGUCCAAUACUCAAUUGUUCAAAUUAUUUUAAAGACACUAAAAUUAUUAAUUACUCUUUUUCAGACAUUUAUGAAAUGUGAAUAUUUUAUUUUCAAAUUAGAUGUUCUAUUUAAUGCAUGUUUGACUUAGAUCUAAAAGUAAAUUACUUAUUUUAAUAUUUAGAGACACAACAUAUUUUUCUAAAUUAUGUAUGUUUUCAUUUAUUACUAAUUCAUAGUUAUAAAAAAAAUACUUAUUUUGACCAUAAAGUAGAUAUUAUGUCAAAAUAAAUAACUUAAUAUAGAGUUGAUAUUGAUAAUAAAAAGAAUAUUUGUUAAAACUUUCAGUUGUUUAGAAAGGCUGGUUAUUAAAGUUACUAGAAAAAUACUCAUUAAAUAAGUUUUUAAAUGUUCAUUGGUGGAUAUGUAUUUUUGCUUAAUUCUAUCAUGAUUCGGUUAGUUUAAAAAUUUUUAAGGUAAGCAUUGAUUUUCUAUUUGGUAAAAAAAAAAAAAAAUACAAAAAAUUUAUUGGAAUAUCUUAAUGUGAGAUGUUUAAACUUUUUUUUAUUUUAUUCAGUUUCGUAUACUUUUAUCGUGAAUGUCACGAAAAUAGCUUUCGAAACUCAAUUUCUUGUGACAUAAGUUCAUUCAACAAUUUUUAAAUUUUAACACAUUCUAAUAUCAUUUUCAGUACAUUAUUAUUCUUUAAACUUUAAUUACAAUAAACUUGUAAUGUUUUAUUGAAUGAUUUUUGCUUGAAAUACACAGUUUUCUUUAGUGUGAGAUUUACGAAACUUAUGAUCCUCAUUUACUUAAACUAGAACUUCAUAUGACAUAAGUCACAUAAUAUAAACAUUAAUAAUUUAAUAAUGUAUGGAAAAUGUAGCAAAAAUUUCAUUUUAAUUUUUUCCAGCAUUAUUAUGUGGACAAAAGGAAAAUAUUAGGUUUCAUCGUCUAAUAAAUAAUUUAUUUUCAAUAUAAAAAUUUUAAAAAAGUAAAAUUAUAUAUUAUUCUACAAUUUAAAAUUUGACAUUUCAAAUAGUUGAACAAACCAAAUAAUUUAUAAGAAAAAUAACAAAUUACACGUUAUAUAUUAAUUAACAAAUAUUUUUCAGAUAGUUUGUUUAACUGUAUUAUUAUUAUCGAAUGAUUUUUACUCGAAAUACACAGUUUUCUUUAAUGUGAGUUUUACAAAACUUAUGAUCCUCAUUUUCUUAAAUUAGAACUUGAUAUGACAUAAUAUAAACAUUAAUAAGUUAAUAAUAUAUGGAAAAUAUAGAAAAAAAAAUUCAUUAUAAUUUUUUCCAACAUUAUUAUGUGGACGAAAGGAAAAAAUUAGUUUUCAUCGUCUAAUAAUAAUUUAUUUUCAAUAUAGAAGUUAAAAAUAAGGAAAAUUAUAUAUUAUUCUACAAGUAAAAAUAAUUUUCUUAAUCAUAUUAUUUUAAGUUGACGUUACAUCUUCAUGCCAUUUUGCAACGUAAUAAAUUUCAUAUAUAACUUUUUGGUUUCUAUGUUUAUGUUCUUUUUCUUUUAUUUUUACGAGAAAAAUUUAAGAAUAGAUUGUAAGGAUUUUUCUAAUCAAUUGUAUGGGCUUAUAUGUGUAAAUUAUUGUGCAUUAAAUUAAAGGCUAUCGAAUUUGGUUUAGCUAAUCUAAAGUGAUCUAAUAAGGAUUCGAUAUUGGGCUUUAAUGCAUCCAAUUAAAGUGUGGAUUUAUAUAGGGAACAACACAUAACUCAGGCUUUUAACGUACACCAUUUCAUCAUCUGCAUGGGUAGCCUGCGGCUGGGGUGCAGUAUGGAUUUCAUGCCCCUCUGGCUCUGUAGGAUAAUAUUCCCGCGUUGCAUGCUCCUUAAUAGAUGAGUAGAAACAGGAAGGUGUCUUUUUCCUUUUUGGUGGUGUAUCAACAAAAUCAUUGUCGUCAUCAUCUUCAACAUCACUUGAAUGUUCUUUACAUCCAUUUGUAAUCAUUAACAACCACGGUGUUUAGAGAUUGGACAAUGGCACUCGUGCCUGCAUCGCCCGUAUAUCCAAAUUGCAUGUCCUCUCGUACAUGUGGUUGCAAAGGUUUCUUCUACAAAAUGUCUUUCAUAUAUGGAGCUACAAUUUCAUCGUCAGACGAAACAACGUAACGAACUUCGAUCUACAACAGUGAUAUAAUUAACAAUCAUAUUAGUUAUCUACGAACAUAUUGAUUAUCAAAGUUUUGUGACAUAAGCAUGUUAAGUGUCAUUAUCGAGCGAUGAAAACUUGAUGACAUCACACGAUGAAUGUAGCAUAUAUUUCAUGUGUGUGAUCUGGGAAACAUGCAAUGACCAAAUCAUGUGUGACUAACAUUUACAUAACUGUGACCUUUACACUAUAUAUUAUCUAUUGUGACCCUUAAUAUGUAACUGCAAUAGCAAUGAACAACAACUAAGAACCAAAAGUUUCACGCUUACGUCAAGCUUGGAAAAGACCUCUUCAUCCAAUUUAACUACAGAGGGUUGUCUGUUCGACGCACAGUUCACAAUGUGGGGGUGCCUAUUCCCCACCCUAUUGGUCACAGGUCUAGGAAGACUAGGAAUUGAUUCAUAAAUCCAGACUUGAAAUGCAAUAAAAAACCCUUUCAGCCUAUAAUGGGGAUUCCUAUGACCCAAACCCGCUUUUAGAGAUUUUAUAGACAUCUCAAACAACUCCUUACCCUAAGAAAAUCGUUCCAUCGCAGCAAAGUCUUUUACUAAGGCAAAUAUGUAAUUUUUAACCACCUUCUUAUACGAUGUGGAGAACAAGAAAGACGUUAUCAAGUAUAAAAUCCCGAUACUUACAACAUCAUGAUCGUCUGCAUCUAAUAAGUCCAAGAAUACAUCGCGCACAUCUUCAUUUGCGACUAGUUUCAAAUUUUCAAAAUACGUUCCCUUAAUCCUGGAAGGAAUAUGCUCGAGAUUUUUCCUGACAUCCUUACCAUUACAUCUCAUACCCAUGACUACACAGAACUUAGACAACGAAAAUUGAAUAUAUUUGUUUGCAACUUUGAAUCACAUCUCAUUGGGAUUCGGUUGCUUCACCAACAAAAAGUAGUGUAUCAGUUGAGGCUGCACCACAAUUUCCUGGCAAUCCAUGUAAAAGGAAAAACAAGUGUCUGCCAGAAUAACCUUUUGUUCAUCUAUGAACUUUGAUUUGAAGUUGGUCAACAUAUUCUUGGUCACAUUGGUUGUAAUUUUAAUAGGAAACCAUAGGUCUUGGGGGAUUAUGUAAUUCCAUUCCUGCAAGACAUUACAAAAAUUGGAAACAUGUGUCAAAACCUUUAUCAUGCACACAUGCAAAUCCAGACAUAAAAACAUAUAAUCACAUAGGUCACAACCAUUACUCACAACACAUUGAUGGAGUCACAAGUGUAUUUGAAAAAUUGUAACACGUGUUACCAGUAUGAUUUCAAAAAUCACUCAAAACAUUUACAACAACCAUAUCAAAUAACAUGUGCCAUUUUCCAUAGUCACAAAUCUGCAUUGGACAAAAAAUGGUCAAAAACCCACAGGUCACAAUCAUUUAGCGAGUUCAAAAAUUGGUCACAAACCCAUAGGUCACUUGAAACCGUUGAGUCACAUUUGAAAUUGAAAAAUAGUCACACAAGAAUUACCAAUAAACCACGUCUAAAAUUGAAAAUUCGCGCAUCAAUAAAGCAAUACUCCGUUCACAGUAACUUAGGGAGUUCAAAAAUCAAUUACCCAUAUACUUAUUUAACUCAAUAGACUACAGAGAAUACUUACAUUGUUCGAUUUUUGUCUUCGAGACCUGGUCGAGGUUUUUGGGGUUUCAUUGCGGACACGUUUACCGACUUGUAGACUUCUGGCGGUCUAUUUUUGGUUGUGAUUUCCGGUCACAACUUCGGGUUUUCGCCAUUACCAAAGCCUUACAGUGCUUUAUUCGACUUCGGGUAACAAAUACGGAAGGAUAGAUGAGGACGGUUUCAGACUUAUGGUAAAUAUCUUAUAUCACGGUUGAUCGUUGAGGAAUGUGGAGUGCGGGUUUAGAAAGAUUUCUUUCCCUUAUUUAAAAAUUUUCUCUCUCUACUAUAAACGUAAAAAGUGGGAACGGUUAGAGAUAGUAAAUAUAUUAAAAUGUUGAUAAAUAAUUAAUUACGACCUGAUUUCUAAAUUAAUGAACCUAAUUACUUAAUAAUGAAAUAUGAACUUAAAAUACCUCAGUGGCUAUAAUUUCCUCAUUUAUAUAUGUGUAGAAACGGGGCCCAAUUCCUAAUUCCAUGAUAUGCCGAAUUAGGUCAAAAGGGCAUUUAUCUAUAAAUAGUGGUUAUGGUCCCCGAAUCACACGUAGAGGGUAUUGUAAGGCGUGGUUUGUUCUCGUCUGCAUCACAUCACAAAGAGAAAAGAGACUACGUGUUGAUUUGGAAGACCGAGCCCAUGAUUCAAUUAUUGCAAUGACCAUUCUAAUUCAGGUACACUUCCGCUACAGAUCUAAAAUUUCUUGAUGAUCCAACAUGAAAGAUCCGAUGAUUUAAAGUAAUAAAUGAUCCUACAAGUGGUAUCAGAGCCAUUUCAUAGUGAAUAAUUGAGAAUCAAAGUUUAAAAUUUAUCCUACAAGUGGCUGUAAAAAACGACGUCGUUUCCUUUGCCUACUAUAUAUUUUAUUAUUUUAUUUAAGAAAGGACAAUCUAAAUUUAUUACAAUACGCAACUUUUCAUAUCUACCACAAAUAUUUAAAGCAGUAUUAUUACUAUAAAAUUAAAUAUUAUCUGAAAUUAUUAAAAAAUAAAAAUAUUAAUAAUAUAAGAUAGAAAAUAUUUCUAAGAGGUAAAAAGUUACUUGCGAGUAAAAAAAUUAAAGAGAAAGAAAUUAAAAAAAGAAUUUUAAGUUGAAAAGAAAAAUUAUUUAUAAUGCAAAUCAAAACUAAGUUUCUGUUUGGAAUUAUUAAGAGAAAAGAAUUUCAAAUUGAAAAAAAAAAUUAUAAAGUAAACAACACAAAUAUUUUUAAAAAAAAUAGUUAAACGGAUAUUAAACGUAUGUGUUAAUAAAUACGUAUAAGUCGUUUUAUCUUAAAAAAUCAAUUAUUUUAUUAUUAUUUCGAAAUUUUCAAUAACAAGUGUAGGCAGUUUAUAACUAUUUCCAGAUGGUUCAUGUGUUCUGCCACCGAUCCACUGUAAGCUAAAAUGUCAUCAAAGAACACAAGUACAAACUUUCAUAAAAAUGGCUUGAACACCUCAUUCAUUAAACCUUGAAAGGUCGCUGGGGCGUUAGUCAACCCAAUUGGCAUGACUAAGAAUUCAUCGUGACUCUCAUGUGUGUGAAAAGCGGUCUUAGGAAUGUCUUCCACUCUCAUUCUGCUAUGAUGAUAACCAGACUUCAGGUCCAACUUGGAAAAAAUCUUAGCUCCAAACAACUCAUCCAAAUGCUCAGCGAUAAUAGGGAUCGAAAAUCGAUCAGGCACUGUAAUCUUAUUGAGAGCUCGAUAGUCUAGACAGAAUCACCAACUGCCGUCUUUCUUUUUAACGAGCAACACGGGGCUUGAAAACAGGCUUGAGGUAGGUUGAAUGAUCCCAGCUGUAAGCAUGUUUCGCACCAUUUUUUCAAUUUCAUUCUUCUAAAAAUAAGAGCAAUGGUAGGGUCGAACAUUCAUCUAUCCAGGUUGCAGUACAAUGGAAUGGUCUCAGUUACGAGUUGGGGGCAAUUCAUUGGGCUGUCUAAACAACCCUCAGUGGCACUGCAAUACUUCUACUAGUGCAGAAGGAGCUGACUCUAAUCCUUCUUCAUGCUCCACCCAAGCAUCCCAAUUCAACUAGCAGCCCUUGCCCACCGUCUUUGAAUGCUUUAAUCGUAGUCUUCAAAGAAACCUACGAUUUUAUCAAGCUAGAAUUACCCGGCAAUACGAUCGUUACCCCAUCCACUUUAAACUUCAUGGUCAACUCCCCCAGUUCACUUGUAUCUUACCCAAGCUCCCCAACCACUUCAUCCCCCAUAUUAUAUCUGUGAACCCUAGUGUCAAGAAAGUAAUCUUUUGGUGAAUGUUUGUCUGGAGUCAAAUAUUGUUGAUGUUGUCAGUAGAAUAUAAUAAUAUAUAGGAUCAAUAUUUCUCCAUGAUAGUUUUCCAAGAGUGUAGGAUUAUUUUCUUUAAUAAUUGAUUGUGUAAUUAUUACACAAUAUUUCAUCUUGAGUUAUUUCCUUUUAGGUUUAUAUAUAACCAUAUAAAUAGGUCUUCUCAUUUGUAAUAUUCACAAGACUUUAUUAUAUAAAAUUUAAAAUUUUCUUAACAUGGUAUUAGAGCCGUUCCAAUCCUAAACAAAAUAACCAUUGAAUUUUGUUUCCAGCAAGCAGCCUUGUGUUGCUCAUCGACCAAAAUUUCUUUUAGUAGAAAUCCCAAGUUUUUUUAAAAUUGCUCGAGAAAAUAGAGAUUCCAAAACUGGUAAAAUACAAAAUAUAUCUCUUUCUUCCCCUAUAAUUGCAUUAUUAGCAUUAUUAGGGGCCGUCUAAAGAGGCGGCAGAGGUAGAACAGCAAAAGUAACUAAGAUAAAAAUAAAAUCUGAGAUAGACAUCAAAUGAAUUCACAAGUGGUAGCAGGAUCCAACGUCAGGAGGGUCGAAAACCUCGAUUGUUGAUUAGAGUGACUCGCAACUUGGGUUUAGAUUCUGUACUGGAUUUGCAAGGUGCAUUGCUGGCAGAGACGACGGAGUCAAAAUAUAGGAUGUAGACGAUCAUAUGUGGGUUAUUUAUUUUUUGAUUUUGGAUAUGAGAGUUAGAGGUGUAUGGUGGAUGUGCAUGGUUAUUAAAUGGUGUGUAGCGGUGGAAAAUUGUCGGCGAUGGUUUGUUGGAUGGAGAUAGCGAUUUUGCAGUUGCGAUUUUAGCAGUUUGCAUACUUGCGUGGAUGGUGAGUGGUUUGUUGGAUGGCAUGGUGGAGAUAACGAUUUUACAGUCGCCAUUUUACCAAUUAGAACUACUUGCGUGGGUGGUGUGUUAUUGAGUGUGGAGUUGGCGAUCUGACAUGGCAAAAAAUUGGGUUCUUAGAUAUGGUUGGAGUUUUGUGGUUUUCAAAAAGCGCAGGUGCAGAUGACAAGCUUGGUGAUGAUGUGGUUGUCGGCGAGAGGUGUGGUGUCAGCGAGAUGAGACGGUGAUGAGUUAAGUUUAGAGGAAACCUUAAUCAUGAGCAUCCAUCUUUCUAGUACAAUUGGGCUGUGAUUUGUGAGAUUUGGGCAUGUUUGUGUUCUGGGCUCGUCUUGUGGGCUAGUUUAUUUAGUUGGGGUUAGAGCCUUGUUGGGCUGGGUAAUUUAAGAUAUAUGGGGUUGUUUGUUAUUGUUUCAUAUUAUUUGGCCUACUGGGUUAGUGGUUAUUGGGUCGUCAAUAAGUUGGAUCUUUAACAAUAUGUGAGUUUUCUGGACUUAUCUUGGGUUUUAUAGGAUCCAAAAUUUGAAUUUGAUUGAAAUUAAUUUUGUUUGUGGUAAUUCAAGAAAUUCAGUUCAUAUGGUCAUUUAUUGAGUUGUUGGGAAUUUAAUUUGGGAUGUAGCGAUUUGGUUUGGAUUGUUUCUUCUUAGUUUAGUGUGGGCUUCAUUGCGGGCCGGUUUGGUUGUAAUUGGGAUGUAAAUUUGGUUUGGUGUUGGUCCAAUGUAUCUGGAAUUUGGAAUUUGACAUAGUUGGAUUUUGGAAUUGAUAUGUCAAGCUCAAGUGACAUUUUUUUAUGUAAGUAGUUUGGUGGGAUAUCUUCCAACUACAACAUCUUAGUCAGCAAUAUUGCUGAAUUUCGGUCGGUGUAUUAGCAUUAGAGCUUUUGCCGAAACAUGAAUUAUGUGUUCGACUGAGUUCUCUCAAUAGAUAGAGCUCACUGUGUGGGUCGCACACUUCGUGAAUUUCUUUUGAAAAUUCUUCUUAGAGAGUGAGUUCUCUCGAGUAUCUUUGGAGUGGUUGAAUCUUCGCUUCUCUUUGGUCAUAACUCAGCCUUUUAGGUGUGGAUUUCUUGUAGUUGUCCAUGGUUGACAGAAUUUUUUUGUUAAUGUGUGACUCUUCAACGCAUCAAGUGUGUUACGAGCAUUCGGCAUUUUGGUGAUGAUUUGUUUACGUCAUCAGUUUCUGGUCAGACAUUGAUUCUUUGUCGGGAAUCAUAUCGAGUUUUGAAGUUCAGCAACGUUGAGUUAUUAGUUUAUGGGUUCUACGAAAAUGUUGACUCAACAGCACAUCCAAUUCGUGAUUGCAAAUUGAUGCUUUUACCAGCAUCAAUUUGAGGGAAGAUGUCAAUAGAGUUUAAUAACACAUAGGAUCAAUAUUUCUCCAUGACAGUUUUCCAAUAGUGUAGGAUUAUUUUUCAUAAUAAUUGAUUAUAUAAUUAUUACACAAUCUUACCUUUUGAGUUAUUUCUUUUUAGGUUUAUUUGUAACCGAGCAAAUAGGUCUUCACCUUUGUAAUAUUUACAAGACUUUAUUAUAUACAAUUUACAAUUUUCUUGACAGAUGUGCCUUCUAAUACUCAGUGGUUAGACACUGGUGUUACAAUUCAUGUUACCGACAAGCAGAAGGGAACCAACUAGUAUGGAGUAGCAUGUAUAUAUGGAAGACGGUACAAGAACUGAAGAUGAAUUUUUGGGGACAGUCAAAUUAUAGCUUACCACUGGAUAUUUUUUGAAGUUCAAUGAAGUUGCAACAUACCUUCGAUUAGGAGAAAUUUAAUACCUGUGUCUAUUUUGGAUAGAACUGGUUACAGUUUUCUUUUGAAAUCGGAAAAGUUAUAUUGUACCGUGACACUGUUUUGAUUGGAAAUGAAAUUUUAUGUGGAUCUUUAUAAACUUGAUUUGGUGGAUGUGUCUCUUAUUAUUUCUCCUUCUUUUCUUAAUACUGUUGCUACCACAAAAAGGUCAAGAUUGGAUGAAAAAUCUUCCAUUCUAUAGCACAAGCAAUUAGGCCAUAUUUCUAGGCAACCAAUGAAAAGAUUGAUAAAGGAUGGGAUUCUGCAGGAUCUUGACUUCUCAGACUUUGACACUUGUGUUGACUGCAUUAAAGGAAAGUUGACUGCCAAGGUUAGAAACAACAAAAUUGACAGGUACACAAAAUUACUUUGAUUAAUCCAUACCGACAUUUGUAGGCCUUUUACUCCCCAGCUAUGGAUGGUUAUGAGUACUUCAUUACUUUUAUUUACGAUUUUCCCGUUAUGGCUUUUUUGAGCUCAUUUAUGCGAAGUCUAAUUCUUUGGAGGACUUUAAAGCCUUCAAAGCAAAGGUAGAGCUUCAACAAGGGAAAAAGAUCAAAGUGGUUCAUUCUGAUAGAGGUGGUAUAUAUUAUGGGAGAUAUGAUGAAACAGGACGGAACCUCGAACCUUUUGCAAGGUACCUACAAAAAUGCGGCAUUUAUGCUUGUGCUCGAUAUACAAUGCCUGGUAUACCUCAACAAAAUGGAAUUGCGGAGAUAAGGAAUCUCACACUUCUUGACAUGGUGCGAUGUAUGUUGGCAAACUCUUCCUUGCCAGAGUUCCUAUGGGAUGAUACUUUGAUGACUACAUUGUCUACUUGCAAGAGCAUGAGUAUGACAUUGGUGACACUUAGAUCCAACUACCUACAAAGAAGCCAUCUCUAGUCCUCAAUCCAAUCGUUGGAUGAAUGCUAUGAUUGAUGAGAUGAACUCUAUGUCACAAAAUGAAGUAUGGCUAAUGGGUAUUCAAAACCAAGCAUGAUGCCAAAGUUUGAGUGGAGAGAUAUAAAGCAAGGCUAGUAGCCAAGGGCUAUAGCCAACGAGAAGGUAUUGAUUACAAGGAAACCUUCUCACCUGUUUCGACUAAAGAUUCUUUAUGAAUCAUUAUGGCAAUUGUGGCACAUUUCGACUUGGAACUUCAUCAAAUGGAUGUAAGAACGGCUUUCUUGAAUGGAGAUUUAAGUGAAGAUAUUUAUGUGACUCAACCUAUUGGUUUUGAGGUAGUUGGAAAAGAAAACAUGGUUUUUAAGCUCCAGAAGUCAAUUUAUGGGUUGAAACAAGUUUCAAGUUAGUGGUAUCUCAAGUUCGAUGAAAUUGUCACCAAUAAUGGUUUCAAGGAAAACAUUGUUGAUCAAUGUAUAUACAUGAAGGUCAAUGGAAGCAAGUACAUAUUUCUAGCUUUGUAUGUUGACGAUAUCUUACUCGUUGCUAAUGACACUGACUUAUUGUUUGAGACAAAACAACUAUUGUUUGGCCAUUUUGACAUGAAAGAUCUUGGUAUAGCAUCAUAUACCUUGGGCAUAGAGAUUCUUCGUGAUAGGGCCAAUGGUGUUCUCAGAUUGUCUUAACAUACUUAAGUCUUGUUCUUUUGUAAAGACUCCAAUUGUGAAGGAUGAUAAGUUCUCCAAGGCACAAUGGCCUCAAAAUUAUGUUGAGAGAGAUCAGAUGAAAAUAGUCCCUUAUACUUCUGUUGUUGGUAUUCUAAUGUACGCUCAAGUAUGUACACAUCCUGAUAUUACCUUUGUGGUUAGUGUGCUUGGUAGAUACUUGAACGAUCCUGGUCAAAGCCAUUGGAAAGCGGUUAAGAAAGUUUUGAGAUACCUUCAAGGUACUAAGGAUCUCAUGUUGACAUAUCGGCGUACCGACACUCUUGAAGUGGUUGGUUUCAGUUAUUUCGAUUAUGCAAGCUGUGUGAAUGAUAAGAAAUCCAUUUCUAGGUACAUCUUUAUGAUGGAAGGAGGAGCUGUUUCGUGGAAAAGUGUUAAUCAGACACUUACAGCUUCUUUGACCAUAGAGGUAGAGUAUGUCGCGUGUUAUGAAGCUACUUGUCAUGCAAUGUGGCUACGGAACUUCAUUUCAGCAUUAGGAGUUAUGGACUCUAUUUUAAGACCCCUAAAAUUAUACUUCGACAAUUCUGUAGUCGUAUCUUUCUCUCGGAACACUAGGAGCGCUUCCCGCUCCAAACAUAUUGAUAUCAAGUUCUACUUUAUCAAAAAGAAAGUUGCAACGUCCCUCAUUACCAUUGAGCAAACACCUAUGAGUAGCAUGUUGGCGGGCCCACUAACUAAAGGCUUACCUAUUUGUCUGUUCCAAGAAUACGUCUCCCACGUGGGAUUGUUGGGAGCCUAAUUUCUUAAUUUCAGUGGGAGUUUGCUGUUCUUUGUAUGUUUUGUGAGGAUUGCUUGAACUUUUGGUAUAAUUGAAGCAUAUUAUGGAUAUACAUAUCAAUAUUUUAUGAUACCAUAUAUCUUUGUAAUUUGACAAGUCACGAAAUGAUGAUAUUAAUAUUAUUGUCAUGCUUCUAGAUUAUUAGCAUUUGGUUAUAUAUAUCCUAUGCAUCCUAUCGGUAUGUUGGUUAUGUGUGAUUAGUUUUGAACUGUGUUAAGAUUAUGUAGUCCAAUAGGAGAAUGUUGGAUUAAUUUUGUGGACUAACAUAAUAUAAUGACAAUUGACAUUUUGGGCCAUUUAUGGGAUGGACAACAUUACACUACUUGCCAUGAUUUGGGCCCUUGGGUCCAUUCUUCUUUCUUGGCUAAGCCUACCCAUUGGGCUUGUGGGCCACCAAAAGGUUUUUAGAUUUAUAUACACAUAUAUAUGCUCUCUUUGGCACGUGAAUAGAGUGAACAAGAUUGAAGAAUUGGAUUCAAAAGAACUCUAACCUCCCUGUCUCGUUUUCUAUCUGGUUUGUUGGUUCUUCAUUGAUAUCUCAUGGCUUCUAAUCAAAUUUUACUAACCAUUGAAGGUACAUUUUUUUAAGGGAAAAUUGCAGUCGAAGUACCAAACAUUUCGUUUAUUAGCAGACUUUGCCCAAACCUUUGAUUUGUGUCACCGUGAGUAUCAAACCUUUAAAAAAUAUGCAGCUCAAGUCCAAAAUGACGAUUUCCAUCUGUUUGACCCCAAAAUCCGUCAGUUGACCCAGAAAUUAAAAAUCUGAUUCUUAUUCCCAAAUACAGUAAGGGCAAUUUGGACAUAUCUUAUUUUUCCUAUUAACUUAAAAAUUGAAAAUGCAAAAAGGAAAAUCACAACCCCCUUCUUCCCCAACCUCGUCUCCCCAAAACCAAACCUUCUUCUUCCCUAACAAUGACGUAGUUUCACAUUAAGGGCAUAGCUGAUUGUAUGAUUGGAUCUGGUUAUGGAAAAGAAUGCGUUAGAAUAUACGAUUUAAUCAGAAAAUCAAUAAUUGAUGAGAGUUUGUAUAAUUUGGGAGUUGAAAAGAUAAACCCUUCUCAAAUUCAGAAAAUGGAUUGGAAUGUUCUUGAAGCGAAAAUCAAAUGCUGGUUAUACGUUGUCAAAAUUGCUGUGAAAAAUAUGUUUUACGACGAGAGGAUUCCCUGUAAUUCAGUCUUUUCUUCCUCCGAAAAAAUUGCAGAAUCGUGCUUUGCAGAAAUCUCGUGAGAUGCAGCAAUUAAUUUAUUUGGAGUCCCAUAAAAUUUUGCGAAAUCCAAGAAAAUAUUAUCCCCGGAGAAAAUGUUCCGCACACUUGAUCUCUACAAAGCAAUCUCAGAUCUUUGGCCAGAUAUUGAAAUGAUUUUCUCUUACGAUUCAUUGUCGGCGGUGAAAUGUCAAGGGGUGGUGAUGUUUGAUUUUAAGGCAGGGUUGGGACCAAUGUUGAGUUGGUGGUGCCAGAGGUGGUUUUAGGUGGUGGUGAUGCUUAGUGCUUUGAGGUGAGGAGGUUGGGGAAGAAGGAGAUGGGGUGGGGGUUAUGGUUUUUCUUUUUGCUUUUUUAAUUUUUAAUUUAAUAGGAAAAAUUAGAUAUGUCCAAAUUGUCCUUGCUGUAUUUGGGAAAAAUAAUUAGAGUUUUAAUUUUUGGGGUCAACUGACGGAUUUUGGGGUCAAACAGACGGAAACCGUCAUUUUGGACUUGAGCUGCAUAUUUUUUAAAGGUUUAGUACUCACGGUGGCACAAAUCAAAGAUUUGGGCAAAGUCUGCUAAUAAACGAAAGGUUUGGUACCUUGGUUGCAAUUUUCCCUUUUUUUUAUUGUUCAUUACAUUCUAUGAUUAUGAGAAGGUUUUGUCAAAUCCAUUAAAGUUUAGCACUAAUGGCAUAUAAUAAGGCUUCUUAUUGCCUUACAAAUUAUUAUGGUAGGGAAUUUCCUAGACAAUUUACUUUGGAUAUUUUGUACUUUUUAUAUUUGAAAUGCCAUUUAUGCUAUGCGCAUCAAGGGCAUCAGAAAACAUCCAAUCAAAAAUCUCACCUUGCCGAUGGAUGCUCCAUAUCCCGAAUAGUCGUAGCUGCUAAAGGUAAAAGAAAAUACAUUGUUAGCAACAACUAUCCAAGAUAUAAGUUUCGAAAUCCAUAUUAUUUUCCGUUCUUGAAUUAUUACAAAAAAGAAAAAAUUAUUAACUCGGAAACACUCAUCCUACCAAUUACAACAGUUGGCUGGCAAGCUGAAAUCAGAACUACUUUUUAAUUGUGAUAGGCUGCUUGAAAUCAAAUUCAAAUUUGUAGAAAAGAAUUUCUAUCCAAUUUCGAGGUCUCAACUUAAACUAUCAAACAAUUUCUUAAACGAGUCUAAAAUAAACAACCUCAGGAAGAACCAAAUAUACAACUAAAGUCAAGGAGUUAGAGAGAGAUACUCUCAACCUAGUGAGAGAAAAUCCCACUUUGGUGCUCACUUGACUUGAGUUUUUUUCCUUCAUUUCUUCUUGUGUUUUGUUAGAUUUUUACUUCUCUUGGGUGAAAAUCUAAUUAAACAUAUUGGAUACAGUUUUUGUGGUGCUCAUUUUGAGUUUUUUGAAGUGUUCGUGUGCCUCCAUUUGCGGUGCUGCAGCUCCAGAUUUCAGUUAUGGUAAGGCCAGUUUGGCUUCUUCAUUUCGUGAGUUUUGAAGAAGUUGCUGCCUCCAGGUUCAACUUCUACUGACCUACAGCUUGGAGCCUUGUUUUGCUGGAAGUUUCUCUCCUUCUCCAUCUUCAGCUGGAUAUUCUGUCCAGUUUUGGUUUUUGCUGGGUAUUCAGUUCAGCCACUCUUUGUUAGAUAUCUUAUUGCUGUUUUGUUGGCUUACUCUCUGGACGAGUUCAAACGGUGCAGUAACUAGAGUAAAGGGUGCACCUAAGUGACUGUUCAUGGUCAUUUCUGGGGCAAACUUGAAAACUUGAAGAUGGCUGCUUCCACUGUGUUAUGGGGUCACCAGGUUUUUUAAAGUUUCUGUCCAGUUUUCAUAUUCCUCCUUUGGGGUAUCCAGAUUCUGCCUUUUUUUUUGUUUGGAUCCCUUCUUCUGCUUGUUUUUGAGGUUUAUUCCAGUAUUUGGAUGCAUCUGUUGCUGUUUUCAUGGUUGUUUUUCUUGGUAUCCUUGGAGAUUUGAAAAUGGCAGUUUCUUUUGUGUUUUCUUAAUUGUUUUGCUCCUACCCGGUUUGGUGUUCUCCAUUGUUACAUGUGAUCUAUAUUCUGUCCAGUUUUUAUUUUCAUCUUGCUAGGUUUUCAGUUCUGGCCUUGGUUAUUUGGGAUUCAUGCUCCGGUUUGUGCUUCUUCACCAUCCAUGGAGUUCUUGGUUUGUUUGUAAGCAUUGUGUACGCAUCUGUGCAUGUCACUUUGAUUUGUUCCUGUGAUUGGCCAUACAUUUUCUGCUACUACCCCCUGCUGUGCGACCCUUCAGUUUGUUUUUUUGCUAUUUUAGUAUAACAUUUCAGAGGGUUGGUGGCUGACCCGGUUGACUCCUGUUUGGCCGGGUUUCAUUGGUUUUCUGGACGGGUUUUGGGCUGCUAUUUCUCUGGACAGGUUUUGGGCUGCUCGUUAUUUGUUUGGACGGUUGGCCUAUAUUAUAUUUUGUGGAUUGCUGGACUCCCCUUUGGGCUUGGCUGGUUUUUAUUCUUCUUCUUAGGCUGUUUAUCAUCUUAUUGUUGGGCCUCUUUGCUGGAUACUCUUGGGCCUCUGGUGAUUGGAUUGAGGUGCUUCAUUUGGGCCUUGUUGGGGCCACUUUCUGGGCCUUUGCUGGACUGUUUUAUUGGGAUUCUUUGGGCCUGUGCUUGGACUACUGUCUGGGCCUUUAUUUCCUAAUUGGGUUGUAUUUUGCUGGGAUUUUCUUUGGGCCUCUUUCAUCAGUUUUUGUUGGGCUAAUCUGUUCCUUUUCAUUUGGGCUUUUCUGGACUUUCUUGGGCCUAUUGUUGGGUGGAUUAAGGUGCUUUCUUUGGGCCUUGUUGGGCCCUUCUUUUGGGCCUUGUUGGAUGGAUUUUAUUGGUUCUCUUGGGCCUGUUUUGGGUCUUCUGUCUGGGCCUUUUUCUCCUGUUUGGGCCAUUCUUUUGCUGGGUUUUCUGGGCAGUUUUGGCCAUUUGUUUGUUGGACAGGUUUUGGACAGGUUUUGGGCCAUUGCUACUGGUUUCUUUGGACCGCCCUCUCUCUCAAUUUUGACGUCAAUUCCCUUUUGUUUGGGUUUUAUUCUCAGCCGGCUGCUGGGAUUUGUUUUCUUCAAUUUCCUUCCCAAUGACGUCAACUUUUAUAACUUUUAUUCUGGCUGGCGGUUUGCUGGAAUAAACUUUCUGCCUUUGUAUUAAUCUUUGGGUCGUUUAUUGCUGUGUUCAUGGACUUCUCGUUAUGUAUAGGACAAUUUGUCUAACCCACGAAUAAUCCAUUGUGAAGUAUUUGGAUUUGUUGGCUCCCAUUUGAACCAUUCUCUCCAUGUCCCUUUUGCUGCAUGCAUCAGAUUUUCUUCUCUACUAUGUAGUCACAUGUCAUCUAUUCUCCGAUAUCAGAAGAAUUAAUCAAUUACUAGAUAAGGAAAAAAAAGUACAUCCACAUUGAGCAACUUAUAUUGUCGGCAUUUUUCUGUGCUAAAAAGCCACCUUUUAACUCUCUUUUUUUAACAUGUCGAAGCAACUAGAAUUCACCUUUACAUGUUGUAUUAUACAUACAUGAUGAAGCAUCUAUUGCCAUCGCUUGAGUCACAAAAUAUUUGUCUGUAGCACUUUUCACCUAUUUAUCAUACGAGGAAUAUAAAAUUUAGAAGAAUAUAAUAAAGCCAAAGAUAGAUAGGGUACAGGUAAAUAAAUAAAAAUGUAUGCAUGUAUGUAAAUUGCCUCUUUGAGUUUGAACUUCAUGGCAGUGAAGGGAUAGUAAACUUGGCAUGAUUAACUGCACAAUCAAGAAAGGUCAUAAGAUUAAACCUAAGGAUUGUUGGAAAUAUAGAGGUAGUAAUGAAAUCGGAAUACUAAUUUUAAGUGUACCGUAUAUGCCACUUACCAUAUUUGCAGGUAGCUUACCGUAUAUGCAGCUUACUGUAUUUGUAGCCUACUGUAUAUACAAGCAACUUACCGUAUUUGCACAUUACUGUAUCUGCAGCUUACCAUUUAUGCUGCCUACGGUAUUUGAAAAAAGCUCAUCAUAUUUACAUAAAAUUUUCAUUUAUUCUAUUUCAUAUACAGUGAGUGAUUUACACAUAUUUGCUAGAUGCCGUAUAUGCAACUAACAUACCGGAUAUGCACUUACAUACACCAAAAUGUAGAAAUACUGUACUUGCAUAUAUUAUCUAAAUAAAUACCGAUUGGACAACUACCAAAUCGAAUGUUAUUAAAUUAAUUAAUUUUCUUCAAAUUUUUUUCAGACAUACAGAUAAUAUACUGUAAAAUUAUAUAAAGUACAUAUAACAAAAUAAACUGAAAAAGCUGCGAAGCAUAAGAUUAAACUGCAAAUAUGUAAAUCGCUAAAUAAAUAAAUAUGUGAAUUGUAGAAAAUAAAUAAAUCUUCAACCCGAGACCUUUAUGAACACAGUUUUCUUAAAACAGAUUCGUCCCCUCGUCGUAAGUGCUUGAGGUCUAAUUCAAGCGUCUGUUUUUUCAAGAUACAACGGUAAAAUCCAUAGAAUCUAAGCACUGCAGAAAUUACUUCGGCGAACUGAGUUUGUAUUUAAACAAUAUCAUCACCACAACUUUGGACAGAAACUGAGAUUAUGUAUACAGACAGAAAAAUUAUGUAAUAUGCAGACUAUAUUUUUGUGUCUGCAGACACAAAUUCUUUUUUCUCCUUUAUUUUCGAGUGUGCUAGAAUUUUCAAAAAAAUUAUGAGAUUUAAUAUAUAAAAUAAAUCUGCCAUCUGCCAUUAACUCUAGCAAUAAACAUUGGAGCCAUUUCAGAUUCUGCUGGAGUUUUGGCAGUUUUCGAAAACUCAAAGGUCAAUUAUAGAAAACAAAAAAUUGCAAAAUGUGAACACUCCAAACAGGCCAUUUUUGUUCCGUGUGGUCCGACAUUCGUGUAUGCAGGUCACGCAUACACACAAAUUCAAAAUCCGAAAGUAAUUUUGGUCGGUGAUUUGCACUCUCUACGCGCGCACGUGGAGAGAGCAUCUAUGCUACACAUGAUUACACCCUUCCAAUGUGCAACCAUAUUUAAAUUGGUUCUUACUUUCAUAUUUUUUCUAUGUGGGACUAAUGCAAUUUUCUCACUUAAACCAUCUUUCAAUGGUCAUUUUUAAGUUUCAAUUUCUCAUUCACCCGAGCUUCAUUUUUGGCAAAUAAAUAUAUGAUUUUAAUACUCUCACGGAGGAGAACAUGGAACAACUUUGAUCUUCCAAAUUGAACUAACGAGUCCCACCGAAAAUAUUGCCAAAAGUGAGCUAUUUACUCUUUUUUUUUCAACAAUCCCCUACAUGAAUAAAAAUUGGAAGAGAGACGAGACCGUGAGACAUAAGAUGUGAUGAUAAAGUUUAAUGGUUGAAGCCUACAUAGGAUAGGUAGGUAUUAACCCCUUUGAACCUUUCCUUGUGAAAGUAUAUUUAUGUAGACGUAUUCUCCUUGAACUAUUCUGCUAUUUAUGUAGACGAUGAUAUAUUCCACACGGGAUUCUUCAUAACAUAUUUCAGUUCUCAUUAUUAUGUUCGUUUUGCCCAUGAACAUAUGCCUGAUUUUGUGAGAGUUCUUAAGAAUUGAGCCCCACAUAAUUCUCUUAGAAGCGGCCCCACUUCUCUUUCACAUAGGUGAUUUCUUAUUACAAGUAACCUGCAUUACUUGGCUCGAACUUUGACGCAUAAGAAUUAUUAAAAGUCUAUUGUUUAUCCUUCAUUUUUACGGGCAUCACUGUUAUAUCAUAGGAAUGGACAGGAGGAAACACCCCCACAAUGAUUAUAUUAAGCCUUUACAAUUAGGUUAUCCCUUUGAAUCUAGAUCUUGGGAUUUCUAGUCAACUAAAUUGAGUUUCCAUUGUAAUAACUUAUUCAUUCAAGGGCUUAAGUCACAUUCCUUUUGAUGAUUUUUCAAUUAACUCUCUAUUUAACCCUUUGGUUAGCGGAUCGCAAUGUUAUCUUUUGACCUUACAUAGUGUAUAGUGAUCACUCUAGUUGAGAUUAGUUGUCUUAUGGUAUUGUGCCUACGACGUAUAUGUCUAGACUUACCAUUGUAUAUGUUAUUCUGUGCCCUUCCUAUUGCUGAUUGACUGUCACAAUAUAUACAAGUCGUUGGCAUAGGUUUUGACAAUCUUGGAAUAUCCUCUAAGAAGUUGCGCAACCAUCCGACCUCUUCACCACAUUUAUCUAGAGCUAUAAACUCAGAUUCCAUCGUAGAUUUGGCUAUAACUGUUUGCUUAGAGAAUUUCCACAAUAUGGCAGCACCUUCCAAUGUGGAUAUAAAUCCACUAGUGUACUUUGAGUCUUUUAUAUCAAAUAUCUAAUUAGUAUCAUUGUAUCCUUCAAUGAUUGGUGGAUAUCUGAUAUAAUGUAGUCCAUAGUCACGAAUACAUCUUAAGUAACUUAAUACUCUUACUAUUCCUUUCUAGUGAUCAGCUCCUGGAUUACUCGUGUAUCUACUCAAUUUACUGACUGUGUAGGUUAUGUCUACUCUUGUACGUUCAUCAGGUACAUUAGACUUUUCAUAACUCUCGAGUAUUCUACUUGAGGUCCUUCACCUUUGUUUUUAGAUAGAUGUUGACUUGUAUCUAUCAGUGUUCUUGUCAAACCAAUAUCAUCCUUAUUGAACUUUUCAAAAAAGAAAAUUUCCACAUAAUGUGACUAACUUAGAAAUAGCCAUCUGAUGUUCCUGAGAUUUUAAUUCCAAGUAUAACAUCAGCUAAACACAUAUCUUUAAUGUCGAGUCUCGAAUUCAACAUAAUUUUAGUGGAUUCAAUCAUCUUAUUAUCACUACUAACAAUAAGCAUGUCGUCAACGUAAAGACAUAAAAAGACAUAACCAUUUUUAGUGUCUUUGACGUAAACACAUUUAUUUCACUCAUUGAAUUUAAAUCAACUCUUUAUCAUGACAUCAUUAAAUUUUUUAUGCUAUUGUUUGGGUGCUUGUUUCAAGCUAUAUAGUGAUUUCACCAACUUAGAAACUUUCUUUAGCACUUGAGUUUCAUUUUUGACAAGUAAAUAUAUUAUUUUGAUGCUCUCACGAAGAACACGAAUCAACUUCGAUUUUUCAAAUUGGACCAAGGGAUCCCACCAAAAAUUUUGCCAAAACUGAGCUAUUUAUUAAUUUUUUCCAACAAGGAUGAGACGACUGGUACACAAUAUAGGUGGACCGGUCGAUCAAAUUUAAAGUUGAACCACGAGCAAUUACCUUGGGGAAGAAAUUCUUGCAGCUGUUCUUGAUCAGUGUGCUAACAUAAAAAUACUUGAAUCUAGCUAGAACGCCCUCGUAAGGUGUAGGGAAAGGGAUUUGUAAUUACCAUACACAUGUCGGAAAAGUUAUAAAGGUAUUGAGUGAUACGAACCUGCAACUUACCGUAGCAAAUCCUCUCCUUCACUCAAUUCAUAUCACUUUAUUCUCUUUCAAACAACAAAACGAGGUGUCCUUCCUACACACUAGAGAGAUGGAGAUCUCAUGGAACAGACCAUUACUCACCGAUAUAUGGAGUCUAAUCUUGCCAACUGGUAUGAGACAUCGAAGUGGAUUUUUUUCUUUUUAUUUAUUUAUUUUUUUUUUUGUGAGUGGUUGAAGAACUAAAAAAACCGAAUAAUUAUAUAUUAGCUAGUCAAAGUUAACACUGAUGCACUAUUUCCACGAUAAAUAUCCGUAAGUCAAAAAUAUAACAAAAAAUAUAGACAUUGCUUUAUAAUAAAAUCAAAGCACGACCCUAUGAACACAACACACAAUGCCAACCAAGCCUAAGAAAUAUCCCUACAUAUAUACUUGCAGGCAGCCCUCAAUGACUAAAUUGGGAUGUUGAACCUAUAAAUGAAUGGAAGCAUUCAGAAUUUACAGCAAAGAAGACCCGAUCUCCAACUCCUGCGUCUUCGAAAAUGUCUCCUAUCAGCUUUUUCCAUUCUUACUGGACUGAUAUUCCAUUCAGAUUGUAAUCUGUAGAGACAAGAAAAAACUGAUUAGCAAAUAGCUAACAUCCCUACAUACGAAGAAUCAAUGUCAUAGACUAAAAUAAAGUUUACACUGGGAAGGCAAAGGAUCGAGCGCUAGCGGCACCGGUAUCAGAUCGAAGAGAAAGGCUCCCAGAAUAAGAUAUUGGCCCUGAGAAAGUGAUAAGACCUGCAUCGGAGAAGCUUGACUCUCCCUCAUCACAUCGGACUUGGUUUACAACCGGAAAGCUGCCACAUUCCACGACCUCAUCCUUAAAAACAUCAUGUGUCUGAAUGGCUUCGUCAUGAACAUUUUGAGCAUUUUUGUCCUUGAUGCUAGCAGACUGGACUUGGCCAUCCGGAGAAGUAGAGUUCGUGUCUUGGAGGUCGAUGGAAUGUUCAUGAACAUUUCCAUUGCUAUCGAACUUGUUUCCGGUGCACUUUGCCGCGCUAGCUUCCAAAUGUUUGACGGAAUUUAUAAACUCAAGAUGACAUUCAUCCUCUGACUUGACAGAUUGUGCAUCGACAUUUUCAGCACAUCCAUCCGUACUGCCAGCUGCCACGGGUUUGGGUGAGUUGAAGUUAAAAGUAAUAUCUCCGCAGUCAACUUUACUGUUGCAUAAUAAGUUGGCAGCUUGGACACUAUUCUUAUUUAAUUCUGUAUUCGUCAACAGUGCAGCGUGGCUACUUGAAAUUGCAUCUUCAGAUGGAAUCUGUGAAGCAAACAAUUAUAAUUGGAGUAACUUCAACAGACAAAAAAAGCAUCUCCAGCAUGUCUACGCAGUAUUUCUAAGUAUAAGUUUUUAUGUCCUAGUCAAUACGCAUAAACAUGCAUUUACAAAAUUCUGCAAGGAAACAAUAUGCUAAAUUAUUCUUCAACGGCUUCUGAACCAUAUCAUUUAUCAUGCGGGCAAACACGUGUUUUAAGAAGUUAAACAAUAAAAAUAUGGAACACAAACCUGAUUGGGUGAUUGAGCAAUUUCAUUUCCAUCGCUACUUAAUGAGUUGAGAAAAGAUCUAAGGGAACUACAAGUACCAAAAUUCAGCACUGGAAGUUUGCUAUCUACAAAAGAUUCCGCCUCUGGAACAUCUCUCUCAAUCUUAGCAUAUGCACCAUCAUUUGGUUCAGAAAAGUGCAUCGAGUCCUCUACAUCACAUUCCCCAACAGAAUCCUUGUCCAAAGAAAUUUCUGAGGCAGCUAUUGGCCCAAUUGGCAAAUGUGAUUUUUCAUAGCUAUUUUUGGUCCCACAAUGAUUAUUGGCAUCAUCUUCGUUAUUCUCCAAAGAAAAAGAUUUUAAACCGUCCAGAAUGAGCAUUUCCAUAUCAAUGCCUUCUUUUGCUGUUUUACAAUGAUCCUUAAUGCUUUUGCUCAAAACUUUGUCCUCCUUGGGCAUCCCAUCAUCAACGCAUAUAUCUUUGACAAUGUUAUAAUUAACCUCUUUGUAGAAUACUUCCAGCUCAGGCAGUUCACGAUCUGUAGUAUCUUUAUCAGUACAUAAAUUUGUACCAGACUCAAACAAAUCUGAAGCAGCAAUGCAUGGCAUAUAAGAAUCUCUUGGAUCAUUAUCAUGAUCAUGGGCAAAUCGUUUAUCAGUACAUAAAUUUGUACCAGACUCAAACAAAUCUGAAGCAGCAAUGCAUGGCAUAUAAGAAUCUCUUGGAUCAUUAUCAUGAUCAUGUGCAAAUCGUUCUACAAUCACAGUAAGUUCAAACUCCAGGAUUUUUCCCAAUUUGCCAUUGUUCUCUGUAUCAGAAUCCAAUGGAUCUGCAUCCCUCUCACGGUCACUUGGAAUUUCAUCCCAAUCUUCCUUUCCUGGAAAAUUUAAAUUUCCAUAUUCAUUAUCCUUGGCAAAAGCAUCCACAAAUUCAUUGUCCCAAGGUUCAUUUCCAGUUUUAACCUCAAAUUCUAAAGGGCCUCUCUCUCUUCCAUGGCCAUUUAACUGAUAUAGAUCUUUAGCAGUGAACUCCAGGGAAUCCAUCUCCCUUCUGAAACUACUAGAAUGAUACAACGUUGUAUUCUGAUUUUCUUUCAUGGUCACCUUUGGUUUAGCCGUGUAAAGAACACUGUCAUCGCAUUGAAAUGGUUUAGAAUGAACCUUAAAUUAUCUGCAUGUAAUUUUAACUUAUAAUACAUGUCAAAGCUUGGAAAAGCAACAAAGGAGCAUUUAUAAGUGAGAUAACUGUUCCGAAUGAAUGAUGGAGGGCAUAAAACAUCAAGAAUGAAACACAAAACAAAAUGUGACAAACAGAAAGACAUUGAUAUAAUGUGAUUAUUAGAAUCACCAUGAAAAAAAUGAAUAAUGUAACCCUUCCAAAAUGCAAUCAGCACAGAAAAACACAUAGAUGCUAUUAUUUGUAUAUUACUCAACCCCCAGAAAAAAUUCAGCUGUUUAGAGCUACCGGUAAGGCCAUCAGGCAACAAUCAAGAUUUCAGUAACAGAUUUUUAAAACAAAAUUUAAUUUUGGAAAUACUACCAGGCUUCAUAAUUCACAUCCCUUGAGAUAUUUUCGAAAAUUUUAACAGCCGAGAAGCAAACUAUCCACUAGUGAAGCAUAUAUUAAAGCAGAGUUGAGAGGCCAACCUCUACAGUUAAUAAUCAUAUAUGAGAUUGAGAAACACAAAUUUGAAGGAAUGAAAAUCGUGCACCAAGUAAGAAUAAAAACCUCUCCAAUAAAGUAAAAAAAUGCUCUCGUGAGUGAUAAUUAAUCCACCAAUCAGGAUAUACACAGUAUUAGCCAUCUUCAUUCUCAUAUUAGCAUUCUAUCAAAAGCCAGAUACCAUGAAGCAUGUUUGUUAACUACAGUACCCACUAAAGCAAAACCUUGAAACGAUCGCAGGCUUACAAAGAGAUUAAAUUAUCAAUUAUGUUCAGUACCAAGAACAGAAAAAAGCACUGAGCAUUGGAAAUUCUAGAAAAUGUAUAAUUUUGGAACCAAAUAAUAUCAUAUGGUUAUAUUCAAUAUUGACAUCUCAAUUCUCACCUUGCAAAUUAUUUUUCGAGUAUAUAUUUCACCUUACUAAUUUUUCUCAUUUUACGGACAAUUUCUUAAAGACUUUCCGGGAAAAGAAAGUUUGAGCAAGUAAAAAACGAACGGUAGACAAGCUUUGGAAUCUUCCCUUUGCCCAUAUACAAAGAAGAGGACAAGAAAAAGUCACCACUUUGCAGAAAUCCCGACAAACUUUUAACAGCUAAAAUAUACUAAUCAUCCAUUUAAUUACUAAAAAGUCAAUACCCCAAUCCCCACCAUUUGUUCUGUCCUUUAGCUCCCUAUCACACUCACAUACAUAUGAACAAACCCUUUUAUAUAAAAUAACUAAUCUAGCCUUUUAAAUAAUCUCAGUAACAUAGAGAAUUUCAGGAAGAUCCCAACAGAAAAAUAAAAGUAAAAAAACUAAAAAAAUAUAUUAAACAAGAACAGAAAAUAAUUUUUACACCUGAUUGUUCAACACCCUAAAGAGACUGUCCUUUAUCUCUUCAAAACAAAUUAUAAAAACCCUUUUUACAGCAAAAUUUCAGAAAGAUGAUUAUCCUAUGUAUAGUAUAUACACAAAAAUGAGAGUAUCCAUGUAACUCAAUAAAACUACAGAAAAAAAAAAAAAAAAAAGCUCCCAAAAAAAUGUAGAUCAGUGAAGGCAGAUCAACCCUAAGAUCUAAAUCAUCCACACAUAUACAAAUUAAACACAAAAGGGUAUACGUGUAUACAUACAAAAAGACUGAACUCUGUUUGUGUUAGUGAGAGAGAAAAAGAUUUACACCUUGUUUCGUAUCUGUCUGUACUGCUACUUCGUAUAACAUCGACAGAAAAAUGUUUAGGGGAGCGUUUUUAUUAUUCACGAGAGACUUUGAUUACGAAAUUCCAGCCUGCUAAAUAAGGGUAAGAAUAUUGAGCCGUUUGAUUUUCUCUUCAUAUGGACAGAUACAUACACCCUCACCCAAAAGGAUUUAUGGUACACAGAGAGGGGUGUCGAAAUUGUGUAUGCAUACUGUAUAGCAAAGUGUUAACAGAGAGAGCAAGACAAAUGCCCAACAGUCAACUCUUUUUCUCUCUCUCACUACAUAUUUGUAUGUCAAUGUCUCUCUCUCUACAUGUAGAUACACACACCUUUAUGUAAUGGUGAUGGUGCCAGGUUGGGUAUAAUAAAUGGUAGAGCAUAGACAGUUUAAAAGGCAUUAACUAUGUGGAAAAAUAAUGUUGUAAAAUAAUUUUCGUACCUUAAUUUUGGACGAAGCUACAAUAAUAGAGACUAUGACGUAGGGGUUGACUGCACACACACAUACAUAGGAGGUUAGCAUUUUUUUUAUUCAUAUCGAACUUGCGACAAUGUAAGAGGAUAUCACCCCAUCGGUCCAACAUUUUCAAGUACUUCAGCAAAAUUCCUUAAUUGUGUUACUUUAUAUUCGGAGGAAAGCAACCUCAAUUAAUCGGACAUUGUUUUUGUCUUAGGAAUUGAAGAUGUAGAGAAUUUUAAUUUUUUUUUUCUUUGUUAACAAUAAUGAGAAAGUCAAACCCUAUUUUUAAUCACAAAAUUGAAAGUAUAAUUAAAUUUGGUUCGAUUCAUCAAAAUGAAACAAUUACAUAAAAAAGCUUACGAUUCUAUGUGCAACAACAAAAUUGAAUUGAAACAUAACCAAAGUCUAAUGAUUUUCAUUUUUAAGACAUGGAAGCUCUUGUUUAAUUUGACUGAAAAUUAAUUUUUUACUAAAUUUUAAUAAAAGUUCACGAAAUAUAUAGGUUAAAAGUUAAUAAAAGUCGUGAGUCCUCUAAAAAAGUGUGAUUGAAAAUAAAUUUAUCCAAAUAUGAAUUUAAAAAAAUUAGGAUCAAGUAAAAACAUAGAACUUGUUCGAUUCCGAUUAAACUAGAGAAAUGAAUUUUGAAAUAGUUGAUUGAUGAAGAAUAUGCAAUUAAAAAUAAUAAAAAGUUUUAUAUUAAUGUAUAAUAUUAUUUUAUUGAAGAAUGUGUGAUUGGAGGAAGAGAAAGAGAAAAAAUGCAACUUAAAAAAAUAAAAAUCAAACACAUUCAUGUGUGCGCGCAAACAUUGGGGUUUGGUGGAGUUUGUUUGAGCUUUGAACAAAACACAACUCAUGACAAACAAAUGACACAUACGGAUUGAGCUGUGGAAUACACUGGGUUUUUCUUUAUCUUUUAUUUUUUGGGUUUUGUUGUAGUCUUGUGGGGGCCAAUAAUUAUGUUUAUAUUUUUAUAAUUAUUUUAGUUAUGAAGUAAAAUGGAUUUAGUUUUUGAUUGAAUGAUAUACUUUUAUUUGCACUAAAUUAGCAAAAUUCAAUUACCAUCAUAAUUAACAAAUAAAUUCGAAAAGUAUGUGCGAUUGUCAUCUUCAAUGCACGUCAAGAUAAAAAUAAUUUUAACCAAUUAAACAUAAUGAUUAAUGCUCGAUUAAAACCAUAUAAUUAAAACAUGAUUCAUUAAUUCAAAAAGUUUAAAUUACUACUGAUAUAGUUAACCCGUUUUCUUCAAAGAGCAUGUUUGGCACAAAUGUUUUAAAUACUUUUUCUUUCUUAAUUUACUUUUUUUUUUUUUACUUUCACUUAUAAGUAAUAUAAUUACUCGUGAGUGUUUAUUUUUAAGGUUAACCAAACAUGGUUUUAGUCUAUCAACUAGGAAAAUGCAGCAUUGGGCUAUAUAAAGGGUAACAUCCAAGAAGACACGACUGUUCAAAUUAAAGUAUACAUUCUUUAGACAUUUGGGGGCUGAUAGUGACAUUGUUGGCCAAUGUAAUUGUAUUUUAAUGUUCAAUUAUACAUGCAAGAACAUGACUGCUUCCUCUUUGUCAUUUUUACUUUUCGACUUUUGCAAUUACAUAUUUCUUUUAACAUAAUCGACUAAGCGAAUAGAGUGCUUUUGACAUAAUAUAAACAAGAAAGUGAAGUAAUGGUAUUAUUGGUCUUCAACUUUUUUUGAAACAGUACAAAUUGAUCACCAAUCAUUUAUUAUAAUUGUAGAACGAUGAUUAAAAUUGUCUAAAUUGUUAUUAAAUUGUCAUGAUAUUUCAAAUCCAAUUUUAUGAAUUAUGUUGUUUUUGCACUUGGGUUGGUUUUUUUAAAUUUGAAGUGAGACAAGCUACCAUUAAAACGACUAGAUCCUGGUUUCUAUAGUAGAAAUUAUUCCUUCUAACAAUCUAAAAAUAAUACAUUGACAGAAUUACGAUAGUAUAUUUAAAUAGCGUAACAAGCUGAUCAAUAAGAUCAUAAUGUUAAUUUGAGUCCACCGACUUCACGAUAUUUCUUGAAAACGAAUUCACUGCCUUCAAAGGUACUGAAGGCGUGCAGCAAUUGUUUCUCAGGAUAAAAUGAAUUUUGUCUCAUAUGGAAGUAGCACAAUAAUCUAUAGAAAUUUCAACGAACUCAAUGAAAUGCUUUUACUUGGAGAACAUAUCAAAACAAGAGAGAGAAUGAGAUUCAAAGUAAAGAAAGUUUGUAAUGAAAAUGGUGUAAUUAUUUUGAUAGCAGGGCAGGGUAUUUAUAAAUUCGUUCGUGGCCAUUUAAACAUCCUUCAAGCCUUUUUAGAACGGCAGUCACUGUUCGGAUAGCCCUCUAAACCCAAACAAAUAGCAUUGUUCAGAAUGAAACACUGUGUCCGUUAAGUCAGCUAAUGGACGUCUGUUAAGUCGGUUAAUGGUCGACCCACAACAGAAAAUACCCAAAAAAGGCUAAUGAUAAGCAAUAAAAAAGUAAUAUUUAAAAAUAAUUUAUUUAAGAGCCCGUUUGGUAUAGAUUAAAAUCUGAUUUUAAUCUAAGUCAAAGUUAAACAAUCAAUAUUAACUACAUUUUUCAUGGAUUCCACCACUUUUCAAUCAUACAUUUCAAAAAGUUCUAUCAAAAUCUACUAAAAAAAUCUAAUUUUAAUCUCCAUCAAACACCUCUAAAUGCCUGAGAAUCUGAAUAAUUACAAUUUGGCCUAAAAUUUAAAUGAAUUUUAUCCAAAAAGAUAAUAUAUUGCAAGGACCCACCUGCACCUGUACACGAACCGGACCAAACUGAACUUGAAAACAACAUGUCCUAGUGUUUAUGCCAAGCCAACCCAAGCAGGCCGAAUGGAUGGCGACGACGACUCCACGUGUGGGGUAUAGGACCGAAUUCAAUAAAAUAUAGAUCUAUCCCUUCCAAAUACUAUUGGUACCCUCUGUGUCCCCAACCCAAUUGUCAAACUUUCACUAUAUAAACCACACCAAAAUUUCUUAACUUUUAUAUAUAGGAUAAGUGUUUAGCGAUUUUCAAUAAAUCAAAUUCUGCACUAGUUUAUAGUUUUAAGUGUGUUGCUUUAACAUCAAAUAUUUCAUUCAAUUCUAAAUGGUUUUCAAUAAGUACACCACAUUAUGAUUCUUGCGGAGCAUGAAUAUGCUUGGUCCCAUUUAAAUUAAAGUAUAGGUCCCAGUAAAAUUGGAGCUCAAAGUUGAUCUAAUUCACUAAUUAAAACCAUUUCUAACAAUCCUCCAUAUGAACAAAAAUAUGUCUACUUUUUCCAAAUAAUAACAUCUGAUAUGUUUUUUGAAGUAAAAAAUAAAGAAAAACUGCAUCGGAAUAAGUAGCUAAAGACUUUAAACUUUCCCUAGUAAAACUAUCGGAUUUACUUGGUCAAUCAGUAACACGAUGCUUUGAACAGUCAAUUGCUCACAUAAACCUAUACUCCAUUUUGGCCUUGGACACCUCCUGAUUUAUGAGUGUUUUUUGAGAAUUUUUCUUUACAUAACUAUCGUAGAAUCAACCCCUUCUCACCCACAUAGGUGAUCUCCAUAAAGAGAAUUUUUCUAUAUCUCUCUUGAACGAAUUAGGAUAUAGAGAUCAUUAAAAACGUAACUUAACCUAUUUCACAACAGUUACGCACUAGCUCAUCAUUGGAAUAGGUAGGAGUUAAAAAUCUCCCUGAUACAUACUGAGUUUUUCAUAGUUUAGCUGUCUCAUUGAACCCUGAUCUUGGGAUCUCCAGUUAACUAGGUUGGGUUGCUACCAUAGAAACUUUUGGUUAUUUUAUCGAUUUUAAACCAUCCUCUUUGAUAAACUUUCGACUUGUUUUCUCAUCAAACCUUUAAUUAGCAGAUCCACAAUACUCUUUUAAUUUCAUAUAAUCUACAAAGAUAACAUUAGUAGAGAGCAAUUGUCUAAAGAUGUUGUGUCUACGAUGUAUAUGUCGAGAUUUAUCAUUAUACAUAACAUUCUGUACCCUUCCAAUUGUCGAUUGACUAUCGCGAUUGAUAUAUAUAGUAGACAUAGGGUUUACCCAAUAUGGAAUAUCUUUAGAAAGUUUCUUAUCCAUCUGGAUUUCAAUUGUGACUUAUUGUCACCAGUGUUGGAAAUAAGAUAUAGAAUAGGAUCCAUAAGUGUUUUCAUAUGAAUAAUAUCGUAUUAUCUUGUAGUUAUCACAAAUCUUUUCAAUAUAGUAUGAUUGAGAUAAUAUGAGACCAUCAGAUAUUUUAGAAAUCUUAUUUCUUAAUAUAACAUAAACCACACCCAAAUUCUUCAUUUCAAACUUGUUAACAUUCUUUAAAUAGUUUGAAUUAUGGUAUCAUUGUUAUCCCUAUAAUCAGCAUGUCAUCUACUCAUAAGCAUAUUAUGAAAUAUCCAUUUUGAGUGUGCUCUUGAUGUACACACAUUUGUUACACUCGUUAAUUAAGAGUUUGUUUUAAUUUAUAAAGUGAUUUAUCAAAUCGACACACUUCUUUUCUUGUCCUUGGGCCACAAACCCUUCAGAUUGUUUUAAAUAAAUGUCUUUAUCUAGCUCACUAUAGAAGAAAAUCCAUUUUAACAUCCAUUUGAUAUACAUAUUCAAACCAUUCAACACUACUAUCACAACAAGCAUAUGUAUGGAAGUGCUUCCUCUUGCAGGUGAAUAUGAAUCGAAAUAAUGAAGACCUUCGUUUUGCUUGUAGCCUUUAGCUACAAGUGUAGCUUUAUAUUUGUCAAUUGAUCCAUCUCUUUCGUUUUCUUUUUGAAAAUCCAUUUACACCAUAAUGAAUUAUUGUCGGAAAGAGAUAUACUAAUUUCUAUGUAUAAUUUUGUAGUAUGAAUUCAAUCUUACUAUGAACAACUUCUUUCUAAUAUAGUGUUUUGGUCAAUAACAUAUCAAGUAUUUUAGACUUAUGUACAAUAAAUUUGCACGCACUUAGGCAUAACCAAUGAAAACACAAUCAAUGGUUUUAGGUCCUAUCUUAACAUUUUUAGGUUUAGGAAUAGCUACUUUAGCUAACAUCCCCACCUCUUUAAGUAUUUAUAAUUAGAUUUGUAACAUUUUCAUAAUUUAUAAGGUAUCUUGUGCAUUUUUCGAUAUGAUAAUUUGUUGAGAAUAUAAUUAGCAAAAAGCAAAGCUUUCCUCACAAGUUUUGAGAAAAUCCCGAAAUUAUCAACAUGGCAUUCAUUAUCUCCUUCAAUGUUUGAUUCUUGCAUUCAAUAACACCAAUAGAAUGAGGAGAAUAAGGCGCGGUAGUUUGAUGAGUAAUUUCAUGUUUUGAAUAGAAUUGUUUAAACGGAGGAUUAUAUUCACCUCUUGUAUCACUUCUUAUUGCCUUAAUCUUUUUGUUAAGUUGAUUCUCAACCUCUAACUUAUAGUAUUUAAACACUUCAAUUGCUUCAUCUUUGCUUUUGAGUAAAUUCCAUAGUAAUAUCGAGUGCAAUAUUGAUAAAAGUGAUAAAGUACUUUUUACCGCACCUAAUUUGAGAAAACUUUAAAUCACAUAUGUUACACUAUAAAUUACAUGGUAUGCACAUGACGGAGGAGGUCCCACAUUGGCCAACUCGACUUUUAUCAUUUAAUUUGAUUAGGCCUAUUAAAUUAAGUGACCUUGUGCAACCUUAUAUUGGGCUCGAAUUUGGGCUCAUUCCAUUAGCAAUAGACAGCAAAAGACUAAUGGAUUCAAGUCUGGCCACAUGUACAAAGGUCUUCUCAAAGUCCAUUGAUUUAACUUGGUGUACUAUUGUGCUACAAGCCAUGCCUUAUUUCUGAAAAUGUUACCAUGCCCAUUUGAUUUAUGUUUGAAGAUCCAUUUGGUUUCAAUCAAGUUCAUAUCUGUUGGCCUAGAUACCAAAUCCCAUACGCUAUUUCAUUUAAAUUGAACCUAUUCUUCAUGUAUUGUUAGUACCCAAGAUUGAUCAUUACCAAGUGCUUCAGUCACAUUUUUAGGUUCAAUGUGAGAAGUGUAGCCACAUUCCUGAGUUUAAUGGCAAGUCUUCUUCUUGUCAACAUUCCAUUUCCAAGAUCGGAGAGUAAAUUGCGCUAAGAAUAUGCCUACUAAAUCCAAGUAGAAGGUUGCUUGCUAUUUAUGAGUUCACUAUUUUCCUCUAGUAUGUCACAACCUAUAGUGAUUGGUUCGAAAUCCACAAGACGGAGAACAGGUAGCUUUGUUUGACUGUCAUUUCCAAAAUCUACAGCACAGGUCUCCAGAGUGUUCUAGGUAGUUUCAACAUGCUCCUCCAAGUUUUGUAUUUCCAGUUCCUGUGAGUAAGAGGACUAAUCACCAGUAUUUGUGGGUUGAACAAUAGUUUGAGUCACAUUAUACACUUUAUAAGCCAAACUAUUUUUUGAAUAUCCAAUGAACAUUGCUUGCUUCCGAAAGUAUGAAAGUACUUGAGACUUGGUUUCCCACCUUUGCAGUAAUCAUAAGUGUUUGUGAGGUACCGUUCUCAAAGAAACACGAUUUAAAAUAUUAGAAGUCUAAACAGCUUCGACCCAUAAUUUAAUGGAGAGUUUUUUUUACUAUUCAACAUUACCCUAGCCAUCUAUUCUUCUUCUCAACAGCACUUUGUUCAGGUUUUAGAAGCAGGGUAUUUUUGAAAAAUACCAUACACUUCAUAGAAAUUAGAAAAGCUAGCAUUUUCAAACUUCUUACCAUUAUCACUUUUAAUUCUUACAAUUUUUGUCCACUUGAGAUGUUUUUCGUUGGUUAUUUUUGAAAAAAGAAUACAAUUUUUUUAAAAAUAUCAGACUUCCUUAAGAAGUCUACCCAAUUAUAUAUAGAGAAAUCAUUGAUAACCACGUAUAUAUAACUCUUACCAGCAAGGCUUUCAGUUUGAAUUAGCCCCAUCACGCCCAUAUAUGGAAAUUCAAUGUAGUUAGGAUCUAGUAAGAAAUUGACAUUAUUUGUGUGCAGUUCUAUUUCAUUUACUUUUCUAGCAUGAGCCACACAUAUCUUCAGGUUUCUAUAUGAGGUUAGGAAUUCCUCUUACUGCAUCAAGUUUAGUAAGUUGACAAGAUCUACAUAGUUCAGAUGUCUCAAUAGUUUGUGCCAUAGGUCAAUAAAGUCAGCUUUUGAAAUAUGACAUAAAAUAUCAUAUUUAAACAAAUAGCAUUUAUCACUAGACUUGGCACCAUAUAGGACACAACUACCAUUUCGAUACCUUACAGUGUUUUUAGUAAACAUUACCAUAAGCUUAUCAUCACAUAGUUGACCCACACUAAUCAGGUUGACUUUUAAGUUACCUACAAACAACACAUUAUUGAAAAUAGGUAAUCAAUUUAUCACAAUCGUACGAGCGCCCUCAAUUUUACUUUGGCCAUCAUCCCCAAAAGUAACAAGUCCACCUACAUGACUUUUAUAAUUUGUAAGCAUAGAAUGGUUAUUAGGCAUGUCUCUAGAAUAGUCACUAUCAAAAUACCAAGAGUUUUGCACAACGGAUUUAUAUGAUACAUUAACAACAUAGCAACUAAAAUCAUUUUUUCUUACACAGAAGUACUUGCCUUAAUCUAGGUUGUCGUUUGUUCUGUCCUCCUCGUUUGAGUUUGAAUAUUUAUCCUCAUCUUUUCUUAUGUUUAUUACCUUCUAGCUUGGGACUUCUUUAAUGCGUUUGCGCAUUCAACGGCAAUGUGACCAAAUCCUUCGCAUGUAUGACAUUGAAUAAAAUUUUGUACUCUUUCCACAAAUGAGGUAGUAGAGUUUUGCCUUAAGUUGUUAAAGAACUUAUUCUUUUGUGGUGAUCGAGGUCUUGAGCUUGUUUCUUUUGGAUUGCUCGAUAGGAAUUUCUUAAAAUGUUUAGUGAGCAUGGCCAUAUGCUCAUCAUUAUCACUUUCAUUAUCCUCCUCUUCUACCUUAACUUUCAUGAUUUUAAAUACAAUACCCGAUCCUUUUUCCUUCUUUCUUCUAUGGAGAUGCAGCUCAUAGGUCAUUAAAGACCCUACCAGUUCUUUCACCUUCAUGCUCUCUAUGUCUUCUCUCAUAGAUGGCAGUCACCGUGGAAUAGAAUCUGUAAGGUAGCGAUCUAAGAAUUUUUUUUUUCACCAUUUUACUUUCUGAAUACUUCUUUCCCAAGGUGUAGGGUUGAGUUGGUGAUGUCACUUAACUUGGCGUAAAAAUCUUUGAAGUGUUCAUCAUCUCUCAUUGUUAGUUACUCAAAUUCAAGUGUAAGCAUUGUUGGAAUAUUUUGAAUGAUGGAUGAAAAGUUAUUUACGUUUUGAAUGUUCACUACAUCAGUUUCAUCAAUUUGAAUGCAUAUUGAAUGUUGUCAGUUUCAUCAUUUUGAAUACAUGUUAAUGCGUAUGAAAACAUCAAUUUCUUCCCAUUUGAAAUAUGUCGGUUUCACCCUGUUCAUUCAUCCAUAUUGUAACUCCCUAUUCAAUGUAUUUAUGAGCAAGCUCCUCCUAUAUUGGUAUAAAUAGGGUAUCACUCUAGGCUAGAAAUACAACAAAAAAGAAAACACAACAAAGAAAAAAAUUCAGUUUCCUCCUCCAUUUCCAGCAGUUCCGGUUUUUUUUCUUUUCUUUGCUAAAGUUCUUUGAGAGAUAGACACAGCUAGUUCGUAGGUCGGUAACGUUGUGCAGCGUGAACCGUCAACCGAUUGUAUCCUGGGAAUCGAACACCGAUUAACACCUCUUGCACCCCGGUGAGGCGGCGAAUUCGAUUUAAGGAAAUCGUGUAAACACGGGCCUUCGGUUUUGGUUGAUUUAUUCUGAUUCUCCAGUUUUUCCCUACAAGCUUAAAUCGAAUUCUCAUUUUGGGAAAUUUUGAGAAUCGGUUUUUUUUUUCCAGUUGAUUACUGUCGUCUUUUUUUUUAACCUCCAGUUGUUUGCUGUUUACUUAAUUUGUCCUUUAGGAAAAAAGGCUGACAAUCUAUCUAUUUAAUUACGUGCAGUAAAUAUAUUAGGUUUAAAUCAGUAAGGUCGAAAGAAGAAAAAAAAUUGGUUUACAGGAAGUUUCUUAGUUCAUGCCUGCGUGGUUUUGGUUCUACAGUUAGGUGGUUUUGCAUGGUUUAUCCUUUUUUUUUUGGUCUCUGUAUGGAUUAUGUAUAAUUGUCUGGUGUAUAAUUUGCAUGAUUUUAUCUCUUCCCUCAACAUAGUUUUCAGAGAUGGUAUUUUGCAUGAUAUUAAAAUCAUUUAAUAAUGAUAGUCAAUGAUUGCCUCAUUAAUGUAAUGAUUACUUGUUUGCAUAAUUUUAAAAUCAUUUGGUAAUUAUUUUCUAAUUAUCGGUAAUAAUUGCCCAUUAUUGCUUGAUUUUUCCUUUAAUAUUUAAAUUUCAGUCAUUAGGUAAUGAUUUUUAAUUCAAUUUUAAAUGAUUGUUAAGUUGUUGAUAUUUGGACAAAAAUAAUCUGUUCUACAGUUUAUUUUACUCGAACAGAUAACUUGAUCUCAAAUCUAUAAUUAUUCUAAAUUGAUUGUUGUGUGUUCUAAGGUUAAAUGGCGUCACAUGAAAAUGACGAUGUGAACAAUGGAAGCAACACUGUUGGGACCGUUGUGAACCCUGUGGAGACCUCGACUGGCAUUCCUCCUGUUGAUGGGACAAUUGGUGGCGGGAUUCCUCUUGUUGGAAUGAA
This 266067-nucleotide long non-coding RNA is filed under the name Olea europaea (common olive). Its description in RNAcentral is "long non-coding RNA (OEUR_LNC003382)". The record is from RNAcentral. Lineage: Eukaryota; Viridiplantae; Streptophyta; Magnoliopsida; Lamiales; Oleaceae.